CAAUUUAAGCAACUUGUUGGCCUUAGUAUUAGAAGCCAAUAAAUUGACUGGACCAAUUCCAAUUACAUUCGGCCGACUACAGAAACUCCAAGGCUUAGAUCUUGCAUUCAAUAAGUUGGUAGGUUCAUUCCCAGAUGAGCUUUGCCAUCUAGCUAGGCUGGCUGAAUUGGUCUUAUUUGGCAAUAAGCUUUCAGGAUCUAUACCUUCAUGCCUAAGUAAUCUCACUUCUCUAAGAUCUCUCUACUUAGGGUCCAAUAGGUUUACUUCUGUUAUUCCCUCAACUUUCUGGAGCCUAAAAGACAUCUUGUUCUUUGACUUUUCAUCAAAUUUCUUGGUUGGUCCUCUUUCUUUAGACAUAGGAAAUUUGAAGGUGCUUGUAAGAAUAAAUUUAUCAAAAAAUAACUUAUCCGGUGAUAUCCCAGCCACAAUUGGAGGACUGAAAGAUCUUCAAUUUAUGGACGUAGCAUAUAAUAGAUUGGAAGGCCCAAUUCCUGAAUCAUUUGGUGACUUGACAAGUUUGGAGGUUUUGAAUUUGUCAAAAAAUAAAAUCUCUGGGUCUAUUCCAACAUCCAUGGAGAAACUCUUUUACCUCCGAGAGUUAAAUCUCUCUUUCAAUGAACUAGAAGGUGAGAUUCCCAGUGGAGGAAUUUUUGCCAACUUCACAGCUGAGUCAUUUAUGGGAAAUGAGUUAUUGUGUGGUUUACCAAGUCUUCAAGUCCAACCAUGCAAAGUUAGCAAGCCGAGGACAGAACAUAAAUCAAGGAAAAAGAUACUUCUCAUUGUGAUUGUUUUGCCAUUGAGUAUUGCUCUAACAAUAGCAAUCACACUAGCUCUCAAAUCUAAGCUGAUCGAAUGUGGAAAAAGAAGCACAGUGUUGUCAAAUGAUAGUGUCUUGUCAUCACAAGCAACACUAAGAAGAUUUUCAUACUUAGAACUUUUACAAGCAACAGAUAAUUUUGCUGAAAACAACGUAAUUGGCAUUGGAGGUUUUGGUUCUGUUUAUAGAGCAAGACUUGAAGAUGGGAUGAAGAUUGCAAUAAAAGUGUUUCACCAGCAAUGUGCAAGCGCAUUGAAGAGUUUUGAGGCUGAAUGUGAAGUGUUAAAAAAUAUUCGCCAUCGAAAUCUUCUCAAAGUUAUCAGCAGUUAUUCAAACAAUGACUUCAAAGCAUUAGUCCUAGAAUACAUGUCCAACGGGAGCUUGGGGGAUUGGCUGCAUUCUAGCAAUUAUAUGCUGAAUAUAUUUCAAAGGUUGAACAUAAUGAUUGACGUUGCAUCAGCUUUAGAAUAUCUCCACUUCGAUCAUUCAACUCCUAUCAUUCACUGUGACUUAAAGCCUAGUAAUGUAUUGUUGGACGAAAAUAUGGUUGCUCAUUUGAGUGAUUUUGGCAUAGCAAAGCUUUUAAGUGGAGAGGAUGAGUAUUUGAUGCGAACAAAAACCCUUGCCACUAUAGGUUAUAUGGCACCAGGUUUGCUUCAAACAAUUGUUUUUUUUUAAGUUCAUUUUAAAUUUUCCAAAUCAUUGAUUUUUACGAUCCUCACAUCAAAAUUUUCUUGAUUAUUUAUCUAAUUGUGAAAUUAAUUUUAUUCAUAGAGUACGGCAUAGAAGGAGAAGUAUCUACAAAAAGUGAUGUUUACAGCUAUGGGAUUAUGUUGAUGGAAACUUUUACUAAGAAAAACCCCACAGAUGAAAUUUUUGUUGGAGAAUUGAGCUUAAAGCGUUGGGUUAAUGACUUGCUUCCUACUUCAUUAGUGGAAGUUGUGGACAAAACUCUGCUAAGUGGAGAGGAAAAACAUUCUGCAGUAAAGGAGCAAUGUCUGUUGUCUAUCUUUAGUUUGGCUCUGGAGUGUACAAUGGAAUCACCGGAAAAGAGGAUUAAUGCAAAAGAUGUUGUUACCAGAUUACUCAAGAUAAGAGACACAUUGAGUAAAAGGAUAGGAAACUGAAGUUAAUUUCGUUUGCUUUCAUUGAUAGUUAAUUCAAAUUCAUGUAAUAAGUGUAAGAAUCUUAUAUCCUUUCCUUUGAUUUUUUUUUUUUUUUGAGAAAACUGUUGUAGUCAUCUUGUUUCACUGCCCCCAAUGCUUUGGACACCUACUGGUAGGUUUGUACGUGUCCUCAACUUUUUUUAGGAGCACAAAAUUCGAGUCCCAUGGAGACUCAAACAUUCCUUUCCCACAUCCCGAGCACGCUAAGUUCGAGUGAAAGAGAUUAAUUUACGGAAACUAAAGCCAAGAGAAUAAAGGACAACACUUAUGUGAAGCGACAUAAAUGUAUUGAUAGCACAAUGUCAAAUUCAUACAGAGAUCUAGUAUACUAUUUACAGCCGGUAAGGGCUAAGAAUUGAUGUAGCUAGAAUACAAAGACGAUAAGGUAUGUUGUGCACUAUUGUUUUAUUCUACGAUCAAUCUUGACCCUUGAUGCUUGGCUCUCAAUCUUGUCCAUUGAUCUUCUUUGAUUUUGUACACUUCAAGACCUUUCAGUAUCAUUCCUUGUUGUUGGUGUCUUCCGUGCUGUAGAAUUCAUAUACAAGCCUUCCCGCCGACUUGCGAAGUAUUCGUUCAUUGAUGCAUUUUUAUCAAACAGUUGGCCGACUUGCCAAGUAUCAUGCCUUGUUAUAGGUAGGCUUGGUAGGAUUAUGGGUCGGUCGGUAGAUGUACAUGUGUUAAAGCUUUUGAAUUUAUGCCAAUUGAAAAUAAAAAAGAAUCUACAUAAAUUUUCAACGAGGCUAUUACCACAAUAAGCAUUUGGAUGAAUUAUUAUUGAAUCCUUUCUGAGAAGUAGGACAUGUCAGACAUCAAAGCACUGAGAUAUCUUCAAAUAGUGGUAACCCCCACGCAACAAGGCACAAUAAAUUAUACAGAUAAAAUCCUUCACUCUUUCGUAAUCAUCAGUGUAGGCACGGUGAUGCGUCAGACAGAUAUGGGUCGGAUCCACUCCAGCUCCAUAUCAAGAUUCAUAAACCAUGACAAAAAUAGAGAAUCAUAGGUGUUGCAGAUAGUGAUGGUUGUUGAUGCACUCGUGAUUUAAAAUUUUAUUUUAUAUCUUCAAGUUCGCAUUUUAAGUGUCCUUUUUUUUAAUUUUUUAUUGUGAUCAUUAUAACUUGUCAAAUCUAUUUUUAAAUAAUUUUUUAAAAAUAUUUUAUUAACAAUGAUAUGAAAAUAUUCGAACACCUUUUCAUAGUAAAGUGAAUUAUUAUCCGACGAUCCAACUCAUGUUUUCAAAUUGUAAAUUGCAAAUCGUGUGUUUGCUCCAUUACAGAGUUUCAUCAAUUUGAAAUAGAGAAUCAUUUGUGUUCUAGAUUAAUCGAGGGUCUAUAUCCAAAUCUAAAAAUUGACUAACUUGGUUUCUAUUAAAUUCUUAAUCCUAACAAGAAAAAUAGAAGAUUAAAAAUGACUAAUUUGGUUUCUAUUAAUUUGAGUAACGAUCGAAUUACCUAAUUUAUUAAGAUUUAUCAAAAUCCUAUGUCAAAAUCCAUUAAUGAUAUAGGUUCAAUGACGAAAUAGUCACUUGUUAUUAUUUUUGACUUCAUAAAUAGAUGAACGGAUGUUAUUUUUGGAUUCUGGAGAAUCGAAAAUAUCAGGAUAGGUGAUAAAUGGAAUUAAGUUGUAGAUAAGAUAGAAAUGGAUUUGGAGAGAGAUUGGAAUCCUGGGUAAUCCGGAGUACGUUGUUGUGUUGAAUGCUCGUUGACUUCACGUUGACUGAAACAUUAUUGGAAGAAGUGAGCAAGCUUAUUUUCUUCUCUCAUUUUUUAAAUUUGUCUUAAGUUUAUUGAUGUGAGGCCUUUGAGAUUGUAAGUUUCAAAUCUGAGAAGAAUAACCACACACCCAUUAUCCUAUUACUCUUAUUUUAUCACAUGAAGAGAAUUCGAAGUUUGAUAAAUUUGUGAGGAUUGUGAGGGUUGAUGCAAUAUAAUUUAGAUGCAAAGUGUUUACAAGUACGAUGCUUCAUAAGUGUUCUUGAAUCAUUAUAAACUCACGUUAUUUUUAUAAUGAUUGUUUCAUCUGCACAUGGAUAUAAUCAUAUGUUGAGAUUUUUUCCUAAAUUAUGGUCUUAUUUGGUAUUGAGGUGUUAGAUCUUUUAAGUUACAAUUACUAUUGGAAAAAAAAGUGCAACUAUGAAAUAAAAGUUAAUAUUGUGUACUAAAUAUAAUUGUUAAAUAAUAAUUUUGACAAAAUUAGUGAAGAUAUAUAGGUUUUUUUUUAAUCAUCUAAGUGUAAAAUCAAAUCAACUUAACUUCUAAACUAUAUAGCAGCUACUGUUUACCAAAUACUUUAGUACUGUAACUUUUAAGUUAUAGCUGCCUAACCUCAGUCUCAAACAAUGGCUAUAAAGAUCAAAGAUUUCCUCAUAAAAAUUAUACGUCUUGUGAUUGCUUAUUUAAUUUAUAUUUUUUUAUUUAUCUUUAUUAAUUACAGUCAUCUUUUAAUAAAUUACAAUUGCAGGAAGUUGAUGUUCGAAGUGCUUAUGUCGACUCAAAGUUGUUGGGAAUUAAUGCAUGUAUUGAUUUAUUGGGAGUGUUUAAAUGAUUUUGUGAUUUACUUGAUUGAUUGAUUGAAUAAUGUUUGAUUGCUUCAUAUCCGUUCUAGAAAGUUUAUUUCUUUGUGAAAUUUCAAUGAAAUAUGUUUUUUUAAAUUAUAAGGGUUUUUUAAGUAAUUUUAAAAAUAAAUGAACUAAUAAGGAUUAAUUAUUAGGUAAUUAACUUGAACUAUACAGGGUAAGCGAACAUGUAUCCUAAUUAUAUCAUGAUAAAUCCUUUUCCGAUCAGAAUUAGGAAACCAUAAGUAUAUUGAUUUUUUUUUCCAAUUCUCCUUUGCGAAAACGGAUUACAGAAUUAGAAAACAAUCCUAAUGAUAUUAUUGUUAGGUUUAAAACACUGCAUAGAUAGUAAAAAGCUAACUAGUUCGUAGAGUAAUUUGUUAAUUGCUAUCGCCUCUGCCUGCGCGGUGAAUAAUUUGUUGCAUGCAAAUUUUUUAUUUUAUGCAAAUCGUACUGAACAUUGGAAUUGAUGUAUAAGCAAAAAUACAAGAGUAUUUAUGUCAAUACAAAUUUUUUUUUUCCAUUUUAAAUAAACACAACGCGAUGUUUAUCUGCUCCGCGUUUUUGCAAUCUGUUUAUUCGUUGUUUAUUUGCUUCUUAAGGCCUCAAACUUUGAUAACCAAAAAUUUCACCAAACUAUGAAAAAUAUUCUGCAGGUUAGUUUUUAUUUUCGGAAUAAUUAUUUGAGAAUACUAAAACACAAUAUAAAAUAAGAAAAUAGGGGGUUAAAAUUUGAAAAAAAAACAAAAGGGCAUGUUGGAUAGAUUACUGUAGUUUAAGAAAAAAAUUAUUCAGUUGGGAAUUUUUUUUCUUUAAUUUUUGUUUUACUUAAUUGAGAUUUCUCCUUAAUCCUUACAGUUUUAAAUUUGGAUAACAUAGGAUUAGUAAUUUAGUACUUCCUUUGCAAGCCGAGGUUAAUGAUGAAAUUCUUUUAAGAAAAAAGAUAAAAGAGCAUACCAAUAGUCAAUUAUAAAUAACCACAAAUAAAUACAAACAAAAUGUUUAUGAAGUAAAUUAAAAAUGUGCAUAUUAUUUUUUUUUUAUUUCUUACUAAUCUUUGUAUUUGCUGCUUGAAAAACCAUAAAUACACAGAUGACCAUUGGCUUCGCACCAUUUAAUUGGGAUACAUUUCUACGUACAAACUGAACAAGGCUAUUGAUUUUUAUUAUUAUUUUUAUUUAUUUAUAAAUUACUAUUUCAAUUUUCACUUUUUAUUGGGUUGUUUAAUGGAUUAGUGAGGCUGGUGGUCGUUGAUGCACUCACAAGGUACAAUUUUGUUUUCCAAUUUCAAAUUCGUAUUUUAAAAUGCAGCACAUUAUGUAUACAUAAUUAUUGAUUUUCAUAUGUGGGUGUUUUGAAAUAUUGCUAAAAGACCAAACUUUAAUAAACUAUUUUUGAUCCUUUUUUGUUUCUUUUUUCCUAAAGUUUGAGUGAUAUCCGCAUUUUUAAAAGCUAAUGUAUGCAAAAAAUUCUUUUAUUUUUCUGGGGAAAAUAGGCAAGAGAAAACGUUUUGGCAAAUGAGUUGCAACUGAAUUCAAAACCAAUACGAUGCGAGCAUAGGAAAGAGGUCAGUGUUUUGGAUUUGAAUUUAGUAUUGAGCUGAAUUUUAUGUUUAACACAUGAUUCUAUUAUAGUACUGCGAUUAAUAAGCUCAGCCCCGGAUUUGCUUUUGCUUUUGCUUUUACUUCAAGUGAAAGAAAGAGGAAACCUUUUGUUUUUUCUUUGGUUUUUGACUAUGUUACCUAUACAGAGAGUCAAGAUAUCAGCCAUAAGUGAUGGUGUUAAAAAGAUUAAGCAGCGCACACAAUCUUACUGCUGUCUAGACCAUCCAAUGAUGACUCCAGUCUUUUGGUUACAUUAGCUUUAGUUGAAAUAAGGGCCAAUUUAGCAAACACUAGCUUUGGCGGCUUACUAUGUUUAAUGUAAUGCUUAUUCUCAAGGAAUCUAAUGUUAUAAGAUGAUUGAAUGAUCUUCUAUGAUUGUGAGUAGUAUAGGAUAAUUGAAAAGAGCCUGGCUCCUAUGAUAAAUAACAGUAACACAGUACUGUGAUUGAAAAAGUUCAGUUACAAAAACUUAGUUACAGUAAACUCUUCAUUUAUUCAUUGCGGAGAUUGAAUGGCAAAAAGAGAAUAGAAUGAAGCAGAGGAAUCUCAUUGCCAAUAAAAUUGACCCUCUUUAAUGUUAUAUGGCACAGGUAUGUUUACAUCAAGAACAAGUUACUUACAGUUUUUAUUGUAGUUAAGUUUUGAUGAUUUCAGAUGCUUUUUUUUUUUAAUUGUGACACCUUUGAUUUAUAAUAAUAUUGCAAAUAUAUAUAUAUAUAUAUAUUAGUAGUUUUUUGGUCCGAAAUUUUAAAGUGUGAGAAAGUAUGAGAAAGCUUUAAAACCGCACGGUGUUAAAGGCUUACAGUUUUAAGCAUUUUAAUCCAUGCGGUUUUAAAGUUUUACUGGAUUUUUCCGCACUUUAAAAUUCCAGACUGAAACAUUUCUGUAUAUAUAUACAUAUAAAUAUAUAAAUUAAGAGGGAUGAGUUAACUGAAGAUUAUAAUCAUUACAACAAUGCUGAUGAGUGAUACAUCACUUGAAAUUUACUUAUCAGUUGCUGAAAUGAUGAAAAAAAAACAAUAAACAAUAACAGUGAUAAUGUUCUCUUGCUAAAAUGACUUGUAUAUUAUACAAUCCACUCUACUUAAUGAUAUCGUUUUAAUAAAUGUUUGAUGAUCUCCAUUUAAAAACUACUUCAAUUUUUUUCUUCAUUUAACUUUUUGGUUGUUGAAAAUAACCUUAAUUAUCAAAUAAUUGGAGAAAGAGUAAAGAACAUUUAACAAAUUUAUGUGUAAAAAAAAAAAGGAGAAGUUGAAGAGAAAGGGUGCUUGCAGAAGUAGGUGUCAAAGAUAAAUCGGUCCAUAGGAAUUAUUUGUUGAGAUAUAAUUAAUAAUCUAGUAAAUUGAGCAAGAAGUUUGAAGGGUUAUUUGGUUUGUUUUUCAACAUGAAGUAAAGGGUAGAAUUGAUGUUUGCAAUGUAGCUUUGGAAAUGUAAAGCAUGAUUAAUGUAAUCUCUAGAGUUGUCUAUAAUGCAUAUAAAUAUAGAACUCUGGUUGUAUGAAAAGUAAGAGAGAAACGAAAAAAUGAAUUAAGCAAUAAAGUUUCAGAAAUUUCCAGCAAAAUACUCUGUUCUUAAAUAAAAAUUUUUCUGCACUUCCGCUUGCACCCAACAAAUUUGGUAUCAGAGCUAUUCCAAAACACCCUCAAAAUGACAUCAAACUUCUCCCUGUUUUGAGCUGGAAUAAGAGCAGAAAGCUGUGGGAAAAGGCACUAUUGCUGUCCAUACAAAGGAAGGUACUGAUUUCCUUAUUGUUUGCCUUUAUGUUGAUGCUGCAACAACAAUUUAUUGUGACAACAUGUCAGCCAUUGCUCUAACAAAGAACCCCGUAUUUCAUGCUAAAUCUAAGCACAUUGAGCUGCGUUAUCACUACAUCCGUGACUUAGUAAACAAAGGAGAAGUUAAUAUGGAGUUUAUCAGCACUAAUGAGCAGCCAUCAGAUUUUCUGACCAAAGCAAUCAACAUUGAGAAGUUUGAAAAAUUCAAGAAGCAAUUGAAGAUUACUAAUUAAGAGGGGGUGUUGAGAUAUAAUUAAUAAUCUAGUAAAUUGAGCAAGAAGUUUGAAGGGUUAUUUGGUUUGUUUUUCAACAUGAAGUAAAGGGUAGAAUUGAUGUUUGCAAUGUAGCUUUGGAAAUGUAAAGCAUGAUUAAUGUAAUCUCUAGAGUUGUCUAUAAUGCAUAUAAAUAUAGAACUCUGGUUGUAUGAAAAGUAAGAGAGAAACGAAAAAAUGAAUUAAGCAAUAAAGUUUCAGAAAUUUCCAGCAAAAUACUCUGUUCUUAAAUAAAAAUUUUUCUGCACUUCCGCUUGCACCCAACAUUAUUUUGGUUAUUUUUUAGCAAUAUAAAAAUUUUUUAGCAAGUAAAAAUUAAUUUUUUUCCAAUUUACUAAAAAAUUAACUAAAAACUUCUGCGAUAGCAUUUUUUAUGGGUGCAUAUACCUCCCUUUAAAAAAUAUAUAAUAAUUAAUGCUUAAUAUAGUAUUAAAUACGAAAAUAUCAAUAUUUGACUACUCAAAUUUAUAUCAUUAGGUCCUUAAAAUUUAAAAUUGAAGAUACAAAAGGAAAUAUAUAUAAAUUUCAUUCUCAUGGGAAAGGAUCAUCUUAUAAUCUUAUAAUAUUUGAGUUUUGAAAUAUUUUUUUGAAACAAAUGUACUUUUAUUUGUGUACAAUCAAUAUGUACUUAUUUAUUAUAUUUUUAUUUAUUAACUAUCAAUCAUGUGAGUAUAUUUAGUCAGAAAAAUUAUAUCAAGAGAGAACCCUAAUUUCACGUAAAGACAAAUACAAGACAAAUAUGGCAAUUUCUAUACUAUUCACUUUCCUGUAGAAUCAAUUAUCUAAAAUGCAAGUUUGUGGCUUCAAAAAACUCGCCAAAGAAAGAAGAUAAUUACAAUUGAGCAUUGAUAGCAAAUCUAAUGCAUCCAAUUCUUCUUAACUUGAUGAGUGACGUGAAUACUAGCAGUCUGUAACGCCCAAAUUUUUAUUAUUUUAUUUAUUUUUUAAUGGAAUUUAUAAAUGACAUUUUUGCCCUUAUAAAAACGGUUAUUCAUGGAAUAAUUUUUAGGAAAGGGUUAUUUUUCCAAAUUCAAUAGGGUUUCUUAAGACUCCCUAUAAAUUCAUAUUUUUCUCCUUCCAUAACCCUAAAAGCACGACGUUUCUUCUUCUUCUAUGCUGCUCAUUACGCUCUUACCCAAACCCUAGGAUUCAAACCUUUGGUUAAGAGAGAAUCAAAGCGAUUGGUAAGUUUAUUCCCCUUAUUCUCCACAAGAUUCCCAAUCACUCUAUCUAGGGUUUAUAUUGGCACGAUUUUAGAUUGUUAUAGAUCAUAAUGCAUGAUUUAGAAUGUGUUUAGGCUUUGUUUAGAGUUUUGAUUUAUUAUGAGUUUAGUUAAUCAACCUUGACGUAUUAAGCACAUAGAAUAGUUCCAUAGAAUAUUAUGUUAUUCUGAGUUUUAGAUUAAGAGUUAAAAUUCUGAGCAUCGGACCUGUACGGGUACGAAUUAAAAAAACCAGGUUCUUAGAAUAAGUUAUUAAUUGUCAUAUAUUGUAUUUGUUUAAGGCGUUGGAGGUGAUUGAGGCUCUUAGAGGGUUAGAGGUGUGUUAAUUCAAAUUCUUUUGUCAAGUUAAGUAACUUUAUUCCUAAUGUACUGGAUAUAUAUAUAUGAUUAUUUUGAUAUUAUUAUAAGUAUACGAAUUUUUUUACUACUUAGAAGAUUAAUGGAUUUUCAUAACAAAAUCAGUUUGUGUAAAUGUUUUCAAACCUAAAUUCUUUUUAAUAAAUUAUUUUGUAAAGGCUUUUAAAUAUGUAAGUUAUUUUAUGACAUGACUACCUUUUAUAAUUUUGUCUAUGAAAUAUUUGCAAGCCUAAAUUGUGGUUAUGGACUUUCAUGAAACUGAUACAAAUGUUUUGUACCUAUGUAUGAUUUCAAUUAUUUAUGAUUGUACGGGGGCCACCUCUUGGGACUAUAUGGGGGCCACCUCUUGAAAGCCAAAGCAUCGCAAAGUGCCACAUAUAAGUCAUUAUGUUUUGGCUCAUUGUCCAUAGUUAUUCUGAUUCUGAUUCUGAUCGUAUAAUACGAUAUAUGUCUGUUCUGGACCAGUACUGGGUUUUUGUUUUGAGUGUGCACACGAUAUUCUGAUUCUGUUUUUGGCCGAGUCACCAGGACUAUAGGUGACACUAUGUGACAUGAGCUAACCUUUUGUUUUAUGUGAAUGUGAUAUAUGAUUUGCUUUUGUAAGUAACUAUACUUUUGAUAUUCUGAGUUACAAUGAAUUUAAAUUAUUUUAUAGUGAUAUAUCGUUUUAUGAAAUUUAUGGAUUAUGAUAUAUGUUUUAAUUAAAAGAAGGCUUGCAAUAUUUUUGGUAUCGAUAGGCCUAGUGUGUUAGGAAUAGUUUUACUUACCGAGUUGACGGCUCACCCCUCGUCAUUACUUUUUGCAGAUUAAAUUUCUUUUGAGAGGUGCCCUUAGCUUUGGAGUUAGUAAUUUUCUGUUUCCGUUUGCCAUUUGAAUAAGAUGAGGAAUAGACUCAUGUUUCUAUUUAGUUUAUUUCUGUUAUGGACGUGUAAUUUGGAGUUUGAGACUUUUGUUAUUUUUUUUAUGUCCUCGGGAGAGAUUAUUUAGUAUUAGACGUUUGAAUUUGUGGAUUUAUUCGAAUAAGAAUUUGAGGUAUUUCAGUUUGAAACUUAUGAGUAAAGAUUAUGAUUUGUAAGUAACCUCCUUCUUCACGUGCUCCGCACGUGUUAGAUUUGGGGUGUUACAAUUGUGGUAUCAGAGCAUUAGGUUUGGGAUUCUGUAGACUUUAUUUGAGACUAGAUUUCUUAAGCACAAUCAAUUAGUUCAAUGGUAUUGCUUGCCAUGAGGUUAUCAGAAAGAGUAGAUCUUUAAGGCGAGGAGUAAUUUUGGUCUUUUUGAUUUUCUAGUUGCUUGUGACUUUGUAAUAACUCCUUGAUAUAGGAUUUUGGUAUUAACGUAGAAUGAAAUAUUUGUUUGCUCUUGUUGUCAAUCACUAAUGUUUCUCAGUUAUACUACUUACUCAGUACUUUGCGCACUAGCAAGGCCUUUAACUAUGAAUUAUUUACCGUUUUAUUUAUUUAUUUAUUUUUAUUCUUCGUGUUAUAGUCAAAAGAUGUUGCGUAGGGGAGGUGCUAGGCAUGCCUCUAGCUCGAGAGAUGUUUUAGGAAUCGCUGAUGACGUUGACCCAACCUUGCGUGAGAUGGCUAACGAAGGGAAUCCUAUGAUGCGCGCAAUGGUUAGAUUGAUGGAACAACAAAGUAAGUUGAUUCAAGAUAUGGCUAGAGGUAAAGUUGGGGCACAGGAGAAUGUGCCAGUUGAAAGACAAGGUGGUGGAAGAGAUCAGGGAGGUAUGAUGAGCUUAGAGCGGUUUAGGAAAUUGGGACCACCUACCUUUCAGGGGACUGCCGAUCCUAUGGUUGCAGAGGCAUGGUUAAGACAGAUGGAGAAAAUAUUUAUGGCUAUGGGUUGUAAUGAUGAUCAUAGGGUGAUAUUGGCCUCAUUCGUCCUUUAGGGCGAGGCAGACCACUGGUGGGAUGCCAAAUCCCGUCUUUUGAGGGCCGGGUUACAAGAUGCACCUAUUACUUGGGAGUUAUUUCUGGAGGCUUUUCAUGAAAAAUAUUUUCCUGAACGAGUUCGACAUCAGAUGGAGGUUGACUUCCUGAAAUUGACUCAAGGAACAAAGUUUGUUGCGGAGUAUGAGGAGCAAUUUACUGCUCUAUCUCAUUUUUCUCCUACCUUAGUUGCUAAUGAGGGUAGUAAGUGUAGGAAAUUCUUGGAAGGGUUACAUCCAAACAUCAAAAGACGGUUGACCAUCCUUAAGCUUAAUAAUUAUGCCGAUUUGGUGGAUCGUGCGAUUAUUGCAGAGAGGGAUAUAAUUCAAUCUCAAGUUGCACGAUCUAAUCGACAUAAUAACCAGCCAAUAAAACAUGAUAGUAAUGGUAGCGAAGGUGAACAUAAGGACUCUAAUGGUGGGUCUAUUCAAGAGAACAAACCAUUCUGUAAUCGUUGUGACAAGUACCAUAAUGGCACGUGCUAUUUAAAGAUAGAAGCUUGUUUUGGCUGUGGAAAGAUGGGGCAUAAGGUUAUAGAUUGCCCAAAAAAGCGCAGUGGUAACAUAGAUUCUGCCGAGAACCAAAGGAAAAAGCCAUGUGUCUUCGCCAUGGUGGAGCAAGAUAUUAAGAAACCGAAUAACGAAGCCUCAGGUGCAUUACCUAUUUUCCAUAGAAAGCCUUGAAUUUUUGAGUAAUUGGUAUUGUGCUUUUCCUCCAUCCUUUCUGAUUGGAUGCAUCGUAGCUAGAGUUUUUAGCCUAAUAAUUUCUUUUUUCAUCCAUUGAAUUUCUAUGGUACAUUAGUAGGAUAUGACGUGUGAUUUUAUAAGGCCAUUAGGAUUAACUUAUGGUUGGAUGGAGUAGGGACUAAUAUGAUAUUUAGUAGGAUAUGUGAUGAAGAUUGCAAUAAAAGUGUUUCACCAGCAAUGUGCGAGCGCAUUGAACAGUUUUGAAGUUGAAUGUGAAGUGAUAAAAAAUAUUCGCCAUCGAAACCUUAUCAAUGUUAUUGGCAGUUGUUCGAACGAUGACUUCAAAUCAUUAGUCCUAGAAUACAUGUCCAACGGGAGCUUGGAGGAUUGGCUGCAUUCUAGCAAUUAUGUGCUUAAUAUUUUUCGCAGGUUGAACAUAAUGAUUGACGUUGCAUCAGCUUUAAAAUAUCUCCACUUCGAUCAUUCAACUCGUAUCAUUCAUUGUGACUUAAAGCCUAAUAAUGUGUUGUUGGGUGAAAAUAUGGUUGCUCAUUUGAGUGAUUUUGGCAUAGCAAAGCUUUUAAGUGGAAGAUGAGUCUACGAUGCGAACAAAAACCCUUGCCACUAUAGGUUAUACGGCACCAGGUUUGCUUGAAACAACUUUUUUUUUUAGUUUAUUUUAAAAUUUCCAAAUUAUUGAUUUUUACGAUCCUCAUAUCAAAAUGUUAUUGAUUAUUUAUCUAAUUAUGAAAUAAUUUAAUUCAUAGAGUAUGGCAUAGAAGGAGAAAUAUCUGCAAAAAGUGAUGUUUACAGCUAUGGGAUUAUGUUGAUGGAAACUUUUACCAAGAAAAAACCCACAGAUGAGAUUUUUGUUGGAGAAUUGAGCUUAAAGCGUUGGGUUAAUGACUUGCUUCCUAAUUCAUUAGUGGAAGUUGUGGACAAAAUUCUGAUAAUUGGAGAGGAAAAACAUUUUGCCGCAAAGGAGCAAUGUCUGUUCUCUAUCUUUAUUUUGGCUCUGGAGUGUACAAUGGAAUCACCGGAAAAGAGGAUCAAUACAAAAGAUAUUGUUACCAGAUUACUCAAGAUAAGAGACACAUUGAGUAAAAGGAUAGGAAAUUUAAGUUAAUUUUGUUUGCUUUCAUUGAUAGUUACUUUGAAUUCAUGUAAUAAGUGUAAGAAUCGUUUAUCUUUUCUUUUGAUAUUUUUUUCUUGAGAAAACUGUUGUAGUCAUCUUUUUUCAAUGGGCAGAGUUGAUUUAGUUCUUCCAAGAAAUGCUAUUGUUGAUCUUUGUUAUAUACUUUUGUCUUUUUUUGCAUGCAUUUAGGUAGAAUAGUGGUCUAGCUGCAGGCUAACAAGUCAAGCUACGCUAAAAGGGUAUGAUUUAAUUUAUUAAACCUAACUUCAAGUUCAAGAAUUGUAUCUCAUUGCCACCAAUGCUUUAGACACCUAUUGGUAGGUUUGUGUCCUCAACUUUGUUUAGAGCAAAAGUUCCAGUCCCAUGGAGGCUCAAAUAUUCCUCUCCUACGUCCCGAACACACUAAAUUCAUCAGCCUCUUGAACCCUCUCCUGAGGGCGCCUUCUGUCCUCUGUUUUCUGUUUCCAUACACAAAUAGCAAAAAGAAUUCAGAAUGACAACUGGGACAUAUAUAAGAGUGAAAUAAUUAAAAAAAAUUAUGCUUUUUUGUUUGUCGUGUUAAAAUCGUAAGGUAUCUAAGUACUAUGAAAGAGAUUAGUUUACGAAAACUGAAGCCAAGGGUUCAUAAAAAAGUGCAAAGAGAAUAAAGGACAACGCUUAUGUAAAGCGACAUAAUUGUAUUGGUAGCACAAUGUCACGUUCAUACAGAGAUCAAGUACAUUAUUUACAGCUGGUAAGGGCUAAGAAUUGAUGUAGCUAGAAUACAAAUAUGAUAAGGUAUGUUGUGCACUAUUGUUUUAUUCUACAAUCAAUCUUGACCCUUGAUGCUUGGCUCUCAAUCUUGUCCAUUGAUCUUCUCUGAUCUCGAAAACUUCAAGACCUUUCAAUCUCAUGCCUUAUUAUUGGUAUGUUCUAUGCUGUUAAUUUCAAAUACUAGCUUUUCCGCCAACUUGCCAAUUAUUUGUUCAUUGGUGCGUUCUGUCAAACAGUGUGGAUACUUAUACCAAACGCUUUCUGUUUUAACUCCCCCUUUCAAGCUCAACUAUCUGGGAAGACACUAAUAAGCUUGUUUCUCAAGUAUAUGUAUCUGAAAAUUAAAUUUUCAAAAUUAUAUUCGGACUCUACAUUUUCUAAUGAACAUUGGUUUGGCUCAUAAGCUUAUUAUACUUGGGCUUGGUAGGAUUAUCGGUCGGUAGAUGAACAAGUGUUAGAGCUUUCGAAUUUAUGCCAAUUAAAAAAAAAUCUAUAUAAAUUUUCCACUAGGCUAUUACCACAAUAAACAUUUGGAUGAACUAUUAUUGAAACCUUAUUGAGAAGUAGGACAUGUCGCAUACCAAUGCACUGACAUAUCUUCAAAUAGUGGUAACUCCACACAACAUGGCACAAUAAAUUAGAGUUAUAUAGAUAAAAUCUUUCACUCUUUGGUAAUCAUCAAUGUCGGCAUGGCAAUGCGUCCGACAAAAUUCAUAAAUCAAAACAAAAAUAGAGAAUCAUAUUUGUUUCAGAUUGUAGUGAUGGUUGUUCAUAAUUCACAAUUUUAUUUAAUAUCUUCAAAUUCGCAUUUUAAAAUGCACAAAUGUUUGUGUAUACAUAAUUAGUAAUCGAUUCUCAAGCUUGGACAUUUAAAAGCACUGCUAAAAGACAAAAUUUUAAUUCACUAUUUUUUGUCUUUUAAUUUUCUUUAAGUUUUAAUGAUUCCGCAUUUUAAAAUCCUGUGGAACGUACAUGUAAAAUUCUUUUAUCUUUUAGAGGAAAAUGGGCAAGAGAAGAAGAUUUGGCAAAGGAAUUGCAACCGCAUUUGGAGCUAGUUUUAAUUUUGUCUUUUAAUUCUUUUACACUUGGCUUUUGUUAUUGAUGUCAACUUCGAUGUGUGUGCGUGUGCGACUGAAUUCAACUUACAUGCUAUUGAUGCAGCCACCAAAAAGGGGUGGUCCAUCAUCAAUCAACAAGGUUUAUUAUUAUUUCCAUAUUGAUUUUCUUAAUUAUAAAUAAUACUAAUGUUAUUUCAUAGUUAUAAAUAUAUUAGAAUUAAUCGAAAUCAUUUUUUAGUGUGGCAUGGCUAAAACUACCUUUUUUUUUUAUAAGUAAUUACUACUUUCACAUUAAGAAAAAUACUCCUAUUUUUAAGGAAAAGUCAAGUACCUGUAGUUGUGAAGACUCAAGCUCACUCCCUUAUGAUAAAUCUUCAUAUUAAUUACGUAAAUAUCCUCUAAAAUUUUAAAUUAGCUAUUCAAAAUUUGAUGUUAUACGGGUAUUUCAUUUAUUUGAGUAGGGGUUAGGGGUCAAUUGGAUACAAAUUCAAAAUUAUCCUUACUUGAGAAGGUGAUAAAAAUUGGGGAUUUAGUUUGGAUGUCAUUAGCUACAAAUAUUAAACUCAUACAUUUAAUUCAAAAUUAGAGGGCUGAUAUGUGCGCAUCAUCGUCCACGUUAUAGUGACACUGCGUCACCAUUCCACAACCUCUCCAAUGAAAAAUUGACAUGCUUCUUGUGCGCAUCUAAUCAGAAUCUUGAAAAUUAAUCACAAAAUUGUACUUUUAUUAUAAAAAGAAUAAAGAAACUCCAAGAAAAAAAAAAAGACUUACAUAAAUAGAUUGAAAAAUCUAGAUUUCAAGUUGUCUAUAUUAGCUUGAUAUUUUUAUUAAUAGUCAUCCUCCCAAAAAAAUUCCAUCAAAAUAUAUUUUAAUUUUAUGUUAAUUCAUAAACAUGAAAAAAUCAUUUUAGAAUUAAUUAAAACAUAAUUUAUUGUUGCUCAAAAAAGGUAGAACUUAGUUAUCAGAAAAAAGUGUCUAAAAUAUAUGUUAAAAAAAAAUCAUGGUUGGUUGGACUGAUUGAAUUUUUUUUUUCUUUUUUAAGAAUUAAGACAAUUGGAUGGAUUGAGUAAUAAUAAUACAUAUUUAUUUGGCAAAUGGCAGGGAGGCUUUCGUCUGAUGCAGAUUGAUUAGAGAGAAAAUAUAACAAUUUUAAGCUCGUCAGAUUCGAAGCUGCUUACCUGUCGUGUGGGGAUCACUUCCGUGUCUUAUUUUUCUAGAAAAAUCUGGACCAUUGGAUUUACCAUUAGUCAAUAGAGAAAUGUUGAUCUUGAUUCUUGAUCAAGAUCGAAGUUUGAUUCUAACUAACACGAUAUCAGAUUGCGAAGCAAGCAAAUUGAAAGUCACUUGUUCUAUGGAAGAAACACAAGUUCUAAUAAAACAUUCUCAUAGUAAAGUGAAUUACCAUCCAACGAUCCAACUCAUGUUUUCAAAUUGUAAAUUGCAAAUCGUGUGUUUGCUCCAUUACAGAGUUUCUUCAAUCUGAAAUAGCGAAUCAUUUGUGUUCUAGAUUAAUCGUGGGUCUAUAUCCAAAUCUAAAAAUUGACUAACUUGAUUUCUAUUAAAUUCUUAAUCCUAACAAGAAAAAUUGAAGAUUAAAAACGACUAAUUUGGUACCAUACCACUAUUGUAACAUAGGUAGAUCCUCUAUUAAUUGGAGUAAAGAUUGAAUUAUCUCAUUUAUUAAGGUUUAUCAAAAUCUUGUGUCAAAAUCUAUUAAUGAUAUAGGUUCAAGGAUGAAAAAGUCACUGCAUUACUUUUGAGUUCCCAAAUAGAUGAAUGGAUGUUAUUUUUAGAUUCCGGAGAGUCGAAAAUAUUAAGAUAGGUGCUAAAUCGAAUUAAGUUGUAGAUACGAUAGAAAUGGAUUUGGAGAGAUUGGAAUCCUAGGUAAUCCGGUGCACGUUGUCGUGUUAAAUUCUCGUUGACUUCACGUUGACUGAAGCAUUAUUGGAAGAAACAAGUUUAUUGAUGUGAGGCCUUUGAGGUUGUAAGUGUUAAAUCUGAGAAGAAUACCCACACACCCAUUAUCCUAUUACUCUUAUAUCACAUGAAGAGAAUUCAACAUUUGAUUCACACGGAAAAAAUUUGUGAGGAAUGUGAGGGUUGAUGGAAUAUAAUUUAGAUACAAAGUGUUUACCAGUGCGAUGCUUCGCAAGUGUUCUUGAAUCAAUAUAAACUCACAUUAUUUUCAUAGUGAUUGUUUCAUCUGCACGUUAAUAUAAUCACAUGUCGAGAUUUUUUUCCUUAAAUUAUGGUCUUAUUUAGUAUUGAGGUGUUAUAUCUUUUAAGGUACAAUUAUUGUUGGAAAAAAGUUACAACUAUCAAAUAAAAUUAAUACUAUGUGCUAAAUAUAAUUGUUAAAUAAUAAUUUUGACAAAAUUAGUGAAGUUAUAUAGAUUUUUUUCAUCAUCCAAGUAUAAAAUCAAAUCAACUUAACUUCUAAGUUAUAUAUCGGCUACUGUUUAUCAUAUGUUUUAGUUUUGUAACUUUUAAAUUAUAGUUACCCAACCUCAAUUCUAAACAAGACCUAUAAAGAUCAAAGAUUUCCUCAUUAAAUUAUAUGUCUUGUGAUUGCUUAUUUAAUUUAUAUUUUUGUUAUUUAUCUUUAUUAAUUAUAAUCAUCUUUUUAUAAAUUAAAAUUGAAGGAAGUUGAUUGAUGUUGUUGACACACACACGCACGCGCACGCACACACUCACAAAGAUAUAUUGGAAGUGCUUACGUCGACUCGAAGUUGUUGGGAAUUAAUGCAUGUAUUGAUUUAUUGGGAGUGUUUAAAUGAUUUUGUGAUUUACUUGAUUUAUUGAUUGAAUAUUGUUUGAUUGCUUCAUAUCCAUUCUAGAAAGUUUAUUUCUUUGUGAAAGUUCAACGAAAUAUGUUUUUUUUUUUAAAUAAGGGUGUUCUAAAUAAUUUUAAAAAAUAUAUGCUUGUCUUCCCAAAAUAGCCUUUGAAUACACAAGUAAAUGUCUAGCCUUUGGUGAGGAUAGUUUGGUCAUUGCAUUUUACAAGUAAGAUGAGUGGUGGAGAAAAAUGAGGAGUGCACAUAACUCUUCAGCAAAUCCCACCAACAAUUCCAUUUUCUUAAUUAAUUAAUCUCCUUUUUUAUCCCCAAACAAAUCCUAAUGAUACUAUUAUCAGGUUUAAAACAGUACACAAAUAGUGAAAAGCUAACUAGUCUGUAGAGUAAUUUGCUAAUUGCUAUCUCCUCUCUAUGCUCGCUGAAUAAUUUGUUGCAUGCAAACUUUUUAUUUUAUGCAAAUCAUACGUACUGUAACAUUGGAAUUGAUGUAUAAGCAAAAAUACAAUAAUAUUUAUGUCAAUACAAAUAGUUUUUUUUCCCUUUUUAAAUAAACACAACGCGAUGUUGCUCUGCUCUACAUUUUUGCUAUCUCUUUAUUAUUAUUAUUUUUUUUUGGGCUUCUUAAAGCCUCAAACUUUGAUAACCAAAACUUCAUCGACCUAUGAAAAAAUCUGCAGAUUAGUUUUUAUUAUCGGAAUAAUUGUUUGAGAAUACUAAAACAAAAUAUAAAAUAAGAAAAUACGGGGUUAAAUUUGGGGAAAACAAAAAGGCAUGUUGGAUAGAUUACUAUAGUUUAAGGGGAAAAAAAAAUUCAAUUGGAAAUUUUUUUCUUUAAUUUUUGUUUUACUUGAUUGAGAUUUCUCCUUAGUCCUUACAGUUUUAAGUUUGGAUGCCGUAGGGUUAGUAAUUUAGUAUUUCCCUUGCAAGCUGAGCUUAAGGAUGAAAUUUCUUUUAAGAAAUUAAAAAAGAUUAAAAAAAGCAUACCAAUAGGUAAUUAUAAAUAACCAUAAAUAAACAUAAACAAAAUGUUUAUGAAGUAAAUUACACAUGCACAUAUUAUUUUUUUGUUAUAUUUCUUACUUGUCUAUUUUAUUUGCUGCUUGAUAACCCGUAAAUACUAAUCUAGUACUGCUAAUUUCAGACACAAAAUGUUUAACUCUAGGCUGCAGUUUUACUCAAAAUGAUGACCACUGGCUUCGCACCAUUUAACCGGCAUACAUUUCUACAAAUUGAACAAGGCUAUUGAUUUUCAUUAUUAUUUUUUAUUUAUUUAUAAAUUACUAUUUUAAUUUUCACUUUUUAUUGGGUUGUUUACAGAUUAGUGAAGUUGGUGGUCGUGAUGCACUCACAAGGUACAAUUUUAUUUUAUAAUUUCAAAUUUGUAUUUUAAAAUGCAGGUACAUUAUGUAUACAUAAUUAUUGAUUUUCAUAUGUGGGUGUUUUGAAAUAUUGCUAAAAGACCAAACUUUAAUAAACUAUUUUUUAUCUUUUUUUUUCCUAAAGUUUGAGUGAUAUCCGCAUUUUAAAUUCAUGUGGAACAAAAGCUAAUGUAUGCUCAAAAUUCUUUUAUUUUUUCCGAGAAGAAUGGGUAAGAGAAGAAGAUUUUUCUGUUGAAAAAGAAAAACUAAUACGAUGCAAGCAUAGGAAAGAGGUCAGUGUUUUGGAUUAGAAUUUAGUAUUGAGCUGAAUUUUAUACUAAACUCUUUUAUAGUACUGCGAUUAAUAAACUCAUGAUUUGCUUUUGCUUUUACUUCAAGUGAAAGAAAGAGGAAACCGUUUGAUUUUUGUUUGAUUCUUGACUAUAGAUGUUACCUAUAUAGAGAGUUGAGGUAGCUGCCUUAAGUGAUGGUUAUAAAAAGAUUAAGCAGCGCACACAAUCUUACUGUCGUCCAGACCAUCCAGCUAUGAUGACUCUAGUUUUUUGGUUACAUUAACUUUAGUGGAAAGGAGGGCCAAUUUAACAAAGACUAGAUUUGGUGGCUUACUAUAAUGCUUAUUCUCAGGGAAUCUAAUGUUAUAAGAUGAUUUAAUGAUCUUCUAUGAUUGUGAGUAGUAUAGUAUAAUUGAAAAGAGCUUGGGCUCCUAUGAUGAAUAUUUAAUAGUAACACAGUACUGUUAUUGAAAAAAACACAGUUACAAUAAACUCUUCAUUUAUUCAUUGUGGAGAUUGAAUGGCAAACAGAGAAUAAAAUGAAGCAGAGGAAUCUCAUUGCCAGUAAAAUUGACCCUCUUUAAUGUUAUAUGGCACAGGUGUGUGUACAGCAAGAUCAAGUUACUUGCAGUUUUUAUUGUAAAAUAUAUAGGUUAUGACCAUGAUCAUUGUAGUUAGGUUUUGAUGAUUUUAGAUGCUUUUUUUAUUUUUUUUAAAAUUGUGACACCUUUGAUUUAUGGUAGCUUUGCAGAAGAAAAAUAUAUAUAUAUAAAUUAGGAGGGAUGAGUUAACUAACGAUUGCAAUCAUUACAGUAAUGUUGAUGAGUGAUACAUCAUUUGAAAUUUACUUGUCAGUUACUGAAAUGAUGAAAAAAAACAAUAAACAAUAGCAGUAAUAUUUUUAUGGAAAAUCUUGGUUUUUAUGGAAAUACUCUUGCUGAAAUUCUAAUUUUGACUUUCAACUCUUGGUUUUUAUGGAAAGUAAAAUGACUUGUUUGUUAUAUUCAUACAAUCCACUCUACAUAAUGAUUUCAUUUUAAUAAAUGCUUGAUGAUCUCCACUGAAAAACUACUUCAAUUCUUUUGUUUUAUUUAACUUUUUGGUUGUUGAAAAUAGCCUUAAUUUUCAAAUAAUUGGAGAAAGAGUAAAGAACAUUUAACAAAUUUAUGUGCCAAAAAUAAAGGAGAAAUUGAAGAGAAAGGGUGCUUGCAGAAGUGGGUGCAAAGAUAAAUCAGUCCAUAAGAAUUAUUGUGGUUAUUAAGUUUUUGGCAAUAUAAAAAUUUUUCAGCAAAUAAAAAUUGAUUUUUUCCGAUUUACUAAAAAAUUAAUUAAAAACUUCGGUGAUAGCAUUUUUUAUGGGUGCAUGUACCCUCCCUUUAAAAAAAAUAUAAUAAUUAAUACUUAAUAUAGUAUUAAAUACGAAAAUAUCAAUAUUUGACUACACAAAUUUAUAUCAUUAGGUCCUUAAAAUUUAAAAUUGAAGACACAAAAUGAAAUAUAUAUAAAUUUCAUUCUCACAGGAAAGGAUCCUCUUAUAAUCUUAAAAUAUUUGAGCUUUGAAAGAUUUUUUAAAACAAAUGUACUUUUAUUUUUGUACAAUCAAUAUUUACUUAUUUAUUAUAUUUUUAUUCAUUAACUAUCAAUCAUGUGAGUAUAUUUACUCAGAAAUAUCAUAUCAAGGAAGAAUCUUGAUCCCACGCACACACAAAUAUGUUAAUUUCUAUACGCUUCACUUACCUGUAGAAUCAAUUAUCUAAAAUGCAAGUUUGUGGCCACAAAAAAAGCCAAAGAAAGAAGAUAAUAACAAUUGACUUGUAUAUUAUACUCAUACAAUCCACUCGACAUAAUGAUAUCAUUUUAAUAAGGCAAUGGCUGAUGAUCUCCAUUGAAAAACCAAUUCAAUUUUUUUGCUUCAUUUAACUUUUUGGUUGUUGAAAAUAACCUUAAUUAUCAAAUAAUUGGAGAAAGAGUAAAGAACAUUUAACAAAUUUAUGUGCAAAAAAAAAAAAAAAAAAAGGAGAAGUUGAAGGGAAAGGGUGCUUGCAGAAGUGGGUGUCAAAGAAAAAUCUGUCCAUAAGAAUUAUUGCGGUUAUUUUUUGGCAAUAUAAAAUUUUUAUAGCAAGUAAAAAUUAAUUUUUUCCAAUUUACUAAAAAAUUAACUAAAAACUUCUGCGACAACAUUUUUUAUGGGUGCAUAUACCCGCCCUUUAAAAAAAAAAAUAAUUAAUGCUUAAGUUAGUAUUAAAUACGAAAAUAUCAAUAUUUGACUACUCAAAUUUAUAUCAUUAGGUCCUUAAAAUUUAAAAUUGAAGAUACUAAAGGAAAUAUAUAUAAAUUUCAUUCUCAUGGAAAGGAUUCUCUUAUAAUCUUAUAAUAUUUGAGUUUUGAAAUUUUUUUGAAACAAAUGUAAUUUUAUUUGUGUACAAUCAAUAUUUACUUAUUUAUUAUAUUUUAAUUUAUUAACUAUCAAUCAUGUAAGUAUAUUUAGUCAGAAAAAUUAUAUCGAGAGAGAAUCCUAAUUUCACGCAAACACAAAUACAAGACAAAUAUGUUAAUUUCUAUACUAUUCACUUUCCUGUAGAAUCAAUUAUCUAAAAUGCAAGUUUGUGGCUAUAGAAAACUCGCCAAAGAAAGAAGAUAAUAACAAUUGAGCAUUGAUAGCAAAACUAAUGCAUCAUUUUCUUCUUGACUUGAUGAGAUGGUGCCAUUACAAAACAAUAAUUACCUUAAUUGACGGGCACUGAGUGAUGUGAAUACUACCAGCCAGUUCAUCUCUUCCAGUCUUGCUUAAUCACAAUCACAAACACCACGAGAUUGACAUUUGCAUUAUAUAUAUCUUCAGCAAUCGAAACACCUUGCAUUACCAAAUUAACCGGUAACAAACAAAGCAACCUUUCAUGGAGAGAAACUUUAGUCUCAGUAUGAUCACUGUGUCAUUAACCCACUUCCUGCUUCUUUGCUUGGUUGUUGCAGCAGCAGCAGCAGCAGCAAGCAACAAUAUUACCACAGACCAACAAGCUCUUCUUGCCCUGAAAGAUCAUAUAACUUAUGAUCCAACCAAACUUUUUGCCCAUAAUUGGACCUCGAAUACCUCUGUUUGCACCUGGAUUGGCCUCAGUUGUGAUGUCAAUAGCCAUAGAGUCACAGCCUUAGAUAUUUCUCAAUUCAAUAUACAAGGCACCAUCCCUCCUCAACUUGGAAACCUCUCUUCACUCACAACACUUAAUCUUAGUCGUAAUAAGCUUUCUGGAAGCAUUCCCCCCUCCAUCUACACCAUGCAUACGCUAAAAUUUCUAGACUUCACUGAUAACCUGCUCUCUGGUUCAGUGUCUUCCUCCGUCUUCAACAUGUCUUCAAUAUUAGACAUUCGUUUGACCAAUAACAGACUUUCUGGUGAGCUUCCGAAAAAUAUUUGCAACUAUCUUCCUUACUUGAAAGCCCUUUUUCUGGACAAAAACAAGUUGCAUGGCAAAAUUCCUUCAGCUUUAUCAAAUUGCAAACAACUGCAACAAUUGCAUUUGCAGUUCAAUAAUUUAUCCGGUGCAAUACCGAAAGAAAUCGGCAACUUGACUAUGCUCAAAUGGAUAGAUCUCGGCUACAACAAACUCCACGGUAUGUUUCAUAAUGCUAUCUAAAUAUUUUAAUUUAUCACUUGUUUAUUUUAAUUUCUCACUUGUUAUUUUUCUUGAAUACUUUAGAUAAGAUCUAGUAAGUGAGAUUUUUUGCAUCUAUGUUAAUUUACCAGGUGAGAUACCCCCCGAAAUCGCUAAUCUUCGAAAUCUAGAGGCUUUGGUGCUUGGAAUGAACAACCUAGUGGGUGUGUUACCAGCUACAAUCUUCAACAUGUCAACACUGAAGGUAGUUAUCCUCAUUAAUAACUCUCUCUUCGGAAGUCUCCCAUCAAGAAUAGACCUUUCACUUCCAACUAUUGAGCACCUUAACUUGGCACUUAAUAGAUUUUCUGGAACCAUUCCUAGUUCCAUCACCAAUGCUUCUAAGCUCACCUUUCUAGAGUUGGGAGGAAACACAUUUUCGGGCUUUAUUCCGAACACAAUUGGUAAUUUAAGAAACCUUGAGUGGCUCAGCUUGGGUAAUAACUACUUGACAUCUUCAACCUCAAAAUUGAGCUUUCUUUCCUCUUUGGCAAAUUGCAAGAAAUUAAGAGACAUAGGCUUAACAGGCAAUCCACUCGACGGUAUCCUUCCAAGUUCAAUAGGUAAUCUUUCCAUGUCUUUGAAAACACUUUACAUCGGCAAUUGCAGUAUUAGUGGCAACAUUCCUCAAUCAAUUGGCAAUUUAAGCAACUUAUUGGCCUUAGUAUUAGAAGGCAAUAAAUUGACCGGACCAAUCCCAACUACAUUCGGCCAACUGCAGAAACUCCAAGGCUUAUUUCUUACAUUCAAUAAGUUGGUAGGUUCAUUCCCAGAUGAGCUUUUCCAUCUAGCUAGGCUGGAUAAAUUGGUAUUAUUGGGAAAUAAGCUUUCAGGAUCUAUGCCUUCAUGCUUAAGUAACCUCACUUCUCUGAGAUCUCUCUACUUAGGGUCCAAUAGGUUUACUUCUGUUAUUCCCUCAACUUUCUGGAGCCUAAAAGACAUCUUGUUCUUUGACUUUUCAUCAAAUUUCUUGGUUGGUACUCUUUCUUUCGACAUAGGUAAUUUGAAGGUGCUUCUAGGAAUAAGUUUAUCAGAAAAUAACUUAUCGGGUGAUAUGCCAGCCACAAUUGGAGGGAUAAAAAAACCUUCAAAUUAUGGACCUAGCAUAUAAUAGAUUGGAAGGGCAAAUUCCUGAAUCAUUUGGUGACUUGACAAGUUUGGAGGUUUUGAAUUUGUCAAAUAAUAAAAUCUCUGGGUCUAUUCCAAAAUCCAUGGAGAAACUCUUUUACCUCCGAGAGUUAAAUCUCUCUUUCAAUGAACUAGAAGGUGAGAUUCCUAGUGGAGGAAUUUUUGCCAACUUCACAGCUGAGUCAUUUAUGGGAAAUGAGUUAUUGUGUGGUUUACCAAAUCUUCAAGUCCAACCAUGCAAAGUUAGCAAGCCGAGGACAGAACAUAAAUCAAGGAAAAAGAUACUUCUCAUUGUGAUUGUUUUGCCAUUGAGUAUUGCUCUAACAAUAGCAAUCACUCUACCUCUCAAAUCUAAGCUGAUCGAAUGUGGAAAAAGAAGCACAGUGUUGUCAAAUGAUAGUGUCUUGUCAUCACAAGCAACACUAAGAAGAUUUUCAUACUUAGAACUUUUACAAGCAACAGAUAAUUUUGCUGAAAACAACGUAAUUGGCAUAGGAGGUUUUGGUUCUGUUUACGGUGGAAGACUUGAAGAUGGGAUGAAGAUUGCAAUAAAAGUGUUUCACCAGCAAUGUGCAAGCGCAUUGAAGAGUUUUGAGGCUGAAUGUGAAGUGUUAAAAAAUAUUCGCCAUCGAAACCUUAUUAAAGUUAUCAGCAGUUAUUCAAACAAUGACUUCAAAGCAUUAGUUCUAGAAUACAUGUCCAACGGGAGCUUAGGGGACUGGCUGCAUUCUAGCAAUUAUGUGCUGAAUAUAUUUCAGAGGUUGAACAUAAUGAUUGAUGUUGCAUCAGCUUUAGAACAUCUCCACUUCGAUCAUUCGACUCCUAUUAUUCAUUGUGACUUAAAGCCUAGUAAUGUAUUGUUGGACGGAAAUAUGGUUGCUCAUUUGAGUGAUUUUGGCAUAGCAAAGCUUUUAAGUGGAGAGGAUGAGUCUAUGAUGCGAACAAAAACCCUUGCCACUAUAGGUUAUAUGGCACCAGGUUUGCUUCAAACAACUUUUUUUUUUUAGUUCAUUUUAAAUUUUGCAACUUAUUGAUUUUUACGAUCCUCACAUCAAAAUGUUAUUGAUUAUUUAUCUAAUUUUGAAAUUAAUUUGAUUCAUAGAGUACGGCAUAGAAGGAGAAGUAUCUACAAAAAGUGAUGUUUACAGCUAUGGGAUUAUGUUGAUGGAAACUUUUACCAAGAAAAAACCCACAGAUGAAAUUUUUGUUGGAGAAUUGAGCUUGAAGCGUUGGGUUAAUGACUUGCUUCCUACUUCAUUAGUGGAAGUUGUGGACAAAACUCUGCUAAGUGGAGAGGAAAAACAUUCUGCAGCAAAGGAGCAAUGUCUGUUGUCUAUCUUUAGUUUGGCUCUGGAGUGUACAAUGGAAUCACCGGAAAAGAGGAUUAAUGCAAAAGAUAUUGUUACAAGAUUACUCAAGAUAAGAGACACAUUGAGUAAAAGGAUAGGAAAUUUAAGUUAAUUUCGUUUGCUUUCAUUGAUAGUUAAUUCGAAUUCAUGUAAUAAGUCUAAGAAUCUUAUAUCUUCAAAUUCGCAUUUUAAAAUGCACAAAUGUUUGUGUAUACAUAAUUAGUAAUCGAUUCUCAAGCUUUGGACAUUUAAAAGCACUGCUAAAAGACAAAAUUUUAAUUCACUAUUUUUUUGUCUUUUAAUUUUCUUUAAGUUUUAAUGAUUCCGCAUUUUAAAAUCCUGUGGAACGUGCAUGUAAAAUUCUUUUAUCUUUUAGAGGAAAAUGGGCAAGAGAAGAAGAUUUGGCAAAGGAAUUGCAACCGCAUUUGGAGCUAGUUUUAAUUUUGUCUUUUAAUUCUUUUACACUUGGCUUUUGUUAUUGAUGUUAACUUCGAUGUGUGUGCGUGUGCGACUGAAUUCAACUUACAUGCUAUUGAUGCAGCCACCAAAAAGGGGUGGUCCAUCAUCAAUCAACAAGGUUUAUUAUUAUUAAUUUCCAUAUUGAUUUUCUUAAUUAUAAAUAAUACUAAUGCUAUUUCAUAGUUAUAAAUAUAUUAGAAUUAAUCGAAAUCAUUUUUUAGUGUGGCAUGGCUAAAACUACCUUUUUUUUAUUAUAAGUAAUUACUACUUUCACAUUAAGAAAAAUACUCCUAUUUUUAAGGAAAAGUCAAGUACCUGUAGUUGUGAAGACUCGAGCUCACUCCCUUAUGAUAAAUCUUCAUAUUAAUUACGUAAAUAUCCUCUAAAAUUUUAAAUUAGCUAUUCAAAAUUUGAUGUUAUACGGGUAUUUCAUUUAUUUGAGUAGGGGUUAGGGGUCAAUUGGAUACAAAUUCAAAAUUAUCCUUACUUGAGAAGGUGAUAAAAAUUGGGGAUUUAGUUUGGAUGUCAUUAGCUACAAAUAUUAAACUCAUACAUUUAAUUCAAAAUUAGAGGGCUGAUAUAUGCGCAUCAUCGUCCACGUUAUAGUGACACUGCGUCACCAUUCCACAACCUCUCCAAUGAAAAAUUGACAUGCUUCUUGUGCGCAUCUAAUCAGAAUCUUGAAAAUUAAUCACAAAAUUGUACUUUUAUUAUAAAAAGAAUAAAGAAACUCCAAGAAAAAAAAAAGACUUACAUAAAUAGAUUGAAAAAUCUAGAUUUCAAGUUGUCUAUAUUAGCUUGAUAUUUUUAUUAAUAGUCAUCCUCCCAAAAAAAUUCCAUCAAAAUAUAUUUUAAUUUUAUGUUAAUUCAUAAACUUGAAAAAAUCAUUUUAGAAUUAAUUAAAACAUAAUUUAUUGUUGCUCAAAAAAGGUAGAACUUAGUUAUCAGAAAAAAGUGUCUAAAAUAUAUGUUAAAAAAAAAUCAUGGUUGGUUGGACUGAUUGAAUUUUUUUUUCUUUUUUAAGAAUUAAGACAAUUGGAUGGAUUGAGUAAUAAUAAUACAUAUUUAUUUGGCAAAUGGCAGGGAGGCUUUCGUCUGAUGCAGAUUGAUUAGAGAGAAAAUAUAACAAUUUUAAGCUCGUCAGAUUCGAAGCUGCUUACCUGUCGUGUGGGGAUCACUUCCGUGUCUUAUUUUUCUAGAAAAAUCUGGACCAUUGGAUUUACCAUUAGUCAAUAGAGAAAUGUUGAUCUUGAUUCUUGAUCAAGAUCGAAGUUUGAUUCUAACUAACACGAUAUCAGAUUGCGAAGCAAGCAAAUUGAAAGUCACUUGUUCUAUGGAAGAAACACAAGUUCUAAUAAAACAUUCUCAUAGUAAAGUGAAUUACCAUCCAACGAUCCAACUCAUGUUUUCAAAUUGUAAAUUGCAAAUCGUGUGUUUGCUCCAUUACAGAGUUUCUUCAAUCUGAAAUAGCGAAUCAUUUGUGUUCUAGAUUAAUCGUGGGUCUAUAUCCAAAUCUAAAAAUUGACUAACUUGAUUUCUAUUAAAUUCUUAAUCCUAACAAGAAAAAUUGAAGAUUAAAAACGACUAAUUUGGUACCAUACCACUAUUGUAACAUAGGUAGAUCCUCUAUUAAUUGGAGUAAAGAUUGAAUUAUCUCAUUUAUUAAGGUUUAUCAAAAUCUUGUGUCAAAAUCUAUUAAUGAUAUAGGUUCAAGGAUGAAAAAGUCACUGCAUUACUUUUGAGUUCCCAAAUAGAUGAAUGGAUGUUAUUUUUAGAUUCCGGAGAGUCGAAAAUAUUAAGAUAGGUGCUAAAUCGAAUUAAGUUGUAGAUACGAUAGAAAUGGAUUUGGAGAGAUUGGAAUCCUAGGUAAUCCGGUGCACGUUGUCGUGUUAAAUUCUCGUUGACUUCACGUUGACUGAAGCAUUAUUGGAAGAAACAAGUUUAUUGAUGUGAGGCCUUUGAGGUUGUAAGUGUUAAAUAUGAGAAGAAUACCCACACACCCAUUAUCCUAUUACUCUUAUAUCACAUGAAGAGAAUUCAACAUUUGAUUCACACGGAAAAAAUUUGUGAGGAUUGUGAGGGUUGAUGGAAUAUAAUUUAGAUACAAAGUGUUUUACCAGUGCGAUGCUUCGCAAGUGUUCUUGAAUCAAUAUAAACUCACGUUAUUUUCAUAGUGAUUGUUUCAUGUGCACGUGGAUAUAAUCACAUGUCGAGAUUUUUUUCCUUAAAUUAUGGUCUUAUUUAGUAUUAAGGUGUUAUAUCUUUUAAGGUACAAUUAUUGUUGGAAAAAAGUUGCAUCUAUCAAAUAAAAUUAGUACUAUGUGCUAAAUAUAAUUGUUAAAUAAUAAUUUUGACAAAAUUAGUGAAGUUAUAUAGAUUUUUUUUCAUCAUACAAGCAUAAAAUCAAAUCAACUUAACUUCUAAGUUAUAUAUCGGCUACUUAGGGAUGGCAAUGGAUUGGAUCUGACCCAAGAUCCACGUGAUCCAAAUCUAAUCGGAUCGGAUUUGGGUCAGUUUAAAAUGAAUUUGGAUCGGAUUUGGAUAUUGAUGUGCGGAUCUAAGACGGAUCUGGAGCAGGUCUGGAUCUAUCUUAGUAUCUAAAUCCAUAUCCAUAUCCACCCAUCUUUUAAUUUAAUUUUAUUUUAAAAGUUUCUUAACAAUUGUGGAAUUAUAAUGAUAAUGAAUUUUAUUCAUAGCAUAUUAGUGGUAUUUACCAUGCAUUUAAACUCUUUAAAAUUAAAGGUUAGUUUUGUAAAUUUAAAGACUAGCCAGGCCCAAAGCAUGUACAUGCAAUAUUCAAAUUGCAAGCCAAGUAAUACAACCUGGCAAUUUAUUUUAUUAUAUUGGCCAAAUAAUUUUUAAGGAAUAUAGGUAUUCAUAUAUUUUGUCAAAUAUGGUCAUAAUAAAAAUAAUAAAGGACUGAAUAUAAAUCAUAUUUUAUUUAUAUGUCAUUAUCUAAUAUUAUAAGAAUGAGGGUGGGUGUGUUGUAGAUAUUAGAAUGAUGAAUGAGACAAUAGAAUAUUAGAUUGAUCUUACUCCUGCAAUUACUUUUAAAGGAUAUUUUAUUAUCUUAUUUGUUGUUUUGGUGUAAAAGUAUAAGUUACAAUAUUUAUUAUAUUUUUGAGAAAAAUUAUAUAAUUUAUUUGUUAUCAAUACAUUUUAACCUUCAAUUUUCAUUCUAAAAAAUUAUUACUUUUUAAUUGAUGAGUUUUAGAAUUCAUGACAGAUCUAGAGCAGAUUUGGAUUUUAAUUUUUUUUUUCAGAUUUGGAGCAGAUAUAAAUAUUUAUUUCUUUUAUGGAUAUGGAUAUGGAGCGAAAAAUAUAGAUUCAUGAUGGAUCUGGAGCAGAUACGGAUCUUGAUUUUUAUUAUGGAUUUGGAUCUGGAGCAGAGUAGAUCCAACCCAUAUCUGCCCCAUUGCCAUCCCUACGGCUACUGUUAAUCAUAUGUUUUAGUUCUGUAACUUUUAAGUUAUAGUUACCCAAUCUCAAUUCUAAACCAGACCUAUAAAGAUCAAAGAUUUCCUCAUUAAAUUAUAUGUCUUGUGAUUGCUUAUUUAAUUUAUAUUUUUUUUUAUUUAUCUUUAUUAAUUAUAAUCAUCUUUUUAUAAAUUAAAAUUGAAGGAAGUUGAUUGAUGUUGUUGACACACGCACACACGCACACACUCACAAAGAUAUAUUGGAAGUGCUUACGUCGACUCGAAGUUGUUGGGAAUUAAUGCAUGUAUUGAUUUAUUGGGAGUGUUUAAAUGAUUUUUUGAUUUACUUGAUUUAUUGAUUGAAUAUUGUUUGAUUGCUUCAUAUCCAUUCUAGAAAGUUUAUUUCUUUGUGAAAUUUCAACGAAAUAUGUUUUUUUUUUUAAAUAAGGGUGUUCUAAAUAAUUUAAAAAUAUAUAUGGACUAAUUAGAAUUAAUUAUUAGGUAAUUAACUCAAUCUGUAUAGGGUGAAACAACAUUUAUCCUAAUUAUAUCAUGAUAAAUACUUUUCCUAUUAGAAUUAGGAAAUCAUAGGUUUAUUGAAUUGUUUUUUUUUUUCCUUUGCGGAAACGGAUUAGAGAAUUAGAAAACAAUCAUGUUGAUGUCAAAAUCUGAUCUAGUCGGUUAGCGACUUAAUAUCAUAUUACUGCACCAACAUUAAAUUUAUUGGGUGGAGAAUCGACUGGUCAAUUGUCAAGAUGUCCUGCAAUCACUAGCGAUUAACCUACGAAUACCUAAAAUCACAGAAGACGGUAAGAGGCACCGGAAGUUUUUUCGGCGUGAACCUUCCGACGCUCAAGUCAGUUUAUAGGUUUACCAUAAUAAAAAUAAAUAAUUUCUAUUUAAAAAAAAAUAGAGUUCAAAAGCUCAAAAAUAAAACCCAAUCCCAAUAUGAAAAUGAAUUUUUUUUUUUUUUUUUCUAGCUUGGCCGAAUCCUUCUGCCUCCUAAAGAAACAUAACAGAGAAGCAGGUAGCCAUGUUCCCUAGGUAACGCCCCACUCCCCUCUUUUAUUCCUCCCCCUCUCUUCCGUUUCCUUCUUUUGCUCACUAUCCUUCAUAAUUUUUUAUGCUUGUCUUCCCAAAAUAGCCUUUUAAUACACAAGUAAAUGUCUAGGCUUUGGUGAGGAUAGUUUGGUCAUUGCAUUUUACAAGUAAGAUGAGUGGUGGAGAAAAAUGAGGAGUGCACAUAUAACGCUUCAGCAAAUCCCACCAGCAAUUCCAUUUUCUUAAUUAAUUAAUCUCUUCAGCAAAUCCCACCAACUCUUCAGCAAAUCCUAAUGAUAUUAUUAUCAGGUUUAAAACAGUACACAAAUAGUGAAAAGCUAACUAGUCUGUAGAGUAAUUUGCUAAUUGCUAUCUCCUCUCUCCGCGCGCUGAAUAAUUUGUUGCAUGCAAACUUUUUAUUUUAUGCAAAUCGUACGUACUGUAACAUUGGAAUUGAUGUAAAAGCAAAAAUACAAGAAUAUUUAUGUCAAUAAAAAUAGUUUUUUUGGCCUUUUUAAAUAAACACAACGCGAUAUUGCUCUGCUCUACAUUUUUGCUAUCUCUUUAUUCUUCUUUUUUUUUUUGGGCUUCUUAAAGCCUCAAACUUUGAUAACCAAAACUUCAUCGACCUAUGAAAAAAUCUGCAGAUUAGUUUUUAUUAUCGGAAUAAUCAUUUGAGAAUACUAAAACAAAAUAUAAAUAAGAAAAUAGGAGGUUAAAUUAGAGGGGGGAAAAAAGGUAUGUUGGAUAGAUUACUAUAGUUUAAGAAAAAAAAAUCCAAUUGGGAAUUUUUUUCUUUAAUUUUUGUUUUACUUGAUUGAGAUUUCUCCUUGGUCCUUACAGUUUUAAGUUUGGAUGCCGUAGGGUUAGUAAUUUAGUACUUCCUUUGCAAGCUGAGUGCAAGAAUGAAAAUCUUUAAAGAAAUAAAAAAAAAAAAAAAAAGCAUACCAAUAGGUAAUUAUAAAUAACCAUACAUAAACAUAAACAAAAUGAGGUAAUUAUUAAUAUUAUUUUUUGUUUUAUUUCUUACUUGUCUAUUUUAUUUGCUGCUUGAUAACCCGUAAAUACUAAUCUAGUACUGCUAAUUUCAGACACAAAAUUUUUAACUCUAGGCUGCAGUUUUACUCAAAAUGAUGACCACUGGCUUCGCACCAUUUAACCGGCAUACAUUUCUACAAAUUGAACAAGGCUAUUGAUUUUCAUUAUUAUUUUUUAUUUUUUUAUAAAUUACUAUUUUAAUUUUCACUUUUCAUUGGGUUGUUUAACGGAUUAGUGAAGUUGGUGGUCGUGAUGCACUCACAAGGUACAAUUUUAUUUUAUAAUUUCAAAUUUGUAUUUUAAAAUGCAGGUACAUUAUGUAUACAUAAUUAUUGAUUUUCGUAUGUGGGUGUUUUGAAAUAUUGCUAAAAGACCAAACUUUAAUAAACUAUUUUUCAUCUUUUUUUUUUCCUAAAGUUUAAGUGAUAUCCGCAUUUUAAAUUCAUGUGGAACAAAAGCUAAUGUAUGCACAAAAUCCUUUUAUUUUUUCCGAGAAAAAUGGUUAAGAGAAGAAGAUUUUUCUCUUGAAAAAGAAAAACUAAUACGAUGCAAGCAUAGGAAAGAGGUCAGUGUUUUGGAUUAGAAUUUAGUAUUGAGCUGAAUUUUAUACUAAACUCUUUUAUAGUACUGCGAUUAAUAAACUCAUGAUUUGCUUUUGCUUUUACCUCAAGUGAAAGAAAGAGGAAACCUUUUGUUUUUUGUUUGAUUCUUGACUAUAGGUGUUACCUAUAUAGAGAGUUGAGGUAGCUGCCUUAAGUGAUGGUGAUAAAAAGAUUAAGCAGCGCACACAAUCUUACUGUCGUCCAGACCAUCCAGCUGUGAUGACUCUUGUUUUUUGGUUACAUUAGCUUUAGUGGAACGGAGGGCCAAUUUAACAAAGACUAGAUUUGGUGGCUUACUAUAAUGCUUAUUCUCAGGGAAUCUAAUGUUAUAAGAUGAUUUAAUGAUCUUCUAUGAUUGUGAGUAGUAUAGUAUAAUUGAAAAGAGCUUGGGCUCCUAUGAUGAAUAUUUAAUAGUAACACAGUACUGUUAUUGAAAAAAACACAGUUACAAUAAACUCUUCAUUUAUUCAUUGUGGAGAUUGAAUGGCAAACAGAGAAUAAAAUGAAGCAGAGGAAUCUCAUUGCCAGUAAAAUUGACCCUCUUUAAUGUUAUAUGGCACAGGUGUGUGUACAGCAAGAUCAAGUUACUUGCAGUUUUUAUUGUAAAAUAUAUAGGUUAUGACCAUGAUCAUUGUAGUUAGGUUUUGAUGAUUUUAGAUGCUUUUUUUAUUUUUUUUAAAAUUGUGACACCUUUGAUUUAUGGUAGUUUUGCAGAAGAAAAAAAUAUAUAUAAAAAUUAGGAGGGAUGAGUUAACUAACGAUUGCAAUCAUUACAGUAAUGUUGAUGAGUGAUACAUCAUUUGAAAUUUACUUGUCAGUUGCUGAAAUGAUGAAAAAAAACAGUAAACAAUAGCAGUAAUAUUUUUUGGCAAUAUAAAAAAUUAUUGCGGUUAUUUUUUGGCAAUAUAAAAAAAUUUUAGCAAAUAAAAAUUAAUUUUUUUCCGAUUAACUAAAAAAUUAAUUAAAAACUUCUGCGAUGGCAUUUUUUAUGGGUGCAUAUACCCUCCCUUUAAAAGAAAAAAUAAUAAUUAAUACUUAAUAUAGUAUUAAAUACGAAAAUAUCAAUAUUUGACUACACAAAUUUAAUAGUCUUGUGUAAUUAGUGAGUGAGAGAUUGGGUGUAUUGGAGUUUUGGGUAGUGAGCCAAAAUAUUACAAUACUUGUAAUCUUUAUUUCACUAGUGAAAUAUUUUCCUUCUGUUUUUGCCCGUGGACGUAGGCUAAAAGCCGAACCACGUAAUUUCUGGUGUCCUCUAUUGUACUUGUUCUUUAUUUGCUUCCAAUUUUAUUUUAACUGCGCGUCUGCUUCACCCAUCAAUUUCCUAACAAAUCUUGAUCCCAUGCACACGCAAAUAUGUUAAUUUCUAUACGCUUCACUUACCUGUAGAAUCAAUUAUCUAAAAUGCAAGUUUGUGGCCACAAAAAAAGCCAAAGAAAGAAGAUAAUAACAAUUGACUUGUAUAUUAUACUCAUACAAUCCACUCGACAUAAUGAUAUCAUUUUAAUAAGGCAAUGGCUGAUGAUCUCCAUUGAAAAACUAAUUCAAUUUUUUUGCUUCAUUUAACUUUUUGGUUGUUGAAAAUAACCUUAAUUAUCAAAUAAUUGGAGAAAGAGUAAAGAACAUUUAACAAAUUUAUGUGCAAAAAAAAAAAAAAAGAAGUUGAAGAGAAAGGGUGCUUGCAGAAGUGGGUGUCAAAGAAACAUCGGUCCAUAAGAAUUAUUGCGGUUAUUUUUUGGCAAUAUAAAAUAUUUAUAGCAAGUAAAAAUUAAAUUUUUUCCGAUUUACUAAAAAAUUAACUAAAAACUUCUGCCACAACAUUUUUUAUGGGUACAUAUACCCUCCCUUUAAAAAAAAAAUAAUAAUUAAUGCUUAAUAUAGUAUUAAAUACCAAAAUAUCAAUAUUUGGCUACUCAAAUUUAUAUCAUUAGGUCCUUAAAAUUAAAAAUUGAUGAUACAAAAGGAAAUAUAUAUAAAUUUCAUUCUCAUGGAAAGGAUUCUCUUAUAAUCUUAUAAUAUUUGAGUUUUGAAAUUUUUUGAAGCAAAUGUAAUUUUAUUUGUGUACAAUCAAUAUUUACUUAUUUAUUAUAUUUUAAUUUGUUAACUAUCAAUCAUUUAAGUAUAUUUAGUCAGAAAAAUUAUAUCAAGAGAGAAUCCUAAUUUCACGCAAACACAAAUACAAGAUAAAUAUGUCAAUUUCUAUACUAUCCACUUUCCUGUAGAAUCAAUUAUCUAAAAUGCAAGUUUGUGGCUACCGAAAACUCGCCAAAGAAAGAAGAUAAUAACAAUUGAGCAUUGAUAGCAAAACUAAUGCAUCAUUUUCUUCUUGACUUGAUGAGAUGGUGCCAUUACAAAAAAAAAAGUACCUUAAUUGACGGGCACUGAGUGAUGUGAAUACUACCAGCCAGUUCAUCUCUUCCAGUCUUGCUUAAUCACAAUCACAAACACCACGAGAUUGACAUUUGCAUUAUAUAUAUCUUCAGCAAUCGAAACACCUUGCAUUACCAAAUUAACCGGUAACAAACAAAGCAAUCUUUCAUGGAGAGAAACUUUAGUCUCAGUAUGAUCACUUUGUCAUUAACCCACUACCUGCUUCUUUGCUUGGUUGUUGCAGCAGCAGCAGCCGCAAGCAACAAUAUUACCACAGACCAACAAGCUCUUCUUGCCCUGAAAGAUCAUAUAACUUAUGAUCCAACCAACCUUUUUGCCCAUAAUUGGACCUCGAAUACCUCUGUUUGUACCUGGAUUGGCAUCACUUGUGAUGUCAAUAGCCAUAGAGUCACAGCCUUAGAUAUUUCUCAAUUCAAUCUACAAGGCACCAUCCCUCCUCAACUUGGAAACCUUUCUUCACUUACAACGCUUAAUCUUAGUCAUAACAAGCUUUCUGGAGACGUUCCAUCCUCCAUCUACACCAUGCAUUCGCUAAAAUUUCUUGACUUCACUGAUAACCAGCUCUCUGGUUCAGUGUCUUCCUUCGUCUUCAACAUGUCUUCAAUAUUAGAAAUUCUUUUGACCAAUAACAGAUUUUCUGGUGAGCUUCCGAAAAAUAUUUGCAACUAUCUUCCUUAUUUGAAAGCCCUUUUCUUAAACAAAAACAUGUUUCAUGGCAAAAUUCCUUCUGCUUUAUCAAAGUGCAAACAACUGCAAAAAUUAAAUUUGCAGUUCAAUAAUUUAUCCGGUGCAAUACCGAAAGAAAUCGGCAACUUGACUAUGCUCAAAGGCAUAUAUCUCGAAUACAACAAACUCCACGGUAUGUUCAUAAUACUAUGUAAAUGUUUUAAUUUCUCAAUUGUUAUUUUCUUGAAUACUUUAGACAAGAUCUUGUAAGGGAGAUAUUUUUGGAUCUGUGUUAAUUUGCCAGGUGAGAUACCCCACGAAAUCGCUAAUCUUCGAAAUCUAGAGGAUUUAUUGCUUGGAAUGAACAACCUAGUUGGUGUGUUACCAGCUCCAAUCUUCAACAUGUCAACACUGAAAUUAUUUGACCUCAUAAAUAACUCUCUCUCCGGAAGUCUUCCAUCAAGAAUAGACCUUUCACUUCCAACUGUUGAGUUUUUUGGCUUGGCACUUAAUAGAUUUUCUGGAACCAUUCCUAGUUCCAUCACCAAUGCUUCUAAGCUCACCGUUCUAGCGUUGGGAGAGAACACAUUUUCGGGCUUCAUUCCAAACACAAUUGGUAAUUUAAGAAACCUUGAGUGGCUCAGCUUGGAGAAUAAUUACUUGAAAUCUUCAACCUCAAAAUUGAGCUUUCUUUCCUCUUUGGCAAAUUGCAAGAAAUUAAGAUUCUUAAACUUAGCAGGCAAUCCACUUGACGGCUUCCUUCCAAGUUCAAUAGGUAAUCUUUCUGUGUCUUUGGAAACACUUUUCAUCGGCAAUUGCAGUAUUAGUGGCAACAUUCCUCAAGCAAUUAGCAAUUUAAGCAACUUGUUGACCUUAGUAUUAGAAGGCAAUAAAUUGACUGGACCAAUUCCAAUUACAUUUGGCCGACUACAGAAACUCCAAGGCUUAGAUCUUGCAUUCAAUAAGUUGGUAGGUUCAUUCCCAGAUGAGCUUUGCCAUCUAGCAAGGCUGGAUCAAUUGGUCUUAUUUGGCAAUAAGCUUUCAGGAUCUAUACCUUCAUGCCUAAGUAAUCUCACUUCUCUAAGAUCUCUCUACUUAGGGUCCAAUAGGUUAACUUCUGUUAUUCCCUCAACUUUCUGGAGCCUAAAAUACAUCUUGUUCUUUGACUUUUCAUCAAAUUUCUUGGUUGGUACUCUUUCUUUCGACAUAGGUAAUUUGAAGGUGCUUCUAGGAAUAAAUUUAUCAGAAAAUAACUUAUCGGGUGAUAUGCCAGCCACAAUUGGAGGACUGAAAGAUCUUCAAUUUAUGGACCUAGCAUUUAAUAGAUUGGAAGGCCCAAUUCCUGAAUCAUUUGGUGACUUGACAAGUUUGGAGGUUUUGAAUUUGUCAAAAAAUAAAAUCUCUGGGUCUAUUCCAACAUCCAUGGAGAAACUCAUUUACCUUCGAGAGUUAAAUCUCUCUUUCAAUAAACUUGAAGGUGAGAUUCCUAGUGGAGGAAUUUUUACCAACUUCACAGCUGAGUCAUUUAUGGGAAAUGAGUUAUUGUGUGGUUUACCAAAUCUUCAAGUCCAACCAUGCAAACUUAGCAAGCCUAGGACAGAACAUAAAUCAAGGAAAAAGAUACUUCUCAUUGUGAUUGUUUUGCCAUUGAGUAUUGCUCUAACGAUAGCAAUCACUCUAGCUCUCAAAUCUAAGCUGAUCGAAUGUAGAAAAAGAGGCACAGAGUUAUCAAAUGAUAGUAUCUUGUCAUCAGAAGCAACACUAAGAAGAUUUUUAUACUUAGAACUUUUACAAGCAACAGAUAAUUUUGCUGAAAACAACAUAAUUGGCAGAGGAGGUUUUGGUUCCGUUUAUGGAGCAAGACUUGAAGAUGGGAUGAAGAUUGCAAUAAAAGUGUUUCACCAGCAAUGUGCAAGCGCAUUGAAGAGUUUUGAGGCUGAAUGUGAAGUGUUAAAAAAUAUUCACCAUCGAAACCUUAUCAAAGUUAUCAGCAGUUGCUCGAACGAUGACUUCAAAGCAUUAGUCCUAGAAUACAUGUCCAACGGGAGCUUGGAGGAUUGGCUGCAUUCUAGCAAUUAUGUGCUGAAUAUAUUUCAGAGGUUGAACAUAAUGAUUGACGUUGCAUCAGCUUUAGAAUAUCUCCACUUCGAUCAUUCAACUGCUAUUAUUCAUUGUGACUUAAAGCCUAGUAAUGUAUUGUUGGACGAAAAUAUGGUUGCUCAUUUGAGUGAUUUUGGCAUAGCAAAGCUUUUAAGUGGAGAGGAUGAGUCUACGAUACGAACAAAAACCCUUGCCACUCUAGGUUAUAUGGCACCAGGUUUGCUUCAAACAACUUUCGUUUUUAGUUCAUUUUAAAUUUUCCAACUUAUUGAUUUUUACAAUCCUCACAUCAAAAUGUUAUUGAUUAUUUAUCUAAUUGUGAAAUUAAUUUGAUUCAUAGAGUAUGGCAUAGGAGGAGAAGUAUCUACAAAAAGUGAUGUUUAUAGCUAUGGGAUUAUGUUGAUGGAAACUUUUACCAAGAAAAAACCCACAGAUGAAAUUUUUGUUGGAGAAUUGAGCUUAAAGCGUUGGGUUAAUGACUUGCUUCCUAAUUCAUUAGUGGAAGUUGUGGACAAAACUCUGCUAAGUGGAGAGGAAAAACAUUCUGCAGCAAAGGAGCAAUGUCUGUUGUCUAUCUUUAGUUUGGCUCUGGAGUGUACAAUGGAAUCACCGGAAAAGAGGAUUAAUGCAAAAGAUAUUGUUACCGGAUUACUCAAGAUAAGAGACACAUUGAGUAAAAGGAUAGGAAAUUUAAGUUAAUUUCGUUUGCUUUCAUUGAUAGUUAAUUCGAAUUCAUGUAAUAAGUGUAAGAACCUUAUAUCUUUUACUUUGAUUUUUUUUUUCUUGAGAAAACUGUUGUAGUCAUCUUGUUUCCAUGGGCGGAGUUGAUUUAGUUCUUCCAAGAAAUGCUACUGAUGACAUUUGUUUUAUACUUUCUCUUUUUUUUUGCAUGUGUUUAGGUAGAAUAGUGGUUUGGUUGCACUCUAAGAAGUCUAACUACACUAAAAGAAUAUGAUUUAAUUUAUUAAACAAAACUUCAAGUUCAAGAAAAGUAUCUCAUUGCCCCCAAUGCUUUGGACACCUAUUGGUAGGUUUGUACGUGUCCUCAACUUUUUUUUGGAGCACAAAAUUCGAGUCCCAUAAAGGCUCAAACAUUCCUUUCCUUCAUCCCGAGGGCGCCUUCUGUCCUCUGUUUUCUGUUUCCACACACAAAUAGCAAAAAGAAAUUAGAAUGACAACUGGGACAUAUAUAAGAGUGAAAUAAUUAAAAAAAUUAUGCUUUUUUGUCUGUCGUGUUAAAAUCGUAAGUACCGAAGUACUGUGAAAGAGAUUAAUUUACAGAAACUGAAGCCAAGGGUUCAAAAAAAACUAUUGAUGUAGGUAGAAUGCAAUGUCAUAUUCAUACAGAGAUGAAGUAUAUUAUUUACGGCUGGUAAGGACUAAGAAUUGAUGUAGCUAGAAUGCAAAGAUGAUGAGGUAUGUUGUACACUAUUGUUUUUAUUCUACAAUCAAUCUUGACCCCUGAUGCUUGGCUCUCAAUCUUGUCCAUUGAUCUUCUCUGAUUUUGGAGACUUGAAGACCUUUCAGUAUCAUGCCUUGUUGUUGGUGUCUUCCGUGCUGUAGAAUUCAUAUACAAGUUUUCCCGCCGACUUGCCAAGUAUUUGUUCAUUGAUGCAUUUUAUCAAACAGUUGGCCUGCUCAGAGCAAACAGCUCCUGUUUUAACUCCCCCUCCGUAGCUCAACUAUCUGGGAAGACAAUUAAUUGAGCUUGUUUCACAAUUAUAUGAAUCUGAAAGUUCAAUUAUAUCCUCUAAUGGAGAGAACUCAUUGCCUCAGUAUGAUCACUGUGUCAUCAACCCACUCCCCGCUUCUUUGCUUGGUUGUUGCAGCAAGCAACAAUUUUACCACAGAUCAACAAUAGUUUGUCCAUUUGUUCCAGUGAGGUCGUCAUUAAAAAUUAAUUUUCAUAUUGAUUUUCUUAAUUAUAAAUAAUACUAAUGAUAUUUCAUAGUUAUAAAUAUAUUAGAAUUAAUCGAAAUCAUUUUUUAGUGCGGCAUGGCUAAAACUACCUUUUUUUUUUUUAAGUAAUUACUACUUCAAGGAAAAUACUCCUAUUUUCAAGGAAAAGUCAAGUACCCGUAGUUGUGAAGACUCGAGCUCACCCUCUUAUGAUAAAUCUUCUUAUCAAUUACAUAAAUAUCCUCUAAAUUUUUAGUUAACUAUUCAAAAUUCGAUGUUAUACGGGUAUUUCAUUUAUUUGAGUAGGGGUUCGGGGUCAAUUGGAUACAAAUUCAAAAUUAUCCUUACUUGAGAAGGUGAUAAAAAUUGGGGAUUUAGUUUGGAUGCAUUAGCUACAAAUAUUAAACUCAUACAUCUAAUUCAAAAUUAGAGGGCUGAUAUAUGUGCAUCCUCGUGCACAUUAUAGUGACACGUGUCACCAUCCUACAACCUAUCCAAUGAAAAAUUGACAUGCAUCUUGUGCGCUUCUGAUCAAAAUCCUGAAAAUUAAUCACAAAGUUAUACUUUUAUUAUAAAAAGAAUAAAGAAACUCCAAAAAAAAAAAAAGACUUACAUAUAUAAAUAGUUUGAAUAAUCUAGAUUCCAAGUUGUCUAUAUUAGCUUGAUCUUUUUAUAAAUAGUCAUCUUCGAAAAAAAAUUCCACCAACAUAUAUUUUAAUUUUAUGUUAAUUAAUAAAUAGAAAAAAAUCAUUUUAGAAUUAAUUAAAACAUUAUUUAUUGUUGCCAAAAAAAGGAAGAAUUUAGUGAUAAGAAAAAAGUGUCUCAAAUAUACGUUAAAAAAAUUAAUCAUGGUGGGUUCGAUUGAUUGAAUUUUUUUUUUUAAUCUUUUUCUUUUUUAAGAAUUAAGACAAUUGGAUUGAUUGAGUAAUAAUAAAAUAUAUUUAUUUGGCAAAUGGCAGGUAGGCUUUCUUCUGAUGCAGAUUGAUUAUAGAGAAUAUACAACAAUUUUAAGCUCGUCAGAUUCGGAACCUGCUUAUCUGUCGUGUGGGGAUCACUUCCGUGUCUUAUUUUUCUAGAAAAAUCUGGACCAUUAGGCAGUAGAGAAAUGUUGAUCUUGAUUCCUGAUCAGGAUCGAAGUUUGAUUCUAUCUAACAUGAUAUCAGAUUGCGAAGCAGGCUAGUAUGUAAAUUUCUUUUAUCUUUUAGAGGAAAAUGGGCAAGAGAAGAAGAUUUGGCAAAGGAAUUGCAACCGCAUUUCUAGUAUGUUCUGAUCAGAGAAGCGAAAUCCAUCACGGUCUUUUAUCUUUACCCAUGUGGAGAAAUCAAGGGAUUUCGAAUCAGAGAAGCGAUGGGAUUUAGUUCUGAUCUGGGAUUUUGGAGACUUAGGGAGUGUGCGGUCUUGGACCAACAUUGAUGACGAUGACGCUUCAAAUUCAAUGACUUGAAAGCAGAAAACAAAGACAGACAAAAACAGACAUGCACUACAGCAAGAAAGAUUGACUGAAUCUUGGGUUACUGUGUCUGUGGUCUCAAAUGAAACACAAGUGGGAAGCCUUGCUGCAGUUUCAGCUUUGGUUUGUGUUUGAAGUUUUGAAUGUAAAAAGAGAACCGAGCAUGUGGUUGCCGACAAGAAUGGCCUGAGGUUUCUUAAGCUUCAUUGUAAUGUUACAACUGCUACUAAUUUGGUGGGGUGGGAGGUCGCUGGGUCGCUGUCAGUCCAUUUGCUUCUUUUCUUUCUUUUUGUUAUUUGUUGAGUUUUUUCCAUUUCUACUUUUCUUAAUAUAUAAAUUAUCAUUUUUUUAACAUGCAAAAUAUAUAGAACAUUUUAUGAGUUUAUAAAUAAAAAUUAUAUUAUGGGAUAAUAGUGAAUGAGUUCCUGGUGCUUUGGAGUUCUUUAAAUUAAGGGCCCAGUUUGUCCAUUUGUUUUAGUUAGGUCCUUCUUAAAAAUUGAUUUUCUUAAUUAUAACUAAUACUAAUGAUAUUUCAUAGUUAUAAAUAUAUUAGAAUUAAUCCAAAAUAUUUUUUAGCGUGGCAUGGCUAAAACUACCUUUUUCUAUAAGUAAUCACUACUUUUGCAUUAAGGAAAAUAUUCCUAUUUAAAAAAAAAUUGAAUAUCUAUAGUUGUGAGGACUCGAACUCACUCGCUUAUGAUAAAUCUUUGUUGAUGCGAGAUUCUGGUUACCCACUCGACCACGUCCAGGAUCUCUGCUCAAUCAACUAACUCGACCACGAUCAGGAUCUCUCCUCGUAUGCUUUCUUCUUCAAAAAUUCCUGCGUACACAGAAACAAGUCAGAGCACGCCAGUUGUUUUCCCGGCGUAAACCCUCCGACGCUCAAGUCAGAUAUGAAGGUUUUGUGUUCCUGGGAACGUUAGCCACUAGUCUUAAGCUUUGCUUUUGGUAUCGAUUGCUGAAUGCUCUCUUUAUCUCAAUUUCCGUAUUAAAAGUUAACCCUUUUACCUUCGUUGGCUGCCUUUUUAUAGGCUCCACCUGAGUCCAGAUCCUCCCCUCCAUUCACGCCCGUUACCUUCCCACCUCUCGAAAGUGGAUGCUUUGUUUCCGUAAUCGUGGGUGAUUGCAUGGCCUUCGUGCCUCGAUUCUCAGGCUGGAGAGUACGUCUCGCCAACUGUCGUUGACUGGGUCUCCUCGCCUCAAACCUUAGCAGGAAUGGCUUUAUGCUUCUAACAAGAGACCGGCUUCGCGGAUGGCGUAUUCAUGGACGAGCAGAUAUUCCUGCUUAUGUUCCAAUGCUACCAGACCUCUGCUCAUCACGGCUGGUCUCGUCGAAGUACAUCCCCCAAACACCGGUCCCCCAGUUUCUGGUGUUGGGUAACAUAGUGAGCCAACAGUAGAAACUCGACAGUUCUUGCUCGCGCGAGAUAGGAAAAGACUGCCAAGAGUCGUGUCGCAUUUAAUGGCGGAUGAGGUGAUGUGGCAGAAAUCUACCCCUCCAUUUGAAUUUCAAACCGACGGUUACGAAACCCUAGGGAUUUGUGCCGUUAAAUGCCGGCAGCCCAAGAGUUUGUUCUUCAUUAGGAAAACCCAAAACCCCCAAAAGAGGAACUCGUCUUUUACUCCGUUUCUGUCUCUCCUGCGAAUGAGUCCUUCCUCUCCCUCGGCGUAAAAGCUUCCUUCCUUGUCUCUCUCCGACUAAGUCACAACUUCAGGUACUAUUUCUUUUUUCCUCGGUCGUGGAUAGUUGUAAACAAUUUCUUUUACAUUUUGCUUGGGUAGUGUUUGGUGGUGCAGUUCUGGUUAUAGUUUAGGGAAUGUCGAAAGGUAAGGAGAAAGUCAUUGAGAUUGAUGACGACGAGUUAGACUUCUUGCCUAGUCUGCUCGCCGAUUCUGCUUUCGACACCGGGAUCCCCUUAGAACCCGUUAGACCUAAUGUUGCGACUAGUGCUAGGAGGAUGUCCCCCCAAGUAACCUCCUCAACUGGAAAUAGCGACGACGAGGGUUCUUCUGGUUCGGAAGACACUUUGAGUGAAGAUCAGGGAAAUGAUUCUGGUGAGAUGUCCUCACCAGGAACAUCGUGACCAGAUAGGAGGGGCAUAGUAGGAGGUAGAGCUCUAUCACAGAAUUACACUAUUGAUUUUAUGACGUGCACGACCACAGUAGAUGAGCUAGUUAGUCUCCGGGCUAGAUACGGCAUCCCUGAUGAAAUUUCCCUUAGGAUCCCAGGAAAAAAAGAUACCCCCAGCCGGCCUCCUAGGGGAUAUAUUACUCUGUUUCUAGAGAGUUUUAAACUUGGGCUAAGGUACCCCAUACAACCCUACUUUGCCCGAAUACUCAAUGGGUUGAAUUUAGCUCCUGGUCAACUGAACCCCAAUGGGUGGUGAGUACUUUCUGGUCUGUUCAUAUUGUGAGACAGAUGUUGCCAAAGCGAGCCAACAAUUGACGAGGUGAAGCACCUGUACCAGCUAAAGAGCAGCCCCAAAGAUGUCGGCUGGUAUUACUUCCAGUCUAGUACCAAGACCAGGAAACCCAUAACCGAUCUUCCAACUGGUGGUGGUAGGACUUGGAAGAAAAAAUUCUUUUUUGCUGGGGGUCCCUGGGGUCAAGUUGCACAGAUUGACGAGAAGGAUUACCGUGUCCCACCUCAUUUCGUGGUCCCAGGUUGCCUACUCGCUUAAGAUGUUUUGUCUCCAUAGUCGUUCUCAUUUUGCUGAUUUGUUUCUAAUCCAAAAUCUGUUCGCAUUGCAGGUUCCUGGGGUGUGCACUACCAGCUUAAACCCGAGCCGCUCAAGCGAGUCGAAGCUGUACUGGCCAAUUUCUACACGAACCGAGAGCUGCUAACUACUUUCAAUUUGGUCGAAUCUCGUUUGGUGUCUACCGGCCAUAAAAUGGAGGAUGCUGUGAUCGGGGCUCUGACUCGGAAACGUCCCCAACCUCAUGCUACCAAGCAGGACCAGAAUAAAUAUGCUCCCACUGCGAAGCGGGUGAACAUUGUGCAGCAGGUUCCUCCCUUGAAGACCCUACCACCUCCUUCUGCCAAAGUCGGAGAAACUAGCGGAGCAGCCACCGAUCCCGCUUCCUCUUAUCCUCCAGUCGGGCCGAGAUCUCGUUUAUCUGACAAUCGAGCAAAACAUUUGGUCCCCUAUAUCAACGAGUUCUCUAAACUCGUGAGCAAGAGGGACCUAGAGGACUUUGACGACAGCACCUUGGGUGAGCUGGUGGGGGCCAUGCAAUAUAGCGCUUUCCAUCUCGACUGUAUGGCCACUUACUACAAGGCCAAGGUUGGUCGUUAUGACCGAAAGAUGAAGGAGGACAUUCAAUCGGCCAUGAUCAAAGCUGAUGCUGCCGAGAAGAAAGCAGGGGACUUGAAUCUCGAGAAUUUGAAGUUGAUAGAGCGAGAAUCUCUUGCUCAAGCAAAAGCCAUUACUCUCGAGGAUGAGCUAGCUAAGGUCAAGGAGGAUCUGCAAAGACAGCAGGCUAUGUACGAGGCCCAGCUCGAAUCUCUUCGGGAUUCCCACAAGGUUUAGGUCGAGAACCUGGAGAAGGAAGCUGAUAAUCAAUAUGACCAGGGGCUUCAGCACUCCUAUCAUUGCAUCAUGGCCGUCCUUGGGAAGCAGCAUCCGGAUAUGAAAAUGGACGAGCUUGCUACUGGUGUUGCUCAGCAUAUGGAUGAGGAGGCAGCAAAAGAGGACGCCGAAGAGGUGGAGCCAACUGAGGUUGAGGAGGGAAACACUCCUCCUCGUGCAAUCCUUGCUGAUGUCGCUGAGGCGAGUACCCCCCGAAUGCAACUGGUGAUACCCCCUGCCCCUGAGGUGGACCAGCCAACCAAGGCUGCUCGGCUUACUGACCCGCCGUCCUCUUGAUUGUAUUUUGUGUUGUAGUUGCUUUCUUGAAACGCUAUAUGUUAUGACUAGCAGUUUUUUCUGGUUGUUGAUUAAUAAAUAAGAAUGUUCUCAUUUGCUUUCUCGUCGUAAAUCAUUUUAAGUUUGAGGGUCUACUUGCCUUCUCUUGUACUAGCAGUUCUUGACACGCUUGGCUUCUGGUCUCGCCAUAGAACAUGCUUGUGACUUGGUGAGCCUUUGCAUGCCUUAGAAAUUUUUUCAAUGUUGGGAUUCUGCUCGCCUUCGCUUGGUCGAGCAGAUCUUGGCACGCUUGGCUUUUGGUCUCGCCAUAAAAACAGGCUUUGAAAAUUGGUGAGCCUUUGCAUGCCUUAGAAAUUUUUUCAAUGCUUGGGAUUUUGCUCGCCGUCGCUUGGUCGAGCAGAUCCUGGCACGCUUAGCUUUUGGUCUCGCCAUAAAAUAGGCUUUGAGACUUGGUGAGCCUUUGUAUGCCUUCGAAAUUUUUUCAAUGAUAGGGAUUCUGCUCGUCGUCGCUUGGUCGAGCAGAUCCUGGCACACUUGGCUUCUAGUCUCGCCAUAAAACAGGCUUUGAGACUUGGUGAGCCUUUGCAUGCCUUAGAAAUUUUUUCAAUGCUUGGGAUUCUGCUCGCCGUUGCUUGGUUGAGCAGAUCCUGGCACGCUUGGUUUCUGGUCUCGCCAUAAAACAGGUUUUGAGACUUGGUGAGCCUUUGCAUGCCUUAGAAAUUUUUUGCACAGUUACAAGUGAAUGAAAUUCCUCGACGUUUCAUUAAUUACAGAAUUCAACUUACAUAGGAAUGCAUAGCAACGAGAACAAAUUAAAGUAAUUUUUGAACAUGAGCAAGUCUUACUGGAAAUAUUUCCUGAGGUGCGCUGCGUUCCAUAGGCGUUUCACCUCGUGGCCAUCCGUGCGAACAAGCUUGUAAGCUCCGAGUCCCACUAUCUGCUUGACCCUGUAUAGCCCCUGCCAAUUCGGUCCAAGCACUCCUUGAGUCGAGUCUUUGGUGUUCUGAUUCACUCUCCUUAGCACCCAAUCUCCGACCCUAAACUGCCGUACAUUCACCUUCUGGUUAUAAUACCGAGCAACCCUCUGCUGGUAAAUGGCUAAUCGCUUCGAUGCUUGCUCCCUCUUCUCUACAAGCAAAUUCAGAUUCAAGCACAUCUGCUCGUUGUUAUCUUGCUCAUUGAAAUGAUCUGUCCGGUGCGUGGUCGUUCCUAUCUCGGCUGGUACGACCGCUUCAUGUCCGAAGGCCAAGGCGAACGGUGUUUCUCCAGUUGCUGUUUUGUAGGUUGUCCUGUAUGCCCAUAAAACACAUGAUAGCUCAUCAACCCAUGCUCCAUUUUUUGCUCCAAGCCUGGUUUUCAAAAGCCUCUUGAUCGUCUUGUUGGCUGCUUCUACUUGUCCAUUGGAUUGAGGGUGAGCAAGCGAGCAGUACUUCAACUCUAUCCCGAGGUUCUGGCAGAAAUCCCUGAAACUGUGAUUAUCGAACUGCCUGCCAUUAUCCAUUACCAAGGCAUAGGGGAUCCCGUACCGACAGACCAGGUUUCUCCAUACGAAGUCUGUUGUCUUCUUCUCUGUGAUCUUGCUGAGGGCUUCUACUUCUAUCCACUUCAUGAAGUAGUCUAUUGCUACUAUUCCAUGUGUUGUUGCUCCUCGUCCCCUUGGCAACGGCCCGAUCAGAUCAAUUCCCCACUGAGCAAAUGGCCAAGGGGAGGCUAUAGAGGUGAGCUUCUCUGGUGUUUGGCUGGAGAAACUUGCAAAACUCUGGCAGCUUAAGCAGCUCCUGGUCUUCUCCUGCGCAUCCUGGUGCAUUGUCGGCCAGAAAUAUCCCUGCCUUAGAACCUUAUGGGCAAGGGACCUCCCACCAGAAUGGUUUCCGCAAAUUCCUUCAUGUACUUCUCUCAGUACGUAGUCUGCGUUGUCCUCAUCUAAGCACCGAAGGAACGUGAGUGUAUAUCCUCGCCGAUAUAGCACCCCAUCAAUCAUUGUGUACCUUGAGUCUUGGGCUCUAAUCUUCCGAGCUCGUAGCUUAUCUGGUGGUAACACCCCGUCUCUGAUAUAUGAAAUUAUCGGAUCCAUCCACGAGCCUUUUUGUUCUAUCUGCAUCACCUUCAAAUUCUGCUCGAUGCUAGGGUUGGUUUUCACUUCCAAAGGGACCGUCUUAGGCAUUUUAGGGUCUGCUACAACUGUCAUCCUGGCCAGAAUAUCGGCUCGACUAUUUUGUUCCCUUGGGAUUUGUAUCAACUUAACCGCUUCGAACUUCCUCAUCAUCUGCCUGACUUUCUUCAAGUACUGCUCCAUCUUCUCAUCUCUCGGUUGAAAACUUUCACUGACAUGAUUUGCGACCAGCUGAGAAUAAGUUCUGAUCUUCACCCUAUCUGCUUUCAUUGCCUUAGCCAAUUCCAAACCUGCUAUCAAGGCUUCGUAUUCUGCCUGGUUAUUUGUGGCUGUGAACUCUAACUUUACAGCAUAAGAAAUCUCCUCCCCCUCUGGGUCUUUUAAGACAAUUUCUGCUCCUGAUCCUUGCUCACCUGAUGACCCAUCUACAGACAUCUGCCAUACUCGAGCUUUGCUGCUAUCUGUAGCGGUGUCCAGUUGGUCCAAACAUACUUCAAGCUCCGCGAAUUCUGCUAUGAAAUCGGCCGUUGCCUGAGCCUUUAUUGCUGCUCGGGGUUUGUAAUCUAUGUCGAACUCGCUAAGCUCUAUAGCCCACUUCACGAGCCGACCAGAAGCAUCUGGCUUGUGCAGAGUUUGACGCAAUGGCUGGUUUGUUAUUACCGUGACGGGGAAUGCUUGAAAGUACGGCCUCAGCUUCCGAGCAGCAACCACAAGGGCGAGUGUCCAUUUCUCCACCAAUGGGUAUCUGGUCUCGGCAUCGAGCAGGGUCUUGUUGGUGAAGUAUAUCGGGUACUGAACCCCUUCUUCUUCUCUUACUAGAACAGAACUUGCAGCAUGAUUUGAUACCGCCAAAUAUAAGAACAACCUAUCGUCAUCCCUUAGUGUGGACAGCAAAGGUGCUUGUUGCAAGUACUGCUUCAAGUUCUGGAAGGCUUCUUCACAUUCUGGGGUCCAUUCUGUAUUCUUUCCUCUCCUUAUCACUUGGAAAAAUGGCUGACACUUAUCUGUAGCCUUGGAUAUGAAUCGGCUUAAUGCCGCCAACCUCCCCGUAAGGCUCUGUGUCUCCUUCAGGUUACGAGGUGACCUCAUCUGCACGAUCGCCUGGAUCUUCUCAAGAUUUGCCUCGAUCCUGCUCGAACAUGGGGAUUUGGUUGUAUCCCGAGAAUGCGUCCAUGAAGCUGAGCAAGCCAUGUCCGGCUUUUAAGUCUACAAGCUGGUCAAUCUUUGGUAAUGGAAAGCUGUCUUUCGGGCACGCCUUGUUGAGGCCCGUGAAAUCCACACACAUCCUCCACUUGCCAUUAGCCUUUUUUACUAACACCACAUUCGAUAUCCACUCGGGAUAAUUGACUUCCCGAAUGAACCCUGCUUUCAAGAGCUUCUCCACCUCGCCGUUUAUAGCCUCAUACCUCUCCUGGUUGAAGCACCUCCUUUUCUGCCUUACUGCCCGAGCACCUUUCUUUAUUGCCAGUUUAUGACAUGCGACCUAAGGGUCGAUUCUUGGCAUGUCUUCAUGUGUCCAAGCAAACACAUCUGCAUGAGCCCGCAAGCAUUGCACCAACUCCUGCUUCUGCUAUUCUUUAAGCCUCAACCCAAUUCGGAUCGUUUUUCCCAGAUCCUUUGGUCCUAGGCUCACUGUCUUCAACUCCUCUACAGGUUCUUGUCUACCAGUCUUGGUUCCCACUCGGGUAUCAAGGGAUGUUAUCUGCAUUGCUUCCCUUGCUGACGAGGAGUAAUAGCUUCGUGCGAUUCUCUGGUCUCCUCAUACCACUCCAACUACCCCAUUCACCCGGUACUUGAGAGCUAGAUAAUGGUUGGAUGACACCGCUUUACUCAUCCUCAGAAAUGGUCGACCUAGGAUCAUCUGGUAAGGACCCUCUUCAUCGACUACCAAAAAAUCCAGCAUCAUAGUCCUUUCUGUCGGGGAGCUUCCAAUCGUGAUAGGCAGCUCAACCACGCCCAGGGGGACCAGCUUUCCUCCUCCAAAUCCCUUCAAGGAGGUAUUGGUGUGCUCCAACCUCAGGUCUGUUAUUCUCAUCUCCUCCAGAGUUGACUUAAACAACACAUCAACUGAGCUCCCUGUGUCAACCAGUAUCCGGUCAAACUUCUUGCUGGCGACGGUGGCCUUGAUGACUAAGGCAUCCUUGUGUGGGUAUAGAAUCCCUUAUUCAUCCUCAUCUGUCCACAUGAUUGGCACUUGUCAGACUCUUGCUCGUUUGGCUGCUGGGGUGUUGAAGAACACAUCUUUACUAGUCAUGGCAAAUUUAGCAUAAUUUUUCCUCGAUCUGUUGGAAUCUCCGGCCAACGUUGGACCCCCUAACAAUCACUCUUACUAUAGGCUGCCUGUGGCUCAAGUUCCUGUUACCCUGCUCCUCUUCACAUAUCGGGGCCACCGUCGGAAAAGUCCCAUCGAUAAACUCGUCCAGGUAUCGAUUUCUCACCAAAUCUUUAACCUGGGUCUUAAGGUCUCUUCAUUCUAUUGUGGUAUGGCCAUGAGUACCAUGGAACUUGCAAUAGUGCCCCUAUCCCUUCUGCUGGGUAGCUUUGUUAUUGGGGCUGGGAGGUACAGUAAUCCCCAGUCCUUUAUGGCCUCACAGACUUCGUCCAGUGGGAUAUUCAAGGAAGUAUACUGCCCAUAGUCCUGGUUCUGGUCGAUCAUAUGCACUGCCCUUUCUCUGUUUGUGCCAUUCUGAGUUGGAGGUGGUGGCAGCGCUUCUGGUCUGCUCCCCCUACUACCAUGGGGGUGUGGGUGAAGGUGACCGUAUGUCGCGUCAUGCCUUCUCCUAGGCUCCCUAGCUGGUGAGCGAGAAGGUUGCGCCCUGCUGUGCUGAUACUGUGGUGGCCUCUAAUGAGGUUGGUAAGCGGUUACCCGACCUCUUGUACCACUACCUAAGGCAUGGUGGUCCCUCCUCUUAAUCGGCCCAUUUCCUGGUACGGCUCUCUUCUCUUUCCUCUUUAAUCCUUCCAGCUGGUCUGUCUUAAUCCGUGCCGCCUUUUCCUCCUCUAUUUCUAUGUCUCUCUUAGCCUGCUCGUAAGCAACUGAAUAUGUCUGAAUAACUGGGCUUCUCAAGUUAUAUCACAUCCGUCUUAUCUUCACUCCUUCUUUCAAUCCCCUUAAUGCCUGAGGAUGGUUGAAGGCUCCCAAGUCGAGGACAGCACGGUGGAACCUUUUGAUGAAUUCCCGAAGGGUUUCCUCCUCUCUCUGCUUCAUGCUCGUUAACUCCAUCAUAUCAUCUUCCGGUGCCAUUACCCCACGAAACUGCUCUGCAAAUUCCUGGCACAUCUGCUCGAAGGCUUUAAUGCUCCCUCGAGGAAGUUUCCUGUACCACUCGCGUGCUCGUCCCUCUAGAGAUAGUGGGAACACCCUGCAUCUUUGGGCUUGAGAUAGUCCUUGCACCCCGGUCAUGUUGUUGAAGCGCUCUAUGUGCACCAACGGAUCAGUUCGCCCCAAAUAUCUGAGGUCUGGGAGGCGAAAAUCUCUUGAAAUGACUGCCCUCAUGAUCUCUGCCGAGAGCGGGGUUUCUCCGUCCAGCAUUAUCCUCCAACCAGGUGCUCUACUCCUUCCUUGCAUAUCAUCAAUUACUUGCGCUAGUUUGCGCACUUCCUUCUCUAGCUGCAUUGCACGACCAGGGUCACGUGCUGUAACUUGAUCCCGCUCUUUCUCUACAUCAUGUAAGUAUUGCCUGAGCUCUGUUUCCUCUGCAUUCACCACCCCAUCAUCCUCAUCAAAAAUCUAUCUUCUUGGGGAUUGCUCUUCUUCUCUAUGAAUUCCUCCCCGUAAAGAUAAGUUACCUCUCUCACCACCAAAUCUCCUGGUGGUCUGACUUCUCAUCAUACCAUCGUGCCCUGGUGCCACUCUGCCACCUCUCACCCUUUUCUCAUGGGUUCCCCUUCGUUCACUCCUUAGUUCAUGUAGGAUGGUUGUCAGGGUCUCCAUCUGCUUUUCCAUCCGUUCCAUUCGGUCAUGCAUGGCUUUUUCCCGUGCUUCAAUGGCUAUCUCCCUUAACGUCAUGGAUUCGUUAAGCCUCAUAUCACCUCCUUGUGCACUACUUCCUCCUACAUCCAUUGUUUCUUCUCUUGCUUUGUUUUUCCUUUCUCUGUCAACAGAAGUUUUUUUAUCAGCUCCCUACAGACGGCGCCAAAAUGUUGAUGCGAGAUUCUGGUUACCCACUCGACCACGACCAGGAUCUCUGCUCAAUCAACUAACUCGACCACGAUCAGGAUCUCUCCUCGUAUGCUUUCUUCUUCAAAAAUUCCUGCGUACACAGAAACAAGUCAGAGCACGCUGGUUGUUUUCUCGGCGUAAACCCUCCGAUGCUCAAGUCAAAUAUGAAGGUUUUGUGUUCCUGGGAACAUUAGCCACUAGUCUUAAGCUUUGCUUUUAGUAUCGACUGUUGAAUGCUCUCUUUAUCUCAAUUUCUGUAUUAAAAGUUCUAACCCUUUUACCUUCGUUGGCUGCCUUUUUAUAGGCUCCUCCUGAGUCCAGAUCCUCCCCUCCAUUCACGUCCGUUACCUUCCCACCUCUCGAAAGUGGAUGCUCCGUUUCCGUAAUCGUGGGUGGUUGCAUGGCCUUCGUGCCUCGAUUCUCGGGCUGGAGAGUACGUCUUGCCAACUGUCGUUGAUUGGGUCUCCUCGCUUCAAACCUUAGCAGGACCAUUAUGCUUCUAACAGGAGAUCGGCUUCGCGGAUGGUGUAUUCGUGGACGAGCAGAUAUUCCUGCUUCUGUUCCCAUGCUACCAGACCUCAGCUCAUCACGGCUGGUCUCGUCGAAGUACAUCCCCCAAACAAUCUUCAUAUUAAUUACGAAAAUAUCCUCUAAAUUUUAACUUAACUAUUCAUAAUUCAAUGUCAUUCGGAUAUUUCGUUUAUUUGAGUAGGGAUUAGGGGUCAAUUUGAUACAAAUUCAAAAUUAUCCUCAUUUGCGAAGGUGAUAAAAGUUAGGGAUUUAGUUUGGAUGUCACUAGCCACAAAUAUUAAACGCAUGCAUCUAAUUCAAAAUUAGAGGCAUUAUCGUUAUAUUGACAUGUGUCACCAUCCCACAACCUCUCCAAUGAAAAAUUGACAUGCAUCUUGUGUGCUUCUUAUCAAAAUCCUGAAAAUUAAUCACAAAAGUUAUAUUUUUAUUAUAAAAAGAAGAAAGAAACUCCAUGAGUGAAGAAAAAAAAAAAAGACUUACAUUAAUAGUUUGGAUAAUCUAGAUUUCAAGUUGUCUAUAUUAGCUUGAUAUUUUUAUAAAUAUCAAGAUUUCAAGUUGUCUAUAGUAGCUUGAUAUCUUCUAAAAAAAACUCCAUCAACAUAUAUUUUAAUUUUACGUUAAUUAAUAAAUAGAAAAUCCAUUUUAGAAUUAAUUAAAGCAUUAUUUAUUGUUGCCAAAGAAGGAAGUAUUUAGCGAUAAGAAAAAAGUGUCUCAAAUAUAUGUUUAAAAAAAAAUAAUCAUGGUUGGUUGGACUGAUUGAAUUUUUCUUUUCUUUUUUCUUUUUUAAGAACUAAGACAAUUGGAUUGAUUGAGUAAUAAUAAAAUAUAUUUAUUUGGCAAAUGGCAGGUAGGCUUUCUUCUGGUGCAGAUUGAUUAGAGAGAAUAUAUAACAAUUUUAAGCUCGUAAGAUUCGGAACCUGCUUAUCUGUCGUGUGGGAAUCACUUCCGUGUCUUAUUUUUCUAGAAAAAUCUAGACCAUUGGAUUUACCAUUGGGCAGUAGAGAAAUGUUGAUCUUGAUUCCUGAUCAGGAUCGAAGUUUGAUUCUAUCUAACAUGAUAUCAGAUUGCGAAGCAAGCUAGUUGUGAGUAACUUGUUCUAUUUUGAUGGAAGAAACACAAGUUCUAAUAAAAAAUUCUAAGUAUACAUUUUUUUUUUUAAUUUUUUUAUUGUGAUCAAUAUAACUAGUCAAAUCUAUUUUUAAACAUUUUUUUUAAAUAUUUUGUUAACAAUGAUAUGAAAAUAUUCGAACCCCUCCUCAUAUAGUAAAGUGAAUUACUAUCCAACGAUCCAACUAACGUCUUCAAAUUGUAAAUUGCAAAUCGUGUGUUUGCUCCAUUACAGAGUUUCUUCAAUUUAAAAUAGAGAAUCGUUUGUGUUCUAGAUUAAUCGUGGGUCUAUAUCCAAAUCUAAAAAUUGACUAACUUGAUUUCUAUUAAAUUCUUAACCCUAACAAGAAAAAUAGAAGAUUAAAAAUGACUAAUUUGGUUUCUAUUAAUUUGAGUAACGAUUAAUAUUUAUCAUUCAAUAGUCACUUAUAUUAUCAAAAUCUUGGGUCGAAAAUAUUAGGAUAGGUGAUAAUUGGAAUUAAGUUGUAGAUAAGAUAGAAAUGGAUUUGGAGAGAGAUUGGAAUCCUGGGUAAAUCCGGUACACGUUGGUGUGUUAAAUUCUCGUUGACUUCACGUUGACCGAGGCAUUAUUGGAAGAAACAAGCAAGCUUAUUUUCUUCUCUCAUUUUUAACCUUUGUCUAAAUUUAUUGGUGUGAGGCCUUUGAGAUGGUAAAGUGUUAAAUCUGAGAAGAGUACCCACACUAUUACUCUUAUUUUAUCACGUUUUAUCACAAUAUUACUCUUAUAGUCAAUGUUUGAUUCGCACGAAAAAAAAUUUGCGAGGAUUGUGAGGGUUGAUGCAAUAUAAUUUAGAUGCAAAGUGUUUACAAGUGCGAUGCUUCGUAAGUGUACUCGAAUCAUUAUAAACUCACGUUAUUUUCAUAGUGAUUAUUUCAUUUGCACGUGAAUAUAAUCAUAUAUGUGGAGAAUUUUUUUUCCUAAAUUAUGGUCUUAUUUAGUAUUGAGAUGUUAUAUCUUUUAAAUUAUAAUUAAUAUUAGUAAAAAAACUGCAACUAUAAAAUAAAAGUUAAUAUUAUGUCCUGAAUAUAAUUGUUAAAUAAUAAUUUUGACAAAAUUAGUGAAGACAUACAGAUUUUUUUAUCAUAUAAGUGUAAAAUUCUAUCAACUUAGCUUUUAAGUUAUACAGCAUCUAUUGUUUACCAAAUACUUUAGUGUUGUAACUUUUAAGUUAUAACUGUCUAACCUUUAACCUCAAUCUCAAACGAGGCUUAUAAAGAUCAAGGAUUUCCUCAUAAAAAUUAUUACGUCAUGUGAUUGCUUAUUUAAUUUAUAUUUUCGUCAUUUAUCUUUAUUAAUUAAACAUGCACAUAUUAUUUCCUUUUAUUUUCUGCUUGGUAACCCGUAAAUACUAAUCCAGUACUACUAAUUUCAGACAGAAAAUUUUGAACUCUAGGCUGCAGUUUGACUCAAAAUGAUGGUCACUGGCUUCGCACCAUUUUACCGGUAUACAUUUCUACAAACUGAACAAGGCUAUUGAUUAUUAUUAUUAUUAUUUUAAUUUGUUUAUAAAUUACUAUUUUAAUUUUCACUUUUUAUUGGGUUGUUUAACGGAUUGGUGAAGCUGGUGGUCGUUGAUGCACUCACAAGGUACAAUUUUAUUUUAUAAUUUCAAAUUCGUAUUUUAAAACGCAGGUACAUUAUGUAUAUACAUAAUUAUUGAUUUUCGUAUGAGGGUGUUUUGAAAUAUUGCUAAAAGACCAAACUUUAAUAAACUAUUUUUGAUCUUUUUUUUUUUUCCUAAAGUUUGGGUGAUAUGCGCAUUUUAAAUUCACGUGGAACAAAAGUUAAUGUAUGUAUAAAAAUUCUUUUAUUUUACUGAGCAAAAUAGGCAAGCGAAAAAGUUUUGGCAAAUGAGUUGCAACUGAAUUCAAAACCAAUACAAUGCGAGCAUAGGAAAGAGGCCAGUGUUUAGGAUUUGAAUUUAGGUAGCGUUUACUUUUUGGAUUGGAUUGGGAAUCCUGGGGAGUGGGAAUCCUAGGAUUGAGAGUGUGGAGUGGGAGUGGGAGUAGGUUGUUUACUUACACUGGAAUGGAAGCAUGGAAUGGAGAUCAGAAUCCAAUUUAUGUGUUUACUUUGUCUUGGAUUGGGAGUAAAUAGUUUCAAAUUACAAUUUUAUCCUUAUUUAAAGAAUUAUAAUUUUAAUUACAAAACUAAUAAAAUAUAUAUUUAAUGAAUAAUAUUUAUUUUAUUAUAUUUGUAAAUUUAUUAUAAUUAUUAAUAUUCUUAAUUAUGAACAAUAAAUUAUUAAUUGUAAUUUUAAUAUAAAAUGAAAUGUUAUUUUAUUUAAUAUAAUUAUAUUAAAUUUAUUAUUAUAUAAAAUAAUAAUAUAAUAUUAUUUAGUACAAAAUUAAUAUUUUCUUAGAAUAAAGUAUUUAUUAUUAUUAUUAAAUAAAAUAUAGUACUAUUAUUUUUAAAAUAAAUAUAAUAAUAUUAUAUUUAUUAAUUCUCUAUUAAUAUAAUAAUAUUAUUUUAAAAUAAUUUUAACUUAGAAUCAAUGUAAAUUAUUAUUUAGUUAAAUAUAAUAUUAUUAUUUAAAUAAAUAUAAUAUUAUUAUUUAAAUAAAUAUAAUAUUAUUUAUUUUAUUUUAUUAAUUAUAAAACAUAAAAUAAAAAAAAAAAGGGUAGAAAUGGGAGAGGUGGGAGUGGAUUCCCACUCCCACCUCCCCCAAUGGGAGUCCCACUCCCACUCCCCACUCCAAAAAUGGGUGGGGCCCACGGAGUGGGACUCCCAAUUCCUUCUCAUUUUAAGUAAGUAAACGCUGGAGUGGGAGGAAUCCACACUCCUCACUCCCACUCCAGCAAGUAAACACAACAUUAGUAUUAAGCUGAAUUUUAUGGUAAGCUCUUUUAUAGUACUGUGAUUGAUAAGCUCAGCCCCGGAUUUGCUUUUGCUUUUGCUUUUACUUCAAGUGAAAGAGAGAGGAAACCUUUUGUUUUUUUCUUUGGUUUUCAACUAUGUUACCUAUACAAAGAGUCAAGAUACCUGCCAUAAGUGAUGGUGUUAAAAAGAUUAAGCAGCGCACACAAUCUUACUGUCGUCUAGACCAUCCAGUGAUGACUCUAGUCUUUUGGUUACGUUAGCUUUAGUUGAAAGAAGGGCCAAUUUAACAAAGACUAGAUUUGAUGGCUUACUAUGUUUAAUGUAAUGCUAAUUCUCAGGGAAUCUAAUGUUAUAACUUAUAAGACGAUCUCCUAUGAUGAAUAACAGUAACACAUUACUGUGAUUGAGAAAACUCAGUUACAAUAAACUAUUCAUUUACUCAUUGCGGAGAUUGAAUAGCAAAUAGAGAAUAGAAUGAAGCAGAGGAAUCUCAUUGCCAAUAAAAUUGACCCUCUUUAAUGUUAUAUGGCACAGGUGUGGAGGAAGAACAAGUUACUUGCAGUUUUUAUUGUAAAAUAUACAGGUAUGACCAUGAUCAUUACAGUUGGGUUUUGAUAAUUUCAGAUGCUUUUUAAAAAAAAAAAAAAUUAUGACAUCUUUGAUUUACGGUAGUUUUGCAGAAAAAAAAAUAUAAAAAUUAAGAGGGAUGAGUUAAACUGACGAUUACAAUCAUUCCAGCAAUGCUGAUGAGUGAUACAUCACUUGAAAUUUACUUGUCAGUUGCUGAAAUGAUGAAAAAAAAACAAUAAACGAUAACAGUAAUAAUGUUCCGUUGCUGAAAUUCAAUUUUGACUUUCUACUCUUGGCUUUUAUGGAAAGUAAAAUGACUUGUAUAUUAUCCUCAUACAAUCCACUCUACAUAAUGAUAUCAUUUUAAUAAGGCAAUGGCUGAUGAUCUCCAUUUAAAAACUACAUCAUUUUUUUUGCUUCAUUUAACUUUUUGGUUGUUGAAAAUAACCUUAAUUAUCAAAUAAUUGGAGAAAGAGUAAAGAACAUUUAACAAAUUUAUGUGCAAAAAAAAAAAAGGAGAAGUUGAAGAGAAAGGGUGCUUGCAGAAGUGGGUGUCAAAGAUAAAUCGGUCCAUAAGAAUUAUUGUGGUUAUUUUUUUGGCAAUAUAAGAACUUAUGCGAUAGCAUUUUUUAUGGGUGCAUAUAACCUCCCUUUAAAAAUAUAUAUAAUAAUUACUGCUUAAUAUAGUAUUAAAUACAAAAAUAUCAAUAUUUGACUACUUAAAUUUAUAUCAUUAGGUCCUUAAAAUUUAAAAUGGAAGAUAUGAAAGGAAAUAUAUAUAAAUUUCAUUGUCCUGGUAAAGGGCCCUCUUAUAAUCUUAUAAUAUUUGAACUUUGAUAGAUUUUUUGAAACAAAUGUACUUUUAUUUGUGUACAAUCAAUAUUUACUCAUUUAUUAUAUUUUAAUUUAUUAACUAUUAAUCAUGUAAGUAUACUUAGUCAGAAAAAUUAUAUCAAGAGAAAAUUCUAAUUUCACGCAAAAACAAAUACCAAAACAAAUAUCUCAAUUUCUAUACUAUUCACUUUCCUGUAGAAUCAAUUAUUUAAAAUGCAAGUUUGUGGCUACAGAAAACUCGCCAAAGAAAAAAGAUAAUAACAAUUGAGCAUUGAUAGCAAAACUAAUGCAUCCAAUUCUUCUUGACUUGAUGAGAUGGCGCCAUAACGUAGACACAAGUACCUAAAUUGACCGGCACUGAGUGAUGUGAAUACUACCAGCCAGUUCAUCUCUUCCAGUCUUGCUUAAUCACAAUCACAAACACCACGAGAUCGACAUUUGCAUUAUAUAUAUCUUCUGCAAUCGAAACACCUUGCAUUACCAAAUAAGCCCGUAACAGACAAAGCAAUCUUUCAUGGAGAGAAACCUUAGUCUCAGUAUGAUCACUGUGUCAUUAACCUACUGCCUGCUUCUUUGCUUGGUUGCUGCAGCAGCAGCAGCGGCAAGCAACAAUAUUACCACAGACCAACAAGCUCUUCUUGCCCUGAAAGAUCAUAUAAUUUAUGAUCCUACCAGCCUUUUAGCUCACAAUUGGACCUCGAAUACCUCUGUUUGUACCUGGAUUGGCAUCACUUGUGAUGCCAAUAGCCAUAGAGUCAAAACCUUAGAUAUUUCUCAAUUCAAUCUACAAGGCACCAUCCCUCCUCAACUUGGAAAUCUCUCUUCACUCACAACACUUAAUCUUAGUCAUAACAGGCUUUCUGGAAGUGUUCCCUCCUCCAUCUACACCAUGCAUACGCUAAAAUUUCUUGACUUCACUGAUAACCAGCUCUCUGGUUCAGUGUCUUCCUUCGUCUUCAACAUGUCUUCAAUAUUAGUAAUUCGUUUGACCAAUAACAUAUUUUCUGGUGAGCUUCCGAAAAAUAUUUGCAACUAUCUUCCUUAUUUGAAGGCCCUUUUCUUAAACAAAAACAUGUUUCAUGGCAAAAUUCCUUCUGCUUUAUCAAAGUGCAAACAACUGCAACAAUUAAAUUUGCAGUUCAAUAAUUUAUCCGGUGCAAUACCAAAAGAAAUCGGCAACUUGACUAUGCUCAAAGGGAUAUAUCUCCUCUACAACAAACUCCACGGUAUGUUCACAAUACUAUAUAAAUAUUUUAAUUUAUCACUUAUUAUCUUUCUUGAAUAAUUUAGUUAAGAUCUUGUAAGAGAGAUUUUUUGCAUCUACGUUAAUUUACCAGGUGAGAUACCCCACGAAAUCGCUAAUCUUCCAAAUCUAGAGGCUUUAGCGCUUGGAAUCAACAACGUAGUUGGUGUGUUACCAGCUCCCAUCUUCAACAUGUCAACACUGAAGGUACUUAUCCUCAUAAAUAACUCUCUCUCCGGAAGCCUUCCAUCAAGAGUAGACCUUUCACUUCCAACUGUUGAGCAACUUAACUUGGCACUUAAUAGAUUUUCUGGAACCAUUCCUAGUUCCAUCACCAAUGCUUCUAAGCUCACCUUUCUAGAGUUGGGAGCAAACACAUUUUCGGGGUUUAUUCCAAACACAAUUGGUAAUUUAAGAAACCUUAAGUGGCUCGGCUUGGCUAAUAACUCCUUGACAUCUUCAACCUCAAAAUUGAGCUUUCUUUCCUCUUUGGCAAAUUGCAAGAAAUUAAGAUUCGUAAACGUAAUAGGCAAUCCACUGGACGGCUUCCUUCCAAGUUCAAUAGGUAAUCUUUCUGUGUCUUUGGAAACACUUGGCAUCGGCAAUUGCAGUAUUAGUGGCAACAUUCCUCCAGCAAUUAGCAAUUUAAGCAACUUGUUGACCUUAGUAUUAGACGGCAAUAAAUUGACUGGACCAAUCCCAACUACAUUCGGCCAACUGCAGAAACUCCAAGGCUUAGAUCUUGCAUUCAAUAAGUUGGUAGGUUCAUUCCCAGAUGAGCUUUGCCAUCUGGCAAGGCUGGAUCAAUUGGUCUUAUUUGGCAAUAAGCUUUCAGGAUCUAUACCUUCAUGCUUAAGUAACCUCACUUCUCUAAGAUCUCUCUAUUUAGGGUCCAAUAAGUUUACUUCUGUUUUUCCCUCAACCUUCUGGAGCCUAAAAGACAUCUUGUUCUUUGACUUUUCAUCAAAUUUCUUGGUUGGUCCUCUUUCUUUAGAUAUAGGAAAUUUGAAGGUGCUUCUAGGAAUAAGUUUAUCAAAAAAUAAUUUAUCCGGUGAUAUCCCAGCCACAAUUGGAGGACUGAAAGAUCUUCAAUUUAUGGACCUAGCAUAUAAUAGAUUGGAAGGCCCAAUUCCUAAAUCAUUUGGUGACUUGAUAAGUUUAGAAGUUCUGAAUUUAUCAAAUAAUAAAAUCUCUGGGUCUAUUCCAACAUCCAUGGAGAAACUCUUUUACCUCGGAGAGUUAAAUCUCUCUUUCAAUAAACUAGAAGGUGAGAUUCCUAGUGGAGGAACUUUUGCCAACUUCACAGCUGAGUCAUUUAUGGGAAAUGAGUUUUUGUGUGGUUUACCAAAUCUUCAAGUCCAACCAUGCAAAGUUAGCAAGCCGAGGACAGAACAUAAAUCAAGGAAAAAGAUACUUCUCAUUGUGAUUGUUUUGCCAUUGAGUAUUGCUCUAACAAUAGCAAUCACUCUAGCUCUCAAAUCUAAGCCGAUCGAAUGUGGAGAAAGAAGCACAGUGUUGUCAAAUGAUAGUAUCUUGUCAUCACAAGCAACACUAAGAAGAUUUUCAUACUUAGAACUUUUACAAGCAACAGAUAAUUUUGCUGAAAACAGCAUAAUUGGCAGAGGAGGUUUCGGUUCCGUUUAUGGAGCAAGACUUGAAGAUGGGAUGAAGAUUGCAAUAAAAGUGUUUCACCGGCAAUGUGCAAGCGCAUUGAAGAGUUUUGAGGCUGAAUGUGAAGUGUUAAAAAAAAUUCGCCAUCGAAACCUUAUCAAAGUUAUCAGCAGUUGCUCGAACGAUGACUUCAAAGCAUUAGUCCUAGAAUACAUGUCCAACGGGAGCUUAGGGGAUUGGCUGCAUUCGAGCAAUUACGUGCUGAAUAUUUUUCAAAGGUUGAACAUAAUGAUUGACGUUGCAUCAGCUUUAGAAUACCUCCACUUCGAUCAUUCAACUCCUAUUAUUCAUUGUGACUUAAAGCCUAGUAAUGUAUUGUUGGACGAAAAUAUGGUUGCUCAUUUGAGUGAUUUUGGCAUAGCAAAGCUUUUAAGUGGAGAAGAUGAGUCUACGAUGCGAACAAAAACCCUUGCCACUAUAGGUUAUAUGGCACCAGGUUUGCUUCAAACAACUUUUUUUUUUAAGUUCAUUUUAAAUUUUCUAAAUCAUUGAUUUUUACGAUCCUCAUAUCAAAUUGUUAUUGAUUAUUUAUCUAAUUGUGAAAUUAAUUUGAUUCAUAGAGUAUGGCAUAGGAGGAGAAGUAUCUACAAAAAGCGAUGUUUACAGCUACGGGAUUAUGUUGAUGGAAACUUUUACCAAGAAAAAACCCACAGAUGAAAUUUUUGUUGGAGAAUUGAGCUUAAAGCAUUGGGUUAAUGACUUGCUUCCUAAUUCAUUAGUGGAAGUUGUGGACAAAACUCUGCUAAGUGGAGAGGAAAAACAUUUUGCAUCAAAGGGGCAAUGUCUGUUGUCUAUCUUUAGUUUGGCUCUGGAGUGUACAAUGGAAUCACCGGAAAAGAGGAUUAAUGCAAAAGAUAUUGUUACCGGAUUACUCAAGAUAAGAGACACAUUGAGUAAAAGGAUAGGAAAUUUAAGUUAAUUUCGUUUGCUUUCAUUGAUAGUUAAUUCGAAUUCAUGUAAUAAGUGCAAGAAUCUUAUAUCUUUUCCUUUGAUAUAUUCUUUUUCUUGAGAAAACUGUUGUAGUCAUCUUGUUUCCAUGGGAAGAGUUGAUUUAGUUCUUCCAAAAAAUGCUACUGAUGACCUUUGUUUAAUACUUUCUCUUUUUUUGCACGUGUUUAGGUAGAACAGUGGUUUGGCUGCAGGCUAAUAAGUCAAGCUACGCCAAAAGCGUAUGAUUUAAUUUAUUAAACAUAACUUCAAGUUCAAGAAGUGUUUCUCAUUGCCACCAAUGCUUUGGACACCUGUUGGAAGGUUUGUUGUCCUCAGCUUUUGUUUAGAGCAAAAGUUCGAGUCCCAUAAAGGCUCAAACAUUCCUUUCCUUCAUCCCGAGGGCGCCUUCUGUCCUCUGUUUUCUGUUUCCACACACAAAUAGCAAAAAGAAAUUAGAAUGACAACUGGGACAUAUAUAAGAGUGAAAUAAUUAAAAAAAUUAUGCUUUUUUGUCUGUCGUGUUAAAAUCGUAAGUACCGAAGUACUGUGAAAGAGAUUAAUUUACAGAAACUGAAGCCAAGGGUUCAAAAAAAAACUAUUGAUGUAGCUAGGAUGCAAUGUCAUAUUCAUACAGAGAUGAAGUAUAUUAUUUACGGCUGGUAAAGACUAGGAAUUGAUGUAGCUAGAAUCCAAAGAUGAUAAGGUAUGUUGUGCACUAUUGUUUUAUUCUACGGUCAAUCUUGACCCUUGGUGCUUGGCUCUCAAUCUUGUCCAUUGAUCUUCUCUGAUCUUGGAAACUUCAAGACCUUUCACUCUCAUGCCUUAUUAUUGGUGUCUUCCAUGCUGUAGCUUUCAAAUACAAGCUUUCCCGCCAACUUGCCAAUUAUUUGUCCGUUGGUGCAUUUUAUCAAACAGUUUGGAUACUUAUACCAAACGCCUUCUGUUUUAACUCCCCCCCUCAAGCUCAAGCAUCUGGGAAGACAUUAAUAAGCUUGUUUCUCAAGUAUAUAUAUCUGAAAAUUAAAUUUUAUAAAUUAUAUUCGGACUCUACAUUUUCUAAUGAACAUUGGUUUGGCUUAUAAGCUUAUUAUACUCAGGUUUGGUAGGAGCCAUAUCACAAUGUUAACGCUAACCAGCAGUACUGCCAAAGCUGGCCAACUCAGCCUGCAAGUUCAUAGCAACCAUAGUUACAGUCCUAGUCCGGUACAAAAAUCGUAAAUAUCAUUUACAUUACAAUGGUGUGGGGGGGGGGGGGGGGGUUUGUUGGGUGGCUGGAGAGGGAAUCAACAAAGAUCUAGAACGAAGGGUAGGCUUGUAUCCGUAACCCAUGUCACAGUGUUAAUGCUAACCGUGGACCUUAUUAUAUUAGUUGCUGGACUAUUAUUACUUUUGAAUUGCCAUCUUUGAAUUUACGUUCAUUUCUGCCUCGACAAGAUGUUUGUAAAAAUAUGCUAAUUAUUAAUGUGCCGUGUACAAAUAAGCAUGUUACUGUGCAAGGAUUGUAGUCAUGAUACAGUGGUGCAAAAUGUACAUGCUACUUCUUCUUUUCCUCAGUUAGGAUCACCGUCGUCACCAUUUAAUUCUAAGUCCACCCAUGCGGCCUAUGCAAUUGAAAUCAUGUGACCAUGUAAUUUUAGGUUCUGAUCUUCCUUGUGGGGUUAAACCUCAAAACUGUGACCAUUUUGGGACUUUUAAUCAGUUCCAAUCAUUUUCUGGUUCCCAUUCGUCCACCCAAGCCUUGAUUCCCCCGAUAUAGCAUUGCAAUAUAUAUAGGAAUAUUAAGGUUGUGUACAGUUUUUUUCUUUUCUGUUUUUAAUUUGAUAUAAAUUAUCAAUCAUGAAUCUACAUAAAGUUUCAACUAGGCUACUACCACAAUAAACAUUUGGAUGAACUAUUAUUGAAACCUUAUUGAGAAGUAGGACAUGUCGCAUACCAAUGCACUGACAUAUCUUCAAAUAGUGGUAACUCCACACAACAUGGCACAAUAAAUUAAGAGUUAUAUAGAUAAAAUCUUUCACUCUUUGGUAAUCAUCAAUGUCGGCAUGACAAUGCGUCCCACAAAUAUGGCUCCUUAUCAAAAUUCAUAAAUCAAAACAAAAAUAGAGAAUCAUAUUUGUUCUAGAUUGUAGUGAUGGUUGUUGAUGCACUCACAAUUUACAAUUUUAUUUAAUAUCUUCAAAUUCGCAUUUUAAAAUGCCCAAAUGUUUGUGUAUACAUAAUUAGUAAUCGAUUCUCAAGCAUGGCCAUUUAAAAGCAUUGCUGAAAGACAAAAUUUUAAUUUACUAUUUUUUGUCUUUUAAUUUUCUUUAAGUUUUUAAUGAUUCCGCAUUUUAAAAUCCUGUGGAACGUGUAUGUAAAAUUCUUUUAUCUUUUAGAGGAAAAUGGGCAAGAGAAGAAGAUUUGGCAAAGGAAUUGCAACCGCAUUUGGAGCUAGUUUUAAUUUUGUCUUUUAAUUCUUUUACACUUGGCUUUUGUUAUUGAUGUCAACUUCGAUGUGUGUGAAGACUCGAGCUCACUCCCUUAUGAGCUAGUUUUAUUUUUCUACUUUCACAUUAAGAAAAAUACUCCUAUUUUUAAGGAAAAGUCAAGUACCUGUAGUUGUGAAGACUCGAGCUCACUCCCUUAUGAUAAAUCUUCAUAUUAAUUACGUAAAUAUCCUCUAAAAUUUUAAAUUAGCUAUUCAAAAUUUGAUGUUAUACGGGUAUUUCAUUUAUUUGAGUAGGGGUUGGGGGUCAAUUGGAUACAAAUUCAAAAUUAUCCUUACUUGAGAUGGUGAUAAAAAUUGGGGAUUUAAUUUGGAUGUCAUUAGCUACAAAUAUUAAACUCAUACAUUUAAUUCAAAAUUGGAAAGCUGAUAUAUGCGCAUCAUCCCACAACCUCUCCAAUGAAAAAUUAACACGUUUCUUGUGUGCAUUUGAUCAGAAUCCUGAAAAUUAAUCACAAAAUUGUCCUGGAAAAAAAAAUGCUUACAUAAAUGGUUUGAAAAAUCUAGAUUUCAAGUUGUCUAUAUUAGCUUGAUAUUUUUAUAAAUAGUCAUCCUCUCAAAAAAAUUCCAUCAAAAUAUAUUUUAAUUUUAUGUUAAUUCAUAAACAUGAAAAAAUCAUUUCAGAAUUAAUUAAAACAUAAUUUAUUGUUUCUCAAAAAAGGUAGAACUUAGUGAUAAGAAAAAAGUAUCUCAAAUAUAUGUAAAAAAAAAAAAAUCUUGGUUAGUUGGAAUGAUUGAAUUUGUUUUUUUUUUCUUUUUUAAGAAUUAAGACAAUCGGAUUGAUUGAGUAAUAAUAAUAUAUAUUUAUUUGGCAAAUGGCAGGUAGGCUUUCGUCUCAUGCAGAUUGAUUAGAGAGAAAAUAUAACAAUUUUAAGCUCGUCAGAUUCGAAGCUGCUUUCCUGUCGUGUGGGGAUCACUUCCGUGUCUUAUUUUUCUAGAAAAAUCAGGACCAUUGGAUUUAUGCGAAUCGUACUGAACAUUGGAAUUGAUGUAUAAGAAAAAAAUUCUGUAGUUUAAGAAGAACAAAAAGGCAUGUUGAAUAGAUUACAAUAGUUUAAGGAAAAAAAUUAUUCAAUUGGGAAUUUUUUUUUCUUUAAUUUUUGUUGUACUUGAUUGAGAUUUCUCCUUAGUCCUUAGAGUUUUAAGUUUGGAAACCGUAGGAUCAGUAAUUUCGUACUUCCUUUGCAAGCUGAGUAUAAGGAUGAAAUUCUUUUAAGAAAUUAAAAAAGAUAAAAAAAAAGCAUACCAAUAGGUAAUUAUAAAUAACCACAAAUAAAUAUAAACAAAAUGUUUAUGAAGUAAAUUAAACAUGCUCAUAUUAUUUUCUUUUAUUUUCUGCUUGGAAACCCAUAAAUACACUAAUCCAGUAUUACUAAUUUCAGACAGAAAAUUUUGAAUUUAACCAGUAUACACUAAUCCAGUAUUAUUUUUAUUAUUAUUUUAAUUUGUUUAUAAAUUACUAUUUUAAUUUGUUUAUAAAUUACUAUUUUAAUUUUCACUUUUUAUUGGGUUGUUUAACGGAUUAGUGAAGCUGGUGGUCGUUGAUGCACUCACAAGGUACAAUUUUAUUUUAGAAUUUCAAAUUCGUAAUUUAAAAUGCAGGCACAUUAUGUAUACAUAAUUAUUGAUUUUCAUAUGUGGGUGUUUUGAAAUAUUGCCAAAAGACCAAACUUUAAUAAACUAUUUUUGAUCUUUUUUUUUCCUUUGUACCUAAAGUUUGAGUGAUAUCCGCAUUUUAAAUUCAUGUGGACCAAAAGCUAAUGUAUGCACAAAAUUCUUUUAAUUUUUUCCGAGAAAAAUGGGUAAGAGAAGAAGAUUUUUCUCUUGAAAAAGAAAAAAUAAUACGUUGCAAGCAUAGGAAAGAGGCCAGUGUUUUGGAUUUGAAUUUAGUAUUGGGUUGAAUUUUAUGCUAAGCUCUUUUAUAAUACUUUAUAGAAUAAAAAUGUAAGGGAUAUUUGGCUAGGCAUGUACUUUAUAGAAUAAAAAUGUAAUAAUGUAAGUCAGUGCAAUGAUCUGCUGUCAUAGUAGUUAUAAAUAUUUAUGUGUAAUACAGUAACAUGAUGCUUAAUCAGUUAAAAAAAAAUUGUAUAUCUUUUUUUAUUUUUUUUAUUGUGAUCAAUAUAACUAGUCAAAUUUAUUUUUAAAUAUUUUUUUAAAAAUAUUUUUAUCGUGUGUUUGCUCCAUUACAGGGUUUCUUCAAUUUAAAAUAGAGAAUCAUUUGUGUUCUAGAUUAAUCGUGGGUCUAUAUCCAAAUCCAAAAAUUGACUAACUUGAUUUCUAUUAAGUUCUCAACCCUAACAAGAAAAAUAAAAGAGUAAAAAUGACUAUUUUGGUUUCUAUUAAUUUGAGUAACGCUUAAUAUUUAUCAUACAAUAGUCACUUAUAUUAUCAAAAUCUUGGGUCGAAAAUAUUAGGAUAGGUGAUAAUUGGAAUUAAGUUGUAGAUAAGAUAGCCUUUCAAAAAAAAGAAAAGAAAAAAAGUUGUAGAUAAGAUAGAAAUGGAUUUGGAGAGAGAUUGGAAUCCUGGCUAAUCCGGUGCACGUUGUUGCGUUAAAUUCUCGUUGACUUCACGUUGACCGAAGCAUUAUUGGAAGAAACAAGCAAGCUUAUUUUCUUCUCUCAUUUUUUACUUUUGUCUAAAUUUAUUGAUGUGAGCCCUCUGAGAUGGUAAAGUGUUAAAUCUGAGAAGAGUACCCACACACCCAUUUGUUGGAGGAUUAACAAUUAAAACACACUAUUUUAUUUCUUCAACAACACUCCUCACCAAUUACAACUCUUAUUUUUCACUCUCUACACCUUAGAGAUUUUGCUGCUUCACUUGAUGUUUAAACCAAAAGGGAGAGGGGGUAUUUAUAUAUGAAACAAACUAAUCACAACCAUUCAUUUAUUCAACUAAUAAACACAUCCUCACCAUCCAUUAAAACCUACCACUCACCUACUUCACCAACCACACCUAACACACCUAACACAAAUAAUUCAAACCUCACCAACCAUACCUACUCAUGGAACCUUCCAUGAGUUGGGCUUGAUUUAUUCAUCUUGGAUCAAGUUUAUGAUCCAACACCUCUCCUUAAACUUGAUCCUGUGACACCAAGCAAACUUCUGAAUCUUACAAAGUCUUCUUGUUUGAGUGGUUUAGUGAAGAUAUCAGCUGCUUGAUCUUGUGAUUUUACAUACUUGAUUUGCACUUCUUUUCUUGCAAUACACUCUCUUAUGAAAUGAUAGCGAGUGGCUAUGUGUUUACUUCGAUCAUGAAAGACUGGAUUCUUGGAUAGGGCAAUUGCUGAUUUGUUAUCAACACAAAUCUCAGUUGGCUCUUCUUGUGCCAAACUCAACUCCUUUAGCAAAUUUCUGAGCCAAAUUGCAUGACAAACACUUGAUGUGGCAGCUACAUAUUCAGCUUCACAGGUGGAUAGCGUGACAAUUGGUUGCUUCUUUGACAUCCAUGUGAAAGCAGUAUCUCCUAUGAAGAACACAAAUCCUGUGGUGUUAUUUCGAUCAUCUACAUCUCCACCCCAAUCGCUAUCGCUAUAUCCAACAAGCUUGUAGUCAUUAGAAAAUGAGUAUAGCAAGCCGAAAUUAGUUGUACCUUUGAUGUAGCGAAGGAUUCUUUUUGCAGCUUUAAAAUGGGUGGUCUUUGGAUUCUCCAUGUAUCGGCUCACAAGUCCAACAACAUAAAGGAUAUCUGGUCUUGUGCAUGUCAAAUAACGUAGGCUUCCAACCAAACUUUUAAAGAAUGUUGGAUCUAUAUCUUCGCCUUCAUCAUGUUUGGAUAACUUGACUCCGCAUUCCACUGGCGUGCUUAUAGGCUUACAAUCAUUCAUCUUGAACUUCUUGAGAAUCUCCUCUGCAUAGCUUUCUUGGGAGAUAAAUAUGCUUUCUUCCUUUUGCUUGACUUCAAUGCCGAGGUAAUAUGCCAUCAGUCCGAUGUCAGUCAUCUCGAACUCUUUGAUCAUCACUCUCUUGAACUCUUCAAACAAGCCUGGAUUACUUCCAGUGAAAAUGAGAUCAUCCACAUACAGGCACACAAUCAAAAUAUCUCCAUAUUUUUCUUUGACGUAGAGAGCAUGUUCAUAUGGGCAUUUGGUGAAGCCUUUCUCUUGAAAAUACUUGUCAAUUCUGCUAUUCCAUGCCCUUGGUGCUUGCUUUAACCCAUAAAGAGCUUUCUUCAAUCUCAAAACUUUGUCCUCGUGUCCUUUCACCACAUAGCCUAAUGGUUGUUCGAUGUAAACUUCUUCUUCAAGGAAUCCAUUCAAGAAAGCAGACUUCACAUCCAUUUGAAAAAUCUUCCAUUUGUUCUGAGCAGCCAAAGAAAUAAUAAGUCUAAUAGUUUUAAGUCGAGCUACAGGAGCAAAUACCUCGUCAUAGUCUAUGCCAGCCUUUUGACUAUAGCCUUUUGCAACUAGCCUCGCCUUGUGCCUUUCAAUUUCUCCCUUCGCAUUUCUUUUUGUUUUAUACACCCAUUUGACACCGAUCGCCUUGUGACCUUUUGGAAGAGUAGUAAGCUCCCAAGUAUCAUUCUUCACAAUGGCUUUGAUUUCUUCAUCCAUUGCAAUUCUCCACUUCUCAUCUAGUGCAGCUUCUUGGAAGUUGACUGGCUCACAAUCAGCAAAGAGGCAAAAGAGAGUGAGAUUAUCAUGUCUCUCAGUUACCUCAUAGAGAUCUUGAAGACUCCUUGCACGUUCUUCGGUUCUUUCAUUUAAGAAAGACGGCGGUGAAUCUCCGCAUGUGGUUGGUGCUGGUGAGAUAGGUGGAGUGGCAGGCUCUUGUUGUUCGUCUACUUGUUUUACCUGUGUAUGAUCAUCUUCUUCAAUGGGAAAGAAGUUGAAGUCAUCCACACCAGAGCCAAAAUCUCAUUCUCCUUCUUCAUCAAAAAUUACAUCUCGACUGAUCACAAUCUUUCCGUUGUUUGGAUUGUAAAGCUUGUAUCCUUUGGAGUUGUUGUCGUAGCCGAUGAAGAUGAACAACUCACUUUUGUCAUCCAGCUUGGCUCUACUUUCGUCUGGUACAUGUACAUGGGCAAUGCUUCCGAAAACUCUUAGAUGGGUGAUGCCAGGUUUUCUUCCACUCCAAGCUUCUUGUGGCGUCUUGCCCCACACGCUUCUUGUUGGAGAUCGAUUGGAUAAGUAGAUUGCACAUGCAACUGCUUCAGCCCAAAAUUCUUUAGGUAGCCUCUUACUCUUAAGCAUGCUUCUUGCCAUGUCGAGGAUGGUUCUGUUCUUCCUUUCUGCAACACCAUUUUGUUGGGGGGAUCUUGGAACUGUCAAAGGGCGUCGAAUUCCAUUUGCUUCACAAAACUCUAAAAAUUCUUUGGAAGUGAACUCUCCACCUCGAUCAGAUCUCAUGGCUUUAAUCUGGUAUCCACUUUCUUUUUCAACUGCAGCUUUAAACUUCUUGAAAGCUUCAAAGACUUCUGAUUUUUGCUUCAAAAAAUACACCCAAGUUUUUCUUGAAAAAUCAUCUAUAAAAAGAAUGAAGUAGUUACUUUUACCAAGGGAGUUUGGCUUGAAUGGACCGCACACAUCAGUAUGAAUGAGCUCGAGUGGCUUCUGAGCUCUUGAGUUUGACUCCUUUGGAAAGCUCUUUCUGAACUGCUUGCCAAGUAAACAUCCUUCACAAAGUUGAUCAGGGUGAUUGAUGUAUGGUAAGCCUUUCACCAUGUUCUUCUUAGAGAGUAGCUCCAGUCCUCUAAAGUUGAGAUGCUCAUAUCGAAGAUGCCAAGUCCAGGAUUGAUCUUUGUGACAGGCUUUGAGACAUUUUGCAACAUCAUUUUGAAUAUUUAAAGGAAACAUUCUAUUCUUUGACAUUCUCACUUUUGUAUUUAGAUUUCCUUUUUCAUCUCUUAGAAAAAGACUAUAAUCUUUUAAGUGAAUAUCAUAGCCCUUUUUCUAAAAGUUGACCUAAACUAAGAAUGUUGCUUUUCAUAUUGGACACAUAGUAAACAUUCGAAAUUAUUUGGUGGCUACCAUCUUUUGCACGAAAAAGAAUGUUACCUCUACCCUUCACUGGUACUUUUGAAUCAUCUCCAAAAGUGACACUGCCAUUCACAAAUUCACUUAGUUGCACGAACAUGCUUCUGUUUCCACUCAUAUGAUUGCUAGCACCUGUGUCAAGAUACCAUGUAUUUUCUUGACCUCCAUUUGUGUCAUUGCGUGCUAGUAAAAGUGUGUCAUCUUCACCAUUUUUCUCUUCAGCAUAGUUCACUCUCUCUUUAAUUCUGGUGCUUGGAGCUCUGCAUUCUGAAGCAUAAUGCCCAAACUUUUGACAAUUAUAGCACUGUACUUGGGAUUUGUCAUACCUCGAUCUUGAAUUGCCUCUGCCUUGUUCUCUGGUUGAGCUUUCUCCUUUGGCAUAAUUGGAGUUGUUGUUGUUGAAAUUCCAACCUCGUCCAUGACCACGACCUCUACCUCGUCCUCGACCUCUACCUCGGACAUAGUGCCUUCUCUCAUUGUCGGAGCUUUCUUCUCUUUUCUUUGGAUUGACUUCCAUCUUGAGAAGUUGUUCUUCGAUUCCUUGCUUCUUUUUUUGUUUUUCUUCAUAGGCUUGCAACCUUCCUUGAAGUUGCUCGAUCGUCAUAUCCUCCAGAUCUCUUGUUUCUUCAAUUGUCAUAACAAUAUGAUCAAACUUCGAGUCUACUGAUCGAAGUAUCUUUUCAAUGAUCCUUACCUCUUUUAACUCCUCGCCAUUUCUUUUUAAUUCAUUGGAAACGGUCACAACUCGAGUAAAGUAGUCAGAAAUUGACUCCGACACCUUCAUGUGUAAGGACUCAAAUUCUCCUCGUAAUGUUUGGAGACGAACCUUCUUAACUUGCUCUGCUCCUUUGUAAGAGGUCUUUAGUUUCUCCCAUGCUUCUUUUGAGGAGGUUGUACCAGCAAUCUUUUCAAAAGCAUCUUCAUCUAAUGAUUGAAAGAUGAGAUACUUUGCUUUAUUCUCUUUCUUCUUCAAGUCUUUUAAAUUCUCCUUCUGCGCCGCAGUUAAAGUGGCUUCAUUUUCUGGCACAAUAAAGCCUUUCUCCACGACAUCCCAUACGUCAUGUGCACUCAAUAGAGCCUUCAUUUUAAUACUCCAAUUGUCAAACUUACUUCCUUUUAAUUGUGGAACUUGAAAUGACAUCAUCAUACCACCGUUUGCCAUAACUCACAAAUUGAGUGAGAAUUUGGAGAUUCUGAAUGCACAGAUGGAUCCGGCACGUCGAAAAACCUUGGGAAGGACUCGAGUCAACUUUCGGUCAACGGUCAACGUCGGUCAACGGUCAACACCGGCUUGGUAGUCUCGGUUCGGUCCGGAUUGGUUCAGCUCGAGUUGGCUCGGUUCGACUUGAUUCGGUUCAGCUCGGCUCGGCUUGGUUCAGUUCGGCUCAGCUUGGUUCAACUCGGUGAGUCGACUCAGCUUCAGGACAUAAAACUUCCGGCGGCAGGUGUGGGCGCGUACGGUCUCGGAUCGGGAUGAUUUUUGCGGCGUCACGUUCCUCUCGUCGAGAUCUUCGAUUUGAUAUGCUAUAUGACUAUAUAUAGCAUCAAACACUAGCUCUGAUACCACUUUGUUGGAGGAUUAACAAUUAAAACACACAAAAAACACACUAUUUUAUUUCUUCAACAACACUCCUCACCAAUUACAACUCUUAUUUUUCACUCUCUACACCUUAGAGAUUUUGCUGCUUCACUUGAUGUUUAAACCAAAGGGGAGAGGGGGUAUUUAUACAUGAAACAAACUAAUCACAACCAUUAAUUUAUUCAACUAAUAAACACAUCCUCACCAUCCAUUAAAACCUACUACUCACCUACUUCACCAACCACACCUAACACACCUAACACAAAUAAUUCAAACCUCACCAACCAUACCUACUCAUGGAACCUUCCAUGAGUUGGGCUUGAUUUAUUCAUCUUGGAUCAAGUUUAUGAUCCAACACCAUUAUCCUAUUACUCUUAUUUUAUCACAUGCAGAGACGUCAACGUUUGAUUCGCACGGAAAAAAAUUUGCGAGGAUUGUGAGGGUUGAUUCAAUAUAAUUUAGAUGCAAAGUGUUUACAAGUGCGAUGCUUCGUAAGUGCACCCGAAUCAUUAUAAACUCACCUUAUUUUCAUAGUGAUUAUUUCAUCUGCAUGUGAAUAUAAUCAUAUGUGGAGAUUUUUUUUUUCCCUAAACGAUGAUCUUCUCUAGUAUUGAGGUGUUAUAUCUUUUAAAUUAUAAUUAUUAUUAGUAAAAAACUGCAACUAUGAAAAAUAAAUUUAAUAUUAUGUCCUGAAUAUAAUUGUUAAAUAAUAAUUUUGACAAAAUUAAUGAAUAUAUACAGAUUUUUUUAUCAUAUAAAUGUAAAAUUAUAUCAACUUAGCUUCUAAGCUAUACAACGGUUACUAUUUACUAAAUACUUUAGUGUCGUAGUUUUUAAGAUAUAUUUAUCCACCCUCAAUCCCAAACAUAACCUGUAAGGAUAAAAAAUUUCAUCCUAAAAAUUAUACGUCUUGUGACUUAUUUAAUUUAUAUUUUUGUUAUUUAUAUUUAUUAAUUAUAGUCAUCUUUUAAUAAAUUACAAUUGAAGGAAGGUGGUUGAUGUUGUCGAGACACACACACAAAGAUAUAUUGGAAGUGCUUAUGUCCACUCGAAGUUGUGGGGAGUUAAUGCAUGUAUUGAUUUAUUGGGAGUGUUAAUGCAUGUAUUGAUUGAUUGAGUGAUUGAAUACUGUUUGAUUGCUUCAUAUCAAUUCUAGAAAGUUUAUUUCUUUGUGAAAUUUCAACGAAACGUGUUUUUUAGAAUAAUAAGGGUGUUUUAAGUAAUUUUAAAAAAUGAAUGGACUAAUUAGAAUUAAUUAUUAGGUAAUUAACUCGAAUUGUAGAGGGUAAGCAAACAUUUAUCCUAAUUAUAUUAUGAUAAAUCCUUUUCCAAUUAGAAUUAGGAAACCAUAGAUAUACUGAAUUUUUUUUUAUUUCCCUUCGCGAAAACGGAUCAGAGAAUUAGAAAACAAUCCUAGUGAUACUAUUGUUAGGUUUAAAACACUGCAUAGAUGGUAAAAACAUUGGAAUUGAUGUAGAUUAAUUUGUUAAUUGCUAUCGUACUGAACAUUGUUUUAUGCAAAUUAAUUUGAGAAUUAGAAAAAAGUUUGUUGCAUGCAAACUUUUUGUUUUAUGCAAAUCGUACUGAACAUUGGGACUGAUGUUUAAGAAAAAAAUUCUGUAGUUAAAGAAAAACAAAAAGGCAUGUUGAAUAGAUUACGAUAGUUUAUUCAAUUGGGAAUUUUUUUUCUUUAAUUUUUGUUGUACUUGAUUGAGAUUUCUCUUUAGUCCUUUCGUACUUCCUUUGUAAGCUGAGUAUAAGGAUGAAAUUCUUUUAAGAAAUUAAAAAAGAAAAAAAAGCAUGCCACUACGCAAUUAUAAAUAACCACAAAUAAAUAUAAACAAAAUGUUUAUGAAGUAAAUUAAACAUGCACAUAUUAUUUUCUUUUAUUUGCUGCUUGGAAACCCAUAAAUGCACUAAUCCAAUAUUACAAUUAAUUUCAAACAGAAAAAAUUGAACUCUAGGCUGCAGUUUGACUCAAAAUGAUGACCACUGGCUUCGCACCAUUCAACCGGUAUACAUUUCUACAAACCGAACAACGCUAUUGAUUUUUAUUUUUUUUUUUAAUUUGUCUAUAAAUUACUAUUUUAAUUUUCACUUUUUAUUGGGUUGUUUAACGGAUUAGUGAAGCUGGUGGUCGUUGAUGCACUCAUAAGGUACAAUUUUAUUUUAGAAUUUCAAAUUCGUAUUUUAAAAUGCAGGCACAUUAUGUAUACAUAAUUAUUGAUUUUCAUAUGUGGGUGUUUUGAAAUAUUGCCAAAAGACCAAACUUUAAUAAACUAUUUUUGAUUUUUUUUUUCCUUUUUACCUAAAGUUGGAGUGAUAUCCGCAUUUUAAAUUCAUGUGGAACAAAGCUAAUGUAAGCACAAAAUUCUUUUAUUUUUUCCGAGAAAAAUGGGUAAGAGAAGAAGAUUUUUCUCUUGAAAAAUGAAAAAAAAUACAAUGCAAGCAUAGGAAAGAGGUCAGUGUUUUGGAUUUGAAUUUAGUAUUGAGCUGAAUUUUAUGCUAAGCUCUUUUAUAGUACUGCGAUUAAUAAGCUAGCUCAGGAUUUGCUUUUGCUUUUACUUCAAGUAAAAGAAAGAGGAAGCCUUUUGUUUUUUUGUUUGAUUUUUGACUAUAUAUGUUACCUAUAUAGAGAGUUGAGGUAGCAGCCUUAAGUGAUGGUGAUAAAAAGAUUAAGCAGUGCACACAAUCUUACUGUCAUCCAGACCAUCCAGUGAUGGCUCUAGUUUUUUUGUUACGUUAGCUUUAGUGGAAAGAAGGGCCAAUUUAACAAAGACUAGAUUUGGUGGCUUACUAUGUUUAAUGUAAUGCUUAUUCUCAGCGCACACAAUCUUACUAUGUUUAAUGUAAUGGUUAUGUUGAAUGAUCUUCUAUGAUUGUGAGUAGUAUAGUAUAAUUGAAAAGGGCCUGGGCUCCUAUGAUGAAUAACAGUAACACAUUACUGUGAUUGAGAAAACUCAGUUCCAAUAAACUCUUCAUUUACUCAUUGCGGAGAUCGAAUGGCAAACAGAGAAUAGAAUGAAGCAGAAGAAUCUCAUUGUUAGGUUUUGAUGAUUUCAGAUGCUUUUUUUUUAAAAAAAAAUUGUGACAUCUUUGAUUUACGGCAGUUUUGCAGAAAAAAAAAACAUAUAAAAAUUAAGAGGGAUGAGUUAACUGACGAUUACAAUCAUUACAGCAAUGCUGAUGAGUGAUAUAUCACUUGAAAUUUACUUGUCAGUUGCUGAAAUGAUGAAAAAAAACCAACAAACGAUAACAGUAAUAAUGUUCCCUUGCUGAAAUUCAAUUUUGACUUUCGACUCUUGGCUUUUAUGGAGAGUAAAAUGACUUGUAUAUUAUACUCAUACAAUCCACUCUACAUAAUGAUAUCGUUUUAAUAAGGCAAUGGCUGAUGAUCUCCAUUUAAAAACUACAUCAAUUUUUUUGCUUCAUUUAACUUUUUGGUUGUUGAAAAUAACCUUAAUUAUCAAAUAAUUGGAGAAAGAGUUAAGAACAUUUAACAAAUUUAUGUGCAAAAAAAAAAAAAAAAGGAAGAAGUUGAAGAGAAAGGGUGCUUGCAGAAGUGGGUGUCAAAGAUAAAUCGGUCCAUAAGAAUUAUUGUGGUUAUUUUUUGGCAAUAUAAAAAUUUUUUAGCAAGUAAAAAUAAUUUUUUUUCCGAUUUACUAAAAAAUUAACUAAAAACUUCUGCGAUGUCAUUUUUUAUGGGUGCAUAUACCCUCCCUUUAAAAAAUUUAUAAUAAUUACUGCUUAAUAUAGUAUUAAAUACGAAAAAUAUCAAUAUUUGACUACUCAAAUUUAUAUCAUUAGGUCCUUAAAAUUUAAAAUGGAAGAUAUGAAAGGAAAUAUAUAUAAAUUUCAUUGUCCUGGGAAAGGACCCUCUUAUUAUCUUAUAAUAUUUGAAAUUUGAUAGAUUUUUUGAAACAAAUGUACUUUUAUUUGUGUACAAUCAAUAUUUACUCAUUUAUUAUAUUUUAAUUUAUUAACUAUCAAUCAUGUAAGUAUACUUAGUCAAAAAAAUUAUAUCAAGAGAGAAUUCUAAUUUCACGCAAAAACAAAUACCAAAACAAAUAUCUCAAUUUCUAUACUAUUCACUUUCCUGUAGAAUCAAUUAUUUAAAAUGCAAGUUUGUGGCUACAGAAAACUCGCCAAAGAAAGAAGAUAAUAACAAUUGAGCAUUGAUGGCAAAACUAAUGCAUCCAAUUCUUCUUGACUUGAUGAGAUGGCGCCAUAACGUAGAAACAAGUACCUAAAUUGACCGGCACUGAGUGGUGUGAAUACUACCAGCCAGUUCAUCUCUUCCAGUCUUGCUUAAUCACAAUCACAAACACCACGAGAUCGACAUUUGCAUUAUAUAUAUCUUCUGCAAUCGAAACACCUUGCAUUACCAAAUAAGCCCGUAACAGACAAAGCAAUCUUUCAUGGAGAGAAACCUUAGUCUCAGUAUGAUCACUGUGUCAUUAACGUACUGCCUGCUUCUUUGCUUGGUUGCUGCAGCAGCAGCAGCGGCAAGCAACAAUAUUACCACAGACCAACAAGCUCUUCUUGCCCUGAAAGAUCAUAUAAUUUAUGAUCCGACCAGCCUUUUAGCUCACAAUUGGACCUCGAAUACCUCUGUUUGUACCUGGAUUGGCAUCACUUGUGAUGCCAAUAGCCAUAGAGUCACAACCUUAGAUAUUUCUCAAUUCAAUCUACAAGGCACCAUCCCUCCUCAACUUGGGAACCUCUCUUCACUCACAACACUUAAUCUUAGUCAUAACAAGCUUUCUGGAAACGUUCCCUCCUCCAUCUACACCAUGCAUACGCUAGAAUUUCUUGACUUCACUGAUAACCAGCUCUCUGGUUCAGUGACUUCCUUCGUCUUGAACAUGUCUUCAAUAUUAGACAUUCGUUUGACCAAUAACAGACUUUCUGGUGAGCUUCCGAAAAAUAUUUAGAGCUAUCUUCCUCAUUUGAAAGCCCUUUUUUUGGACAAAAACAUGUUUCAUAGCAAACUUCCUUCUGCUUUAUCAAAGUGCAAACAACUGCAACAAUUAAAUUUGAAGUUCAAUAAUUUAUCCGGUGCAAUACCAAAAGAAAUCGGCAACUUGACUAUGCUCAAAGGGAUAGACCUCGGCUACAACAAACUCCACGGUAUGUUCAUAAUACUAUACAAAUAUUAUCUUUCUUGAAUACUUUAGAUAAGAUCUUGUAUGUGAGAUUUUUUUGCAUCUAUAUUAAUUUUCCAGGUGAGAUACCGCACGAAAUCGCUAAUCUUCCAAAUCUAGAGGCUUUAGCGCUUGGAAUGAACAACCUAGUUGGUGUGUUACCAGCUCCAAUCUUCAACAUGUCAACACUGAAUGUACUUAUCCUCAUAAAUAACUCUCUCUCCGGUAGUCUUCCAUCAAGAAUGGACCUUUCACUUCCAACUAUUGAGCAUCUUAACUUUGCACUUAAUAGAUUUUCUGGAACAAUUCCUAGUUCCAUAACCAAUGCUUCUAAGCUCACAUUUCUAGAGUUGGGAGGAAACACAUUUUCGGGCUUUAUUCCAAACACAAUUGGUAAUUUAAGAAACCUUGAGUUGUUCGGCUUGGUUUUUAACUACUUGACAUCUUCGAGCUCAAAAUUGAGCUUUCUUUCCUCUUUGGCAAAUUGCAAGAAAUUAAGAGUCAUAGGCUUAACAGGCAAUCCACUCAACGGCAUCCUUCCAAGUUCAGUAGGUAAUCUUUCUAUGUCUUUGAAAACACUUCACAUCGCCAAUUGCAGUAUUAGUGGCAACAUUCCUCCAGCAAUUAGCAAUUUAAGCAACUUGUUGGCCUUAGUAUUAGAAGGCAAUAAAUUGACUGGACCAAUCCCAACUACAUUCGGCCAACUACAGAAACUCCAAGGCUUAGAUCUCGCAUUCAAUAAGUUGGUAGGUUCAUUCCCAGAUGAGCUUUGCCAUCUAGCUAGGCUGGAUGAAUUGGUCUUAUUUGGCAAUAAGCUUUCAGGAUCUAUACCUUCAUGCUUAAGUAACCUCACUUCUCUGAGAUCUCUCCACUUAGGGUCCAAUAGGUUUACUUAUGUCAUUCCCUCAACUUUCUGGAGCCUAAAAGACAUCUUGUUCUUUGACUUUUCAUCAAAUUUCUUGGUUGGUCCUCUUUCUUUAGACAUAGGAAAUUUGAAGGUGCUUCUAGGAAUAAAUUUAUCAGAAAAUAACUUAUCGGGUGAUAUGCCAGCCACAAUUGGAGGACUAAAAAACCUUCAAAUUAUGGACCUAACAUAUAAUAGACUGGAAGGGCAAAUUCCUGAAUCAUUUGGUGACUUGACAAGUUUGGAGGUUUUGAAUUUGUCAAAUAAUAAAAUCUCUGGGUCUAUUCCAAAAUCCAUGGAGAAACUCUUUUACCUUCGAGAGUUAAAUCUCUCUUUCAAUGAACUAGAAGGUGAGAUUCCUAGUGGAGAAAUUUUUACCAACUUCACAGUUGAGUCAUUUAUGGGAAAUGAGUUAUUGUGUGGUUUACCAAAUCUUCAAGUCCAACCAUGCAAACUUAGCAAGCCAAGGACAGAACAUAAAUCAAGGAAAAAGAUACUUCUCAUUGUGAUUGUUUUGCCAUUGAGUAUUGCUCUAACAAUAGCAAUCACUCUACCUCUCAAAUCUAAGCUGACCAAAUGUGGAAAAAGAUGCACAGUGUUGUCAAAUGAUAGUGUCUUGUCAUCACAAGCAACACUAAGAAGAUUUUCAUACUUAGAACUUUUACAAGCAACAGAUAAUUUUGCUGAAAACAACGUAAUUGGCAUAGGUGGUUUUGGUUCUGUUUAUAGAGCAAGACUUGAAGAUGGGAUGAAGAUUGCAAUAAAAGUGUUUCACCAGCAAUGUGCAAGCGCAUUGAAGAGUUUUGAGGCUGAAUGUGAAGUGUUAAAAAAUAUUCGCCAUCGAAAUCUUAUCAAAGUUAUCAGCAGUUAUUCAAACAAUGACUUCAAAGCAUUAGUCCUAGAAUACAUGUCCAACAGGAGCUUGGGGGAUUGGUUGCAUUCCAGCAAUUAUAUGCUGAAUAUAUUUCAAAGGUUGAACAUAAUGAUUGACGUUGCAUCAGCUUUGGAAUAUCUCCACUUCGAUCAUUUACCUCCUAUUAUUCAUUGUGACUUAAAGCCUAGUAAUGUAUUGUUGGAUGAAAAUAUGGUUGCUCAUUUGAGUGAUUUUGGCAUAGCAAAGCUUUUAAUUGGGGAGGAUGUGUAUGUCAUGCGAACAAAAACCCUUGCCACUAUAGGUUACAUCGCACCAGGUUUGCUUCAAACAACUUUUUUUUAGUUCAUUUUAAAUUUUCUAAAUCAUUGAUUUUUACGAUCCUCAUAUCAAAUUGUUAUUGAUUAUUUAUCUAAUUGUGAAAUUAAUUUGAUUCAUAGAGUAUGGCAUAGAAGGAGAAAUAUCUACAAAAAGUGAUGUUUACAGCUAUGGGAUUAUGUCGAUGGAAACUUUUACCAAGAAAAAACCCACAGAUGAAAUUUUUGUUGGAGAAUUGAGCUUAAAGCGUUGGGUUGAUGACUUGCUUCCUGAUUCAUUAGUGGAAGUUGUGGACAAAACUCUAGUAAGUGGAGAGGAAAAACAUUUUGCCGCAAAGGAGCAAUGUCUGUUGUCUAUCUUUAGUUUGGCUCUGGAGUGUACAAUGGAAUCACUGAAAAAGAGGAUCAAUGCAAAAGAUAUUGUUACCAGAUUACUCAAGAUAAGAGACACAUUGAGUAAAAGGAUAGGAAAUUUAAGUUAAUAUCGUUUGCUUUCAUUGAUAGUUAUUUUGAAUUCAUGUAAUAAGUGUACGAACCUUAUAUCUUUUCCUUUGAUAUUUUUUUCCUUGAGAAAACUAUUGUAGUCAUCUUAUUUCCAUGGGCAGAGUUGAUUUAGUUCUUCCAAGAAAUGCUACUGAUGACCUUUGUUUUAUACUUUCUCUUUUUUUGCAUGUGUUUAGGUAGAACAGUGGUUUGGCUGCAGGCUAAGAAGACUAACUACACUAAAAGAAUAUGAUUUAAUUUAUUAAACAAAACUUCAAGAAAAGUAUUUCACUGCCCCCAAUGCUUUGGACACCUACUGGUGGGUUUGUACGUGUCCUCAACUUUUUUUUGGAGCACAAAAUUCGAGUCCCAUGGAGACUCAAACAUUCCUUUCCCACAUCUCGAGCACGCUAAAUUUAUCAGACUGACAACUGGGACAUAUACAAGAGUGAAAUGUUUAGAGCACUCUAAGUUCGAGUGAAAGAGAUUAAUUUACAGAAAAUAAAGCCAAGGGUUCAGAAAAAAGUGCAAAGAGAAUAAAGGAACGUCUGAGCUAUUUAAAGCUUCAUGGAAAGUUGAAGGCUCUCCAUAUUUUGUUAGAAGAUAGUAUGCAACAUUGAUCUCUGUGACAUACUCCGAGUGCCACGUUGGCGGUCGUCUCUCACGAGUUGACCGACGAAUUUCUUGAGCCUCGGACUCGACUAGUUCUUGUUCCUCGUGCUCUGGUGCUGCUUCAGAAGAAUUUGAAUCUUUUGAAUUAUUUUUCACAUAUACCGGUACAGUCUCUGACUUUUCUUUUACAGUGCUAUCAUCCUCAUCUUUCCUUUGCAAUUGAUCUUCUAUAAAAAUAACAUCUCUGCUGAUGACGAUCUUGUGGGCAGUGGGAUCCCACAGACGAUACCCUUUUACUCCAUCAGCAUAUCCCAAGAAGAUACAUCUUCUAGAUUUUGCAUCCAGUUUUGUUUUUUCUUGAGCAUUGUACAUCACGUACACAGGACAUCCAAAUGUAUGUAGGUAGGAAUAAUCAGCUGGCUUUCCAGUCUAUAUCUCCAUCGCUGUCUUCAGCCCAAUUACUGUAGAUGGUGAUCGAUUUACUAUAUAACAGGCAGUUUUGGCUGCUUCUACCCAAAAUGAAUUGGGUAGACCAGCAGUCCUCAACAUAGCUCUUAUCCGUUCUGUAAUAGUUCUAUUCAUCCGCUCUGCCACUCUAUUUUGUUGAGGAGUGUAUGCCACCGUGAACUGUCUCUGAAUACCUUCUUGCUUACAGAAAACAAGAAACUCGCCGUCUAUAUACUCUCCACCAUUAUCUGUCCUCAAGCACUUGAUCUUUUUACCAGAUUCAAGUUCUACCGUGCUUUUAAACACUGGAAAUACAUCUGACUUUUUCUUAAUUGGAUACACCCAACAUCUUCUGGAAUAAUCAUUAAUGAAAGUCACCAUGUACUUUGCACCUCCCAUGGAUAUAUCCGGUGAUUCCCAAAUAUCAAAAUGAAUCAAGUCUAUAAUGCAUUUACUUCUAGCAAUAGAUCUACUGAAUUUUAAUUUAUGCUGCUUACUUGUAACACAAUGCUCGCAAAAUGGUAAACUUACCGAUUUGAGCCCCGGAAGCAAUUUUCGCUCAAAGAGAAUCUUCAAUCCUUGUUCUGACAUGUGGCCAAGUUUGAGAUGCCACAUCAUCGUUGACUCUUCUCCAUUUGACGCGACACAUGCAUCAGCCUCUUGUAGUGUUUCUCCUUUAAGCAUGAAUAAAUUAGCACCGAUCUUUUCUGCCUUCAUCAAUACAAACGCACCUUUAACGAUCUUCAUAAUUCCAUUCUCCACAUGAGUUUUGUACCCAUGACUAUCCAUUUGUCCCAAAGGUAAAAGAUUUUUCUUCAGGCCGUUGACAUGUCGUACCUCCCUAAUUGUGCGAAUUGUACCAUCAAACAUUUUUAUUUUGAUAGUACCAAUACCAACGAUCUCCAAGGCAUGAUCAUUACCCAUAUAUACAGAUCCUCCUGAGAUAGGUUCAUAUGUGUGGAACCAUUCUCUCCGAGAGGUCAUGUGUCAGGUAGCUCCUGAGUCUAUAAGUCAGACAUCAGAUAGUCGUUUUCUGCCUUCUAAAACAGUUGUUGCCUCGCUGUAGAGAAUUUCGCCAUCAUCCGAGGUACUUACGACACAACCCUGAGCAUUUGAUGACUUAGGUUCUUUGCCCACUCUUGUCUUCUAAUUACUCCAACACUCUUUCUUGACGUGCCCUUUCUUGCCACAGUUGUAGCAUUUAACAUUCUUCUUACUUCUAGAUUUUGAUCUACCAUGAUUUUGACUCCCAUUGGGGCCACGUUCCGUUGAUCUCCCUCUCGUCACCGAUAGCGCCUCCGCUUGCUGCGAACUUGCUUGUCUGUUUUUCUUAUUUUUUCGUCUGCUUUCCUCAUUUAAUACAGAGGCUGCAACAUCGUCGAAAACUAGACUGUCCACUGGAUUGCUGUUCGUUAGGUUGAUGAUGAGUUGAUCAUACGAAUCUGGUAGACUUUGAAGUAGAAGCUCUGCACGUUCAUUCUCCUCUAUAUUAUGACCCAACGUUGUAAGUUGUGAAAAUAGAGUCUUCAAGGUGUUGAUGUGAUCGGUUACCAUUAUAGAUUCCGCCAUUUGAAGAGUAUAAAGUUUCCUCUUCAAGAAGAUUUUGUUGUGUAGUGACUUGGCCUCGUACAAUUUUGUGAGAGUAUCCUAAAUUUCCUUCGCUGUAUUUUUCUUUGCCACACUGGAUAAUACUCCGUCUGCAAGUGCCAAGUGUAGAUCAGAAAUGGCAUUGCCAUCUAUCUCGUUCCACUUGUCAUCAGUUAUCUCCAUGGGCCUUUCUCCAAUUGCUUCCAAGUAAUUAUUUUUCCUCAAUACAACUUUCAUCUUAAUUUUCCACAACGAAAAAUUAUUUUCGUUAAAUUUCUCAAUUUCAUACUUUGCUGUCAUUUUGUUGAUAAAUAUUGUACACAAACUAGUGUAUCACCUUGAAUAGUUGUGAGUAUGUGUAAGAAUGCACACCAGAAAAGUUCCUAGGAAAGACUGGAGGGGUCACAAUAGUCCCACUUAAAACUCAGACUCCUUAAGCUCUUAUCGCCUUUGUGACAGAACUUUCCUAGACAUGUAUAAAACCACACAAUUGCUUUACUCACACCACUAUUCCCUGCUUUGUACCGCCAAAUUCUUCGAUCGCUCCCACCGUUUCACGUGAAUAGUACUGUAUACGUGAACAGUACCGUGUACGUGAAUAGUAUCCCUUACGUGAACAGUACCCAACUCUAAAAAAUACAAUAAAUAGCUCUGAUACCACUGUUAGGAAAUUGGUGGGUGAAGCAGGACCGCAGCUAAUAUGAAAUUGGAAGAAAAUAAAGAACAAGGACAAAAAGAGGAUACCAGAAAUUACGUGGUUCGGCUUUUAACCUACGUCCACGGGCGAAAACAGAAGGAAAUAUUUUACUCGUAAAAAGGAGUUACAAGUAUUGUAGUAUUUUAGCUCACUUUCCAAAAUCCCAAUACACCCAAACUCUCAAAACACUAAAACAAGAGCUUAUAAUUUCAAGCUCUCUAAACUCUCUCUAAAUACAAGAAAACUCUUCUCAAAAUUGGAUAAGCAAAUGAGGGAAUGAGCCCCUCUAUUUAUAGCCAAAAUCUUGGCUACUAUUCACUUUUUUUUAAAAAUUAUUUAUUAUUGUUCAAAAUUUCAACAUUCAAAGUUUGAUAUUCAAACUUUGAAUAUCUAGAAUUUUGAAUUUGAUAUUCAAAGUUUGAAUAUCUAGAAGUUUGAAUUUGAUAUUCAAAGUUUGAAUAUCAAGACACCCAAUCUUGACACUAAAUUCACCAGACUGACAACUGGGGCAUAUAGAAGAGCGAAAUAACUGGGACAUAUACAAGAGUGAAAUGUUUAGAGCACGCUAAGUUCGAGUGAAAGAGAUUAAUUUACGGAAACUGAAGCCAAGAGAAUAAAGGACAACACUUACGUGAAGCGACAUAAUUGUAUUGAAAGCACAAUGUCAAAUUCAUACGGAGAUCUAGUAUAUUAUUUACAGCUGGUGAGGGCUAAGAAUUGAUGUAGCUAGAAUACAAAGACGAUAAGGUAUGUUGUGCACUAUUGUUUUAUUCUACGAUCAAUCUUGACCCUUGAUGCUUGGCUCUCAAUCUUGUCCAUUGAUCUUCUUUGAUUUUGGACACUUCAAGACCUUUCAGUAUCAUUCCUUGUUGUUGGUGUCUUCCGUGCUGUAGAAUUCAUAUACAAGCCUUCCCGCCGACUUGCCAAGUAUUCGUUCAUUGAUGCAUUUUUAUCAAACAGCUGGGCUACUUAUGCCAAACACCGCCUGGUUUAACUCCCCCUCUCUAGCUCAACUAUCUGGGAAGACAAUUAAUUGAGAUAUGAAUCAGAAAAUUAAAUUUUAAAAAUUGUAUUCGGACUCUACAUUUUGUAAUGAACAUUGGUUUGACUUGUUAUACAUUUAUGCGUACAUAAUUAAUAACCGAUUCUCAAGUGCGGACAUUCAAGAGCACUGCUUAAAGACCAAAUAUUUUGAUUUACUAUUUUUUGUCUUUCAAUUUUCUUUUAAGUUCUGAUGACGUCCGCAUUUUAAAAUCCUGUGGAACAAAGGCCUGACGUGCAUAUAAAAUUCUUUUAUUUUUUCAGAGGAAAAUGGGUUAGAGAAGAAGAUUUGGCAAAAGAAUUGCAACGGCAUUUGAAACUAGUCUUCGUCUUUUAAUUCUUUUAUAUUUGUUUUUGUUAUUGAUGUUAGCUUGGAUGUGAACCCGUGUGACUGAAUUCAACUUAUAUUUGUUUUUGUUAUUGUUAUUAAUUUUAUUUGUUUUUGUUAAAUUGGACCACCAACAAGGGCGGUCCAUUAUCAAAUCAACACGGUUUAAUUAUUAUUAUUUCUACACUUUUUUUAUGAACAAAUAUAAAAUAAAAGGACAUUUACACCCUCAAUUUUAGUGAAAUAGUCAUUAACACCCCUAAAUUUUUAAAAGUAGACAUCAAGAUCAUUUUUUUACCUUAAUACUCUUAUACGGUACCUCUAUUAUUCCCAAAAAUUGAUUCUAAUGUUUUAUAAUAAAUAAAAAUAAAACAUUAAAAUAAAUGUAAUAACAUAUAUAUUUUAAAAUAAUUUCAAUAUUUAAAAAAUAUUUUUAACAUUUUACAAUCUAUUAACUAUAUUUUAUUAUAUUGAAGUAAAUUUUAUAAUAAAUAGAAUCAUAUUAUUAAAAUAAAUGUAUUAAAAUUUAAAUGAUUUUGAAUAUCAUGUACAAUAAUAAUUUUAACAUUACUAAUAUGUCAGAUUUUUUUUUAAGAAUGUAUUUAGUGCAAAUAUUUCUUUCAAAUCUCCACAAUAAAUAAAAGAUUAAAAUAAAUAUAAUAAUUUACAUAUCUAAAUUUAUUAAAAUAUUUUAAUAUUGUUAGUCUACUGCAUAGAUCACAAUAUUUAUAUAAUAUUUGUAUUUAUUAAAAACUUUAAAAUCAAUUCUUUUGAGAAUAAUAGAGGUAAAGGGUAUAAUGGUCAAAAUGGGGACUUUGUACUCCUUUUUGAAAACUUGAAGGUGUUGGUGGCUAUUUUUCCAAACCUUCAGGGUGUAGAUGUCAUUUUUCCACAAAUAUAUGAGAAAAUUAUCAAGAAAUACAGUAUCUGAACUCUGAAGUAACAAGGAUCACCUUUUAUGAAAUCGAUUGCUUUUCAUGAUAGACUGUUACUAUUUUUCUACAAUAGAUUGAAUUUAGUAAAAAAUUGAUUAAGAUGUCUACUCAUGGAGAGUGAAAUUUAUGUUCAAUACUAAUUUCAACAUGCAUGCACCACCGAACGUGUUUCUCACGGAAAAGUUGCUUGGAUUUUUGGGACUUCCUGUUCAAAUAUUCAACACGGCAUGCACCACGCGAUUGAACAUGCAAAAGUAGGGGUCUAUUAUCAUUUCCAGCAUUAUAGAAAUCUUAAUUUUGUUCAUUAUUUAUUUUGAUCAGCACUGUUGAAUCUCCAUGUAUUGCCAAUCACUGGGAAACAACAUAUUCUUAUUAAUUAUAUCCUCUAAUGGAGAGAACUCAUUGUCUCAGUGUAAGAUCACUGUGUCAUUAACCCACAGCCUGCUGAUUUGCUUGGUUGCUGCAGCAAGCAAAAAUAUUACCACAGAUCAAAAAGCUCUUCUUGCCCCAAAAGAUCACAUAACUUAUGCUCCAACCAAUCUUUUGACCGAAAAUUGGACCUCAAAUACCUCUGUUUGUACGGGGAUUAGCAUCACUUGUGAUGUCAAUAGCCGCAGCCUUGGAUAUUUCUCAAUUCAAUCUACAAGGCACCAUUAUUCCAAACACAACUGGUAAUUUAAGAAACCUUAAGUGGCUCGGCUUGGCUUAUAAACUACUUGACAUCUUCAACUUCAAAAUUGAGCUUUCUUUCCUCUUUGGCAAAUUGCAAAAAAUUAAGAAUCUUAGGCUUACUGGAAAUCCACUUGACCGUAUCCUCUCACGUUCAAUAGGUAAUCUUUCUAUGUCUUAGGAAAGAUUUCACGUCGCCAAUUGCAGCAUUAGUGGCAGAAUUCCUCAAGUAAUCAGCAAUUUAAGCAACUUGUUGGCAGUUGUGCAAAAUUUUAAUAUACUCGCAAGUGCACGAAUCUAGAAAUAGAAUAAUGGUAAUGAGGUCAAACCCAUAGGGAUUGUUUUAAAAUGACAAAAGAAUAGCUGCUGGUCUAGAGGUGGCUUACUACAUUCAUACAAGAUCGUUUCUUGUUCUCUAAGAUGUGCAUUAUACUAAUAAUGCUAUACAAACUUAUCCAAAGGUCUAUUAAUUAAUUCAUUAAUCCAACGGCUUGUUAGGUUGUCCUUUCAUCCAUACAGCUGCAUGCUUGUCUUCAUAUACACUGAUCUUAUCCUCUAGAUCUGUUCAGGCUGAGUGAUCUCUCACAUUUGCCAUAUCAGAAGAUUACAUGCCAGUAAUGUCAUGUGAUGACCUGUUGCUUGGUGAUGUCGAAUGCCUGGCCUUUACUUCUCUGAGCAAAUUGAUCAAACAAUUUGUUCAUUUUAUCGAACACCUUCACCAACUAACAUUUUAUUUACUUUGGAUGGUUUUUAAGUGCAUUUAAUGAUUAUUUUUGCUCCAACUUCAGAUAAACCAAACGCCAGUAUAUUAGAAGAAGAAGUUAACUGGCAGCUAACCAGGUCAAAAUAGCGACUCUAUAUAAAAAAAAUAUAUAAAAUAAAAAAAUGGGACUUUAUUUAAUUAAUUGUUGGUCUAAAGCUGUUGGUAUCCGUUGGCCACGUUUCUGAAGAGUCAUCUCAAAUCGAAAUUUUUAACGAACAAAGGACAUUGCUGCUGGCUGCCGCCCGUGAGAUAAAAGUGCUAAAAUCCAAAAUGUUCCACCAUCAUUUAUUCUAAUUUUAAUUUUCCAAUGGAAAAAAUUACAUAAUUAAAAUGGCUUCUAAUAUCAUUUCCACACCUCAAUAUGUGUCACUAUCAUAAAGUUGUUCUCAUGAUUCAUGGAAAAUUUGGAUUACAGCACCUGUACUUUCUGAUGGUUCAUUAUUUAUUCUCAGGAAUCGAGUCUCCUUACAUUACCAAACUAAUAACAAACAGGAAUCUUUUAUCCUUUCACGGUGAGAAAUUACAGUCUUCGUAUGAUCGCAGUGCCAUUAACCCACUGCCUGCUUCUUUACUUGGUUGUUGCAGUAGCAGCAGCAAGCUACAUUACCACAGACCAACAAGCUCUUCUUGCCCUGAAAGCUCAUAUAAGUUAUGAUCCAACUAAUCUUUUGGCUCAAAAUUGGACCUCAAAUACCUCUGUUUGUAACUGGAUAGGCAUUACUUGUAAUGUCAAUAGCCAUAGAGUUACAGCAUUUGGAUGAAUUUUUAUUGAAACCUUUCUGAGAAGUAGGACAUGUCAGACAUCAAAGCACUGAGAUAUCUUCAAAUAGUGGUAACCCCACUCAUCAAGGCACAAUAAAUUAUACAGAUAAAAUCCUCCACUCUUUCGUAAUCAUCGGUGUAGGCACGGUGAUGCGUCGGACAGAUAUGGGUCGGAUCCACUCCAGCUCCAUAUCAAGAUUCAUAAACCAUGACAAAAAUAGAGAAUCAUAGGUGUUGCAGAUAGUGAUGGUUGUUGAUGCACUCGUAAUUUAAAAUUUUAUUUUAUAUCUUCAAGUUCGCAUUUUAAGUGUACAUUUUUUUUUUAUUUUGUGAUCAAUAUAACUUGUCAAAUCUAUUUUUAAAUAAUUUUUUAAAACAUUUUAUUAACAAUGAUAUGAAAAUAUUCGACCCCUUUUCAUAGUAAAGUGAAUUAUUAUCCGACAAUCCAACUCAUGUUUUCAAAUUGUAAAUUGCAAAUCGUGUGUUUGCUCCUGUUAGAGUGCAAUUUAUGCACUAGUUUUGCAUUGUUUACUUCCCUUAAUAUCGAUGUUUUGCACUUAAUAAUAAUGAUUUACUUGUGUUUUACUUUUGUAGGUGCAAUUCUAUUGAUUUGUGAUAAAAUUGAGCUAUAAGAUGAUGUUUAAAGAUGAUUGUUCUCUUGGAGAAAUGAUGAGCGUCAGAAGAACUUUGUUGAUAAGGCGUGAGCGCGUGCUGUCAACUACGGGCCUGCUGUUUUUAGUUUAACGUGUUUUGUAUUUUUGGUUAUUUUUGUAAUUACGAAUUUAAUAUUUCAGAUAUUAGUAUUUUAUUUUAAAUAGAAUUCUAGAGGAGAAGAGAGAGAGAGUAUUUAAGGGAGGAAUCUAUUGUGAAAAAAGGGGAUUUUGGAUUGGAGGAAAAGAAAAGAAACCCUAGAUCUAAUUUUUCUCUUCUCUCUAUGAAGAACUAAACUUAUUUUUCUGGUUGAAGGAUAAUGAAGCUUUGAUUCAUCACUACUGUGAGAUCUUUCUUGUGCUUUAAUUGUUUUAUUGCUUUUUGGGUAUUUGUUUAUUCUCUGAAUUAUUUUCAUGAUUAUGUUUGUUAAUUAGAUAAUUGGCCACUAUUUAAUUAUCAACUUAAUCUAUUGUUAAUUAAAGGAUUUAUCGUAUGAAGAAUUUAAUGUUUGUGACAAAUAACAUAGCAGAGAGUUGUGUUGUGAGAAUAAACAAUCUAAUUUAAAUGAAUCAUCAUAUGUGUUGAUUAGGAUUUAGGUCUCUCUGGUUUUUCAGGCUGUCAAUUGAUUAAAUCCUAUGAUCGUAUCUAGGGUUGUCCAUUGAUUAGGGAAAUAUCCAACGGUCGUACCUUGGUUAUCGACUAAUUAAGGAGAGAUUGGCUAUUAGAGGGUCUCAGUAGCUAUAACCGGUCUAUUCAUAAGUAAUAAUAAUUUAUAUUUGAAUCAAUGAUCAGUAGUCGAAUCAAGCUGAGUUAAUUCCUUCAACCGGAGCUUUCUCCAAUUUGAAUUACAACUUUAAUUUGCAUUCUUGUUAUUUUAAUUUGAUUUUUAUUAUUGUCAACAAUUCCCCCAUUUUACGUUUUACGUUUCAAAAGGAUUUAAAUAAUUACCGAUCUCUGUGGACACGACCCUGCUCAAUCACUAUACACAAUUUAUUUAGAGUAGGAAUUUAUUUUUGUUGGCUUCGACAACCAUCAAAUUUUGGCACUGUUGCCGGGGAUUGGUGUCAUUUAUUUAAUCCUUUUUACGUUUUACUUGGUGUAUGAUUCGUUCUUCUCGUACAGGUACACUUUCGUUUGAUCCUGAAAUUGAGAAGAUAGCUCGCCACCUGAGACAGCAGACGAAGCGAGCUAAGCAACGAUCCUCGUCACCUUUGCUUUCUGAAACAGAUACGGUGCUUGAUUUAGUUGAAUCAUCUAGCGAUUCGGAAGAACAAGUGAUGGAUAGAGUUGCACCUGUAGAAAGAACUCUUAGAGAGUUAGCUGAACCAGACUUGAAUCAACAACCACUCUGCAUUCAAUAUGUAGACUUGGAGGUAAAUUUUGAAUUAAAGUCUGGUCUUAUUCAUUUAUUACCCAAGUUUCGUGGUUUUGCAGGUGAAGAUCCUCAUAAACAUCUUAAGGAGUUUCAUGUUGUGUGUUCAAGUAUGAGGCCACAAGGCGUGACUGAAGAGCAGAUUAAGCUGCGUGCUUUUCCGUUCUCUGUAGAUGGGCUAGCUAAAGACUGGUUGUACUACUUGCCUCCUGGAUCGAUUACAACGUGGAAUGGUUUGAAGAAGCAAUUCCUCGAGAAGUACUUUCCUACUUCAAGAGCUGCCAACAUCAGAAAAGAUAUUUGUGGGAUCAGACAACUUCCUGGGGAGACUUUGUAUGAGUAUUGGGAGCGAUUUAAACAAUUGUGUGCCAGCUGUCCUCAGCAUCAGAUUUCUGAUCAACUUCUUAUUCAAUAUUUUUACGAAGGACUGUCAUUGAUGGAUAGGAGUAUGAUAGAUGCUGCUAGUGGAGGCGUGUUGGUGAACAAGACCCCUACUCAAGCAAGGGAGCUGAUAUCAAAUAUGGCUGCCAAUGCACAACAAUUUGGCAGCAGGCAAGAUCCCACUUCAAGGAAGGUAAAUGAGGUAAAUAUUUCUUCUGUUGAACAACGUUUAGAUAAACUUACUUCUCUUGUGGAAAAGUUUGUUGUAGGUAAUGUGCAACAUAUGAAGACUUGUGGCAUUUGUUACAAUAUGGGUCAUUCAAUUGAUAUGUGUCCUACACUUCAAGAAGAACCCGUUGAACAAGCCAAUGCAAUUCAAGGAUUUCCAGGCAUGCCUCAGAGGAGGUAUGAUCCUUAUGCACAAACAUACAAUCCGGGAUGGAAGGAUCAUCCCAACUUCAGCUAUGGAGUUAGGCCGUCAGGAUUCCCACAACAGUAUCCACCAAGACAACCAGCACCUCCACAGUCAAACUCCAAGUCAGGUAUAUCUCUUGAAGAAAUUGUUAAAUCACUUGCGACUAACACUCAACAAUUUCAGCAGGCAACUACAGCAAGCAUUCAGAAUUUGGAGAACCAAAUGAGUCAAUUGGCGAUUACAGUGAGCCGUCUGGAGUCUCAAGUAUUAGGGAGAUUGCCUUCACAAUCUGAGGUGAAUCCAAAGCAAAACAUUAGUGCUGUCAUCCUUAGAAGUGGGAAGGAGUUGCAAGAGCCUAGUAAGAAAGUGACAAAGCAUGUAGAAGAUGAGUUUGAGAAGAAUGAAUUGAUGCCUCAAUCUCAAGAUGUGGAACCCACCAGAGCGAAACCCCUACCUAUUGUGAUACCUCCUCCUUUUCCAAGCCGGUUUGCAAAAUCCAAGAAGGAGGAACAAGAGAAAGACAUCCUUGAGACAUUUCGCAAGGUUGAGGUAAAUAUUCCUUUAUUAGAUGCUAUAAAACAAAUACCUCGAUAUGCUAAAGUCCUUAAGGAACUGUGCACCUCCAAGAGAAAAUUAAGAGGAGAUGAAAAAGUUCACAUGGGGGAGAAUGUUUCAGCAGUUCUCCAAAAGAAACUACCUCCUAAGUGCAAGGAUCCAUGUAUGUUUACUAUCCCUUGUAAAAUUGGUAGUGUUAGAAUUGAAAAGGCUUUGUUAGAUCUAGGAGCUGCUAUUAAUGUCAUGCCUCGUUCCAUUUAUUCAUCUUUAAAUUUGGUCCAUUAAAAGAAACUGGCGUGAUAAUUCAACUAGCUGAUAGGUCUAAUGCAUAUCCUGAUGGGGUAUUAGAAGAUGUCUUAGUACAAGUUAAUGAGUUGGUUUUUCCUGCUGAUUUUUAUGUACUUGAUAUGGAAGAGGAUAACUCCUCUAAUUCUGUCCCAAUUUUGCUAGGAAGACCUUUUCUUAAGACUGCUAGGACUAAAAUGGAUGUACAUAAAGGGACUCUUACUAUGGAGUUUGAUGGAGAGGUUAUAGAAUUCAAUAUGAAUGAUGCCAUGAAAUAUCAUAGUGAGGAACAUUCGGUAUUUUCUGUAGAUGUUAUUAACCCGAUAGUGCAGGAAGUUAUUUACAAGGAAAAAACGACGACAUUUCAUGAUAGAAUGAUUUUGUGAAAGGAGUUCUCUGUUGGUCAAAAAGUUCUUCUUUUUCAUUCUAAGCUUAAACUUUUUUCGGGUAAAUUACGUUCUUGCUGGGUUGGACCUUUUAUUGUUACUAAUAUUUUUCCUCAUGGUGCAGUUGAGAUUCGGAGUCCGACCUCUGACAAAGUUUCUAAGGUUAAUGGUCAUCGCUUAAAACCUUUUUAUGAAGGUUUUUCGGUGAAUAUUGUGGAGGAUGUGGCUCUCGAGAGUCCCAAUUAUGGAGAUUGAUGCAUAAAUGUGUCUAGCCAAAGACAUAAAACAAAGGCGCUUUUUGGGAGGCAACCCAAAUGAUUUAUUUAUUUUGGUUUUUGUUAUAUCUUCUUUUAAUUUUGAUUCUUUUUUUUUUUAAUGUGUUUGCUUAUUUUGGUCAGAAUAAAAUUUUUGAUAAGGCGUGUCCACGUCUUAACUAAUAAGUACUUCUGUGAUUUUUAAAGUAAAAUGGUUUUAAGGUGUGCCCACGUGCUUAUUAAAAAAGUGCAUCUGAAAUUUUUGUUGUCUCAAAGUGAUUCAUCACAAAAAUAAAAAAAAAAUUAUUUAUUUAUUAUUUUUUUUUCUAUUUAUUUUUUUUUAAAAAAACGAAAAAAAAAGGAGAUUUUCUUUUGUUCUUUCUUUUAUAUAUUUAUUUAUUUAUUUAUAAAAAAAAUUCAAAAAAUCACUGUUAAAAAAAAAAAUUUACUGUUCAUAAAAUCCCUAAUUUUCCAGAACUUGUUUUCUUCUCCAACCGCUUGCAGCACACCAGCAGCAAAGCAGCCCGCCGGAAAACGCACCACCCCGCGCGCGCAGCACCAGCAUCGAGCACCAUCCCGCGAGCGCAGCACCAGCAUUCUGUGUCUCGCAGCCCAGCAGCGCGCAACGAAGUCCCACCAGCGCGCAACGCAGCCUCACCAGCGCGCAACGCAGCCCCAACGCACAGCAAACGAGCACGCCCCGCAACGCAGAUCCGCAGCUCUAGCCCGCCCGCGCAGCGCAAAUCAAUCCAGCCAUCACCAUCGCGCAGCGCAUCGGUCCCGCGCGCGCAACGCAACGCAGCAUCAGCAUCCCACGUCCAGCGAGCAGCAACCCGCGCGCGCAGAUCUAGUCUUCGCCCAGCAGCGCGCAGAACCAGCGUCAGCCUAGCUCUCGCGCGCAACACAGCCCACGCAGCACGCAGAUCUAGUAGCCCCAGCGCGCGCGCACAACACAAUCAGCGCCAUCCCGCGUCCAUCAAGCAAGCUCCAGCCGAGCAGCAAUCGCAACGCAACCAACGUACGACCUAUAUUCCAGCUGGAUAAAUCGAAAUCCGUGAGUGCAAUUAUUGUAACAAUGCCGAAGAGAAAAGCAUCAACUUCCAAGUCAUCUAAAAAGACACCCGUCGCAAAUAAAUCCAAGAUUGCCGGUCCCACUACGGUUCCUUGGAACACAAUUUCAGAUUCACGCCAAGCCGUGAGACAAAGCUCGAAACAUGGAAAAGGCAUGAGUGUUUUGCCACUUGCAGAAUCCAAUCUUGGAGGGUGCCUCGCAUUCGCGACUCAACAAGAGAAAGAGAGGUACAAAGAUAUUUUCACGCACAAAAUACUUCCAGCUAAGUAUAUUCCUUACCUGACUCUUGAAAAAUUGAAUGUUAAGGAUAAUUUUGAUUCUUUGAUAGAUAAGAUUGGGUUGCGUAAGUUUGUUGAUGUUGAUUGUUUGGGUUAUGUUGAGUUGAUUAGGGAGUUUUAUGCUACUUUUCAAUUUAAUAUGUCGAAUGAUUUUACUUUGCAUACCCCGGAUGUCAUAAAGUUUAGGUUAAUGGGACGAAAUUUUUCACACUCUAUCACGGAUUUUAACCUAGCUUUAGGAUUCAUUGAUGAUGAUUAUUCUUCUAGUGAUGCAUAUUUAGGAACAACUUGUGACUUUAGCGAAAAUUUUGAGCCUUAUGGUCUUUGCCGUAAUUUAUCUGUUGAUCACAAUGCUUAUGACCCAAGUAAAUCAAAGAGUUCUUUCUUACGUGAUCCUGUUUUGAAAUGUGUGCAUCGAUUCUUAGCAUAUAAAUUUUUAGGCAAGAAAGAUCACUCAGGAGUUUUCUCUAAAACUGAAUUUUAUUUUAUCUGGUGCAUGUUAAAUGAUGUGAGGCCUAAUUUAGGUUUUUGGUUAGCGGAUUAAUUUCAAAGUGUGCUUAAACGGUAUAUGACUUUAUUUCUUGGUCCAUACAUUACUCUGUUAGCUGUAAACCUACCUAUGUGUGCUUGAUCUUGACAAUAAUGAUUUGCAUCUUGCUUGAUUUUUGGAUAUGUCUGAGUUUGAAAGAACAGGUGUGGUCGAAUUCAAGGAGGGGAGAUUUCAGUUUACUGAACCAGCACCCACUCAACCUCCGAAGAAGCUUUAUGCUAGAAGUGGUGCUACCUCUGAUGACGAGUUUGACGACGACACUGCUGCCCCGCCAACUAUUCCUUCUACAUCCGCACCACCUUUGAGCAUUCAGUUAGAGAAAAUGGAGCACAAGCUGCACAAGAUGGAGCAGAAUUUGGCCGCACACUUCGAGAGUGUGGGAUUUACCCCACCAUUUCCGCCAAGCCCAUAGACGUUAUGUGGAUCAAAGUUCACAAUUCAGGGAAGUUUCUUUUUGCCCUUAAUCUUUUAUCCUUACGCUUUAAUUUUUGUGUGAGCUUUGAUUAUCUUACAUUGGGGACAAUGUAAGUUCUUGGUGUGGGGGAGGGAUUUUUGCAUUAUUGAUGUCUGAAAUUAUUGUUUUCACUCUACUCAUCCUUAAAUGAUUUUGGAGUUAGUAUGCUUUAUAUAUUAUUAAUUUUCUUUUCCUUUCUCUCUCACUACUCUUUUCCCAUCUAUCUCAAAUUAUUUACAUCUAUUUUUUUUUCUAUCAUACUCUUUCAUCACUCACAUUUUAUCUUUCAUUUUUUUUACUACAUACAUCUUUCUCGCUUAUUAUCCUUUUUACCUUUCCUUUUAUAUCUCACUCAUACCUUCUUCUCAUUCUACACCACUAUUGAUGGUUGAUUCGUUUGAAGAGUGUACAGGAUUUGAUGGCAAAUUUACCAACUUUGUGAGGAUUUAAGCCUAUGAGCAACCACUUUGCUCUAAUUAUUUUUUGUUAUGUGAAUAUCAAUCCUAGUUUGUUUAUUCUAGAACUUGCUUUGUUAUGCAUGUUGAAGCCACAUUACGGGAUUUUAUGCAUUAAAAUGAUAAGGGCAAACCCUUUUCUAUUUUUCUAUUCUCCCAUUUUUUUUUCUCUAUCCGAAGACCUUUAUUUGCUAUCUUGGUUUGAGCCUUAACCAUUACCCAUCUAAUUCUCUCCGUCUACUUAACCAUUUUUCUUCUUUUUGAGCCUCAAUUUAAUGAGAUUUUUUUUGGACUCAUUGUGUGGAUAUAUUUUGUUGCUUUUUCUACCUUGUAUUAAAGUUUCUCAAUUAGAUCAACAAGCAUUAUGCUUGAAUUGAAUUGUGCAAGGUUCGUUUCUUUUGUUUGAUUCAAAAACAAAAAAAAAAAGAAAAAGAAAAAGAAAAAGAAAAAUCGAAAAAAAAAGAAAAAAAAUGUUUACAUUCUUGGUGACAUGAGUAGAAAUAAGCAUUUUGAUAUCAUAAGUUCAUUCAAUGAGUUCAUUCUUCUCAUUUUGAUCUCUUUUUCUUUCGUAAACCUUUCUUUUUCAUUCAACCUAUUUAACCCCAUUACAACCCUUUUAAGACCCUUAGAUUUUUGCAUUUUAUUCAUGUUUUGUGGAUUGAGAUGUGAUAUAUGAGCAAGCUUAUGGUAAUAGCAUUCUUUGAUUUGAUUUGAGUGAAUAAAUGACACCCUAAAUACUUUGAGUGCAUGGAGUGAAGUUAUUGAGAGGGCUAUUAAAUAUUGUUGCACUUGAAUUUUGAAUGGAUCUUCUUGGUGGUUGAAUGUUCUUAUUCUAUCUUAUGAAAUUCUAUGCUUUAAAAUCCUUGUCUCUAGAAUGUUGAUCGACUUAAUUUCUUGAGGUAUGCUUGCCUAAAAUUGUUUUUGGAUGAGUUGAGAUGAGAAUUGAGUGGAACUUUGGGAUUAAUCUUGAGUUAUAUGCUUGAGGACAAGCAUCAUCUUGGUGUGGGGGAAUUUGUUAGAGUGCAAUUUAUGCACUAGUUUUGCAUUGUUUACUUCCCUUAAUAUCGAUGUUUUGCACUUAAUAAUAAUGAUUUACUUGUGUUUUACUUUUGUUGGUGCAAUUCUAUUUAUUUGUGAUAAAAUUGAGCUAUAAGAUGAUGUUUAAAGAUGAUUGUUCUCUUGGAGAAAUUAUGAGCAUCAGAAGAACUUUGUUGAUAAGGCGUGGGCGCGUGCUGUCAACUACGGACCUGCAGUUUUUAGUUUAACGUGUUUUGUAUUUUUGGUUAUUUUUGUAAUUAUGAAUUUAAUAUUUCAGAUAUUAGUAUUUUAUUUUAAAUAGAAUUCUAGAGGAGAAGAGAGAGAGAGUAUUUAAGGGAGGAAUCUAUUGUGAAAAAAAGGGAUUUUGGAUUGGAGGAAAAGAAAAGAAACCCUAGAUCUAAUUUUUCUCUUCUCUCUAUGAAGAACUAAACUUAUUUUUCUGGUUGAAGGAUAAUGAAGCUUUGAUUCAUCACUACUGUGAGAUCUUUCUUGUGCUUUAAUUGUUUUAUUGCUUUUUGGGUAUUUGUUUAUUCUCUGAAUUAUUUUCAUGAUUAUGUUUGUUAAUUAGAUAAUUGGGCACUAUUUAAUUAUCAACUUAAUCUAUUGUUAAUUAAAGGAUUCAUCGUAUGAAGAAUUUAAUGUUUGUGACAAAUAACAUAGCAGAGAAUUGUGUUGUGAGAAUAAACAAUCUAAUUUAAAUGAAUCAUCAUAUGUGUUGAUUAGGAUUUGGGUCUCUCUGGUUUUUCAGGCUGUCAAUUGAUUAAAUCCUAUGAUCGUAUCUAGGGUUGUCUAUUGAUUAGGGAAAUAUCCAAUGGUCGUACCUUGGUUAUCGACUAAUUAAGGAGAGAUUGGCUAUUAGAGGGUCUCAGUAGCUAUAACCGGUCUAUUCAUAAGUAAUAAUAAUUUAUAUUUGAAUCAAUGAUCAGUAGUCGAAUCAAGCUGAGUUAAUUCCUUCAACCAGAGCUUUCUCCAAUUUGAAUUACAACUUUAAUUUGCAUUCUUGUUAUUUUAAUUUGAUUUUUAUUAUUAUCAACAAUUCUCCCAUUUUACGUUUUACGUUUCAAAAGGAUUUAAAUAAUUACCGAUCUCUGUGGACACGACCCUGCUCAAUCACUAUACACAAUUUAUUUAGAGUAGGAAUUUAUUUUUGUUGGCUUCGACAACCAUCAGCUCCAUUACAGAGUUUCAUCAAUUUGAAAUAGAGAAUCAUUUGUGUUCUAGAUUAAUCGAGGGUCUAUAUCCAAAUCUAAAAAUUGACUAACUUGGUUUCUAUUAAAUUCUUAAUCCUAACAAGAAAAAUAGAAGAUUAAAAAUGACUAAUUUGGUUUCUAUUAAUUUGAGUAACGAUCGAAUUACCUCAUUUAUUAAGAUUUAUCAAAAUCCUAUGUCAAAAUCCAUUAAUAAUAUAGGUUGGAUGAUGAAAUAGUCACUUAUUAUUAUUUUUGACUUCAUAAAUAGAUGAACGGAUGUUAUUUUUGGAUUCUGGAGAAUCCAAAAUAUCAGGAUAUGUGAUAAAUGGAAUUAAGUUGUAGAUAAGAUAGAAAUGGAUUUGGAGAGAGAUUGGAAUCCUGGGUAAUCCGGUGUACGUUGUUGUGUUGAAUGCUCGUUGACUUCACGUUGACUGACACAUUAUUGGAAGAAGUGAGCAAGCUUAUUUUCUUCUCUCAUUUUUAAAUUUGUCUAAGUUUAUUGAUGUGAGGCCUUUGAGAUUGUAAGUUUCAAAUCUGAGAAGAAUAACCACACACCCAUUAAUAAAUUUGUGAGGAUUGUGAGGGUUGAUGCAAUAUAAUUUAGAUGCAAAGUGUUUACAAGUACGAUGCUUCAUAAGUGUUCUUCAAUCAUUAUAAACUCACGUUAUUUUUAUAAUGAUUGUUUCAUCUGCACAUGGAUAUAAUCAUAUGUUGAGAUUUUUUCCUAAAUUAUGGUCUUAUUUGGUAUUGAGGUGUUAGAUCUUUUAAGAUACAAUUACUAUUGGAAAAAAUAGUGCAACUAUGAAAUAAAAGUUAAUAUUGUGUACUAAUUAUAAUUGUUAAAUAAUAAUUUUGACAAAAUUAGUGAAGAUAUAUAGUUUUUUUUUUAUCAUAUAAGUAUAAAAUCAAAUCAACUUAACUUCUAAACUAUAUAGCAGCUACUGCUUACCAAAUAUUUUAGUGCUGUAGCUUUUAAGUUAUAACUGCCUAACCUCAGUCUCAAACAAUGGCUAUAAAGAUCAAAGAUUUCCUCAUAAAAAUUAUACGUCUUGUGAUUGCUUAUUUAAUUUAUAUUUUUUUAUUUAUCUUUAUUAAUUACAAUCAUCUUUUAAUAAAUUACAAUUGGAGGAAGUUGAUGUUCGAAGUGCUUAUGUCGACUCGAAGUUGUUGGGAAUUAAUGCAUGUAUUGAUUUAUUGGGAGUGUUUAAAUGAUUUUGUGAUUUACUUGAUUGAUUGAUUGAAUAUUGUUUGAUUACUUUGUAUCCAUUCUAGAAAGUUUAUUUCUUUGUGAAAUUUCGACAAAAUAUGUUUUUCUUUUUAAAUAAUAAGGGUGUUUUAAGUAAUUUUUAAAAAUAAAUGGACUAACUAGAAUUAAUUAUUAGGUAACUAACUCGAACUGUACAAGGUAAGCGAACAUUUAUGCUGAUUAUAUCAUGAUAAAUCAUUUUCCGAUUAGAAUUAGGAAACCAUUAGCAUAUUGACUUUUUUUUUUUUUUUUUUCAAUCUCCCUUUGCGAAAACGGAUUACAGAAUUAGAAAACAAUCCUAAUGAUAUUAUUGUUAGGUUUAAAACACGGCAUAGAUAGUCAAAAGCUAACUAGUCUGCAGUAAUUUGUUAAUUGCUAUCGCCUCUCCAUGCGUGGUGAAUAAUUUGUUGCAUGCAAACUUUUUCCAUUUUAAAUAAACACAACGCGAUGUUUAUCUGCUCCGCGUUUUGCAAUCUGUUUAUUCGUUGUUUAUUUGCUUCGUAAGUCCUCAAACUUUGAUAACCAAAAAUUUCACCAAACUAUGAAAAUUAUUCUGCAGGUUAGUUUUUAUUUUCGGAAUAAUUAUUUGAGAAUACUAAAACACAAUAUAAAAUAAGAAAAUAGGGGGUUAAAAUUUGAAAAAAAAAAACAAAAGGGCAUGUUGGAUAGAUUACUGUGGUUUAAGAAAAAAAAUUAUUCAGUUGGGAAUUUUUUUUCUUUAAUUUUUGUUUUACUUAAUUGAGAUUUCUCCUUAAUCCUUACAGUUUUAAAUUUGGAUAACAUAGGAUUAGUAAUUUAGUACUUCCUUUGCAAGCUGAGGUUAAGGAUGAAAUUCUUUUAAGAAAAAAAGAUAAAAGAGCAUAACAAUAGUCAAUUAUAAAUAACCACAAAUAAAUACAAACAAAAUGUUUAUGAAGUAAAUUAAAAAUGCACAUAUUAUUUUUUAUUUUAUUUCUUACUAAUCUGUGUAUUUGCUGCUUGAAAAACCAUAAAUACACAGAUGACCAUUGGCUUCGCACCAUUUAAUCGGGAUACAUUUCUACGUACAAACUGAACAAGGCUAUUGAUUUUUAUUUAUUUAUAAAUUACUAUUUCAAUUUUCACUUUUUAUUGGGUUGUUUAAUGGAUUAGUGAGGCUGGUGGUCGUUGAUGCACUCACAAGGUACAAUUUUGUUUUCAAAUUUCAAAUUCGUAUUUUAAAAUGCAGCACAUUAUGCAUACAUAAUUAUUGAUUUUCAUAUGUGGGUGUUUUGAAAUAUUGCUAAAAGGCCAAACUUUAAUAAACUAUUUUUGAUCCUUUUUUGUUUCUUUUUUCCUAAAGUUUGAGUGAUAUCCGCAUUUUUAAAAGCUAAUGUAUGCAAAAAAUUCUUUCAUUUUUCUGGGGAAAAUAGGUAAGAGAAAAAGUUUUGGCAAAUGAGCUGCAACUGAAUUCAAAACCAAUACGAUGCGAGCAUAGGAAAGAGGUCAGUGUUUUGGAUUUGAAUUUAAAGAGGUCAGUGUUUUGGAUUUGAAUUUAGUAUUGAGCUGAAUUUUAUGUUUAACACAUGAUUCUAUUAUAGUACUGCGAUUAAUAAGCUCAGCCCCGGAUUUGCUUUUGCUUUUGCUUUUACUUCAAGUGAAAGAAAGAGGAAACCUUUUGUUUUUUCUUUGGUUUUUGACUAUGUUACCUAUACAGAGAGUCAAGAUAUCAGCCAUAAGUGAUGGUGUUAAAAAGAUUAAGCAGCGCACACAAUCUUACUGCUGUCUAGACGAUCCAAUGAUGACUCCAGUCUUUUGGUUACAUUAGCUUUAGUUGAAAUAAGGGCCAAUUUAGCAAACACUAGCUUUGGUGGCUUAUUAUGUUUAAUGUAAUGCUUAUUCUUAAGGAAUCUAAUGUAUAUAAGAUGAUUGAAUGAUCUUCUAUGAUUGUGAGUAGUAUAGGAUAAUUGAAAAGAGUCUGGUGUUAAAGGCUUACAGUUUUAAGCCUUUUAAACCAUGCGAUUUUAAAGUUUUACCGGAUUUUCCCGCACUUUAAAAUUUUAGACUGAAACAUUUUUGUAUAUAUAUACAUAAAAAUAUAUAUAUAUAAAUAUAUAAAUUAAGAGGGAUGAGUUAACUGAAGAUUAUAAUCAUUACAACAAUGCUGAUGAGUGAUACAUCACUUGAAAUUUACUUGUCAGUUGCUGAAAUGAUGAAAAAAAAAAUAAACAAUAACAGUGAUAAUGUUCUCUUGCUGAAAUGACUUGUAUAUUAUACAAUCCACUCUACUUAAUGAUAUCGUUUUAAUAAAUGUUUGAUGAUCUCCAUUUAAAAACUACUUCAAUUUUUUUCUUCAUUUAAGUUUUUGGUUGUUGAAAAUAACCUUAAUUAUCAAAUAAUUGGAGAAAGAGUAAAGAACAUUUAACAAAUUUAUGUGCAAAAAAAAAAAAGGGAGAAGUUGAAGAGAAAGGGUGCUUGCAGAAGUAGGUGUCAAAGAUAAAUCGGUCCAUAGGAAUUAUUUUGGUUAUUUUUUAGCAAUAGAAAAAUUUUUUAGCAAGUAAAAAUUAAUUUUUUUCCGCUUUACUAAAAAAUUAACUAAAAACUUAUGCGAUAGCAUUUUUUAUGGGUGCAUAUACUUCCCUUUAAAAAAAAUAUAAUAAUUAAUGCUUAAUAUAGUAUUAAAUACGAAAAUAUCAAUAUUUGACUACUCAAAUGUAUAUCAUUAGGUCCUUAAAAUUUAAAAUUGAAGAUACAAAAGGUAAUAUAUAUAAAUUUCAUUCUCAUGGGAAAGGAUCAUCUUAUAAUCUUAUAAUAUUUGAGCUUUGAAAGAUUUUUUUGAAACAAAUGUACUUUUAUUUGUGUACAAUCAAUAUGUACUUAUUUAUUAUAUUUUUAUUUAUUAACUAUCAAUCAUGUGAGUAUAUUUAGUCAGAAAAAUUAUAUCAAGAGAGAACCCUAAUUUCACGUAAAGACAAAUACAAGACAAAUAUGGCAAUUUCUAUACUAUUCACUUUCCUGUAAAAUCAAUUAUCUAAAAUGCAAGUUUGUGGCUUCAAAAAACUCGCCAAAGAAAGAAGAUAAUAGCAAUUGAGCAUUGAUAGCAAAUCUAAUGCAUCCAAUUCUUCUUAACUUGAUGAGUGACGUGAAUGCUACCAGUCUGUGACACCCAAAUUUUUAUUAUUUUAUUUAUUUUUUUAAUGGAAUUUGUAAAUGACGUUUUUGCCCUUAUAAAAAGGGUUAUUCAUGGAAUAAUUUUUAGGAAAGGGUUAUUUUUCCAAAUUCAAUAGGGUUUCUUAAGACUCCCUAUAAAUUCAUAUUUUUCUCCUUUCAUAACCCUAAAAGCACGACGUUUCUUCUUUUUCUAUACUGCUCAUUACACUCUUACCCAAACCCUAAGAUUCAAACCUUUGGUUAAGAGAGAAUCAAAGCGAUUGGUAAGUUUAUUCCCCUUAUUCUCUACAAGAUUCCCAAUCACUCUAUCUAGGGUCUAUAUUGGCAUGAUUUUAGAUUGUUAUAGAUCAUAAUACAUGAUUUAGAAUGUGUUUAGGCUUUGUUUAGAGUUUUGAUUUAUUAUGAGUUUAGUUAAUCAACCUUGACGUAUUAAGCACAUAGAAUAGUUCCAUAGAAUAUUAUGUUAUUCUAAGUUUUAGAUUAAGAGUUAAAAUUCUAAGCAUCAGACUUGUACGGGUACGAAUUAGAAAAAUCGGGUUCUUAGAAUAAGUUAUUAAUUGUCAUAUCUUGUAUUUGUUUAAGGUGAUUGAGGCUCUUAGAGGGUUAGAGGUGUGUUAAUUCAAAUUCUUUUGUCGAGGUAAGUAACUUCAUUCCUAAUGUACUGGAUAUAUAUAUAUAUAUAUGAUUAUUUUGAUAUUAUUAUAAGUACACAAAUUUUUUUACUACUUAGAAGAUUAAUUGAUUUUCAUAACAAAAUCAGUUUGUGUAAAUGUUUUCAAACCUAAAUUCCUUUUAAUAAAUUAUUUUGUAAAGGCUUUUAAAUAUGUAAGUUAUUUUAUGACAUGACUACCUUUUAUAAUUUUGUCUAUGAAAUAUUUGCAAGCCUAAAUUGUGGUUAUGGACUUUCAUGAAACUAAUACGAAUGUUUUGUACCUAUGUAUGAUUUCAAUUAUUUAUGAUUGUACGGGGGCCACCUCUUGGGACUAUAUGGGGGCCACCUCUUGAAAUUCAAAGCAUCACAAAAGUGCCACGUAUAAGUCAUUAUGUUUUGGCUCAUUAUCUGUAGUUAUUCUGAUUCUGAUUCUGAUGGUAUAAUACAAUAUAUGUCUGUUCUGGACCAGUACUAGGUUUUUGUUUUGAGUGUGCACAUGAUAUUCUGACUCUGUUUCUGGCCGGGUCACUAGGACUAUAGGUGACACUAUGUGACAUGAGCUAACCUUUUGUUUUCUGUGAAUGUGAUAUAUGAUUUGCUUUUGUAAAUAACUAUGCUUUUGAUAUUCUGAGUUACAAUGAAUUUAAAUUAUUUUAUAGUGAUAUAUCGUUUUAUGAAAUUUAUGGAUUAUGAUAUAUGUUUUAAUUAAAAGAAGGCUUGCAAUAUUUUUGGUAUUGAUAGGUCUAGUGUGUUAGGAAUAUUUUUACUUACCGAGUUGACGGCUCACCCCUCGUCAUUACUUUUUGCAGAUUAAGUUUCUUUUGAGAGCUGCGCUUAGCUUUGGAGUUAGUAAUUUUCUGUUUCCGUUUGCCAUUUGAAUAAGAGGAGAAAUAAACUCAUGUUUCUAUUUAGUUUAUUUAUGUUAUGAAUGUGUAAUUUGGAGUUUGAGACUUUUGUUAUUUUUUUUAUGUCCUCGGGAGAGAUUAUUUAGUAUUAGACGUUUGAAUUUGUGGAUUUAUUUGAAUAAGAAUUUGAGGUAUUUCAGUUUGAAACUUAUGAGUAAAGAUUAUGAUUUGUAAGUAACAUCCUUCUUCACGUGCUCCGCACGUGUUAGAUUUGGGGUGUUACAAUUGUGGUAUCAGGGCAUUAGGUUUGGGAUUCUGUAAACUUUAUUUGAGGCUAGAUUUCUUAAGCACAAUCAAUUAGUUCAAUGGUAUUGCUUGCCAUGAGGUUAUCGGAAAGAGUAGAUCUUUAAGGCGAGGAGUAAUUUUGGUCUUUUUGAUUUUCUAGUUGCUUGUGACUUUGUAAUAACUCCUUGAUAUAGGAUUUUGGUAUUAACGUAGAAUGAAAUAUUUGUUUGCUCUUGUUGUCAAUUACUAACUUUUCUCAAUUAUACUAUUUACUCAGUACUUUGUGCUAUAGCAAGCCCUUUAACUAUGAAUUAUUUACCAUUUUAUUUAUUUAUUUAUUUUUAUUCUUCGUGUUAUAGUCAAAAGAUGUCACGUAGGGGAGGUGCUAGGCAUGCCUUUAGCUCGAGAGAUGUUUUAGGUAUCGUUGAUGACGCUGACCUAACCUUGCGCGAGAUGGCUAACGAAGGGAAUCCUAUGAUGCGCGCAAUGGUUAGAUUGAUGGAACAACAAAGUAAGUUGAUUCAAGAUAUGGCUAGAGGUAAAGUUGGGGCACAUGAGAUUGUGCCAGUUGAAAGACAAGGUGGUGGAAGAGAUCAGGGAGGUAUGAUGAGCUUAGAGCGGUUUAGGAAAUUGAGACCACCUACCUUUCAGGGGGCUGCCAAUCCUAUGGUUGCAGAGGCAUGGCUAAAACAGAUGGAGAAGAUAUUUAUGGCUAUGGGUUGUAAUGAUGAUUAGAGGGUGAUAUUGGCCUCAUUGGUCCUUUAGGGUGAGGUAGACCACUGGUGGGAUGCCAAAUCCCGUCUUUUGAGGGCCGGGUUGCAAGAUGCACCUAUUACUUGGGAGUUAUUUCUGAAGGCUUUUCAUGAAAAAUAUUUUCCUGAACGAGUUCGACAUCAGAUGGAGGCUGACUUCCUGAAAUUGACUCAAGGAACAAAGCAUGUUGCGGAGUAUGAGGAGCAAUUUACUGCUCUAUCUCGUUUUUCUCGUACCUUAGUUGCUAAUGAGGGUAGUAAGUGUAGGAAAUUCUUGGAAGGCUUACAUCCAAACAUAAAAAGACGGUUGACCAUCCUUAAGCUUAAUAAUAAUGCCCAUUUGGUGGAUAGUACGAUUAUUGCAGAGAGGGAUAUAAUUCAAUCUCAAGUUGCACGAUCUAAUCGACAUAAUAACCAGCCAAUAAAACAUGAUAGUAAUGGUAGUGAAGGUGAACAUAAGUGCACUCUAAUGGUGGGUCUAUUCAAGAGAACAAACCAUUCUGUAAUCGUUGUGACAAGUACCAUAAUGGCACGUGUUAUUUAAAGAUAUGAGCUUGUUUUGGCUAUGGACAGAUUGGGCAUAAGGUUAUAAAUUGCCCAAAAAAGCACAGUGGUAACAUAGAUUCUGCCGAGAACCAAAGGAAAAAGCCACGUGUCUUCGCCAUGGUGGAGCAAGAUAUUAAAAAACCGAAUAACGAAGCCUCAGGUGCAUUACCUAUUUUCCAUAGAAAGCCUUGAAUUUUUGAGUAAUUGGUAUUGUGCUUUUCCUCCAUCCUUUCUUAUUGGAUGCAUCGUAGCUAGAGUUUUUAGCCUAAUAAUCACUACUAGAAAAAUAGGCUUUACUGACGCUAAAUUAGUGUCAGUAAUUACUUUUCCUGACACUUAUUAAUUGUGUCAAUAAUGCUCCAGCCAUAAUACACUGACACUAAUUUCUAGUGUCAGCGAUUUUUGUGUCAGUAAUUCAUGUCAUUAUGGUAUCACGAAAAUAAUGACACGAUAGCGUUAGUAUUUAAUGAUACUAUUUAUAUGUCAGUAAUUUAUGAGACUACAGUAUCAAGAGCACACUGACUCAAUAACAUCAAAAAUUACUACUGCUAUUUUAAACAUUUAGUGUCAGUAUUUAGUGAUGUUAUGGUUCUUUUGGUUAAUAGUAUACUUUGAUUUUAAUUAUAUUUUCCUAUUUGUUUUACAACUGAAAGAAAACUCAAAAUAUAUUAAAUAUACAAAAUCUCGCAACACAAUUGCAUAAGAAACAUCUCAAAUACAUCACUCAAAUUCAUAUCAUUAAACUACAUCAUUGUUUGGAAAAGAAAAAUAUAAAUACUAAAUUAAGUCUUGGACAAGCUCUUAACAACCAAGUACUAAGUUAAGAUUCAACAAAUAUUAACCAACAAAAAGAAGCACAUAAUGUCAUUGAACAUCCACAAGCGGCUUCAUUUUUCUUUUCCCACCUACAAGUACAUAAAAUCAAUUAGUAUACCACAAAAAGUAAUUCUUGAAUUUUUGGGAGAAAAAACAAUCAGGCCAAUUUCAGUGUUCAAAGAGACUAACAAAGAAUGGGGGCAAAAACAAUACAUAGCUCUCUUAGUGCAAGCUAAUUGUAAUAGGUAGUAUUGUGAAGAAUAUUUAUCUGCUAAGAAUUGAACUUGAGUGGAUUUUCCUACAGAUCUAUACACAACUCAACUUAAGAAGAAUAAAAAAAUAAAAAAAUAAAAAUCCUAAGGAUUAAGAAAGAUAAAUGGAGAUUUAUUAGUAUACAUCCAAAAUUAGAAACUCAUUAAACAAUCCAGGGGUAAAAAUUGAGGAAUAAGAAUAUAGCGUAUCUCAGGAUAAGACCAAAGACAUAAUAACAGAAACAUUUGAGGCAAACCACUACAAAGUUUUUACAUAAUAACCCAAAGCAAAGCAAACCAUUAUAAAAUUUUUACAUAAUAACCUAGAAACAAAACAGACGAAAAUUGGGCAAGUCCAUAUCCCAAACCUCUGUUAGGAAAAAUGUGUUCAGCAGACUCAUGGCUCCAACAAUAGAAAUUAACCCGUACACAAGGAAACAAAUUAAUUGAUAUAAAAAACAGUCAAAGACAAAGCCAACUAAGAAGAUUAACUAAUUUGGAGAUUGAAUUACAUAGUUAUUUUUACAAAAUAUAGCAUAAGCCCAUUGUAUUUCAUAGUAAGCAACUGCAAAAAUGCCUAGAGGCAAAUUCAUAAAGGAAGAGUAGAUAGAAGAAAAAAAAGACGAGGAAAUAAACAGCUUGAAACAAACAAAUCACCUAACACAUCAUGGGGAAUUGACUUGUUAACGUUAAAGAGCAAAAUAAAACUUGGCACCUUCAUUCGAAAAAGAACAGACGCUUACCCCUUACGGAGAAUGGCUUAGGUUUUUCUUUAGAGUUUCAGGCUGAUUUAUAAGAAUAUGAAGAAGAAAUGAUUAUGGAAGUUUGAUAGUGAUCAAGGAUUGAAUAUUGGGCUUAAAAUACAAAUUGGCAGUGAGGGCUGGUUUUCGAUCAUAAUGUUGAGAGACCACUAAUUCCCAAUACUUGUACCCUCUCACAGAAAAAUCCAAAUUUAAUAAACAUGAACUAAAUCCAGUGUAUUGAGUGUUAUUAUUUAAUGGAACAUAAAAUCUCUGGGUCAAAUAAUUCUAAAGUUAAACCAACAAUAAUCCCAAAAGCUAUAGUUGAUAAGAAAGGCCCAACAGUAUACUUCUAUCACACAAAAUUUGAAGAUAGAAAAAAGAAGGGCCUUUUUGUUUUUUAACUGAAACUGAAAAAAGAUUCAGUAUUAACAAUUCAUAAAUUUUAAAGACGUUGGUUUUCCAUCUUAACACUGAAAACUUGGUGUUUAUAUAUCCGAAUAUAAUUAAGCCAAAAAUUUUAAUUUAUCACUAAAUAGGAAAACAACUAAAUAAGCUGCAUAGUUUUAUUUUCCAAUAAAUGCUUAUAAUAUUUAUUCAUUCCUUACCAUAUAAAAACCUAUCCUUCAUUAUUUAUUUAUUUUUUAUAGGAAACAGAGAAAUUAGUAUUAAUAAGAACAAUAAUUACAAAAUGUCAAAAGGGUGUCCACAAAAAAAGGCUAUUGAAGUAUCACAGACCAAUCUCCAAAUUAGGCAAGCACUCAGAUUCCAAGCUAAUACUCCAAAAAACAAAUCUAACCUCAAACUACCUGAUAAACAGCUCAAAAUGACAUAAUCCUCAACAUUCUUCAGACUAAUUGAUCAUGCAUCAAGGUAUGUUGGGAUCUACAAAUACAUUGAAAAGAUCUUUGCAAAUAACAGUACAACUAGAAAGCUUGGUGUUUACAUUCUUGAAAAUUCUUUUUAUUGCUGACAAUAGAAAGGGAUUCCUUUUUCUGCUUAUUUCCUAAAAAUACUAAUAUAUGCUGCCCCACUAUACUCACAAGUAAUCUUACACAAAUGCUCUUUAGACAAGAUUAGUAUUUGCUACCUUUCACCCCAAUUACAAAACCAUAGAAACUCACCACCUAGACAAAUUUUAAAUUGUCUCUAUAGUUGGCUAUUAAAAACUGCUAAAUUUGUUUGCAGCCAUGCCCAAAAAUUUCAAGAACAUUGAACACAACGUAUUAUAGGUACAAACAAGAUAAAAUGAUGUUCCAGGAUUCACUCGACAUGUCAUCCAAGGUGAUACAAAACGGUAGAACUAUAGAACUAGGACAAAACUUGCAGCAAGAUAAUGGCAAUUUCCCCCUUUCGUGUAAGAUAAUCAUAUUAUUCUUCAAAGAGAGACGCACAAAAAAAAAAUGCUUGUUGAAAACAAGCAAGCAUAUGGGUAUGAGUCUAUUGUUGUUUAUCUGUGAAUCAUGUUAAUAACCAGCCACAGAAAAAUAGUAAACAAUAGUUUUCACACAAUCGAUGCAUAUUAACACAAGCCACGGAUUAUGAUUUCACUAACCAUUGCACACAAAGGUUCCAGACCAAUUUUAGAAGGAGGUUCUACAAGUUACUUUCCUUCAACUACUUGAAAAUCAAUCAUUAACUAAAGAAAUACACAUGAAAUUAGUUUAAAUAAUAGGAAAGGUAAAGGAGACAUUUUAUAAAAACUCUUAAAUGUGGUACUAUGAUUUCCACAGACUGUGCAACAAAAAUAAAAUUGGAUGAACUAUAAUAAGUGAGAAGACAUAUUGUAAUUCUAUCAUCAAAGAAAGAUAAGCUUAAUCAUUUUUAAUUUUUUCUCAAAUAUCCAGUAGUACCUUAAGGUAAUAGGACAAGAUCGCAGAAGUUGUCAUGAAGAGUGUAAAGCACUAAAUAACAAAAAUUAUACUAAUAAAUAAAACUCAAUUUAUUUUCUCCCUCAAUCAAUUGCUUUGAGCUUACUAUGAAUUCAACUAUGAAUUUGAGGAAAAAAUACAGACCUCAGUUUGUCAACUUCUUGUUCAUGAGAUUCAGCCGCAGUAAAUGCAAACCUCCAUUUCUCGUCAAGCAUUGUUAACCUCUACGACAAAUUGAAGGUAAGAAGAUGAACAAAAUAAGUGUAAUGUGCAGGAAAAAAAAUGAAGUCUAUGGGUACAACAACACUUCAAGAUUUUUCAAGUUCUAGUUCAUUUAAAUAGACAUUCCUUGAACUUCAGUAGCAAAGAAAGUACAUUAUAGCAACAAUUUCAAUUCAUUUCAAUCUUUAGAAUUUUUUAUUUUAAAAAAAUAAAUUCCUUCAAACUAGUGAAAGGAAAAUAAAAGUGUGUUUACAGAAGAAAAAUCAUGGAAUGAAUUAAUGACCAUGCAAGUGAGGAAACACAGAAAUUUCUGAAUAAGAGCGAAACUAACCGUGCAAAUGAACAAAGAAAAUGUAAGUCUUCAAGUGCUACAACAAGCAAAACUACCUAAAAACAAGCAUUUUCUUCUUGAAUUAAAGACAAAUCAUGAACUUUGUGCAAUCUCAAAACAUUCAGACAAGCAUGAACUUAGUUAAUUCAUAUCAUAGUCAUUGUCUCUAUUAAAAAUCUUCCAACUAAAAAAAAUAAAAAAAUAAACAUGUUGGUUUCUAUAACAUAAUUUGCCUAUCUUUACAUGAAACAGAGCAAUAAAUAACACUUAAUAAUUAUGAAAUACACAGCCAUUCAAUCUAUAUAAUAUAGAAAUAAAGGAAAAAAAAGAAAAAAAUUCAAAUUACAAUUAAAUAAACAAAAAAUAGAUAUGGAAAAGAAAUCCCACCAAGACUGCACUACUGGGAGAAUUUCUCAACAUCUGCAACAACCCAUAAAAUUAAAAUUAACAAAAAACCCUAAUAAUCAUAAGCUAAAAUAAAACAAAUUUAUUAAUUAAUUUGACAAAGAAAAUAAAAUAUUAAGCCAUUACCAGCAGUUAAAGCCUUAAUCAAGGCAACCUGUUUGCCCUUAAAGUCAUUGAAAAUCUCCUUCACAGGUCUAAGUAUAAGGUGUGGUAUCCCUUCCAUAGCAAGAAAAUUAACUAAUUUCUCAAUAAUUUUAUUCAAAUUCAAGCAAAUGGGUUUUGAAUAUUGAACAAAAAAAAGUGAAAUUUGACCAUAAAAAGAAAAAAAAUUGAUAAAAGAAGCCUCGAUUACGGUUUUGGUCCGUUUUUCAAUUUGAGAAAAAAAAGGAAAAAGGGAAUAAAAGCCUCACUUAGGGUUUUAGCUUUAUAUUAUCUAUUUGAGUUAAAUGAACGAGUUUGUGAAUGGAAAGAAAAAAAAGGAAGAGAUCGAGAAGAGAAAAAGGAAAGAGAAAGGGAAAGAGAAAGGCAAGAGACAGUUUUGGGUUUGAGUUUGGGUUAGAGAUUUGUGUGUAUAAAAGACAGGGAGAUGGGGACAAUUGCUAAGUUUGGGAUAUGUUUUACUUUCGUUUUACAUGUUUUAAAUUCUUAAUUUAGUACCUGCAGUGUCGAACCACUUGAACGGAAGUGAUAGUGGCAACGGCGUGGGGGUGGGCGCAGCCAUGGGGGUUGGGCGCGGCCGUGGGCGUGGGCGUUUGGGCCUGGUCAUUCUCCAUCUUUCACGAUAGAGAAGAAGAAGUCAAGAAAGGCAAGGAAAUUACGCAGCAGCUACGACAUGGGCUCUAUUGCACAAUGGAAAAGGGGAAUUAGGGUUUGGUUUUUUAUAUGUUAAUAUUUUAUAUAACAUUGUAAUUCCAACUCAAUUUUAUGGGGUCCAGUGGUUUGCAAUCUAAACGUAAAAGUUUUGAGUUUUAGAAAUCCCAGGUUCGAGUUAAAAUCAAAACAAAUUUUAAUGAUUCUUUUUAGAUCUCUGAUGCUGAAGUAUCAGUGAUCUCUAAUAUUUAAUUUACUGAUACAUUAGUAUUAAUAAUUUGUGACAUUUAUUUGUUAAAAGUGGAAAAUGGUGCAUAGUUAGGUAAUUACUGACACUUUUUUUAAAGUGCCAGAAACAAAGUGUCAGUAAAAGUCAUUUUUGUAGUAGUGAAUUUCUUUUUUCAUCCAUUGAAUUUCUAUGGUACAUUAGUAGGAUAUGAGGUGUGAUUUUAUAAGGCCAUUAGGAUUAACUUAUGGUUGGAUGGAGUAGGGACUAAUAUGAUAUUUAGUAGGAUAUGGGAUGAAGAUUGCAAUAAAAGUGUUUCACCAGCAAUGUGCGAGCGCAUUGAAGGGUUUUGAAGUUGAAUGUGAAGUGAUAAAAAAUAUUCACCAUCGAAACCUUAUCAAUGUUAUUAUUAGUUGUUCGAACGAUGACUUCAAAGCAUUAGUCCUAGAAUACAUGUACAACGGGAGCUUGGAGGAUUGGCUGCAUUCUAGCAAUUAUGUGCUUAAUAUUUUUCCCAGGUUGAACAUAAUGAUUGACGUUGCAUCAGCUUUAAAAUAUCUCCACUUUGAUCAUUCAACUCGUAUCAUUCAUUGUGACUUAAAGCCUAAUAAUGUGUUGUUGGAUGAAAAUAUGGUUGCUCAUUUGAGUGAUUUUGGCAUAGCAAAGCUUUUAAGUUGAAGAUGAGUCUACGAUGCGAACAAAAACCCUUGCCACUAUAGGUUAUACGGCACAAGGUUUGCUUGAAACAACUUUUUUUUAGUUUAUUUUAAAAUUUCCAAAUUAUUGAUUUUUACGAUCCUCAUAUCAAAAUGUUAUUGAUUAUUUAUCUAAUUAUGAAAUAAUUUGAUUCAUAGAGUAUGGCAUAGAAGGAGAAAUAUGUGCAAAAAGUGAUGUUUACAGCUACGGGAUUAUGUUGAUGGAAACUUUUACCAAGAAAAAACCCACAGAUGAGAUUUUUGUUGGAGAAUUGAGCUUAAAGCGUUGGGUUAAUGACUUGCUUCCUAAUUCAUUAGUGGAAGUUGUGGACAAAAUUCUGCUAAUUGAAGAGGAAAAACAUUUUGCCGCAAAGGAGCAAUGUCUGUUCUCUAUCUUUAUUUUGGCACUAGAGUGUACAAUGGAAUCACCGGAAAAGAGGAUCAAUACAAAAGAUAUUGUUACCAGAUUACUCAAGAUAAGAGACACGUUGAGUAAAAGGAUAGGAAAUUUAAGUUAAUUUUGUUUGCUUUCAUUGAUAGUUACUUUGAAUUCAAGUAAUAAGUGUAAGAAUCGUUUAUCUUUUCUUUUGAUAUUUUUUUCUUGAGAAAACUGUUGUAGUCAUCUUUUUUCAAUGGGCAGAGUUGAUUUAGUUCUUCCAAGAAAUGCUAUUGUUGAUCUUUGUUACAUACGUUUGUCUUUUUUUGCAUGCAUUUAGGUAGAAUAGUGGUCUAGCUGCAGGCUAACAAGUCAAGCUACGCUAAAAGCGUAUGAUUUAAUUUAUUAAACCUAACUUCAAGUUCAAGAAUUGCAUCUCAUUGCCACCAAUGCUUUAGACACCUAUUCGUAGGUUUGUGUCCUCAACUUUGUUUGGAGCAAAAGUUCCAGUCCCAUGGAGGCUCAAAUAUUUCUCUCCUACGUCCCGAACACGCUAAAUUCAUCAGCCUCUUGAACCCUCUCCUGAGGGCGCCUUCUGUCCUCUGUUUUCUGUUUCCAUACACAAAUAGCAAAAAGAAUUCAGACUGAUAACUGGGUAUCUAAGAAUAUAUAAGAGUGAAAUAAUUAAAAAAAAUUGUGCUUUUUUGUUUGUCGUGUUAAAAUCGUAAGGUAUCUAAGUACUAUGAAAGAGAUUAGUUUACGAAAACUGAAGCCAAGGGUUCAUAAAAAAAAGUGCAUAGAGAAUAAAGGACAACGCUUAUGUAAAGCGACAUAAUUGUAUUGGUAGCACAAUGUCACGUUCAUACAGAGAUCAAGUACAUUAUUUACAGCUGGUAAGGGCUAAGAAUUGAUGUAGCUAGAAUACAAAGAUGAUAUGGUAUGUUGUGCACUAUUGUUUUAUUCUACAAUCAAUCUUGACCCUUGAUGCUUGGCUCUCAAUCUUGUCCAUUGAUCUUCUCUGAUCUCGAAAACUUCAAGACCUUUCAAUCUCAUGCCUUAUUAUUGGUGUCUUCUAUGCUGUUAAUUUCAAAUACUAGCUUUUCCGCCAACUUGCCAAUUAUUUGUUCAUUGGUGCGUUUUGUCAAACAGUGUGGAUACUUAUACCAAACGCUUUCUGUUUUAACUACCCCUUUCAAGCUCAAUUAUCUGGGAAGACACUAAUAAGCUUGUUUCUCAAGUAUAUGUAUCUGAAAAUUAAAUUUUCAAAAUUAUAUUCGGACUCUACAUUUUCUAAUGAACAUUGGUUUGGCUCAUAAGCUUAUUAUACUUGGGCUUGGUAGGAUUAUCGGUCGGUAGAUGAACAAGUGUUAGAGCUUUCGAAUUUAUGCCAAUUAAAAAAAAUCUAUAUAAAUUUUCCACUAGGCUAUUACCACAAUAAACAUUUGGAUGAACUAUUAUUGAAACCUUAUUGAGAAGUAGGACAUGUCGCAUACCAAUGCACUGACAUAUCUUCAAAUAGUGGUAACUCCACACAACAUGGCACAAUAAAUUAAGAGUUAUAUAGAUAAAAUCUUUCACUCUUUGGUAAUCAUCAAUGUCGGCAUGACAAUGCGUCCCACAAAUAUGGCUCCUUAUCAAAAUUCAUAAAUCAAAACAAAAUAGAGAAUCAUAUUUGUUCCAGAUUGUAGUGAUGGUUGUUGAUGCACUCACAAUUUACAAUUUUAUUUAAUAUCUUCAAAUUCGCAUUUUAAAAUGCCCAAAUGUUUGUGUAUACAUAAUUAGAUAAAAUCUUUCAUUCUUUGGUAAUCAUCAAUUUCACUAUUAUUCGCUUUAUUAUGUUUGUUUCUUGCAGUAUGUUAAAAGAUUAUGUUGUGAAUUUGUUUUACAGGCCGCCCGUAAGUCUGCGCCCACUGUUGUGAAUUUGUGUAUACAUAAUUAGUAAUCGAUUCUCAAGCACGGACAUUUAAAAGCACUGCCGAAAGACAAAAUUUUAAUUUACUAUUUUUUGUCUUUUAAUUUUCUUUAAGUUUUAAUGAUUCCGCAUUUUAAAAUCCUGUGGAACGUGUAUGUAAAAUUCUUUUAUCUUUUAGAGGAAAACGGGCAAGAGAAGAAUAUUUGGCAAAGGAAUUGCAACCGCAUUUGGAGCUAUAUUUAAUUUUGUCUUUUAAGUCUUUUACACUUGUUUUUGUUAUUGAUGUUAGCUUGGAUGUGUGUGCGUGUGCGACUGAAUUCAACUUACAUGCUAUUGAUGCAGCCACCAAAAAGGGGUGGUCCAUCAUCAAUCAACAAGGUUUAUUAUUAUUUUCAUAUGGAUUUUCUUAAUUAUAAAUAAUACUAAUGCUAUUUCAUAGUUAUAAAUAUAUUAGAAUUAAUCGAAAUCAUUUUUUAGUGUGGCAUUGCCAAACUACCUUUUUUUAUAAGUAAUUACUACUUUCACAUUAAGAAAAAUACUCCUAUUUUUAGGGAAAAAUCAAGUACUUGUAGUUGUGAAAACUUGAGCUCACUCGCGUAUGAUAAAUCUUCAUAUUAAUUACAUAAAUAUCCUCUAAAAUUUUAAAUUAACUAUUCAAAAUUCGAUGUUAUACGGGUAUUUCAUUUAUUUGAGUAGGGGUUAGGGGUCAAUUGGAUACAAAUUCAAAAUUAUCCUUACUUGAGAAGGUGAUAAAAAUUGGGGAUUUAAUUUGGAUGUCAUUAGCUACAAAUAUUAAAUUCAUACAUUUAAUUCAAAAUUGGAGGGUUGAUAUAUGCGCAUCAUCGUGCACGUUAUAGUGACACUGCGUCACCAUCCCACAACCUCUCCAAUGAAAAAUUAACACGUUUCUCGUGUGCAUUUGAUCAGAAUCCUGAAAAUUAAUCACAAAAUUGUACUUUUAUUAUAAAAAGAAUAAAGAAACUCCUGAAAAAAAAAUACUUACAUAAAUGGUUUGAAAAUUCUAGAUUUCAAGUUGUCUAUAUUAGCUUGAUAUUUUUAUAAAUAGUCAUCCUCUCAAAAAAAUUCCAUCAAAAUAUAUAUUUUAAUUUUAUGUUAAUUCAUAAACAUGAAAAAAUCAUUUCAUAAUUAAUUAAAACAUAAUUUAUUGUUUCUCAAAAAAGGUAGAACUUAGUGAUAAGAAAAAAGUAUCUCAAAUAUAUGUAAAAAAAAAAAAAAUCUUGGUUGGUUGGAAUGAUUGAAUUUGCUUUUCUUUUUCUUUUUUAAGAAUUAAGACAAUCGGAUUGAUUGAGUAAUAAUAAUAUAUAUUUAUUUGGAGGUAGGCUUUCGUCUCAUGCAGAUUGAUUAGAGAGAAAACAAAACAAUUUUAAGCUCGUUAGAUUCGAAGCUGCUUACCUGUCGUGUGGGGAUCACUUCCGUGUCUUAUUUUUCUAAAAAAGUCUGGACCAUUGGAUUUAUGUGAAUCGUACUGAACAUUGGAAUUGAUGUAUAAGAAAAAAAUUUUGUAGUCGUUUAAGGAAAAAAAUUAUUCAAUUGGGAAUUUUUUUCCUUUAAUUUUUGUUGUACUUGAUUGAGAUUUCUCCUUAGUCCCUACAGUUUUAAGUUUGGAAACCGUAGGAUUAGUAAUUUCGUACUUCCUUUGCAAGCUGAGUAUAAGGAUGAAAUUCUUUUAAGAAAUUAAAAAAGAUAAAAAAAAGCAUACCAAUAGGCAAUUAUAAAUAACCACAAAUAAAUAUAAACAAAAUGUUUAUGACGUAAAUUAAACAUGCUCAAUUAUUUUCUUUUAUUUUCUGCUCGGAAACCCAUAAAUGCACUAAUCCAGUAUUACUAAUUUCAGACAGAAAAAUUUGAAUUUAACCGGUAUACAUUUCUACAAACCAAACAAGGCUAUUAUUUUUAUUAUUAUUUUUUUUUUUUUAUAAAUUACUAUUUUAAUUUUUCACUUUUUAUUGGGUUGCUUAACAGAUUAGUGAAGUUGGUGGUCGUUGAUGCACUCACAAGGUACAAUUUUAUUUUAGAAAUUGAAAUUUCGUAUUUUAAAAUGCAGGCACAUUAUGUAUGCAUAAUUAUUGAUUUUCAUAUGUGGGUGUUUUGAAAUAUUGCUAAAAGACCAAACUUUAAUAAACUAUUUUUGAUCUUUUUUUUUCCUUUGUACCUAAAGUUAGAGUGAUAUCCGCAUUUUAAAUUCAUGUGGACCAAAAGCUAAUGUAUGGACAAAAUUAUUUUAUUUUUCCGAGAAAAAUGGGUAAGAGAAGAAGAUUUUUCUCUUGAAAAAGAAAAACUAAUACGUUGCAAGCAUAGGAAAGAGGCUAGUGUGUUUGGAUUUGAAUUUAGUAUUGAGUUCAAUUUUAUGCUAAGCUCUUUUAUAAUACUGCGAUUAGGGAGCCCUUAAGUUACAUGUAAUAUAACUUACACUCGCUCACUUAAAUAGUGGGUGGGUUGGGGGCCCACUCACUGUUCAUGUGAGUGAGUGUAAGUUCCAUUAUAUGUAAUUUAGCACUUGCCUUGCGAUUAAUAAGCUCAGGAUUUGCUUUUGCUUUUACUUCAAGUAAAAGAAAGAGGAAACCUUUUGUUUUUUGUUUGAUUUUUGACUAUAUAUGUUACCUAUAUAGAGAGUUGAGAUGGCUGCCUUAAGUGAUGGUGAUAAAAAGAUUAAGCAGCGCACACAAUCUUACUAUCGUCCAGACUGUCCAGUGAUAGACUCUAGUUUUUUGGUUACAUUAGCUUUAGUGGAAAGAAGGGCCAAUUUAACAAAGACUAGAUUUGGUGGCUUGUUGUAAUGCUUAUUCUCAGGGAAUCUAAGGUUAUAAGAUGAUUGAAUGAUCUUCUAUGAUUGUGAGCAGUAUAUUAUAAUUGAAGAGAGCUUGGGCUCCUAUGAUGUAUAACAAUAACACAUUACUAUGAUUGAGAAAACUCAGUUACAAUAAACUCUUCAUUUAUUCAUUGCUGAGAUUGAAUGGCAAAUAGAGAAUAGAAUGAAGCAGAGGAAUCUCAUUGCCUGUAAAAUUGAGCCUAUUUAAUAUUACUUGUAGUUUUUAUUGUAAAAUAUACAGGUAUGACCAUGAUCAGAUGCUUUUUUUAAAAACAAAUGAGACAUCUUUGAUUUAUGGUAGUUUUAGAGAAAAAAAAAACAUAUAAAAAUUAAGAGGGAUGAGUUAACUGACGAUUACAAUCAUUACAGCAAUGCUGAUGAGUGAUACAUCACUUGAAAUUUAUUUGUCAGUUGCUGUAAUGAUGGAAAAAAACAAUAAACAAUAACAGUAAUAAUGUUCCCUUGCUGAAAUUCAAUUUUGACUUUCGACUCUUGGCUUUUAUGGAGAGUAAAAUGACUUGUAUAUUAUCCUCAUACAAUCCACUCUACAUAAUGAUAUCAUUUUAAUAAGGCAAUGGCUGAUGAUCUCCAUUGAAAAACUUUUUGUUUUAUUUAACUUUUUGGUUGUUGAAAAUAACCUUAAUUAUCAAAUAAUCAGAGAAAGAGUAAAGAACAUUUAACAAAUUUAUGUGCCAAAAAAAAAAGGAGAAAUUGAAGAGAAAGGAUGCUUGCAGAAGUGGGUGUCAAAGAGAUAAAUCGGUCUAUAAGAAUUAUUGUGGUUAUUUUUUUGGUGCCUUGGAGUUCUUUAAAUUAAGGGCCCAGUUUGUCCAUUUGUUUCAGUUAGGUCCUUAUUAAAAAUUAAUUUUAAUAUUGGUUUUCUUAAUUAUAACUAAUACUAAUGAUAUUUCAUAGUUAUAAAUAUAUUAGAAUUAAUCCAAAACAUUUUUUAGUGUGGCAUGGCUAAAACUACCUUUUCUAUUAGUAAUUACUACUUUUGCAUUAAGGAAAAUACUCCUAUUUUUAGAAAAAAGUCAAGUACCUAUAGUUGUGAGAACUUGAGCUCACUCGCUUAUGAUAAAUCUUCAUAUUAAUUACGAAAAUAUCCUCUAAAUUUUAACUAAACUAUUCGAAAUUCAAUGUUAUUCGGAUAUUUCGUUUAUUUGAGCAGGGGUUAGGGGUCAAUUUGAUACAAAUUCAAAAUUAUCCUCAUUUGCGAAGAUGAUAAAAAUUAGGGAUUUAAUUUGGAUGUCACUGGCCACAAAUAUUAAACUCAUGCAUCUCAAAAUUAGAGGGCUGAUAUAUAUGCAUUAUCGUUAUAUUGACAUGUGUCACCAUCCCACAACCUCUCCAAUGAAAAAUUGACAUGCAUCUUGUGUGCUUCUUAUCAAAAUCCUGAAAAUUAAUCACAAAGUUAUAUUUUUAUUAUAAAAAGAAGAAAGAAACUCCAUAAGUGAAAAAAAAAAAGACUUAAACAUAAAUAUUUUAGAUAAUCUAGAUUUCAAGUUGUCUAUACUAGCUUGAUAUUUUUAUAAAUAUCAAGAUUUCAAGUUGUCCAUAGUAGCUUGAUAUCUUCUAAAAAAAUUCCAUCAACAUAUAUUUUAAUUUUACGUUAAUUAAUAAAUAGAAAAUUCAUUUUAGAAUUAAUUAAAACAUUAUUUAUUGUUGCCAAAGAAGGAAGUACUUAGCGAUAAGAAAAAAGUGUCUCAAAUAUAUGUUAAAAAAAAAUCAUGGUCGGUUGGACUGAUUGAAUUUUUUUUUCUUUUUCUUUUUUAAGAAUUAAGACAAUUGGAUUGAUUGAGUAAUAAUAAAAUAUAUUUAUUUGGCAAAUGGCAGGUAGGCUUUCUUCUGAUGCAGAUUGAUUAGAGAGAAUAUGCAGCAAUUUUAAGCUUGUCAGAUUCGGAGGCUGCUUAUCUGUCGUGUGGGGAUCACUUCCAUGUCUUAUUUUUCUUGAAAAAUCUGGACCGUUGGAUUUACCAUUAGUCAAUAGAGAAAUGCUGAUCUUGAUUCUUGAUCAAGAUCGAAGUUUGAUUCUAUCUAACAUGAUAUCAGAUUGCGAAGCAAGCAAAUUGAAAGUAACUUGUUCUAUUUUGAUGGAAGAAACACAAUUUCUAUUGUUCUAAUAAAAAAUUUUAAUUAUACAUAUUUUUCUUUUGCCACUUGGGUUUGUAGUCCAGUGGUGAACUAUUGGCCUUAAAGUUAAGUAUGACUAUGAGGGCAAUGGUUCGAGUGCCCACGAACUCAAACUCCCUCAAUUAAACAUAAUUAUGUGGAGAUUACUUAUAACGUCUUUCUCUCUUGUGAAAUCUGAGUGGAGUAGAAAUAUCCCUUUCCCGUGAGGGUUAUUUGGCUAGGCAUGUACUUUAUAGAAUAAAAAUGUAAUAAUGUAAGUCAGUGCAAUGAUCUACUGUCAUAGUAGUUGUAAAUAUCUAGGUGUAAUACAGUAACCUGAUGCUUAAUCAGUUAAAAAAAAUGUAUAUCUUUUUUUUAUUUUUUUCAUUGUGAUCACUAUAACUAGUCAAAUUUAUUUUUAAAUAUUUUUUAAAAAAAUAUUUUAUUAACAAUGAUAUGAAAAUAUUCGAACCCCUUCUCAUAGUAAAGUGAAUUACUAUCCAACUGAUGCCUUCAAACUGUAAAUUGCAAAUCGUGUGUUUGCUCCAUUACAGGGUGUCUUCAAUUUAAAAUAGAGAAUAAUUUGGUUCUAGAUUAAUCGUGGGUCUAUAUCCAAAUCCAAAAAUUGACUAACUUGAUUUCUAUUAAGUUCUCAACCCUAACACGAAAAAUAGAAGAUUAAAAAUGACUAUUUUGGUUUCUAUUAAUUUGAGUAACACUUAAUAUUUAUCAUACAAUAGUCACUUAUAUUAUCAAAAUCUUGGGUCGAAAAUAUUAGGAUAGGUGAUAAUUGGAAUUAAGUUGUAGAUAAGAUAGAAAUGGAUUUGGAGAGAGAUUGGAAUCCUGGCUAAUCCGGUGCACGUUGUUGCGUUAAAUUCUCGUUGACUUCACGUUGACCGAAGCAUUAUUGGAAGAAACAAGCAAGCUUAUUUUCUUCUCUCAUUUUUUACUUUUGUCUAAAUUUAUUGAUGUGAGGCCUCUGAGAUGGUAAAGUGUUAAAUCUGAGAAGAGUACCCACACACCCAUUAUCCUAUUACUCUUAUUUUAUCACAUGCAGAGACGUCAACGUUUGAUUCGCACGGAAAAAAAUUUGCUAGGAUUGUGAGGGUUGAUGUAAUGUAAUUUAGAUGCAAAGUGUUCACAAGUGCGAUGCUUCGUAAGUGUACUUGAAUCAUUAUAAACUCACCUUAUUUUCAUAGUGAUUAUUUCAUCUGCAUGUGAAUAUAAUCAUAUGUGGAGAUUUUUUUCCUAAAUUAUGAUCUUCUCUGGUAUUGAGGUGUUAUAUUUUUUAAAGGUUAAUGUUAAGUUACAUGCAUGUAACUUACAACCCUCUCACAUGAAUAGUGAGUGGACCCACACCAUUCACUAUUCAUAUGAGAGGGUUGUAAGUUACAUCCUCUUUUAAAUUAUAAUUAUUAUUAUAAAAAAACUGCAACUAUGAAAAAAAAUUAAUAUUAUGUCCUGAAUAUAAUUGUUAAAUAAUAAUUUUGACAAAAUUAAUGAAUAUAUACAGUUUUUUUAUCAUAUAAGUGUAAAAUUAUAUCAAAUUAGCUUUUAAAUUAUACAGUGGCUACUGCUUAUCAAACACUUUAGUGUUGUAACUUUUAAGUUAUAACUGUCUAGCCUUUAACCUCAAUCUCAAACGAGGCUUAUAAAGAUCAAGGAUUUCCUCAUAAAAAUUAUACGUCUUGUGAUUGCUUAUUUAAUUUAUAUUUUCGUUAUUUAUCUUUAUUAAUUAUAGUCAUCUUUUUAUAAAUUACAAUUGGAGAAAGUUGGUUGAUGUUGUUGACACACACACACACAUACAAAGAUAUAUUGGAAGUGCUUAUUAUGUCGACUCGAAGUUGUGGGGAGUUAAUGCAUGUAUUGAUUUAUUGGGAGUGUUUAAAUUAUUUUGUGAUUUACUUGAUAGAUUGAUUGAUUGAAUAUUGUUUGAUUGCUUCAUAUCAAUUCUGGAAAGUUUAUUUCUUUGUGAAAUUUCAACGAAAUAUGUUUUUUAAAAUAAUAAGGGUGUUUUAAGUAAUUUUGAAAAAUAAAUACACUAAUUAGAAUUAAUUAUUAAGUAAUUAACUCGAACUGUAGAGGAUAAGCAAACAUUUAUCCUAAUUAUAUUAUGAUAAAUCCUUUUCCAACUAGAAUUAGGAAACCAUAGAUAUACAGAUUUUUAUUUUUAUUUCCCUUUGCGAAAACGGAUUAGAGAAUUAGAAAACAAUCCUAGUGAGACUAUUGUUAGGUUUAAUAUUUUGUCGAAUUUGGAAACUUUUUGUCGAAUUAGAAAACAUGCGUGGUGAAUAUUUUGUCGCAUGCAAACUUUUUGUUUUAUGCAAAUCGUACUGAACAUUGGGACUGAUGUUUAAGAAAAAAAUUCUGUAGUUAAAGAAAAACAAAAAGGCAUGUUGAAUAGAUUACGAUAGUUUAUUCAAUUGGGAAUUUUUUUUCUUUAAUUUUUGUUGUACUUGAUUGAGAUUUCUCCUUGGUCCUUACAGUCUUAAGUUUGGAUACCGUAGGAUUAGUAAUUUCGUACUUCCUUUGCAAGCUGAGUAUAAGGAUGAAAUUCUUUUAAGAAAUUAAAAAAAAAUGAUAAAAAAGGCAUACCAGUAGGCAAUUAUAAAUAACCACAAAUAAAUAUAAACAAAAUGUUUAUGAAGUAAAUUAAACAUGCACAUAUUAUUUUCUUUUAUUUUCUGCUUGGAAACCCAUAAAUACACUAAUCCAGUACUACUAAUUUCAGAUAGAAAAAUUUGAACUCUAAGCUGCAGUUUGACUCAAAAUGAUGAUCACUGGCUUCGCACCAUUUAACCGGUAUACAUUUCUACAAACUGAACAAGGCUAUUGAUUUUUAUUAUUAUUUUAAUUUGUUUAUAAAUUACUAUUUUAAUUUUCACUUUUUAUUGGGUUGUGUAACGGAUUAGUGAAGCUGGUGGUCGUUGAUGCACUUACAAGGUACAAUUUUAUUUUAUAAUUUCAAAUUCGUAUUUUAAAAUGCAGGUACAUUAUGUAUACAUAAUUAUUGAUUUUCGUAUGAGGGUGUUUUGAAAUAUUGCUAAAAGACUAAACUUUAAUAAACUAUUUUUGAUCUUUUUUUUUCCUAAAGUUUGGGUGAUAUGCGCAUUUUAAAUUCAUGUGGAACAAAAGUUAAUGUUUGUAUAAAAAUUCUUUUAUUUUUUUGAGCAAAAUAGGCAAGCGAAAAAGUUUUGGCAAAUGAGUUGCAACUGAAUCCAAAACCAAUACAAUGCAAGCAUAGGAAAGAGGCCAGUGUUUAGGAUUUGAAUUUAGUAUUAAGCUGAAUUUUAUGGUACGCUCUUUUAGAGUACUGUGAUCGAUAAGCUCAGCCCCGGAUUUGCUUUUGCUUUUGCUUUUACUUCAAGUGAAAGAAAGAGGAAACCUUUUGUUUUUUCUUUGGUUUUCAACUAUGUUACCUAUACAGAGAGACAAGAUACCUGCCAUAAGUGAUGGUGUUAAAAAGAUUAAGCAGCGCACACAAACUUACUAUCGUCUAGACCAUCCAGUGAUGACCCUAGUCUUUUGGUUACGUUAGCUUUAGUUGAAAGAAGGGCCAAUUUAACAAAGACUAGAUUUGAUGGCUUACUAUGUUUAAUGUAAUGCUAAUUUUCAGGGAAUCUAAUGUUAUAACUUAUAAGAUGAUCUCCUAUGAUGAACAACAGUAACACAUUACUGUGAUUGAGAAAACUCAGUUACAAUAAACUCUUCAUUUACUCAUUGAGAAGAUUGAAUAGCAAACAGAGAAUAGAAUGAAGCAGAGGAAUCUCAUUGCCAAUAAAAUUGACCCUCUUUAAUGUUAUAUGGCACAGGUGUGGAGGAAGAACAAGUUACUUGCAGUUUUUAUAGUAAAAUAUACAGGUAUGACCAUGAUCAUUACAGUUAGGUUUUGAUGAUUUCGGAUGCUUUUUUUAAAAAAAAAAAAAUUGUGACAUCUUUGAUUUACGGUAGUUUUGUAGAAAAAAAAUAUAUAAAAAUUAAGAGGGAUGAGUUAAACUGACGAUUACAAUCAUUCCAGCAAUGCUGAUGAGUGAUACAUCACUUGAAAUUUACUUAUUAGUUGCUGAAAUGAUGAAAAAAAAAAACAAUAAACGAUAACAGUAAUAAUGUUCCCUUGCUGAAAUUCAAUUUUGACUUUCGACUCUUGGCUUUUAUGGAGAGUAAAAUGACUUGUAUAUUAUACUCAUACAAUCCACUCUACAUAAUGAUAUCGUUUUAAUAAGGCAAUGGCUGAUGAUCUCCAUUUAAAAACUACAUCAAUUUUUUUGCUUCAUUUAACUCUCUGGUUGUUGAAAAUAACCUUAAUUAUCAAAUAAUUGGAGAAAGAGUUAAGAACAUUUAACAAAUUUAUGUGCAAAAAAAAAAAAAAAAAGGAGAAGUUGAAGAGAAAGGGUGCUUGCAGAAGUGGGUGUCAAAGAUAAAUCGGUCCAUAAGAAUUAUUGGGGUUAUUUUUUGGCAAAAUAAGAACUUAUGCGAUAGCAUUUUUUAUGGGUGCAUAUAACCUCCCUUUAAAAAAAUAUAUAAUAAUUACUGCUUAAUAUAGUAUUAAAUACAAAAAUAUCAAUAUUUGACUACUUAAAUUUAUAUCAUUAGGUCCUUAAAAUUUAAAAUGGAAGAUAUGAAAGGAAAUAUAUAUAAAUUUCAUUGUCCUGGUAAAGGGCCCUCUUAUAAUCUUAUAAUAUUUGAACUUUGAUAGAUUUUUUGAAACAAAUGUACUUUUAUUUGUGUACAAUCAAUAUUUACUCAUUUAUUAUAUUUUAAUUUAUUAACUAUUAAUCAUGUAAGUAUACUUAAUCAGAAAAAUUAUAUCAAGAGAAAAUUCUAAUUUCACGCAAAAACAAAUACCAAAACAAAUAUCUCAAUUUCUAUACUAUUCACUUUCCUGUAGAAUCAAUUAUUUAAAAUGCAAGUUUGUGGCUACAGAAAACUCGCCAAAGAAAGAAGAUAAUAACAAUUGAGCAUUGAUAGCAAAACUAAUGCAUCCAAUUCUUCUUGACUUGAUGAGAUGGCGCCAUAACGUAGACACAAGUACCUAAAUUGACCGGCACUGAGUGAUGUGAAUACUACCAGCCAGUUCAUCUCUUCCAGUCUUGCUUAAUCACAAUCACAAACACCACGAGAUCGACAUUUGCAUUAUAUAUAUCUUCAGCAAUCGAAACACCUUGCAUUACCAAAUAAGCCCGUAACAGACAAAGCAAUCUUUCAUGGAGAGAAACCUUAGUCUCAGUAUGAUCACUGUGUCAUUAACCUACUGCCUGCUUCUUUGCUUGGUUGCUGCAGCAGCAGCAGCGGCAAGCAACAAUAUUACCACAGACCAACAAGCUCUUCUUGCCCUGAAAGAUCAUAUAAUUUAUGAUCCGACCAGCCUUUUAGCUCACAAUUGGACCUCGAAUACCUCUGUUUGUACCUGGAUUGGCAUCACUUGUGAUGCCAAUAGCCAUAGAGUCACAACCUUAGAUAUUUCUCAAUUCAAUCUACAAGGCACCAUCCCUCCUCAACUUGGAAACCUCUCUUCACUCACAACACUUAAUCUUAGUCAUAACAGGCUUUCUGGAAGCGUUCCCUCCUCCAUCUACACCAUGCAUACGCUAAAAUUUCUUGACUUCACUGAUAACCAGCUCUCUGGUUCAGUGUCUUCCUUCGUCUUCAACAUGUCUUCAAUAUUAGUAAUUCGUUUGACCAAUAACAUAUUUUCUGGUGAGCUUCCGAAAAAUAUUUGCAACUAUCUUCCUUAUUUGAAGGCCCUUUUCUUAAACAAAAACAUGUUUCAUGGCAAAAUUCCUUCUGCUUUAUCAAAGUGCAAACAACUGCAACAAUUAAAUUUGCAGUUCAAUAAUUUAUCCGGUGCAAUACCAAAAGAAAUCGGCAACUUGACUAUGCUCAAAGGGAUAUAUCUCCUCUACAACAAACUCCACGGUAUGUUCACAAUACUAUAUAAAUAUUUUAAUUUAUCACUUAUUAUCUUUCUUGAAUAAUUUAGCUAAGAUCUUGUAAGAGAGAUAUUUUGCAUCUACGUUAAUUUACCAGGUGAGAUACCCCACGAAAUCGCUAAUCUUCCAAAUCUAGAGGCUUUAGCGCUUGGAAUCAACAACCUAGUUGGUGUGUUACCAGCUCCCAUCUUCAACAUGUCAACACUGAAGGUACUUAUCCUCAUAAAUAACUCUCUCUCCGGAAGUCUUCCAUCAAGAGUAGACCUUUCACUUCCAACUGUUGAGCAACUUAACUUGGCACUUAAUAGAUUUUCUGGAACCAUUCCUAGUUCCAUCACCAAUGCUUCUAAGCUCACCUUUCUAGAGUUGGGAGCAAACACAUUUUCGGGGUUUAUUCCAAACACAAUUGGUAAUUUAAGAAACCUUAAGUGGCUCGGCUUGGCUAAUAACUCCUUGACAUCUUCAACCUCAAAAUUGAGCUUUCUUUCCUCUUUGGCAAAUUGCAAGAAAUUAAGAUUCGUAAACUUAAUAGGCAAUCCACUGGACGGCUUCCUUCCAAGUUCAAUAGGUAAUCUUUCUGUGUCUUUGGAAACACUUGGCAUCGGCAAUUGCAGUAUUAGUGGCAACAUUCCUCCAGCAAUUAGCAAUUUAAGCAACUUGUUGACCUUAGUAUUACACGGCAAUAAAUUGACUGGACCAAUCCCAACUACAUUCGGCCAACUGCAGAAACUCCAAGGCUUAGAUCUUGCAUUCAAUAAGUUGGUAGGUUCAUUCCCAGAUGAGCUUUGCCAUCUGGCAAGGCUGGAUCAAUUGAUCUUAUUUGGCAAUAAGCUUUCAGGAUCUAUACCUUCAUGCUUAAGCAACCUCACUUCUCUAAGAUCUCUCUAUUUAGGGUCUAAUAAGUUUACUUCUGUUAUUCCCUCAACCUUCUGGAGCCUAAAAGACAUCUUGUUCUUUGACUUUUCAUCAAAUUUCUUGGUUGGUCCUCUUUCUUUAGAUAUAGGAAAUUUGAAGGUGCUUCUAGGAAUAAGUUUAUCGAAAAAUAAUUUAUCCGGUGAUAUCCCAGCCACAAUUGGAGGACUGAAAGAUCUUCAAUUUAUGGACCUAGCAUAUAAUAGAUUGGAAGGCCCAAUUCCUAAAUCAUUUGGUGACUUGAUAAGUUUAGAAGUUCUGAAUUUAUCAAAUAAUAAAAUCUUUGGGUCUAUUCCAACAUCCAUGGAGAAACUUUUUUACCUCGGAGAGUUAAAUCUCUCUUUCAAUAAACUAGAAGGUGAGAUUCCUAGUGGAGGAACUUUUGCCAACUUCACAGCUAAGUCAUUUAUGGGAAAUGAGUUUUUGUGUGGUUUACAAAAUCUUCAAGUCCAACCAUGCAAAGUUAGCAAGCCGAGGACAGAACAUAAAUCAAGGAAAAAGAUACUUCUCAUUGUGAUUGUUUCGCCAUUGAGUAUUGCUCUAACAAUAGCAAUCACUCUAGCUCUCAAAUCUAAGCUGAUCGAAUGUGGAGAAAGAAGCACAGUGUUGUCAAAUGAUAGUAUCUUGUCAUCACAAGCAACACUAAGAAGAUUUUCAUACUUAGAACUUUUACAAGCAACAGAUAAUUUUGCUGAAAACAGCAUAAUUGGCAGAGGAGGUUUCGGUUCCGUUUAUGGAGCAAGACUUGAAGAUGGGAUGAAGAUUGCAAUAAAAGUGUUUCACAGGCAAUGUGCAAGCGCAUUGAAGAGUUUUGAGGCUGAAUGUGAAGUGAUAAAAAAAAUUCGCCAUCGAAACCUUAUCAAAGUUAUCAGCAGUUGCUCGAACGAUGACUUCAAAGCAUUAGUCCUAGAAUACAUGUCCAACGGGAGCUUAGGGGAUUGGCUGCAUUCGAGCAAUUACGUGCUGAAUAUUUUUCAAAGGUUGAACAUACUAAUUGACGUUGCAUCAGCUUUAGAAUACCUCCACUUCGAUCAUUCAACUCCUAUUAUUCAUUGUGACUUAAAGCCUAGUAAUGUAUUGUUGGACGAAAAUAUGGUUGCUCAUUUGAGUGAUUUUGGCAUAGCAAAGCUUUUAAGUGGAGAAGAUGAGUCUACGAUGCGAACAAAAACCCUUGCCACUAUAGGUUAUAUGGCACCAGGUUUGCUUCAAACAACUUUUUUUUUUUAAACUUCAUUUUAAAUUUUCUAAAUCAUUGAUUUUUACGAUCCUCAUAUCAAAUUGUUAUUGAUUAUUUAUCUAAUUGUGAAAUUAAUUUGAUUCAUAGAGUAUGGCAUAGGAGGAGAAGUAUCUACAAAAAGCGAUGUUUACAGCUAUGGGAUUAUGCUGAUGGAAACUUUUACCAAGAAAAAACCCACAGAUGAAAUUUUUGUUGGAGAAUUGAGCUUAAAGCAUUGGGUUAAUGACUUGCUUCCUAAUUCAUUAGUGGAAGUUGUGGACAAAACUCUGCUAAGUGGAGAGGAAAAACACUCUGCAGCAAAGGAGCAAUGUCUGUUGUCUAUCUUUAGUUUGGCUCUGGAGUGUACAAUGGAAUCACCGGAAAAGAGGAUUAAUGCAAAAGAUAUUGUUACCGGAUUACUCAAGAUAAGAGACACAUUCAGUAAAAGGAUAGGAAAUUUAAGUUAAUUUCGUUUGCUUUCAUUGAUAGUUAAUUCGAAUUCAUGUAAUAAGUGUAAGAAUCUUAUAUCUUUUCCUUUGAUAUAUUUUUUUUCUUGAGAAAACUGUUGUAGUCAUCUUGUUUCCAUGGGCAGAGUUGAUUUAGUUCUUCCAAAAAAUGCUACUGAUGACCUUUGUUUAAUACUUUCUCUUUUUUUGCAUGUGUUUAGGUAGAACAGUGGUUUGGCUGCAGGCUAAUAAGUCAAGCUACGCCAAAAGCGUAUGAUUUAAUUUAUUAAACAUAACUUCAAGUUCAAGAAGUGUUUCUCAUUGCCACCAAUGCUUUGGACACCUGUUGGAAGGUUUGUUGUCCUCAGCUUUUGUUUAGAGCAAAAGUUCGAGUCCCAUAAAGGCUCAAACAUUCCUUUCCUUCAUCCCGAGGGCGCCUUCUGUCCUCUGUUUUCUGUUUCCACACACAAAUAGCACAAAGAAUUUAGAAUGACAACUGGGACAUAUAUAAGAGUGAAAUAAUUAAAAAAAUUAUGCUUUUUUGUUUGUCGUGUUAAAAUCGUAAGUACCGAAGUACUGUGAAAGAGAUUAAUUUACAGAAACUGAAGCCAAGGGUUCAAAAAAAACUAUUGAUGUAGCUAGAAUGCAAUGUCAUAUUCAUACAGAGAUGAAGUAUAUUAUUUACGGCUGGUAAGGACUAGGAAUUGAUGUAGCUAGAAUCCAAAGAUGAUAAGGUAUGUUGUGCACUAUUGUUUUAUUCUACGGUCAAUCUUGACCCUUGGUGCUUGGCUCUCAAUCUUGUCCAUUGAUCUUCUCUGAUCUUGGAAACUUCAAGACCUUUCACUCUCAUGCCUUAUUAUUGGUGUCUUCCAUGCUGUAGCUUUCAAAUACAAGCUUUCCCGCCAACUUGCCAAUUAUUUGUCCGUUGGUGCAUUUUAUCAAACAGUUUGGAUACUUAUACCAAACGCCUCCUGUUUUAACUCCCCCCUCAAGCUCAAGCAUGUGGGAAGACAUUAAUAAGCUUGUUUCUCAAGUAUAUGUAUCUGAAAAUUAAAUUUUAUAAAUUAUAUUCGGACUCUACAUUUUCUAAUGAACAUUGGUUUGGCUUAUAAGCUUAUUAUACUCAGGUUUGGUAGGAGCCAUGUCACAAUGUUAACGCUAACCAGCAGUACUGCCAAAGCUGGCCAACUCAGCCUGCAAGUUCAUAGCAACCAUAGUUACAGUCCUAGUCCGGUACAAAAAUCGUAAAUAUCAUUUACAUUACAAUGGUGUGGGGGGGGGGGGGGGGGGGGGGGGGGGGUGGCUGGAGAGGGAAUCAACAAAGAUCUAGAACGAAGGGUAGGCUUGUAUCCGUAACCCAUGUCACAGUGUUAAUGCUAACCGUGGACCUUAUUAUAUUAGUUUCUGGACUAUUAUUACUUUUGAAUUGCCAUCUUUGAAUUUACGUUCAUUUCUGCCUCGACAAGAUGUUUGUAAAAAUAUGCUAAUUAUUAAUGUGCCGUGUACAAAUAAGCAUGUUACUGUGCAAGGAUUGUAGUCAUGAUACAGUGGUGCAAAAUGUACAUGCUACUUCUUCUUUUCCUCAGUUAGGAUCACCGUCGUCACCAUUUAAUUCUAAGUCCACCCAUGCGGCCUAUGCAAUUGAAAUCAUGUGACCAUGUAAUUUUAGGUUCUGAUCUUCCUUGUGGGGUUAAACCUCAAAACUGUGACCAUUUUGGGACUUUUAAUCAGUUCCAAUCAUUUUCUGGUUCCCAUUCGUCCACCCAAGCCUUGAUUCCCCCGAUAUAGCAUGGCAAUAUAUAUAGGAAUAUUAAGGUUGUGUACAGUUUUUUUCUUUUCUGUUUUUAAUUUGAUAUAAAUUAUCAAUCAUGAAUCUACAUAAAGUUUCAACUAGGCUACUACCACAAUAAACAUUUGGAUGAACUAUUAUUGAAACCUUAUUGAGAAGUAGGACAUGUCGCAUACCAAUGCACUGACAUAUCUUCAAAUAGUGGUAACUCCACACAACAUGGCACAAUAAAUUAAGAGUUAUAUAGAUAAAAUCUUUCACUCUUUGGUAAUCAUCAAUGUCGGCAUGACAAUGCGUCCCACAAAUAUGGCUCCUUAUCAAAAUUCAUAAAUCAAAACAAAAAUAGAGAAUCAUAUUUGUUCCAGAUUGUAGUGAUGGUUGUUGAUGCACUCACAAUUUACAAUUUUAUUUAAUAUCUUCAAAUUCGCAUUUUAAAAUGCCCAAAUGUUUGUGUAUACAUAAUUAGAUAAAAUCUUUCAUUCUUUGGUAAUCAUCAAUUUCACUAUUAUUCGCUUUAUUAUGUUUGUUUCUUUCAGUAUGUUAAAAGAUUAUGUUGUGAAUUUGUUUUACAGGCCGCCCGUAAGUCUGCGCCCACUGUUGUGAAUUUGUGUAUACAUAAUUAGUAAUCGAUUCUCAAGCACGGACAUUUAAAAGCACUGCCGAAAGACAAAAUUUUAAUUUACUAUUUUUUGUCUUUUAAUUUUCUUUAAGUUUUAAUGAUUCCGCAUUUUAAAAUCCUGUGGAACGUGUAUGUAAAAUUCUUUUAUCUUUUAGAGGAAAACGGGCAAGAGAAGAAUAUUUGGCAAAGGAAUUGCAACCGCAUUUGGAGCUAUAUUUAAUUUUGUCUUUUAAGUCUUUUACACUUGUUUUUGUUAUUGAUGUUAGCUUGGAUGUGUGUGCGUGUGCGACUGAAUUCAACUUACAUGCUAUUGAUGCAGCCACCAAAAAGGGGUGGUCCAUCAUCAAUCAACAAGGUUUAUUAUUAUUAAUUUCCAUAUUGAUUUUCUUAAUUAUAAAUAAUACUAAUGUUAUUUCAUAGUUAUAAAUAUAUUAGAAUUAAUCGAAAUCAUUUUUUAGUGCGGCAUGGCUAAAACUACCCUCUUCUUUUUUUUUAUAAGUAAUUACUACUUUCACAUUAAGAAAAAUACUCCUAUUUUUUAGGAAAAGUCAAGUACCUGUAGUUGUGAAGACUCGAGCUCACUCCCUUAUGAUAAAUCUUCAUAUUAAUUACGUAAAUAUCCUCUAAAAUUUUAAAUUAGCUAUUCAAAAUUUGAUGUUAUACGGGUAUUUCAUUUAUUUGAGUAGGGGUUAGGGGUCAAUUGGAUACAAAUUCAAAAUUAUCCUUACUUGAGAUGGUGAUAAAAAUUGGGGAUUUAAUUUGGAUGUCAUUAGCUACAAAUAUUAAACUCAUACAUUUAAUUCAAAAUUGGAGGGCUGAUAUAAGCGCAUCAUCCCACAACCUCUCCAAUGAAAAAUUAACACGUUUCUUGUGUGCAUUUGAUCAGAAUCCUGAAAAUUAAUCACAAAAUUGUCCUGGAAAAAAAAAUACUUACAUAAAUGGUUUGAAAAAUCUAGAUUUCAAGUUGUCUAUAUUAGGUUGAUAUUUUUAUAAAUAGUCAUCCUCUCAAAAAAAUUCCGUCAAAAUAUAUUUUAAUUUUAUGUUAAUUCAUAAACAUGAAAAAAUCAUUUCAGAAUUAAUUAAAACAUAAUUUAUUGUUUCUCAAAAAAGGUAGAACUUAGUGAUAAGAAAAAAGUAUCUCAAAUAUAUGUAAAAAAAAAAAAAAUCUUGGUUAGUUGGAAUGAUUGAAUUUGUUUUUUUUUUUCUUUUUUAAGAAUUAAGACAAUCGGAUUGAUUGAGUAAUAAUAAUAUAUAUUUAUUUGGCAAAUGGCAGGUAGGCUUUCGUCUCAUGCAGAUUGAUUAGAGAGAAAAUAUAACAAUUUUAAGCUCGUCAGAUUCGAAGCUGCUUUCCUGUCGUGUGGGGAUCACUUCCGUGUCUUAUUUUUCUAGAAAAAUCAGGACCAUUGGAUUUAUGCGAAUCGUACUGAACAUUGGAAUUGAUGUAUAAGAAAAAAAUUCUGUAGUUUAAGAAGAACAAAAAGGCAUGUUGAAUAGAUUACAAUAGUUUAAGGAAAAAAAUUAUUCAAUUGGGAAUUUUUUUUUUCUUUAAUUUUUGUUGUACUUGAUUGAGAUUUCUCCUUAGUCCUUAGAGUUUUAAGUUUGGAAACCGUAGGAUCAGUAAUUUCGUACUUCCUUUGCAAGCUGAGUAUAAGGAUGAAAUUCUUUUAAGAAAUUAAAAAAGAUAAAAAAAAGCAUACCAAUAGGUAAUUAUAAAUAACCACAAAUAAAUAUAAACAAAAUGUUUAUGAAGUAAAUUAAACAUGCUCAUAUUAUUUUCUUUUAUUUUCUACUUGGAAAUCCAUAAAUACACUAAUCCAGUAUUACUAAUUUCAGACAGAAAAAUUUGAAUUUAACCAGUAUACACUAAUCCAGUAUUAUUUUUAUUAUUAUUUUAAUUUGUUUAUAAAUUACUAUUUUAAUUUUCACUUUUUAUUGGGUUGUUUAACGGAUUAGUGAAGCUGGUGGUCGUUGAUGCACUCACAAGGUACAAUUUUAUUUUAGAAUUUCAAAUUCGUAAUUUAAAAUGCAGGCACAUUAUGUAUACAUAAUUAUUGAUUUUCAUAUGUGGGUGUCUUGAAAUAUUGCCAAAAGAUCAAACUUUAAUAAACGAUUUUUGAUCUUUUUUUUUCCUUUGUACCUAAAGUUUGAGUGAUAUCCGCAUUUUAAAUUCAUGUGGACCAAAAGCUAAUGUAUGCACAAAAUUCUUUUAUUUUUUCCGAGAAAAAUGGGUAAGAGAAGAAGAUUUUUCUCUUGAAAAAGAAAAACUAAUACGUUGCAAGCAUAGGAAAGAGGCCAGUGUUUUGGAUUUGAAUUUAGUAUUGGGUUGAAUUUUAUGCUAAGCUCUUUUAUAAUACUUUAUAGAAUAAAAAUGUAAGGGGUAUUUGGUUAGGCAUGUACUUUGUAGAAUAAAAAUGUAAUAAUGUAAGUCAGUGCAAUGAUCUGCUGUCAUAAUAGUUGUAAAUAUUUAUGUGUAAUAUAGUAACAUGAUGCUUAAUCAGUUAAAAAAAAAUUGUAUAUCUUUUUUUAUUUUUUUUUAUUGUGAUCAAUAUAACUAGUCAAAUUUAUUUUUAAAUAUUUUUUUAAAAAUAUUUUUAUCGUGUGUUUGCUCCAUUACAGGGUUUCUUCAAUUUAAAAUAGAGAAUCAUUUGUGUUCUAGAUUAAUCGUGGGUCUAUAUCCAAAUCCAAAAAUUGACUAACUUGAUUUCUAUUAAGUUCUCAACCCUAACAAGAAAAAUAGAAGAUUAAAAAUGACUAUUUUGGUUUCUAUUAAUUUGAGUAACGCUUAAUAUUUAUCAUACAAUAGUCACUUAUAUUAUCAAAAUCUUGGGUCGAAAAUAUUAGGAUAGGUGAUAAUUGGAAUUAAGUUGUAGAUAAGAUAGCCUUUCAAAAAAAAGAAAAGAAAAAAAGUUGUAGAUAAGAUAGAAAUGGAUUUGGAGAGAGAUUGGAAUCCUGGCUAAUCCGGUGCACGUUGUUGCGUUAAAUUCUCGUUGACUUCACGUUGACCGAAGCAUUAUUGGAAGAAACAAGCAAGCUUAUUUUCUUCUCUCAUUUUUUACUUUUGUCUAAAUUUAUUGAUGUGAGGCCUCUGAGAUGGUAAAGUGUUAAAUCUGAGAAGAGUACCCACACACCCAUUAUCCUAUUACUCUUAUUUUAUCACAUGCAGAGACGUCAACGUUUGAUUCGCACAGAAAAAAAUUUGCGAGGAUUGUGAGGGUUGAUUCAAUAUAAUUUAGAUGCAAAGUGUUUACAAGUGCGAUGCUUCGUAAGUGCACCCGAAUCAUUAUAAACUCACCUUAUUUUCAUAGUGAUUAUUUCAUCUGCAUGUGAAUAUAAUCAUAUGUGGAGAUUUUUUUUUCCCUAAACUAUGAUCUUCUCUGGUAUUAAGGUGUUAUAUCUUUUAAAUUAUAAUUAUUAUUAGUAAAAAACUGCAACUAUGAAAAAGAAAUUUAAUAUUAUGUCCUGAAUAUAAUUAUUAAAUAAUAAUUUUGACAAAAUUAAUGAAUAUAUACAGAUUUUUUUAUCAUAUAAAUGUAAAAUUAUAUCAACUUAGCUUCUAAGCUAUACAACGGCUACUAUUUACUAAAUACUUUAGUGUCGUAGUUUUUAAGAUAUAUUUAUCCAACCUCAAUCCCAAACAUAACCUGUAAGGAUAAAAAAUUUCAUCCUAAAAAUUAUACGUCUUGUGACUUAUUUAAUUUAUAUUUUUGUUAUUUAUAUUUACUAAUUAUAGUCAUCUUUUAAUAAAUUACAAUUGAAGGAAGGUGGUUGAUGUUGUCGAGACACACACACAAAGAUAUAUUGGAAGUGCUUAUGUCCACUCGAAGUUGUGGGGAGUUAAUGCAUGUAUUGAUUUAUUGGGAGUGUUAAUGCAUGUAUUGAUUGAUUGAGUGAUUGAAUACUGUUUGAUUGCUUCAUAUCAAUUCUAGAAAGUUUAUUUCUUUGUGAAAUUUCAACGAAACGUGUUUUUUUAGAAUAAUAAGGGUGUUUUAAGUAAUUUUAAAAAAUGAAUGGACUAAUUAGAAUUAAUUAUUAGGUAAUUAACUCGAAUUGUAGAGGGUAAGCAAACAUUUAUCCUAAUUAUAUUAUGAUAAAUCCUUUUCCAAUUAGAAUUAGGAAACCAUAGAUAUACUGAAUUUUUUUUAUUUCCCUUCGCGAAAACGGAUUAGAGAAUUAGAAAACAAUCCUAGUGAUACUAUUGUUAGGUUUAAAACACUGCAUAGAUGGUAAAAACAUUGGAAUUGAUGUAGAUUAAUUUGUUAAUUGCUAUCGUACUGAACAUUGUUUUAUGCAAAUUAAUUUGAGAAUUAGAAAAUAUUUUGUUGCAUGCAAACUUUUUGUUUUAUGCAAAUCGUACUGAACAUUGGGACUGAUGUUUAAGAAAAAAAUUCUGUAGUUAAAGAAAAACAAAAAGGCAUGUUGAAUAGAUUACGAUAGUUUAUUCAAUUGGGAAUUUUUUUUUUUAAUUUUGUUGUACUUGAUUGAGAUUUCUCUUUAGUCCUUUCGUACUUCCUUUGUAAGCUGAGUAUAAGGAUGAAAUUCUUUUAAGAAAUUAAAAAAGAAAAAAAAGCAUGCCACUACGCAAUUAUAAAUAACCACAAAUAAAUAUAAACAAAAUGUUUAUGAAGUAAAUUAAACAUGCACAUAUUAUUUUCUUUUAUUUGCUGCUUGGAAACCCAUAAAUGCACUAAUCCAAUAUUACAAUUAAUUUCAGACAGAAAAAAUUGAACUCUAGGCUGCAGUUUGACUCAAAAUGAUGACCACUGGCUUCGCACCAUUCAACCGGUAUACAUUUCUACAAACCGAACAACGCUAUUGAUUUUUAUUAUUUUUUUAAUUUUUUUAUAAAUUACUAUUUUAAUUUUCACUUUUUAUUGGGUUGUUUAACGGAUUAGUGAAGCUGGUGGUCGUUGAUGCACUCAUAAGGUACAAUUUUAUUUUAGAAUUUCAAAUUCGUAUUUUAAAAUGCAGGCACAUUAUGUAUACAUAAUUAUUGAUUUUCAUAUGUGGGUGUUUUGAAAUAUUGCCAAAAGACCAAACUUUAAUAAACUAUUUUUGAUUUUUUUUUCCUUUUUACCUAAAGUUGGAGUGAUAUCCGCAUUUUAAAUUCAUGUGGAACAAAAGCUAAUGUAAGCACAAAAUUCUUUUAUUUUUUCCGAGAAAAAUGGGUAAGAGAAGAAGAUUUUUCUCUUGAAAAAGAAAAAAAAAUACAAUGCAAGCAUAGGAAAGAGGUCAGUGUUUUGGAUUUGAAUUUAGUAUUGAGCUGAAUUUUAUGCUAAGCUCUUUUAUAGUACUGCGAUUAAUAAGCUAGCUCAGGAUUUGCUUUUGCUUUUACUUCAAGUAAAAGAAUGAGGAAGCCUUUUGUUUUUUUGUUUGAUUUUUGACUAUAUAUGUUACCUAUAUAGAGAGUUGAGGUAGCAGCCUUAAGUGAUGGUGAUAAAAAGAUUAAGCAGCGCACACAAUCUUACUGUCGUCGAGACCAUCCAGUGAUGGCUCUUGUUUUUUUGUUACGUUAGCUUUAGUGGAAAGAAGGACCAAUUUAACAAAGACUAGAUUUGGUGGCUUACUAUGUUUAAUGUAAUGCUUAUUCUCAGCGCACACAAUCUUACUAUGUUUAAUGUAAUGGUUAUGUUGAAUGAUCUUCUAUGAUUGUGAGUAGUAUAGUAUAAUUGCAAGGGGCCUGGGCUCCUAUGAUGAAUAACAGUAACACAUUACUGUGAUUGAGAAAACUCAGUUCCAAUAAACUCUUCAUUUACUCAUUGCGGAGAUUGAAUGGCAAACAGAGAAUAGAAUGAAGCAGAAGAAUCUCAUUGUUAGGUUUUGAUGAUUUCAGAUGCUUUUUAAAAAAAAACAAUUGUGACAUCUUUGAUUUAAGGUAGUUUUGCAAAAAACAAAACAUAUAAAAAUUAAGAGGGAUGAUUUAACUGACGAUUACAAUCAUUACAGCAAUGCUGAUGAGUGAUAAAUCACUUGAAAUUUACUUGUCAGUUGCUGAAAUGAUGAAAAAAAACAAUAAACGAUAACAGUAAUAAUGUUCCCUUGCUGAAAUUCAAUUUUGACUUUCGACUCUUGGCUUUUAUGGAGAGUAAAAUGACUUGUAUAUUAUACUCAUACAAUCCACUCUACAUAAUGAUAUCGUUUUAGUAAGGCAAUGGCUGAUGAUCUCCAUUUAAAAACUACAUCAAUUUUUUUUUGCUUCAUUUAACUUUUUGGUUGUUGAAAAUAACCUUAAUUACCAAAUAAUUGGAGAAAGAGUUAAGAACAUUUAACAAAUUUAUGUGCAAAAAAAAAAGAAGGAGAAGUUGAAGAGAAAGGGUGCUUGCAGAAGUGGGUGUCAAAGAUAAAUCGGUCCAUAAGAAUUAUUGUGGUUAUUUUUUGGCAAUAUAAAAAAUUUUUAGUAAGUAAAAAUAAUUUUUUUUUCGAUUUACUAAAAAAUUAACUAAAAACUUCUGCGAUAGCAUUUUUUAUGGGUGCAGAUACCCUCCCUUUAAAAAAAAUAUAAUAAUUACUGCUUAAUAUAGUAUUAAAUACGAAAAUAUCAAUAUUUGACUACUCAAAUUUAUGUCAUUAGGUCCUUCAAAUUUAAAAUGGAAGAUAUGAAAGGAAAUAUAUAUAAAUUUCAUUGUCCUGGGAAAGGACCCUCUUAUAAUCUUAUAAUAUUUGAACUUUGAUAGAUUUUUUGAAACAAAUUUAGAUAGAUUUUUUGAAACAAAUUUACUUUUAUUUGUGUACAAUCAAUAUUUACUUAUUUAUUAUAUUUUAAUUUAUUAACUAUCAAUCAUGUUAAUAUAUUUAGUCAGAAAAAUCAUAUCAAGAGAAAAUCAUGACCCCACGCACGGAUAAAUACGUUAAUUUCUAUACUAUUCACUUUCCUGUAGAAUCAAUUAUUUAAAAUGCAAGUUUGUGGCUACAGAAAACUCGCCAAAGAAAGAAGAUAAUAACAAUUGAGCAUUGAUAGCAAAACUAAUGCAUCCAAUUCUUCUUGACUUGAUGAGAUGGCGCCAUAACGUAGAAACAAGUACCUAAAUUGACCGGCACUGAGUGGUGUGAAUACUACCAGCCAGUUCAUCUCUUCCAGUCGUGCUUAAUCACAAUCACAAACACCACGAGAUCGACAUUUGCAUUAUAUAUAUCUUCAGCAAUCGAAACACCUUGCAUUACCAAAUUAACCAGCAACAAACAAAGCAAUCUUUCAUGGAGAGAAACCUUAGUCUCAGUAUGAUCACUGUGUCAUUAACCCACUGCCUGCUUCUUUGCUUGGUUGUUGCAGCAGCAGCAGCAGCAAGCAGCAAUAUUACCACAGACCAACAAGCUCUUCUUGCCCUGAAAGAUCAUAUAAUUUAUGAUCCGACCAACCUUUUAGCCCAUAAUUGGACCUCGAACACCUCUCUUUGUACCUGGAUUGGCAUCACUUGUGAUGCCAAUAGCCAUAGAGUCACAACCUUAGAUAUUUCUCAAUUCAAUCUACAAGGCACCAUCCCUCCUCAACUUGGAAACCUCUCUUCACUCACAACGCUUAAUCUUAGUCAUAAUAAGCUUUCUGGAAGCGUUCCCCCCUCCAUCUACACCAUGCAUACGCUAAAAUUUCUAGACUCCACUGCUAACCAGCUCUCUGGUUCAGUGUCUUCCUUCGUCUUCAACAUGUCUUCAAUAUUAGACAUUCGUUUGACCAAUAACAGACUUUCUGGUGAGCUUCCGAAAAAUAUUUGCAACUAUCUUCCUCAUUUGAAAGCCCUUUUUUUGGACAAAAACAUGUUUCAUGGCAAAAUUCCUUCUGCUUUAUCAAAGUGCAAACAACUGCAACAAUUAAAUUUGCAGUUCAAUAAUUUAUCCGGUGCAAUACCAAAAGAAAUCGGCAACUUGACUAUGCUCAAAGGGAUAUAUCUCCUCUACAACAAACUCCACGGUAUGUUCACAAUACUAUAUAAAUAUUUUAAUUUAUCACUUAUUAUCUUUCUUGAAUAAUUUAACUAAGAUCUUGUAAGUGAGAUUUUUUGCAUCUAUGUUAAUAACCAGGUGAGAUACCCCACGAAAUCGCUAAUCUUCAAAAUCUAGAGGCUUUAGGGCUUGGAAUGAACAACCUAGUUGGUGUGUUACCAGCUCCCAUCUUCAACAUGUCAACACUGAAGGUACUUAUCCUCAUAAAUAACUCUCUCUCCGGAAGUCUUCCAUCAAGAAUGGACCUUUCACUUCCAACUGUUGACCAUCUUAACUUGGCACUUAAUAGAUUUUCUGGAACCAUUCCUAGUUCCAUCACCAAUGCUUCUAAGCUCACCUUUCUGGAGUUGGGAGGAAACACAUUUUCGGGGUUUAUUCCAAACACAAUUGGUAAUUGUUGUUUGUGAAAGCAAAUCCAGAAAACCAAAACGGCAGAAGACUUUGCGUUUAGAAGCUGGAAACACUUAAACUCAAAACGGCACAGGAGCCUGCGUUUUGGUGAGUAAAAGAAAUGCACUCCUGGACGACGUAUGGGUUUGACGUUUAGAUUUAAGUGAUUCACGCGUAUAUCACGUGCUUGAGUUCAGCCUUGCAAAGUUCGUUAUAUGUCGUUAGGAGCACGAAGAGCUCACGUGAGGUGCUGGGGUUUUUCUGGGUUUAUUAGCUAAAGCUGUUAUGGAACAGCUGAUGUGGAAGCAACGGACUGGAGAGCAGAGAGAGCUAAAGAUAGAGAAGGGAACUGGUUAUAUAAGCUAGUUAUAAUCUGUCUUUUAGGGACUAAGCAUUUACUCUGUAAUUCAUCUGAAAGAAAUCAAUAAAGCUGUGUUCUUUCCCUCCCGUGGAUGUAAGCUAGAGAAGUCUAGCUGAACCACGUUAAGAUUCUUUGUUCUUUCUUUACAUUACUUUCUUUUGAUUCUUUAGACCAAUUUUGUUUACCAUUUAAGUUCCAUAGAUUUCAUCUUAGUCAUAGCUUUUCGGUAAGCCAUCUUGCUGCAUCUUGUUCUGUUGGCUGGAGAUCUUGGGGCAGAGUCUUGGGUUGCUCUAUCAGUCUUUAGCACCUGAGAUUCUACAGUAAUUUAAUAAACCUUGAGUGGCUCAACUUGGGUAAUAACUCCUUGACAUCUUCAACCUCAAAAUUGAGCUUUCUUUCCUCUUUGGCAAAUUGCAAGAAAUUAAGAGUCAUAGGCUUAACAGGCAAUCCACUCAAUGGUAUCCUUCCAAGUUCAGUAGGUAAUCUUUCUAUGUCUUUGAAAACACUUGUCAUCGGCAAUUGCAGUAUUAUUGGCAACAUUCCUCGAGUAAUUGGCAAUUUAAGCAACUUGUUGGCCUUAUCAUUAGAAGGCAAUAAAUUGACUGGAUCAAUUCUAAUUACAUUCGCCCGACUACAGAAACUCCAAGGCUUAGAUCUCGCAUUCAAUAAGUUGGUAGGUUCAUUCCCAGAUGAGCUUUGCCAUCUAGCUAGGCUGGCAGAAUUGGUCUUAUUUGGCAAUAAGCCAAAUAAGCUUUCAGGAUCUAUACCUUCAUGCCUAAGUAAUUUCACUUCUAUAAGAUCUCUCUAUUUAGGGUCCAAUAGGUUUACUUCUGUCAUUCCCUCAACUUUCUGGAGCCUAAAAGACAUCUUGUUCUUUGACUUUUCAUCAAAUUUCUUGGUUGGUACUCUUUCUUUCGACAUAGGUAAUUUGAAGGUGCUUCGAGGAAUAAAUUUAUCAGAAAAUAACUUAUCGGGUGAUAUGCCAGCCACAAUUUGAGGACUAAAAAACCUUCAAAUUAUGGACCUAGCAUAUAAUAGAUUGGAAGGGCAAAUUCCUGAAUCAUUUGGUGACUUGACAAGUUUGGAGCUUUUGAAUUUGUCAAAUAAUAAAAUCUCUGGGUCUAUUCCAAAAUCCAUGGAGAAACUCUUUUACCUCCAAGAGUUAAAUCUCUCUUUCUAUGAACUAGAAGGUGAGAUUCCUAGUGGAGGAAUUUUUGCCAACUUCACAGCUGAGUCAUUUAUGGGAAAUGAGUUAUUGUGUGUUUUGCCAUUGAGUAUUGCUCUAACAAUAGCAAUCACUCUAGCUCUCAAAUAUAAGCUUAUUGAAUGUAGAAAGGGAAGAACAGUGUUGUCAAAUGAUAGUAUCUUGUCAUCACAAGCAACACUAAGAAGAUUUUCAUACUUAGAACUUUUACGAGCAACAAAUAAUUUUUCUGAAAACAACAUAAUUGGCAUAGGAGGUUUUGGUUCUGUUUACGGUGGAAGACUUGAAGAUGGGAUGAAGAUUGCAAUAAAAGUGUUUCACCAGCAAUGUGCAAGCGCAUUGAAGAGUUUUGAGGCUGAAUGUGAAGUGUUAAAAAAUAUUCGCCAUCGAAACCUUAUCAAAGUUAUCAGCAGUUAUUCAAACAAUGACUUCAAAGCAUUAGUCCAAGAAUACAUGUCCAACUGGAGCUUGGGGGAUUGGAUGCAUUCUAGCAAUUAUAUGCUGAAUAUAUUUCAAAGGUUGAACAUAAUGAUUGACGUUGCAUCAGCUUUAGAAUAUCUUCACUUCUAUCAUUCAACUGCUAUUAUUCACUGUGACUUAAAGCCUAGUAAUGUAUUGUUGGACGAAAAUAUGGUUGCUCAUUUAAGUGAUUUUGGCAUAGCAAAGCUUUUAAGUGGAGAAGAUGAGUCUAUGAUGCGAACAAAAACCCUUGCCACUAUAGGUUAUAUGGCACCAGGUUUGCUUCAAACAACUUUUUUUUUAGUUCAUUUUAAAUUUUCCAAAUCAUCGAUUUUUACGAUCCUCAUAUCAAAAUGUUAUUGAUUAUUUAUCUAAUUGUGAAAUUAAUUUGAUUCAUAGAGUACGGCAUAAAAGGAGAAGUAUCUACAAAAAGUGAUGUUUACAGCUAUGGGAUUAUGUUGAUGGAAACUUUUACCAAGAAAAAACCCACAGAUGAAAUUUUUGUCGGAGAAUUGAGCUUAAGGCGUUGGGUUAAUGACUUGCUUUCUGCUUCAUUAGUGGAAGUUGUGGACAAAACUCUGCUAAGUGGAGAGGAAAAAUAUUUUGCAUCAAAGGAGCAAUGUCUGUUGUCUAUCUUUAGUUUGGCUCUGGAGUGUACAAUGGAAUCACCGGAAAAGAGGAUUAAUGCAAAAGAUAUUGUUACCAGAUUACUCAAGAUAAGAGACACAUUGAGUAAAAGGAUCGGAAAUUUAAGUUAAUUUCGUUUGCUUUCGUUGAUAGUUAAUUCAAAUUCAUGUAAUAAGUGUAAGAAUCUUAUAUCUUUUCCUUUGAUAUUUUUUUUUUUGAGAAAACUGUUGUAGUCAUCUUAUUUCCAUGGGUAGAGUUGAUUUAGUUCUUCCAAGAAUUAAUUGAGCUUGUUUCACAAGUAUAUGAAUCAGACAGUUAAAUUUUAAAAAUUAUAUUCGGACUCUACGUUUUGUAAUGAACAUUGGUCUGACUUGUUAUACAUUUAUGCGGACAUUCAAGAGCAAAUAUUUUGAUUUACUAUUUUUUGUCUUUCAAUUUUCUUUUAGGUUCUGAUGACGUGCGCAUUUUAAAAUCCUAAGGUACAUAUAAAAUUCUUUUAUUUUUCGGAGGAAAAUGGGUGAGAGAAGAAGAUUUGGCAAAGGAAUUGCAACGGCAUUUGAAACUAGUCUUUGUCGUUUAAUUCUUUUAUAUUCGUUUUUUUUAUUGAUGUUAGCUUGGAUGUGGGCGCGUGUGACUGAAUUCAACUUAUAUUUGUUUUUGUUAUUAAUUUUAUUUGUUUUUGUUAAAUUGGACCACCAAAAAGGGUGGUCCAUUAUCAAAUCAACACCGUUUAAUUAUUAUUAUUUCUACACUUUUUUUUAUGAACAAAUAUAAAAUAAAAGGACAUUUACACCCAAAUUUUAGUGAAAUAGUCAUCAACACCCUUAAAUUUUUAAAAAGAGACAUCAAGAUCAUUUUUUGAUCUUAAUACUCUUAUACAGUACCUCUAUUAUUCCUAAAAAUUGACUCUAAUGUUUUAUAAUAAAUAAAAAUAAAAGAUUAAAAUAAAUGUAAUAACAUAUACAUUUUAAAACCAUUUCAAUAUUUAAAAAAUAUUUUUAACAUUUUACAAUCUAUUAAAUAUAUUUUAUUAUAUUAAAGUAAAUUUUAUAAUAAAUAGAAUCAUAUUAUUAAAAUAAAUGCAUUAAAAUUUAAAUUAUUUUGAAUAUCAUGUAAGAUAAUAAUUUUAACAUUACUAGUAUGUCAGAUUUUUUUUUUAAUUGUAGAGUGUAUUUAGUGCAAAUAUUUAUUUCAAAUAUCUACAAUAAAUAAAAGAUUAAAGUAAAUAUAAUAAUUUACAUAUCUAAAUUUAUUAAAAUAUUUUAAUAUUGUUAGUCUACUGCAUAGAUCACAAUAUUCAUAUAACAUUUGUAUUUAUUAAAAACUUUAAAAUCAAUUCUUUUGAGAAUAAUAGAGGUAAAGGGUAUAAUGGUCAAAAGGGAAAUUUUGUAUCCCUUUCUGAAAACUUGAGGAUGUUGGUGACUAUUUCUCCAAAUCUUCAGCGUGUAGAUGUCCUUUUCUCCGACAGUAUCUGAACUUUGAAGUAAUAAGGAUCACCUUUUACGAAAUUAUAUUGCUUUUCAUGAUAGACUGUUACCAUUUUUCUACAAUAGAUUGAAUUUAGUAAAAAAUUGAUUAAGAUGUCUACUCAUGGAGAGUGAAAUUUAUGUUCAAAACUAAUUUCAACAGGCAUGCACCAUCGAACGUGUUUCUCACGGAAAAGUUGCUUGGAUUUUUGGGACUUCCUGUUCAAAUAUUCAACACGGCAUGCACCACGCGAUUGAACAUGCAAAAGUAGGGGUCUAUUUUCAUUUCCAGCAUUAUAGAAAUCUUAAUUUUGUUCAUUAUUUAUUUUGAUCAGCACUGUUGAAUCUCCAUGCAUUGCCAAUCACUAGGAAACAACAUAUUUUUAUUAAUUAUAUCCUCUAAUGGAGAGAACUCAUUGUCUCAGUAAGAUCACUGUGUCAUUAACCCACAGCCUGCUGAUUUGCUUGGUUGCUACUGCAAGCAAAAAUAUUACCACAGAUCAAAAAGCUCUUCUUGCCCCAAAAGAUCACAUAACUUAUGCUCCAACUAAUCUAUUGACCCAGAAUUGGACCUCAAAUACCUCUGUUUGUACGGGGAUUAGCAUCACUUGUGAUGUCAAUGGCCAUGAAGUUGCAGCCUUGGAUAUUUCUCAAUUCAAUCUACAAGGCACCAUUAUUCCAAACACAACUGGUAAUUUAAGAAACCUUAAGUGGCUCGGCUUGGCUUAUAAACUACUUGACAUCUUAAACUUCAAAAUUGAGCUUUCUUUCCUCUUUGGCAAAUUGCAAAAAAUUAAGAAUCUUAGGCUUACUGGAAAUCCACUUGACCGUAUCCUCUCAGGUUCAAUAGGUAAUCUUUCUAUGUCUUAGGAAAUAUUUCACAUCGCCAAUUGCAGCAUUAGUGGCAGAAUUCCUUAAGUAAUCAGCAAUUUAAGCAACUUGUUGGCUAGUGUGCAAAAUUUUAAUGUACUCGCAAGCGCAUGAACCUAAAAAUAGAAUAGUGGUAACGAGGUCAAACUCACAGGGAUUGUUAUAAAAUGACAAAAGAAUAGCUGCUGGUCUAGAGGUGGCUUAUUACAUUCAUACAAGAUCGUUUCUUGUUCUCUAAGAUGUGCAUUAUGCUAAUAAUGCUAUACAAACUUAUCCAAAGGUCUAUUGAUUAAUUCAUUAAUCCAACUGCUGGUUAGGUUGUCCUUUCAUCCAAACAGCUGCAUGCUUGUCUUCUUAUAUGCUGAUCUUAUCCUCUAGAUCUGUUCAGGCUGAGUGAUCUCUCACAUUUGCCAUAUCAGAAGAUUACAUGCCAGUAAUGUCUUGUGAUGAUCUGUUGCUUGGUGAUGUCGAAUGCCUGGCCUUUACUUCUCUGAGCAAAUUGAUCAAACAAUUUGUUCAUUUUAUCGAUGGUUUUUAAGUGCAUUUAAUGAUUAUUUUUGCUCCAACUUCAGAUAAACCAAACGCUAGUAUAUUAGAUGAAGAAGUUAACUGGCAGCUAACCAGGUCAAAAUAGCGACUCUAUAUAAAAAAUAUAUAUAUAUAAUAUAAAAUAUAAAAUGGGAAUUUAUUUAAUUAAUUGUUGGUCUAAAGCUGUUGGUAUCCGUUGGCCACGUUUCUGAAGAGUCAUCUCAAAUCGAAAUUUUUAACGAACAAAGAACUUUGCUUUUUUCCAUUGUUCACAUAUCUGCUGGCUGCCACCCGUGAGAUAAAAGUGCUACAAUCCAAAAUGUUCCACCAUUAUUUAUUCUAAUUUUAAUUUUCCAAUGGAAAAAAUUACAUAAUUAAAAUGGCUUCUAAUAUCAUUUCCACCCCUCAAUAUGUGUCACUAUCAGAAGGUUGUUUUCAUGAUUCAUGGUAAAUUUGGAUUACAGCACCUGUACUUUCUGAUGGUUCAUUAUUUAUUCUCAGGAAUCGAGUCUCCUUACAUUACCAAACUAAUAACAAACAGCAAUAUUUUAUCCUUUCAUGGAGAGAAAUUACAGUCUUCGUUUGACCGCAGUGCUAUUAACCCACUGCUUGCUUCUUCAGUUGGUUGUUGCAGCAGCAGCAGCAAGCAACAUUACAACAGACCAACAAGCUCUUCUUGCCCUGGAAGCUUAUAUAAGUUAUCAUCCAACUAAUUUUUUGGCUCAAAAUUGGACCUCAAAUACCUCUGUUUGUAACUGGGUAGGCAUUACUUGUGAUGUCAAUAGCCAUAGAGUUACGGCCUUGAAUAUUUCCAGCUUGAAUCUACAGGGUACCAUCCCCCCUCAACUUGGAAACCGAUCUUCACUGACAACACUUAAUCUUAGUCAAAACAAGCUUUAAGGCGACAUUCCCCCCCUUCAUCUUCACCGUGCAUGAGCUGAAAUUUCUUGAUUUCAGUGAUAAUCAGCUCUCUGGUUCUUUGUCUUCCUUUACCUUCAAUUUGUCUUCAAUAUUAGAUAUUCGUUUGGAUAGUAACAAACUCUCUGGUGAACUCCCAUUAAAUAUUUGCAAUUAUCUUCACUAUUUAAAAGUCCUUUUUUUGGCCGAAAACAUGUUUCACGGUCAAAUACCACUGGCUUUAUCCAAGUUCAAACAGCUACAACUGUUAAAUUUGGGGUUCAAUAAAUUAUCAGGAGCCAUACCGAAAGAAAUCAGCAACUUGACUAUACUUCGAAAGAUAUCUCUCAGAAAUAAUAAACUUCGCGGUAUAAAUGUUUAUAAUAUAUACUUUGUAAAUGCUCUUAUUAAUCAUUCUUGAACUUUCUUAGAUACUUUUGUCUAAAUAAGAUUUUGUAAAAGAGUUUUUUGCAUCUCUGUUAAUUUUGCAGGCGAGAUACCUCACGAAAUUGGGUAUCUUCCAAAUCUAGAGAAUUUGGUGCUUGGAUUCAACAACCUAGUAGGUGUUGUACCUGCUGCAAUCUUCAACAUGUCAACAGUGAAAGAAAUUUACCUAUUAGAUAACUCUCUCUUGGGAAGUUUUUCAUUAGGAAUAGACCUUUCACUUCCUAACGUUGAGAGACUGAACCUGGGGCUGAACAGAUUUUCUGGAACCAUUCCUAGUUUCAUCACCAACGCAUCUAAACUUGUAUAUCUAGAUAUGGGAACAAACUCUUUUUCGGGCAUUAUUCCGAACACAAUUGGUAAUAAUCUAAGAAACCUUGAGUGGCUCGACUUAACAUACAAUCGCUUGACAUCAUUAACUCUAGAAUUGAGCUUUCUUUCCUCUUUGACAAAUUGCAAGAAAUUAAGAUUCUUAGGCUUAACAGGCAAUCCACUUGACGGUGUCCUUCCAACUUCAAUAGGUAAUCUUUCUAUGUCUUUGGAAAACAUUUACAUCUCAAAUUGUAGUAUUGGUGGCAGCAUUCCUCAACUAAUCACCAAUUUAAGCAAUUUGUUGCUCUUAGAUUUAGAAGGCAAUAAGUUGACUGGAUCAAUUCCAGUCACAUUCGGCCGGUUGCAGAAACUCUAGGGUUUAUAUCUUCCAUUUAACAAGUUAGCAGGAUCAAUCCCAGACCAGCUUUGCCAUUUAGCUAGACUGAAUACAUUAGGUUUGGCUGGUAAUAAGUUUUCUGGAUCAAUCCCUUCAUGUUUAGGUAAUCUCACUUCUCUAAGGUCUCCCGACUUAGGGUCCAAUAGGCUUACAUCAGUCUUGCCCUCAACUUUUUGGAAUCUAAAAGACAUCUUGUUCUUUGACCUUUCAUCAAAUUCUUUGGAUGGUCCUCUUUCUUUAGACAUAGGAAAUUUAAGGGUUGUGAUAUCAAUAAAUUUAUCACGAAAUAACUUUUCAGGUGAUAUCCCAAGUACAAUUGGAGAUCUAAAAGACUUACAGAAUAUCUCCUUAGCAUGUAAUGGAUUGGAAGGUCUAAUUCCUGAAUCAUUUGGUUACUUGACAGGUUUGGAAAUUUUAGAUUUGUGAAAUAACAAAAUCUUUGGGUUUAUUCCGAUAUCUUUUGAAAAACUCUUGUACCUCAAAGAGCUAAAUUUGUCUUUCAACGAACUAGAAGGAGAGAUUCCUAGGGGAGGACCUUUUGCAAAUUUCACAGCUAAGUCAUUCAUGGGAAAUGAGAAAUUGUGUGGUUUACCAAAUCUCCAAUUCCCAAAAUGCAAGCGUCGGACACGUCGAAAAUCAAAGAAAAAGAUGCUUCUACUUGUGAUUGUCUUGCCAUUGAGUACUACUCUAAUAAUCGUAGUCCCUCUAGCUCUAAAAUAUAAAUCGAUAAGAGGUGGAAAGAGUAGUACUAGGUUGUUAAAUGAUGGUAUCUUGUCAUCACAAGAAACACUAAGAAGAUUUUCAUACCAAGAUCUUUUUCGUGCAACAGAAAAAUUUAGUAAAGACAAUCUAAUUGGCGUAGGAAGUUUUGGUUCUAUUUAUCGAGGAAGACUUCAUGAUGGAAUUGAGGUUGCAAUAAAAGUGUUUCACCAGAAUUGUGCAAUGGCAUUGAAGAGUUUUGAGGCUGAAUGUGAAGUGAUGAAAAAUAUGUUGGGAAAAUAUGCUCUUUAAAAGCAUAUGUGUUUAUUUAAUUGUAAUAAACAUUUUUUCUGAUUAAUAAAAGUAAUGAGGUAUUUUAUCCAAAUAUCUUAAUUGCAUUAAUAUUUUUAUUAAAGUCCAUUUAAUCAUAUUAUAUGUAUUUAUGUGAUCACCAUGUGGAUUCACAGAAGACAUAAAUACAAGUUAUCUUAUGAUUAAAUAAAUUUAGUUCGCAGUUGAUAAAUAAAGUUGGGCACUUUAUUUAGGUAUAGACUGUAAUGAAUUCAUUGAAUGAUUUGUCUUAAUCAUGUAUGAAUUUAUUGAUGUAGUACGACUACAUUGAACAGGAUCACAUAUGAGAUUUAAUUAACUUUGUAAUAACUGUCAGACUUAUUAAAUCUCAUAGGCAUUGAUUUUACUGUAAUCUUAAUCUUGAGUUAAUUAUGAUUUCAUGAUUGUAAUUGUUAUUCCAUUUGAGUUACCAAUAGGCAUGACACAUACUUGUAGUCUAGAUAACCUGGUAUCUUGGUGGGAGCAUUUAUGAGUAUUAGAGUUAUAGAUUAACAAUAUAGAAUUUGUAUAACACAUCUCUUGAUGGGUUUUCGGCACUUGAUCAUAGAAUUCUCUGGCCAGAGUGUGUCAACAUAUUUAGUAUGUUGAAAAUGAUCAUUAGAGAAAACCAGUAAGUAUCAAGAAACAAGAUGUAAUUAAAUUGAUUGGACAGUUGAGAUAUCGAUUUAAUUAAUGAAGUGGUACAAAGGAUUGUGCAGUAAAGAAAUCAAUAUGGCUUGGGACGAAUUAUUAUUCGAGCAUACAAUUCUGGAAGUCAGUUCCAAUCUUUUAGUGGAGUAGAUUUGGAAUUAAAUAAUUGGGCUAGUUUAAUUACAAGCCUAAUUAUUGUAGCCACUAUUGUAUGUUCCCAAAUGAUCCCCGGGUUAGCUCAUUUAAUUGACUGCACCACUACUGGACUAAUAAGUAAGAUAACUAGCUAUUUGGGUCAAAAAGCCUAAAUAUAUCAUUUAGCGGGAGGCUCCAUUUAAUUAGCUUUUGUAUAAGGGGCCUUAUGUUAUUUUACAAGGUGGGUCCCCUAUAGAAAAAACAAAUAACGUGAGUUUUGUUUUUUGAUUAUUUGGAGCCUAGGGUUUUCACUAAAGGGUGAUAUAAAAGGCUUAUUUUCUCUAAAGAAAAAAAAGCAGCCACUUUAUACAGAUCAGGAGAAUAAGAUUUUUCUCUCUAUUGUUGAGAGAAAAAUUUUCUCGUGCUAGUUGCUUUGGUAGUGAUAAAGGCGCCCACACGUCAAGUGCAGAUUGAACUUGAGUCAUAACCUGGAAGAUCAUUGAUGACAGUUCGUGAUCUAACAAGCGUGGUGGUGACGGAUCGUGAUCUAACAUGAGUGGUGGUGGCGGAUCGUGAUCUAGGAGUCUAAAUCACUUCAACGGAAAAAGCCAAAUCGGAUUUUCAAGGUACGAUUUCUAGAUUACAAAUUCUUAUAUAUUAUAUGAGAGCGAUCUUCAAAAGGUUUUAUAAAAAAUUUAAAAACCUAAUUUUUCCCCAACAAAAUAUUCGUCAUCGAAAUCUUGUCAAAAGAAUCAGUUGUUGUUCGAACGAAGAUUUCAAAGCAUUAGUUUUAUAAUAUAUGCCCAAUAGAAGCUUGGAGGAUUGCCUGCAUUCUACCAAUUGUUCGUUAAAUAUUUUUGACAAGUUGAACAUAAUGAUAGAUGUUGCAUCGACUUUGGAAUAUCUCCACUUCAAUCAUUCAACUCCUGUCAUUCAUUGUGACUUAAAGCCCAAAAAUGUAUUGUUAGAUAAAAACAUGGUUGCUCAUUUCAGUGAUUUUGGAAUUGGAAGGCUCUUAACUGGAGAUCGAUCAAUGAUACAAACAGAAACACUUGUCACAAUUGGUUAUAUGGCACCAGGUUUGCUCUGAAAUAAUUUUUGUUUUUUGGGUUUUCAUUCAGACUUUCCAAAUUAUUAUUUUUCCAUGAUCCUUCUAUCCUAAUGUUAUUGAUUAUUUAUCUAAUGAUAAAAUCAAUUUGGUUGAUAGAAUAUGGCAUAGAAGGAUGAGUAUCUACAAGAAGUGAUGUUUAUAGUUAUGGAAUUAUGUUAAUAGAAACAUUUACUAGGAAGAAACCCACAGAUGAAAUGUUUACUACAGAAUUGGGCUUAAAACUUUGGGUUAACAACUUACUACCUACUUCAUUGAUGGAAGUUGUGGACAAAACUCUUUUAAGUAGGGAAGAAGAAGAUUUUGCUGCGAUGGAGCAACGUGUGUUAUCAAUCUUGAGUUUAGCCAUGGAGUACGUGAUGGAAAUGCCAGAAAAAAGGAUCGAUCCAAUAGAUAUUGUAACUAAACUAUUGAAAAUAAGAGACACAUUGAGUAAAAGGUUAGCAAAUUUAGGUUAACCUUAUUUCUUGGCAUUGAUACUUGAAUCAAUAUGUACUUAAUUUGAAUCAAUGUAUGAGUGUAAGAAUAUGAUAUAUUUUCUUUUAAUUUUUUUUCCUGAGAGAAAUGUCAUAGCUGCCUUGUUUCAAAUUAAUUUUAUACUUUUUUUUUCUUUUUCUAAGAUCAUGCCAAUGAGUUGUAGGAAGAUCAGCUACAAAUUCAAAGCCGGCUAAGGCAUUUGAAGAUGGAGAGAUUGUUAGUUUUUUUCCCAUUAAAAUUAACAUAUAUCACUUAUCCCAACUAUUUUCAUAAUACCUAAUAAGCUCUUGGCACCAUAACUUUACCAUAUAACCCUUAUUUUGAAAUACACUUUUAUUCAUAUUAAUAUUAAUUAAAUAAAUCAUAUGAGUUGAAAUUAAAAUUAAAAAAAUUAAAUACCAAAAAUAAGAAAUAUACGUUUUAGUGUGCUAAAAAAAUUAAUAUUAAAAUAUUUUUCCUGUACUUUUUAUUAUUUUGUGAAUAUUUUUCUUAUAAUAUAUAUAUAUAUAUAUAUUAUUCUCAAAAUAAUGUAUCAAGCAAAUGACUUUUUUCUCUUCUUUUUCUUUAACUUUUUUUGUGCUAGUAGAGUUUUUAGAUAUUAUAAAAACAAUAAAAGAAUAAGUGAUAUAUAUUAAUUUCAGUUGGAAAUAACCGACAAUCCCCCUUUAAUUACGUGUCACACCCAACUUUUUUGCCAAUGUUGACAUUUGCCUAUAUCAGGUUUUUGAUGUGUACAGUGCAGGUUCAACUUAAGCCAUAAAUAAAACAACUUGAGAGAGCAAAAGAAUUGCAAGUUCUUGAUUUCAAAUCUCCAAGCAUAGGAAGCCAAAGCAUCUGCUUCUUUUGGGCAUGCUGCAAAUGAUGGUUCUAGUUCGAAUGUGACCUUUCAGUCAUCUCAAGGGCUAUUCAUUGGGGACAUCGACGUAACUUUACCCCACCUAGAGGUUUGAUAAUUGAUGGGUGUCGAAGCCAACAAAAAUAAAUUCUUAUUCUAAAUAAAUUGUGUAUAGUGAUUGAGCAGGGUUGUGUCCACAGAGAUCGGUAAUUAAUUAAAUCCUUUUGAAACAUAAAACGUAAAAUGGGGGAAUUGUUGACAAUAAUAAAAAUCAAAUUAAAAUAACAAGAAUGCAAAUUAAAGUUGUAACUCAAAUUGGAGAAAGCUCUGGUUGAAGGAAUUAACUCAGCUUGAUUCGACUACUGAUCAUUGAUUCAAAUAUAGAUUAUUAUUACUCAUGAAUAGACCGGUUAUAGCUACUGAGACCCUCUAAUAGCCAAUCUCUCCUUAACUAGUCGAUAACCAAGGUACGACCGUUGGUUAUUUCCCUAAUCAAUAGACAACCCUAGAUACGAUCAUAGGAUUUAAUCAAUUGACAGCCUGAAAAACCAGAGAGACCUAAAUCCUAAUCAACACAUAUGAUGAUUCAUUUAAAUUAGAUUAUUUAUUCUCACAACACAACUCUCUGCUAUGUUAUUUGUCACAAGCAUUAAAUUCUUCAUACGAUGAAUCCUUUAAUUGACAAUAGAUUAAGUUGAUAAUUAAAUAGUGGCCAAUUACCUAAUUAAUAAACAUAAUCAUGAAACUAAUUCAGAGAAUAAACAAAUACCCAAAAAGCAAUAAAACAAUUAAAGCACAAGAAAGAUCUCACAGUAGUGAUGAAUCAAAGCUUCAUUAUCCUUCAACCAGAAAAAUAGGUUUAGUUCUUCAUAGAGAGAAGAGAAAAAUUAAGAUCUAGGGUUUCUUUCUUUCUCCAAUCCCCAAAAUCCCCCCUUUUCACAAUAGAUUCCUCCCUUAAAUACUCUCUCUCUCUUCUCUUUUAGAAUUCUAUUUAAAAUAAAAUCCUAAUAUCUAAAAUAUUAAAUUCGUAAUUACAAAAAUAGCCAAAAAUAUAAAACACGUUAAACUAAAAACUGCAGGUUCGCAGUUGACAGCACGCGCCCACGCCUUAUCAACAAAGUUCUUCUGCCGCUCAUAAUUUCUCCAAGGGAACAAUCAUCCCUAAACAUCAUCUUGUAGCUCAAUUUUAUCACCAAUCAAUAGAAUUGCACCUACAAAAGUAAAUCACAAGUAAAUCACUAUUAUUAAGUGCAAAACAUCGAUAUUAAAGGAAGUAAACAAUGCAAAACUAGUGUAUAAAUUGCACUCUAACAAAUUCCCCCACACCAAGAUGAUGCUUGUCCUCAAGCAUAUAACUCAAGAUUAAUCCCAAAUCUCCACUCAAUUCUCAUCUCAACUCAUCCAAAAACAAUUUUAAGCAAGCAUACCUCAAGAAAUUAAGUCGAUCAACAUUUGAGAGAUAAGGAUUUUAAAGCAUAGAAUUUCAUAAGAUAGAAUAAGAACAUUCAACCACCAAGAAGAUCCAUUCAAAAUUCAAGUGCAGCAAGAUUUAAUAGCCCUCUCAAUAACUUCACUCCAUGCACUCAAAGUGUUUAGGGUGUCAUUUAUCCACUCAAAUCAAAUCAAAGAAUGUCAUUACCAUAAGCUUGCUCAUAUAUCACAUCUCAAUCCACAAAACAUGAAUAAAAUGCAAAAAUCUAAGGGUCUUAAAAGGGUUGUAAUGGGGUAAAAUGGGUGAAAUGAAAAAGAAAGGUUUAUGAAAGAAAAAGAGAUCAAAAUGAGAAGAAUGAACUCAUUGAAUGAACUUAUGAUAUCAAAAUGCUUAUUUCUACUCAAGUCACCAAGAAUGUAAACAUUUUUUUUUUCGAUUUUUUUUCUUCGAUUUUCUUUUUCUUUUUUUUCUUUUUCCUUUUCUUUUUCUUUCUUUUUUCAUUUUUUUCAUUUUUUUUUUGUUUUUUUUUUCGAAUCAAACAAAAGAAACGAACCUUGCACAAUUUAAUUCAAGCAUAAUGCUUGUUGAUCUAAUUGAGAAACUUCAAUAUAAGGUAGAAAAAGCAACAAAAUAUAUCCAUAUAAUGAGUCCAAAAAUCUCCUUAAAUUGAGGCUCAAAAAAAGAAGAAAAAUGGUUAAGUAGACGGAGAGAAUUAGAUGGGUAAUGGUUAAGGCUCAAACAAAGGUAGCAAAUAAAGGUCUUCGGGUAGAGAAAAAGGAAAAUGCGAGAAUAGAAAAAUGGUAAAUGGUUUGCCCUUAUCAUUUUAAUGCAUAAAAUCCCGUAAUGUGGCUUCAACAUGCAUAACAAAGCAAGUUCUAGAAUAAACAAACUAGGAUUGAUAUUCACAUAACAAAAAAAAAAAUAAUUAGAGCAAAGUGGUUGCUCAUAGGCUCAAAUCCUCACAAAAUUGGUAAAUUUGCCAUCAAAUCAUGUACACUCUUCAAAUGAAUCAACCAUCAAUAGUGGUGUAGAAUGAGAAGAAGGUAUGAGUGAGAUAUAAAAGGAAAGGUAAAAAGGAUAAUAAGCGAGAAAGAUGUAUGUAGUAAUAUGAAAAGUGAAAGAUAAAAUGUGAGUGAUGAAAGAGUAUGGUAAAAUAAAAAUAGACAUGAAUAAUUUGAGAUAGAUGGGAAAAAAGUAGUGAGAAGGAAAAGAAAAGAAAAAUAAUAAUAUAUGAAGCAUACUAACUCCAAAAUCAUUUAAGGAUGAGUAGAGUGAAAAUAGAUUAGUAGAGUGAAAACAAUAAUUCCAGACAUCAAUAAUGCAAAAAUCCCUCCCCCAUACCAAGAACUUACAUUGUCCCUAAUGUAAGAUAAUCAAAGCUCACAUAAAAGUUAAAGCGUAACGAUAAAAGAUUAAGGGCAAAAAGAAACUUUCCUGAAUUGUGAGCUUUGAUCCACAUAACGUCUAUGGGCUUGGCGGAAAUGGUGGGGUAAAUCCCACACUCUCGAAGUAUGCGGCCAAAUUCUGCUCCAUCUUGUUCAGCUUGUGCUCUAUUUUCUCUAACUGAAUGCUCAAAGGUGGUGCAGAUGUAGAAUGAAUAGUUGGCGGGGCAGCAAUGUCGUCGUCAAACUCAUCAUCAGAGGUAGCACCACUCCUAGCAUAAAGCUUCUUCGGAAGUUGAGUGGGUCCUGGUUCAGUAAACUGAAAUCUUCCCUCCUUGAAUUCAACCACACCUGUUCUUUCAAACACAGACAUAUCCAAAAAUUCCUCUCUUUCUCUUGUUGAGUCGCGAACGCGAGGCACCCUCCGAGAUUGGAUUCCGCAAGUGGCAAAACACUCAUGCCUUUUCCAUGCUUCGAUCUUUGUCUCACGGCUUUCAAUUUACCCGGCUGGAAUACAGGGCGUAGGCUGGUUGCGUUGCGUUGCUGCUCGGUUUGGGGCUAGUUACGCACUGCUGCUGCGUGGCUGUGUUGCGCGCAAGAGCUGGUUCGCGCUGCUGGUCUGCUGCUGCUCGGCUAUGUUGCACGCGCGGGACUGAUGCGCUGCGGGAUGGUGCUGGCUGGAUUGAUUUAGGCUGCGCGCGCGGGCUGGAGCUGAGAAUCUGCGUUGCUGGGGCUUGCGUUGCGGGUCUGUUGCGUGCUGCUCGUCUGCGUUGCGCGUGCGGAAUGGUGGUCGAUGCUGGUGCUGCGCGCGCGGGGCUUGCUUUGCGCGCUGUUGGGCUGCGAGAUGCAGGAUAGUGCUCGAUGCUUGCUAGUUCAGGCGGGCUGGUUUGCGUUGCAGGUGGGACUGAUGCGGUUGCAGCUGGUUCUGCGCGCUGGAGCUAAGGGUUGCUGCGGGAAAACGAAAAUCAACAAUGAAUUUUUUUGAAUUAGGGAUUUGUGAACAGUGAUUUUUGAUUUUUGGUUUUUUUUUUCGUUUUUUUAAAUAAAUAAAUAAAUAAAUAUAUAUAUAUAUAAGAAAGAAAAGAAGGGAAAAAAAACUUUUUUUUUCAUUUUUUUUAUAAAUAAAUAAAAAAUAUAUAUAAGAAAGAAAAUAAGGAGAAAAAAAGAAAACUCCUUUUUUUUCUUUUUUUUUUCUUUUUUUUAGUGAUGAAUCACUUUGAGACACUAAAAAUUUCAGAAGUACUUUUCUAAUAAGCACGUGGGCACGCCUUAAAACUAUUUUACUUUAAAAAUUACAGAAGUACUUAUUAGUUAAGACGUGGGCACGCCUUAUCAAAAAUUUUCUUCUGAUCAAAAUAAACAAACACAUUAUUAUAAAAAAAAAUCUGAAUCAAAAUUAAAAGAAGAUAUAACAAAAACCAAAAUAAACAAAUCAUUUGGGUUGCCUCCCAAAGAGCGCCUUUAUUUUAUGUCUUUGGCUAGACACAUUUAUGCAUCAAUCUCCAUAAUUGGGACUCUCGAGAGCCACAUCCUCCACAAUAUUCACCGAAAAACCUUCAUAAAAAGGUUUUAAGUGAUGACCGUUAACCUUAAAAACUUUGUCAGAGGUCGAACUCCGAAUCUCAACAGCACCAUGAGGAAAAACAUUAGUAACAAUAAAAGGUCCAACCCAGCAAGAUCGUAAUUUACUUGGAAAAAGUUUAAGCUUAGAAUGAAAAAGAAGAACUUUUUGACCAACAGAGAACUCCUUUCUCAAAAUCAUUCUAUCAUGAAAUGUUGUUAGAGUGCAAUUUAUGCACUAGUUUUGCAUUGUUUACUUCCCUUAAUAUCGAUGUUUUGCACUUAAUAAUAGUGAUUUACUUGUGAUUUACUUUUGUAGGUGCAAUUCUAUUGAUUGGUGAUAAAAUUCAUCCCUAAACAUCAUCUUGUAGCUCAAUUUUAUCACCAAUCAAUAGAAUUGCACCUACAAAAGUAAAUCACAAGUAAAUCACUAUUAUUAAGUGCAAAACAUCGAUAUUAAGGGAAGUAAACAAUGCAAAACUAGUGCAUAAAUUGCACUCUAACAAUAAUCCAACUUUCUCAAUGGAUUUGUCUAAUACAUUCAAUUUAUUUUUAUUCUGUACAUGUUUGGUUAAUUAUCUUGGUCUGUUAAGUUUAAGUCCAGUUGCAAGUCCCAUUUGGUUACGCAUUGUGUUCGUGUUGCUACUCAAUCCUUCAUAAAAUAGUUUAAGGUUUGGAAGUUAACUACUUUUAUUGAUUUCGUAUGACUUUUUGCUAGUUUAUCACUCACGGCAUAUAAUUAAUCAAUUCUUCCAGGCGUACCAUGACAUCUAGGACCAUAAGCAUUUGUGUGUUAAUGUAUUAAACUGAUCACUUAGAUCAAAUUUCAAUUUGGACUUGAAUUGCAGUUUUAGUGUCCUAUAUGAUUGGUCUUUCUCAAUUUUACCAAACAUAUGUUCGUUCUGAAAAUAUUAAAGUGGAUUUGAUAGUUUAAACAAUUUGAGGUUGGAUUUUGGCAGUUUGAAGUUGUAUAUUCUGGUACCAAUCAAGACAAGGAAGUGGAUGCCGAGUUUGAAACAACGAGUAGACAUCUGAAAGUCACGCCACAUUGGAUGAUCACACAAAAAUUGGACCUUACAGAGGAACAACACGGACAAAUUAAGCAGGAGCUGGAAAUGUAUAAAAUUUGAGCAGCUGUAGGAUCCAUAAAUGCAAAGAAUCAACCGGAUUAUUCGAACGAACGUACCUCUAAUGGUCUUUUUGGAAUGUCAACCAGUCAUGAAGUCCAAACGCGAAGUGGACGAGGAGGAGGCUGAUACUAAUUCUAGAAACUUCAAGAGCUUUCACUCCCAUGCCUUUUGAAUGUCUUUCUUGCUUCAGAAUUCAAAUGCAAGCUUUCCCUCUCAGUAUUUCUUCGUUGAGACAUUUUCUCGAACAGUUUUAUACUUAUGUCAAACAUCUUCUGAUAUAACUAGGAAGCCAGUAAGAUUGUUUUUCAAGUACGCUAAGCGGAAACAGUAGGCAAGGCCUUUGUCAUUAUAUCUGCCACUUGAUUUUUUCUGCCCACAUUCUUCUUAUUCAAUUCGUUUGUUCCAAUUUUGUCCCUAAUGAAGUGGUCUUAUAUCUCUAUACACUUUGCUCUUCCAUGAAAGACUAGAUUCUCUGCAAGUGCUAUUGCACUCUUGUUGUCACAUCACAACAGAGGAAUAAUUAAACAUACAAGGAUCUUAACCAGCUGAUCAUUUCUGCCGCUACAUGAGACAGGGCUCUGUAUUAUACUUUUGUACUUGAUUUUGAGACCACCUUUUGAUUCUUGGAGCUACAUGAGAUCAGAUUUCUUGCGGGGUAAAAAUAUUCAUGAAAACCCUCAAGUAUUUAUGACAUUUAAAUAAAAAUAGAGUUUGAUUUUUCUUUCAAGUAUGUUCCUACAUUAAUAUCUACUUAAAAACUGACAAUAUCAUUUAAAAAAAAUUAUUCUUCCACCUUUAAAAUUCAAUAUUAAAGAGUAAUUUGUCAUUUUUAAUUAGAGUUAGAGGCUUGUUUUAUUAUAUAUAUAAAAUCAUUCUCAGAUGCAAUAGUCCUCAUUUUUUUGUGCAGAUACACUAUUAAACCACGCAGUUCAAAAGUUAAUUAAAAUGAAUGGUUUAACAGUGUGUUUAUAUAAAAAAAAAUAAUAAUAAGGGCCUCGACAUUAGAGAUUAUAUAUAUUAUUCUAAUUAGGGAUCCCUAACCAUAUUAAAGUCAGGGGACAAGUUAAAAAAUAAAAAAUAAAAAUUUCAAUGUAUUUUGUCAUAUAAUGUAUUGAAAUCUGUAUUUUCUUUUGUCUUUUAUGCUGUGUUUACUUUUUGGAUUGGAGUGGGAAUCUUGAGAAGUGGAAAUCCUUGGAUUAGGAGUGUGGAGUGGGAGUGGGAGUAGGGUGUUUACUUAGACUAAAUGAAAGUAUGGAUUGUCAAUCAGAAUCCCAAUUAUUUGUUUACUUUGUCUUGGAUUGACAGUAAAUUGUUUUAAAUUAUAAUUUUAUCCUUAUGUAUAGAAUUAUAAUUUGUAAUUAAAAAAUUAAUAAAAAAUAUAUUUGGAAAAUAAAAUAAAUAUUUUAUUAUAUUUAUAAAUUAAUAAUAAUUACUAAUAUUCUUAAUUAUGUAAAUCAUAAUUUUUUAUUAAUUUUAAUUUAAAUUAUGUGAAUAAAAAUUAUUAAUAAUAGCAACACAAAUGAAAUAUUAUUAUUGAUAAUAUAGUACAAAAUUAAUAUUUUUUUAGAAUAAAAUAUUUAUUAUUAUUAAAUAAAUAAUUAAUAUUUAUUAAAAUUAAUUUUUAAUAUUAUUAAUUUAAAUAUAAUAUUUAUUUAUUUUUAUUUUAUUAAAUUUAAUAAAAUAAAUAUGAUAUAAUUAUUAUUUUUAAUAAAUAUUAUUUAUUUAUUUUAUUAAAUAUUAUUUAUUUUAUUUAUAAGGAUAAAAUGGGAAGAGGGGGGAGGGGAUUCCCACUCUCACCUCCCCCCAUGGGAGUGGGAAUCCCACUUCCCACUCCAAAAUUGGGUGGGACUCACAGAUUCCCACUCCCACUCCCCCCUUGUUUAAGGUAAGUAAACACUGGAGUGGGAGGAAUCCACACUCCACACUCCCACUCCAAAAAAUAAACACUGCCUUAGUUUAUCCCUAUUUUAAUAUGGUUGAAGAUUCGUAAUUAGAAACCCACUCUAAUUAUCUAUGUAUUUACUAUUUUUAAUACAUUCGCACAAAUAUUUAUAUACAAUAAAUGUAUUACUUAGCCCUGCCUGAUAAAAGAUCCCGGGUCCGGCUCUGAAGGAAGAUGCAAUAUCCUCCUGCUGACGCUUCAUUAACCUUUUUCCUUUCAUUUUAAACUUUCUGAAUUAUUGCCUUUCGUAAUUCUCAUAUCAUGCAUUGAGUAUUUAUCUAACUAUGAAAUUAAUUUGAUUAAUAGAGUAUGUUAUAGAAGGACGGGUAUCUAUUAAAAGUGAUGUUGUCGCGGAAUUGAGCUUGAAGUGUUGGAUUAAUGACUUGUUACCUAUUUCAUUGAUGGAAUUGUUGUGGACAUAAAUCUGCUAAGUGGAGAGGAAAGACAUUUUUGCUGUAAAGAAGCAAUGUGUGCUGUCUAUGGGAGCUGUAAUGAGUGGACUCUUCAACAAUGUACAAUAUUAUACAGUAUAUACAAAGACACACUAUCACACUAAAAAAUCUUGAGUUGACUCCUUAAUUUAUUUCAUCAAUCCCCACUUUUGAGUUAAUAUUAUUUAUCUUAAGAUUGUCCUUAAUGAAAAAUAAAAAUAAUUAAAAAAAUAAAUAUUUUUUCAUUCUAUCAAGUUCUUAGUAGAUUAAAUUCUUAUCUCUCACAAUUCUCUCAUCUUUUAAUUUAUUCAUAAUUUGAAUCAAAUAUUAACUCUUGAUCAAACCCCAAAUUAAAAUAAACAAAAUAUUAGAUUAUCACGUAAAAUCAAAACCAGUAUUAUCAAUAACAACAAAAAUCACCGCUUAUCCAUUAAAUUUAACAAAAACCAACAUUUAAAUUCAUCAAAUAUUGGCAGAGGUAGUGGAUUCAAGGUGAAGAAAAUAGAUGAUGGGAACGAACUCGUUGUUGAUGAAGUGGUGGGGGUGAUAAUUAUAUACGAGGGAGGGGAAGGUAGAGACAGAAUAAAAUAAUUUUUUUUUUGUUUCAAUAGAGAUAAUUCUACAAAAUAAUAAGAUUAAUUGAUAAGCGGGGUUGAUGAGAUAAUUUGAGGGGUUCAAAUAUCAUUACUCAUAUCCAUUUACAUGAAGCUAAUUAAAAAUAGUGAAGUAAUUAAAUACGCUAAUCAUACACAGCUGCCAUGUUAACUAUUAAAACAGCCUAAUGAGCUUAGCCUCAGUUUGAUCCUCUCCGUUGAUCUGCCAUUCCUAUCAUCACUACUUGCCACCUCGCAUUGUAUCAAAUCUCUUCUGUGUCCUCAUUGUACCCUCUCUUCGUAACACAUAAGCAGAAUCUAUUCUUGUACCAAAUUACCAAAUUACCACAAAACUGUUAGAGAGUCGGUGUGAUUUACUUACUGUUAAAUAAUAAAGAGAGUAAUUUUCUUUUUUUAAAUUUGAAUCUACCCGCCACUUCCAAGACAGAGAAAGCGUCGUCGUUUUAUGAUGGCUCCAUCAUCAUUUCCAUCUCCUCUCGAACGCACUGUCGCUUCAGCUCUUCUCCUGCUCUCCGUCUCCAAUCAAUCUCCCUCUCUCUCUUCCCCACUGUAAGACCUUCAUUAUUUCACUCUCAAAACUGUUUUUGUUUCUUAUUUGUUUUUCCUUAUUGAUUUGUUUGAUGUUUGUUUAAUGCAACGUGUAGGUUCGACACAGAUGGUGAAUUACUGCUGAAGAGCAAGAGCAGCAGCCGGGACGAAGAGAGCGUGAGCUUACUGUCGAGUGGAGAUUCAAAACGGUGCGUUUCGACGGUUACUAGUGAAGAUGCCUCCUCCAGUGAGAUCCGAGCUCACAAGCUGAGGAUCAUCGCUGUUGUGGCUCGCUGUCAUGAAGUGAAACUCAAGGUACAUGUUCUUCUGUUUGGUUUAAUAUAUAUGAUUAUGUAAAUGGUUUCGUAGUUCUUAGUUUGAAUUUGAUCUGAAAUUUUUUGUUUGAUAAUAAAAUGAAAUCACAUCUCUGUUUUCUACUUCGUAAACAGUCAUCUCUUCGGAAUCAAUUUUUUUGUUGUUCGUGUUGAAUUUUAUCAAAAGUGAUCAUUAAAACUUGUUUUUCUCAAAUUUAUGUUUGAUCUCUCAGUUUUUUUUUUUUUCUCGACUCUUCAAUUCAAUUUCACUGGAAAUUUACUAGAAGAUUCAAAUUCUGCUCUGUUUGGACCUGUUUCGUUUUGAAUUCUCGUAAUCAUUUGAAGGCUCAAGCUACUUAAAUUUUGUUAAAACUGUAGAACCUGAAGGGCACUUCAGUUGCUCAAACACCUUCAGCCUCUGCCCAAGAUUCAAGAUCAGAUUCCUAGAUGCUUGACUAUAGAUGACUUGAAAAAGGUUUAACCAAGAACUUCAAGUGAACAGAACAAUCAAUGGUUUAAGAAUCAAAGAAUCGAAAGAAACUAAAGAAUAAAGAACAGAAGAGAUUUAACGUGGUUCAGCUAAAACACUUAGCUUACAUCCACGGAGGAACAAGACUUCAGGCUUUUAUUGAAUGAACUCAAGAUUACAGAGAAUUACAGAUUGUAUCUCAUGGAAAAUUACCACCCUUAAACCCAGGAGUAACCCCCCUUUUAUACUCAUAAAUUGUAGCCAACUCUCUGCACCAGAAUCAGCUCCUUUUCAGUUGCUGAUAACUUCCUGGAAACUAAUCCCAGAUGCUCACGUGCAAGCCAUGCUUCAUUAACGACUUUAACCGCUUCUUUCAUUCGAAUCCAUUCACGUGAGUCUCAGGUGUUUCACUUAAGUCAAACGACAUUCCAAGACAUCGUUUCACUUAGCUUUGGUUUACACUCCGAAACGCACUCCCUCAAGUCGUUUUGAAUGUCACUGAAUUGCUUUCACUGGUUACUUUACAAAUCUCCACCUUGAAACAAUUCAUCCCUGUCAAUCUUUCUCCUCAACUUCAUGCAAGUUACAAACUGCAUAUUUCAGCUAUGUCCAAGCAGGUCUUAAACUUAGCUGAGGGUACCACCUUUGUAAGCAUAUCUGCAGGGUUGUUGCUGGUAUGUAUUUUUACCAUUUUUACAACUCCUUUUGAUAUUACAUUCCUUAUGAAAUGCAACUUAAUGUCGAUAUGCUUGGUCUUCUCAUGAUGAGCUGGAUUUUUGCUCAAGUAAAUGGCACUUGAGCUGUCACAGUGAAUAUCAACAACCUUCUGAGGUAUUCCUAACUCACUGAUUAAGCCUUUAAGCCAUAAAGCCUCCUUUACAGCUUCUGAGACUGCAGUAUACUCAGCCUCUGUAGUUGAUAAAGCCACUACAUGUUGCAAGCUUGCUUUCCAGCUUAUCAGACAUCCAUUCAACAUGAACAUGUAUCCAGUUUGUGACCUCCUUCUGUCCAGAUCUCCAGCAUAAUCAGAGUCAACAUAGCCCCAUAAACCAGCUUCAUUUAACUCUUGAUUCUUUCCAUAUAGCAACCCAAACUCCAAAGUUCCAUUUAGGUAUCUCAGCACCCAUUUAGCUGCCUUCCAAUGCUCUUUUCCAGGUGAAGCCAUAUACCUGCUUAUCAAGCUUAGAGCAUGUGAAAUAUAUGGUCUUGUGAGGACCAUUGCAUACAUCAUACACCCUACUGCAUUGGCAUAGGGUACCUUAGACAUCUCUUGCCUUUCUUCACUUGACUUUGGACACUGCUGGUUUGAGAGUUUAAAAUGAGAGGCUAGAGGUGUUAUCACUGGUUUACAGUUGCUCAUUCCAAAGGUAUUAAGUACUUUUUCCAAGUACUUCUUCUGAGACAAAAACAUAGUUCCCUUCCUUCAGUCUCUUGUUAUUUCUAUUCCCAAAAUCUUCUUGGCAUGACCCAGAUCCUUCAUAUCAAACUCAGAGUUCAGCAUCUAUUUUAAGGCUUCAACUUCUUUCCUCACUUUACAAGCAAUCAACAUAUCAUCAACAUAUAGUAGCAAGUAUAUGUGAUGAUCUGAAUCUAUUUGCUUGUAGUAUACACAACAAUCAAAAUUGCACCUCAUAAAUCCAUGUGAAAUCAUGAAUUCAUCAAACCUGAGGUACCAUUGCCUUGGGGACUGCUUUAAGCCAUACAAUGACUUCUUCAGCAAGCACACAUGGUCAGGGUAUUUAGAGCUUUCAAAACCUUCAGGUUGAGUCAUUAAAAUCUCCUCCUGUAGUCUCCCAUGUAAGAAAGCUGUUUUAACAUCAAGUUGAUCAAGCUCCAUGUCAUAUACAGCUGUUAGAGCUAACAAAACUCUUAUGGAAACAUGUCUGACCACUGGAGAGAAGACUUCCUUAAAAUCAACUCCUUCCUGCUGUGUAUAUCCCUUUGCUACUAACCUAGCUUUGAAUCUCCUAGGUUCAUCAGUUGUCGGCCCUUCUUUUACCUUGAAAAUCAAUUUGCACCCCACAAUCCUUCUUUUCUCAGGUUUCUUUACCAAUUCCCAGGUGUUGUUCUUGUACAGUGAGUCCAUUUAAUCUUCCAUAGUCCUCUGCCACUCUGAUUUAUAUGAACUCUUCAUAGCCUCUCUAUAGCUUGUUGGCUCAUUUUCCUCAAUCUCAUGUGAUGCUGCCAGUGCAUAUGCAAUGAGGUCUGCAUAACCAUAUCUUUGUGGAGGUCUUAUCUGUCUUCUCUCUCUAUCUUUGACCAGGUGAUAGUCUCUAAGUUGGGUUUGAGUGUGCUGUUGAGAUUGUGGCUCAGUGUUUCCACUACUGUCAUCUUUAUCUCCAUUAGAAUCUAUAGCUUCUUGUGAGGAUUUUAGAUUUGGAUGCUCCACCUCAAAAUGUAUACUCUCUGGAGUUUUAGUCUGAGGUUUAGUACCAUUUUCUUGUAGCUUUUUCUUGAGCACAGUCUCUUCAUUAAAGAUCACAUCCCUGCUGAUGAUGCACCUUGGUGGGGAUAGGUCUGUGCACCAUAACUUGUAACCCUUUACACCCUCUGGAUACCCGAUAAACUUCCCUUUCAGAGCUCUUGGAGAUAACUUCCCUUGCUUUACAUGUGCAUAAGCAUCACAUCCAAAAGCCUUAAGCUCUAUAUAGUUACCAGGUUUUCCAGACCACAUUUCUGAUGGUGUUUUAAAGUCAAUUGCAGCAGAUGGGCUAAGGUUCACCAAAAAACAGGCAGUCAGCAAGGUUUCUGCCCAUAGCCCUUUAGGAAGUUGGGACUGUAUCAUCAUGCAUCUGACUUUAUCCAUUAAAGUCCUGUUCAUCCUUUCAGCUAGGCCAUUUUGCUAUGGGGUUAACCUUACUAUUCUAUGUCUUGCAAUCCCUUCAUUUGCACAGAAACUGUCAAACUCUUGAUUACAAUACUCAAGGCCAUUGUCUGUUCUUAGUUUCUUAACCCUUUUCUCAGUUUGAUUUUCAACCAAUGCUUUCCACUCUUUAAAUUUCCCAAACACCUGAUCUUUACUUUUCAGCACAUACACCCACACUCUCCUAGAGUAGUCAUCUAUCAUUGUCAUAAAAUAUCUAUUUCCACCCAAAGAUGGAACCUGAGAAGGUCCCCAUAAGUCUGAAUGUAUAUAUUGCAGAAUCUCAGAUGUCUUAUGUAUAGAUUUCUUGAAGUUAUUCCUAGUGGAUUUACCUAGAAUGCAUUCUUCACAGAACACUAGCUCCCCAAUCUUAUCUUUCCCCAGAACACUCUGCUUAUUAAGUUCUUUCAGGCCUUUAAUACUCAUAUGCCCAAGUCUUAAGUGCCAUAGAGUAGUUUUAUCUAUGUCAGUGCUUUCAAUGGCAUUAGAGACCCCUGUUACAGACUCCCCAUCUAAGACAUAAACCCCAUUCUUUCUGGUCCCUUUCAUAACCAGUGCAGAUCUAUUAAGAAUCUUCAAUUCACCUGAUUCAAGCUUAAUGCUACAUCCCAUUUGAUCUAUCAUUCCUAAAGAAAUCAAAUUCCUUUUAAGUUCUGGAACAUGCCUAACUUGUCUGAUUUCUUUUACAGACCCAUCAUGUACCUUAAGAUGAAUUUUACCAAUCCCAAUGAUUUUACACACUGAAUUAUUACCCAUCAUUACUCUUCCUCCAUCAAAGUCUUGAUAAUUAGAAAAAUAACCCUUAUAUGGACUCAUAUAAAAUGUGCAACUAGAGUCAAGAAUCCACUUACCCUUUUGCAUAUCCUCAGUAGCAACACACACACCUGCUGACUCAUAGCCAUCUUCUUCUUCUUCAGCUGUAGCUGCAUUCCCAACCCUCUCCUUAUUCUUGUGCUUUAAGUCUGGGCAAUCCUUCUUGAAAUGUCCUUCCUUAUGGCAAUGGAAACAUUUCAAGUCUUUUGGCUUGGUCUUGGAUUUGGACUGCUUCUGAUUCUUUGCUGCAUUCUUAUUCUUUUCAAACUUCCCCUUUACUGUUAACCCAACUCCACUUUCUAUACUCACAGACUUUUGUUGCAACCCUCUAGUAUUUAAGGCUGCAUUUACCUCAUCCAGGGACAGUGUCUGCCUCCCAUACAUUAGGGCAUCCACAAAAUUAGAGUAUGAUUGUGGAAGUGAGCUUACCAAGAGCAGAGCUUUACUUUCAUCACUGAGGCUUUCAUCAAUUGUCUCCAGGGUGUCACACACUCUAUUGAAUUCAUCUAUAUGAUCAUCAAGAGAGGAUCCCUCUGCCAUCUUUAGAGUAAACAUCCUUUUCUUUAUAUGCAAUCUGUUGGUGUUAGAGUGCAAUUUAUGCACUAGUUUUGCAUUGUUUACUUCCCUUAAUAUCGAUGUUUUGCACUUAAUAAUAGUGAUUUACUUGUGAUUUACUUUUGUAGGAGCAAUUCUAUUGAUUGGUGAUAAAAUUGAGCUACAAGAUGAUGUUUAGGGAUGAUUGUUCCCUUGGAGAAAUUAUGAGCGGCAGAAGAACUUUGUUGAUAAGGCGUGGGCGCGUGCUGUCAGCUGCGGACCUACAUUUUUAGUUUAACGUGUUUUAUAUUUUUGGUUAUUUUUGUAAUUACGAAUUUAAUAUUUCAUAUAUUAGUAUUUUAUUUUAAAUAGAAUUCUAGAGGAGAAGAGAGAGAGAAUAUUUAACGGAGGAAUCUAUUGUGAAAAAGAGGGAUUUUUUGGGGGAUUGGAGAAAAAGAAAAAAACCCUAGAUUUAAUUUUCCUCUUCUCUCUAUGAAGAACUAAACCUAUUUUUCUGGUUGAAGGAUAAUGAAGCUUUGAUUCAUCACUACUGUGAGAUCUUUCUUGUGCUUUAAUUGUUUUAUUACUUUUUGGGUAUUUGUUUAUUCUCUGAAUUAUUUUUAUGAUUAUGUUUGUUAAUUAGGUAAUUGGCCACUAUUUAAUUAUCAACUUAAUCUAUUGUCAAUUAAAGGAUUCAUCGUAUGGAGAAUUUAAUGUUGGUGACAAAUAACAUAGCAGAGAGUUGUGUUGUGAGAAUAAACAAUCUAAUUUAAAUGAAUCAUCAUAUGUGUUGAUUAGGAUUUGGGUCUCUCUGGUUUUUCAGGCUGUCAAUUGAUUAAAUCCUAUGAUCGUAUCUAGGGUUGUCUAUUGAUUAGGGAAAUAACCAACGGUCGUACCUUGGUUAUCGACUAGUUAAGGAGAGAUUGGCUAUUAGAGGGUCUCAGUAGCUAUAACCGGUCUAUUCAUAAGUAAUAAUAAUCUAUAUUUGAAUCAAUGAUCAGUAGUCGAAUCAAGCUGAGUUAAUUCCUUCAACCAGAGCUUUCUCCAAUUUGAAUUACAACUUUAAUUUGCAUUCUUGUUAUUUUAAUUUGAUUUUAUUAUUGUCAACAAUUCCCCCAUUUUACGUUUUACGUUUCAAAAGGAUUUAAAUAAUUACCGAUCUCUGUGGACACGACCCUGCUCAAUCACUAUACACAAUUUAUUUAGAGUAUGAAUUUAUUUUUGUUGGCUUCGACACCCAUCAAAUUUUGGCGCUGUUGCCGGGGAUUGGUGUCAUUUAUUUAAUCCUUUUUACGUUUUACUUGGUGUAUGGUUCGUUCUUCUCGUACAGGUACACUUUCGUUUGAUCCUGAAAUUGAGAAGACAGCUUGCCAGCUGAGACAGCAGACUAAGCAAGCUAAGCAACGAUCCUCGUCGCCUUUGCUUUUUGAAACAGAUACGGUGCCUAAUUUAGUUGAAUCAUCUAGCGAUUCGGAAGAACAAGUGAUGGAUAGACCUGCACCUGUAGAAAGAACUCUUAGAGAGUUAGCUGAACCAGACUUGAAUCAGCAACCACUCUGCAUUCAUUAUGUAGAUUUGGAGGUAAAUUUUGAAUUAAAGUCUGGUCUUAUUCAUUUAUUACCCAAGUUUCAUGGUUUUGCAGGUGAAGAUCCUCAUAAACAUCUUAACGAGUUUCAUGUUGUGUGUUCAAGUAUGAGACCACAAGGCGUGACUGAAGAGCAUAUUAAGCUGCGUGCUUUUCCGUUCUCUGUAGAUGGGCUAGCUAAAGACUGGUUGUACUACUUGCCUCCUGGAUCGAUUACAACGUGGAAUGAUUUAAAGAAGCAGUUCCUCGAGAAGUACUUUCCUGCUUCAAGAGCUGCUAACAUCAGAAAAGACAUUUGUGGGAUCAGACAACUUCCUGGGGAGACUUUGUAUGAGUAUUGGGAGCGAUUCAAACAAUUGUGUGCCAGCUGUCCUCAGCAUCAGAUUUCUCAUCAACUUCUUAUUCAAUAUUUUUACGAAGGAUUGUCAUUGAUGGAUAGGAGUAUGAUAGAUGCUGCUAGUGGAGGCAUGUUGGUGAACAAGACCCCUAGUCAAGCAAGGGAGUUGAUAUCAAAUAUGGCUGCCAAUGCACAACAAUUUGGCAGCAGGCAAGAUCUCACUUCAAGGAAGGUGAAUGAGGUAAAUAUUUCUUCUGUUGAACAACGUUUAGAUAAACUUACUUCUCUUGUGGAAAAGUUUGUUGUAGGUAAUGUGCAACAGGUGAAGACUUGUGGCAUUUGUUACAAUAUGGAUCAUUCAACUGAUAUGUGUCCUACACUUCAAGAAGAACUCAUUGAACAAGCCAAUGCAGUUGGAGGAUUUCCAGGCAUGCCUCAGAGGAGGUAUGAUCCUUAUGCACAAACAUACAAUCUGGGAUGGAAGGAUCAUCCCAACUUCAGCUAUGGAGUUAAGCCGUCAGGAUUCCCACAACAGUAUCCACCAAGACAACCAACACCUCCACAGUCAAACUCCAAGUCAGGUAUAUCUCUUGAAGAAAUUGUUAAAUCACUUGCGACUAACACUCAACAAUUUCAGCAGGCAACUACAGCAAGCAUUCAAAACUUGGAUAACCAAAUGAGUCAAUUGGCGACUACAGUGAGCCGUCUGGAGUCUCAAGUAUGAGGGAGAUUGCCUUCACAAUCUGAGGUGAAUCCAAAGCAAAACGUUAGUGCUGUCAUCCUUAGAAGUGGGAAGGAGUUGCAAGAGCCUAGUAAGAAAGUGAAAAAGUAUGUAGAAGAUGAGUUUGAGAAGAAUGAAUUGAUGCCUCAAUCUCAAGAUGCGGAACCCACCAGAGCGAAACCCCUACCUAUUGUGAUACCUCCUCCUUUUCCAAGCCGGUUUGCAAAAUCCAAAAAGGAGGAACAAGAGAAAGAUAUCCUUGAGACAUUUCGCAAGGUUGAGGUAAAUAUCCCUUUAUUAGAUGCUAUAAAACAAAUACCUCGAUAUGCUAAAGUCCUUAAGGAACUGUGCACCUCUAAGAGAAAAUUAAGAGGAGAUGAAAAAGUUCACAUGGGGGAGAAUGUUUCAGCAGUUCUCCAAAAGAAACUACCUCCUAAAUGCAAGGAUCCAGGUAUGUUUACUAUACCUUGUAAAAUUGGUAGUGUUAGAAUUGAAAAGGCUUUGUUAGAUCUAGGAGCUUCUAUUAAUGUCAUGCCUCGUUCUAUUUAUUCAUCUUUGAAUAUUGGUCCAUUAAAAGAAACUGGCGUGAUAAUUCAACUAGCUGAUAGGUCUAAUGCAUAUCCUAAUGGGAUAUUAGAAGAUGUCUUAGUACAAGUUAAUGAGUUGGUUUUUCCUGCUGAUUUUUAUGUACUUGAUAUGGAAGAUGAUAACUCCUCUAAUUCUGUCCCAAUUUUGCUAGGAAGACCUUUUCUUAAGACUGCUAGGACUAAAAUGGAUGUACAUAAAGGGACUCUCACUAUGGAGUUUGAUGGAGAGGUUAUAGAAUUCAAUAUGAAUGAUACCAUGAAAUAUCCUAGUGAGGAACAUUCAGUAUUUUUUGUGGAUGUUAUUAACCCUAUAGCGCAGGAAAUUUUUUACAAGGAAAAGACGAAGACAUUUCAUGAUAGAAUGAUUUUGAGAAAGGAGUUCUCUGUUGGUCAAAAAGUUCUUCUUUUUCAUUCUAAGCUUAAACUUUUUCUGGGUAAAUUAUGUUCUUACUGGGUUGGACCUUUUAUUGUUACUAAUGUUUUUCCUCAUGGUGCAGUUGAGAUUCGGAGUCCGACCUCUGACAAAGUUUUUAAGGUUAAUGGUCAUCGCUUAAAACCUUUUUAUGAAGGUUUUUCGGUGAAUAUUGUGGAGGAUGUGGCUCUCGAGAGUCCCAAUUAUGGAGAUUGAUGCAUAAAUGUGUCUAGCCAAAGACAUAAAACAAAGGCGAUUUUGGGAGGCAACCCAAAUGAUUUAUUUAUUUUGGUUUUUGUUAUAUCUUCUUUUAAUUUUGAUUCAGAUUUUUUUUAAAAAUAAUGUGUUUGCUUAUUUUGGCCAGAAGAAAAUUUUUGAUAAGGCGUGCCCAGGUCUUAACUAAAAAGUACUUCUGUAAUUUUUAAAGUAAAAUAGUUUUAAGGCGUGCCCACGUGCUUAUUAAAAAAAUACUUCUGAAAUUUUUGGUGUCUCAAAGUGUUUCAUCACUAAAAAAAAAAAAAAUCUUUUUUUAAUUUAAUUUAAUUUAUUUUUUAUUUAAAAAAAAUGAAAAAAAAAAGAGAUUUUCUUUUGUUCUUUCUUUUAUAUAUAUAUUUAUUUAUUUAUUAAAAAAAAAAACCAAAAAUCGAAAAUCAUUGUUCACAAAUCCCUAAUUCAAAAAUUACUGUUGAUUAUCGUUUUACAGCAGCGCGCCUCAGCUCCAGCCUUCACCCCGCAAUGCAAGCAGCAGCCAGUGCGAACCAGUCGCGUGCAACGCAAGCCCCAGCAACCCAGAUUCUCAGCUCCAGCCGUGCGCAACGUAGCUGAGCAGCAGCAAACCAGCAGUGCGAACCAGCUCUCGCGCGCAAUACAACGCGAACGCAGCAGUGCGUAGAUCCAGCCCAGCAACGCAGCACGAACCACCAGCGCGCAACGCAAGCCCCCGCGCGCGCAACACCAGCAUCCCGUGUCUCGCAGCCCAGUAGCGCGAACCACCAGCGCGCAGCGCAACGCAGCACCCGCAAAGCAAGCCUCACCAGCGCGCAACGCAAGCCCGCAACGCAGCAACGAGCACACCCUGCAACGCAACCAGCUUACGCCCUGUAUUCCAGCCGGGUAAAUCGAAAUUCGUGAGUGCAAUUAUUGUAACAAUGCCGAAGAGGAAAGCAUCCACUUCCAAGUCAUCGAAAAAGACACCCAUCGUAAAGAAAUCUAAGAUUGCCGCUCCCACUACGGUUCCAUGGAACACAAUUUCAGAUUCACGCCAAGCCGUGAGACAAAGAUCGAAGCAUGGAAAAGGCAUGAGUGUUUUGCCACUUGCGGAAUCCAAUCUCGGAGGGUGCCUUGCGUUCGCGACUCAACAAGAGAAAGAGAGGUACAAAGAUAUUUCCAUGCGCAAAAUACUUCCAGCUAAGUAUAUUCAUUACCCGACUCUUGAAAAAUUGAAUGUUAAGGAUAAUUUUGAUUCUUUGAUAGAUAAGAUUGGGUUGCGUAUAUUUGUUAAUGUUGAUUGUUUGGGUUAUGUUGAGUUGAUUAGGGAGUUUUAUGCUACUUUUCAAUUUAAUAUGCCGAAUGAUUUUACUUUGCAUACCCCGGAUGUCAUUAAGUUUAGGUUAAUGGGAUGAAAUUUUUCACACUCUAUCACGGAUUUUAACCUAGCUUUAGGAUUCAUUGAUGAUGAUUAUUCUUCUAGUGAUGCAUAUUUAGGAACAACUUGUGACUUUAGCGGAAAUUUUGAGCCUUAUGGUCUUUGGCAUAAUUUAUCUGUUGAUCACAAUGCCUAUGACCCGAGUAAAUCAAAAAGUUCUUUCUUACGUGAUCCUGUUUUGAAAUGUGUGCAUCGAUUCUUAGCAUAUAAUUUUUUAGGCAAGAAAGAUCACUCAGGAGUUUUCUCUAAAACUGAAUUUUAUUUUAUCUGGUGCAUGUUAAAUGAUGUGAGGCCUAAUUUAGGUUUUUGGUUAGCGGAUCAAUUUCAAAGUGUGCUUAAACGGUAUAGGACUUUAUUUCUUGGUCCAUACAUAACUCUGUUAGCUAUAAACCUAUGUGUGCUUGAUCCCGACAAUAAUGAUUUGCAUCCUGCUUGCAAAAAGGAAUUUUUGGAUAUGUCUGUGUUUGCAAGAACAGGUGUGGUUGAAUUCAAGGAGGGGAGAUUUCAGUUUACUGAACCAGGACCCACUCAACUUCCGAAGAAGCUUUAUGCUAGGAGUGGUGCUACCUCUGAUGACGAGUUUGACGACGACACUGCUGCCCCGCCAACUAUUCCUUCUACAUCCGCACCACCUUUGAGUAUUCAGUUAGAGAAAAUGGAGCACAAGCUGAACAAGAUGGAGCAGAAUUUGGCCGCAUACUUCGAGAGUGUGGGAUUUACCCCACCAUUUCCGCCAAGCCCAUAGACGUUAUGUGGAUCAAAGCUCACAAUUCAGGGAAGUUUCUUUUUGCCCUUAAUCUUUUAUCCUUACGCUUUAAUUUUUAUGUGAGCUUUGAUUAUCUUACAUUGGGGACAAUGUAAGUUCUUGGUGUGGGGGAGGGAUUUUUGCAUUAUUGAUGCCUGGAAUUAUUAUUUUCACUCUACUCAUCUAUUUUCACUCUACUCAUCCUUAAAUGAUUUUGGAGUUAGCAUGCUUCAUAUAUUAUUAUUUUUCUUUUCUUUUCCUUCUCACUACUUUUUUCCCAUCUAUCUCAAAUUAUUCAUGUCUAUUUUUAUUUUAUUAUACUCUUUCAUCACUCACAUUUUAUCUUUCACUUUUCAUAUUACUACAUACAUCUUUCUCGCUUAUUAUCCUUUUUACCUUUCCUUUUAUAUCUCACUCAUACUUUCUUCUCAUUCUACACCAUUAUUGAUGGUUGAUUCAUUUGAAGAGUGUACAGGAUUUGAUGGCAAAUUUACCAACUUUGUGAGGAUUUGAGCCUAUGAGCAACCACUUUGCUCUAAUUAUUUUUAUUAUGUGAAUAUCAAUCCUAGUUUGUUUAUUCUAGAACUUGCUUUAUUAUGCAUGUUGAAGCCACAUUACGGGAUUUUAUGCAUUAAAAUGAUAAGGGCAAACCAUUUACCAUUUUUCUAUUCUCGCAUUUUCCUUUUUCUCUACCCGAAGACCUUUAUUUGCUACCUUUGUUUGAGCCUUAACAAUUACCCAUCUAAUUCUCUCCGUCUACUUAACCAUUUUUCUUCUUUUUUGAGCCUUAAUUUAAGGAGAUUUUUGGACUCAUUGUGUGGAUAUAUUUUGUUGCUUUUUCUACCUUGUAAUAAAGUUUCUCAAUUAGAUCAACAAGCAUUAUGCUUGAAUUAAAUUGUACAAGGUUCGUUUCUUUUGUUUGAUUCAUCACUAAAAAAAAAACAAAAACAAAAACAAAAGAAAAAAAAGAAAAAGAAAAAUCACAAAAAAAAAAUGUUUACAUUCUUGGUGACUUGAGUAGAAAUAAGCAUUUUGAUAUCAUAAGUUCAUUCAAUGAGUUCAUUUUUCUCGUUUUGAUCUCUUUUUCUUUCGUAAACCUUUCUUUUUCAUUUAACCUAUUUAACCCCAUUACAACCCUUUUAAGACCCUUAGAUUUUUGCACUUUAUUCAUGUUUUGUGGAUUGAGAUGUGAUAUAUGAGCAAGCUUAUGGUAAUAGCAUUCUUUGAUUUGAUUUGAGUGGAUAAAUGACACCCUAAACACUUUGAGUGCAUGGAGUGAAGUUAUUGAGAGGGCUAUUAAAUCUUGUUGCACUUGAAUUUUGAAUGGAUCUUCUUGGUGGUUGAAUGUUCUUAUUCUAUCUUAUGAAAUUCUAUGCUUUAAAAUCCUUGUCUCUCAAAUGUUGAUCGACUUAAUUUCUUGAGAUAUGCCUGCUUAAAAUUGUUUUUGGAUGAGUUGAGAUGAGAAUUGAGUGGAGAUUUGGAAUUAAUCUUGAGUUAUAUGCUUGAGGACAAGCAUCAUCUUGGUGUGGGGGAAUUUGUUAGAGUGCAAUUUAUGCACUAGUUUUGCAUUGUUUACUUCCCUUAAUAUCGAUGUUUUGCACUUAAUAAUAGUGAUUUACUUGUGAUUUACUUUUGUAGGUGCAAUUCUAUUGAUUGGUGAUAAAAUUGAGCUACAAGAUGAUGUUUAGGGAUGAUUGUUCCCUUGGAGAAAUUAUGAGCGGCAGAAGAACUUUGUUGAUAAGGCGUGGGCGCGUGCUGUCAGCUGCAGACCUACAGUUUUUAGUUUAACGUGUUUUAUAUUUUUGGUUAUUUUUGUAAUUACGAAUUUAAUAUUUCAAAUAUUAGUAUUUUAUUUUAAAUAGAAUUCUAGAGGAGAAGAGAGAGAGAGUAUUUAAGGGAGGAAUCUAUUGUGAAAAAUGGGGAUUUUUUGGGGGAUUGGAGAAAAGAAAGAAACCCUAGAUUUAAUUUUGCUCUUCUCUCUAUGAAGAACUAAACCUAUUUUUCUGGUUGAAGGAUAAUGAAGCUUUGAUUCAUCACUACUGUGAGAUCUUUCUUGUGCUUUAAUUGUUUUAUUGCUUUUUGGGUAUUUGUUUAUUCUCUGAAUUAUUUUUAUGAUUAUGUUUGUUAAUUAGGUAAUUGGCCACUAUUUAAUUAUCAACUUAAUCUAUUGUCAAUUAAAGGAUUCAUCGUAUGGAGAAUUUAAUGUUGGUGACAAAUAACAUAGCAGAGAGUUGUGUUGUGAGAAUAAACAAUCUAAUUUAAAUGAAUCAUCAUAUGUGUUGAUUAAGAUUUGGGUCUCUCUGGUUUUUCAGGCUGUCAAUUGAUUAAAUCCUAUGAUCGUAUCUAGGGUUGUCUAUUGAUUAGGGAAAUAACCAACGGUCGUUCCUUGGUUAUCGACUAGUUAAGGAGAGAUUGGCUAUUAGAGGGUCUUAGUAGCUAUAACCGGUCUAUUCAUAAGUAGUAAUAAUCUAUAUUUGAAUCAAUGAUCAGUAGUCGAAUCAAGCUGAGUUAAUUCCUUCAACCAGAGCUUUCUCCAAUUUGAAUUACAACUUUAAUUUGCAUUCUUGUUAUUUUAAUUUGAUUUUAUUAUUGUCAACAAUUCCCCCAUUUUACAUUUUACGUUUCAAAAGGAUUUAAAUAAUUACCGAUCUCUGUGGACACGACCCUGCUCAAUCACUAUACACAAUUUAUUUAGAGUAGGAAUUUAUUUUUGUUGGCUUCGACACCCAUCAGUUGGCGAGAGACUUUGUCAUAUAGAUUGUUUCCAGUUUUGCCCACAGAUCAGCCACUGUCUUUUCUUUGGCAACUUCUCUAAUAACAGAGUCUCCAAGACUCAAGAUUAUUGUGCUCCUUGCCCUUUUAUCUAUAUCAGUAGCCUGUUGAGGUGUUAGUGAUGAUAAAGCUUCCAUUCCCUCCUUCUUGGUGACUGGUUCUAAGGCAUCUCCCAGUCCCUGAGUUAUCAGUAGAGCCUCCAUCUUUACUUUCCACAUAUUGAAGUCGUUCUUGCCUGUAAACUUCUCCAGAUCAACUUUAGGGUGAGCCAUACUAGAAUCUGAUUAAAGAAACCCUGCUCUGAUACCAAUUGUAGAACUUGAAGGGCACUUCAGUUGCUCAAACACCUUCAGCCACUGCCCAAGAUUCAAGAUCAGAUUCCUAGAUGCUUGACUAUAUAUGACUUGAAAAAGGUUUAACCAAGAACUUCAAGUGAACAGAACAAUCAAUGGUUUAAGAAUCAAAGAAUCGAAAGAAACUAAAGAAUAAAGAACAGAAGAGAUUUAACGUGGUUCAGCUAAAACACUUAGCUUACAUCCACGGAGGAACAAGACUUCAGGCUUUUAUUGAAUAAACUCAAGAUUACAGAGAAUUACAGAUUGUAUCUCAUGGAAAAUUACCACCCUUAAACCCAGGAGUAACCCCCCUUUUAUACUCAUAAAUUGUAGCCAGCUCUCUGCACCAGAAUCAUCUCCUUUUCAGUUGCUGAUAACUUCCUAGAAACUAAUCCCAGAUGCUUACGUGCAAGCCAUGCUUCAUUAACGACUUUAACGCCUUCUUUCAUUCGAAUCCAUUCACGUGAGUCUCAGGUGUUUCACUUAAGUCAAACGGCAUUCCAAGACAUCAUUUCACUUAGCUUUGGUUUACACUCCGAAACGCACUCCCUCAAGUCGUUUUGAAUGUCACUGAAUUGCUUUCACUGGUUACUUUACAAAAACAUUUUAAUUAGCUUCAAUAAAUUUGUAAUUCACUUGCUCAUAGAUGUGAUCUCUCCGUUUCACCUAAAUUUUGCGCAUUGUUUGCUCAUAAUCUUUGUUUUUAACUUGAUUUUAAGAUUUUAUUUUCAAUUUUUAGCUCUUUCAUCCUGUUAUCAUUUAUUUUUCUAUAAUUAAUUUGAUUUCUCUUAGUCUGAAUAUGAAUUUAAAUUGUUUGCUUUUAGUUCUGUUCUGAGAUGUCCGCAGUUUGGAUUCGUAUUUCGGUUCAUUUUUAUCAAUAUUUUAUUACGAAACUUUUACACUCUAGUUUAUAGAAGUUUAAUUUCAAUUUGAAUUCGAUUUGUUGCUGGAAUUUUAAAUUUAAUUUCACAACAAGUAUGAUGGAAGAUUCAAUUUCUGUUCUGCCUUUGAAUCUUCAUUUUGAAUUUCUUGUACACUUUUGAGUGUUCAAGCUAAAUUAUAUGCUUCUCCAGUUCAUAAUUCGGUUCCUAAAUUUAUUAUUAUUCAUCUGGUGUUUGUAAACUCUCUGUUUGAAUUUAAUAAUUUCAUGCAUUUUUUUCCUUCUUCUUCUCAGGUCAUGCGAAAGAGUCGCUCAAAGAUGAGCCAGAAAUUCACAGCCGAUAAGCCGCCACCGUCACGGCAACCAACGGAGAAGUCAACAACUUCCUCAGGAUCCUUCUCGACAGAGGCUGGAUCGUGCCUAUCAAGCACCGCGAGCGCCGUUUCGAGCUCGCAAAGCCGCUACUGGGUUGCGGCUCGUGGGAAGCCGAGGGUUAGAAGAACUAGCAGCGGCCCGUCUCACAUUGAGCGCCGAGCCGAAGCCAUUCUGAAGCUGCUUUCUUCCCACGGCUGUUCGUCAGAAAUCAAGAUCCGUCAAGCCCUGGGUGACAGUCCCGACACUAGCAAAGCACUGAGAAUGUGCGAGUUGGCUUGGCUCUUUAUUUCGCGUUUGAUUUAAACCGUUAGAUCAUACGAAAUCUCUUUUACUAACUUGUCGAUCCGACGGUUGUUGUAGCGUGUCCAAACGAAACAGUUUAAAUUCUAACCGUCUGAUUUAUUUAUUUGCAGGUUAUUGAGGAGUGAUGAAGUCAAGAGAUAUGGCACAGGAGGACGGCAGGACCCAUAUAUUUACUAGGUAUUAAUCUCCUUAUCAUUCGUUAUCUUACUUAAUUAUAGAACUACAUGAUAUUAUUAUACACUAAUCACAGUUCUCUUUUUUUUUUUUUUUUUUCUAAUUACUAACAUAUGAAACUCUAUUGCCUGUGAAAUUCAGGGAAUUUUGUUUGUGUAUAAUUAAUCAUUUCUUUUUUUGGGAUUAAUUUAUAAUUAAUUUUGCAGAUAGCAAGUAUCUAGAACGAGCAGGACCCAGCAACACCGGGUAAUAUAUAUAUAGCGAGACUUUGCAAUUGGUAAAUAUUAAGAGUGGCAGCCAUUAAAGUUGAUUAAUAUGCUAGUAUAAUAUUAGUAUUGACAUUAGGCAGAGACGGAGACUUUAGUGAAUAUUAUUGCUAUAUGAGUGUGGCGUACGCCUACGUAGUUAAUUACAAUUUCCAAAUCUCUGCGGGUUACUGAAAAUUUAAGUGCCUUGCAUAUUAUUGCUAUUAACCCAGUUUUUCAUGCUCGCUCGAAGCAUAUUGAAUUAGAUUAUUACUUCAUUCGAGAAAAGGUUGCUGAUGGUGCCUUGGUUACGAAGUUUGUCCCUUCUUCGUUACAAAUUGCAGAUGUUUUUACUAAGGCUUUGUCAAAAGCCAUGUUCCGCAAUUUCAGAUACAAGCUUGGCGUUCAUCAAAUGUCACUUGCCAGCUUGAGCGGGGAUGUUAAGCAAGCUGACCAAGAUUACCAAAAGGAAAGUCAUCAACGGUCAAGUCAACAACGGGUUUAUCACUCCACACAACUUGCUCACAUCAAAGCUAUUUGUCAAGGAAUAUCUCCAGCACGAUUUUUGCACUUGAAUGCCAAUAUCAUGUACGAAUAUUUCAUUCCUAUUUUAUAAAGAUAUUGUGCGAUAGUUUAGGAAGUAUUCACUUAUUUUCCUUUAAUAUUAUUAAGCUUUUUAACGGCUACUUUGUCUUUAUUUUGUAUGAAUAAUUCUGUAAAUUUCAUUAAAAAUAUAGAACAAGAAUUAUACUCUUCAUAGAAUUUCUUUCACUAAAUUAAUUAAAAAUAUAGAACAAGAAUUAUCCUCUUCAUAGAAUUUCUUUCACUAAAUUCAUCAGCCUCUUGAACCCUCUCCUGAGGGCGCCUUCUAUCCUCUGUUUUCUGUUACCAUACACUAAUAGACAAAAGCAUUUAGAAUGACAACUGGGACAUAUAUAAGAGUGAAAUAAUUGAAAAAUUAUGCUUUUUUGUUUGUCAUGUUAAAAUCGUAAAGUGCAUAAGUACUAUGAAAGAGAUUAAUUUACGGAAACUGAAGCCAAGGGUUAAAAAAAAAAGGUGCAAAGAGAAUAAAGGGCAACGCUUAUGUAAAGAGACAUAAUUGUAUUGGUAGCACAAUGUCACGUUCAUACAGGGAUCAAGCAUACUAUUUACAGGUGGUAAGUGCUAAGAAUUGAUGUAGCUAGAAUCCAAAGAUGAUAAGGUAUGUUGUGCACUAUUGUUUAUUCUACAAUCAAUCUUGACCCUUGAUGCUUGGCUCUCAAUCUUGUCCAUCGAUCUUCUCUGAUCUCGAAAACUUCAAGACCUUUCAAUCUUAUGCCUUAUUAUUGGUGUCUUCCAUGCUGUAGAUUUCAAAUACAAGCUUUCCCGCCAACUUGCCAAGUAUUUGUCCAUUGGUGCAUUUUAUCAAACAGUUUGGAUACUUAUACCAAACGCCUUCUGUUUUAACUCCCCCUCUCAAGCUCAAGCAUCUGGGAAGACAUUAAUAAGCUUGUUUCUCAAGUAUAUGUAUCUGAAAAUUAAAUUUUAUAAAUUGUAUUCGGACUCUACAUUUUCUAAGGAACAUUGGUUUGGCUUAUAAGCUUAUUAUACUCAGGCUUGGUAGGAUUAUCGGUCGGUAGAUGACCGAGUGUUAGAGCUUUCGAAUUUAUGCCAAUUAAAAAAAAAUCUACAUAAGUUUUCAACUAGGCUAUUACCACAAUAAACAUUUGGAUAAACUAUUAUUGAAACCUUAUUGAGAAGUGGGACAUGUCGCAUACCAAUGCACUGACAUAUCUUCAAAUAGUGGUAACUCCACACAACAUGGCGCAACAAAUUAAGAGUUACAUAGAUAAAUUGGGUUCCCAAGAUUUCUUGAUAGACGGUUAAUGACUAUUUUGAUGUCUGUUUUGCAGACUGAUCUGCGUUUCCAGAGCCAUGCAGUGCUGGCCCUGCAGGAGGCAGCCGUGGCUUAGGGCAUCUCUAAUGUAGCACUAAACCUAACACCAAAUCACAUUUUACACCAAAAAGCUUCUCCAAUGUAACACCAAAAUGGUGUAAUGAAUAGUAUUGCACCAAAUAUGGUGCAAUACUAUUCAUUUGCACCAUAUUUGGUGCUAGGAAAAAAAAUCUCAAAUAUCCUUAUUACUUUAUAUUAUUUACAUAUAUGUCCUAUUUUAUAUAAUAUUUUAAGUUAUUAUUAUUUUUUGUUAUUUUUUAAUUUUUGAAUAUUAUACUAAUAUUUUAAAUAAAAAAUAUUCAGAACAAAAAUUUAUAAUAAAAAUAAAAUGCCAAUAACAUUAAUUACUAGAUUACAUAUUACAAAAUAAAAAAUACAAAAUUAAAUUAACACAAAUUAAGAAAACUACUACUACUGGCAUAAAUUAGAACAAUUAUUUAGUAAUGUGGGAGAUCAUUAUUAGAUCCUCCAAUAUCAUUAAAAUAUUUUUCGAUAUUAAUGUAAUGUUUAAUUUUCAUAAUGCACUUAUUAUUGUUAUUGUAUUUUCUAUAUUAAUGUAAUGUUUAAUUUUUAUAAUGUACUAAUUUAGUUAAUUAAAUGUAAAUUUAAUAAUUUUCUAUAUUUUUUUUGUUAAUCGAUAUAAAAUUAUUUAUUACUUAAUUAUCUAUAUUAAUAGUAAUAUUUAUUGUGUUUGAAUUAAUUCUUGAGAAUUAAAAGAAUAAAAAGAAGAAUAUUCUUUUUGGUGUAAAUGGGUUGGAGAUGAAAUAUUAAUUUAAUGUGAAAAAGGUACAUUUUAGGUAUUGGUGUUAUACCAAAAUAGUGUUAUGCAUUGGAGAUGGCCUUACCUCCUUAAGGACACUAACCUCUGCGCCAUUCACGCAAAGCGUGUCACUAUUAUGCCCAAGGACAUACAGCUUGCCCGUAGGAUCCGUGGCGAGCGUGCUUAAGCGCAAUUGCCGCUUGCUUCAAUUGAAUGACUGGAAAGGGAAGGGGGAAGUUGUAAUGUGUUAAUUUGUAUGUGGGGUUGGUGGGGACGGCGUCGCUUUUUCUUAGUUUUUUUUUUUCUUUUUCCUCCCUUAAAAAUGGUGAAAUUACUUAUACUGGUUUUUCUAUUUUACAUUUUGAAUAUUAUUAAUUAAUAUAAUUCAGGGAAAUUAUCAUUCGUAUACCCUAUAUUUGUUCUGUUAUCAAAAAUACUAUAACACUUUGAGGGUGUAUCAAUCGUCUACCCUUAGUUGACAAAAUGUAUCAUCCGACCACCAAACCGUUAGUUGCCGUUUGAAAGUUAACGGAAUUAUAGUGAAUUAAUGAUUUUACCCUUGAAAAUUAUCACUUGUAUACCCUUAAAUUCUUUUUUUAUCACUCGUAUACCCUUAAAUUAUUACUUGUAUCAUAUGAAAAGACCAAAUUACUCUUCUGACGUCAUCAUACUUAAACAGCAACUAAUGGUUUGGUGGUCAGCUGAUAUAUUUUGUCAACUUAGGGUGGACGAUUGAUACACCCUCAAAGUGUUGAAGUAUUUUUGAUAAUGGAGUAAACUAAGGGUAUAUAAAUGAUAAUUUUCCUAUAAUUUAAGAUAACAAUUAGGGAUAAAACAAUAAUUUUUUAUUCAAGAUCAUUUCAUCAAUAUUCUGUUAAAUAUUCUCACAAUUUAACUUUAUCCUUAACAAAAAUUUAACUUUUUUUUUAAAACUAACGGAACCAAAUCCUAUAUAUAAAUGUAUAGUAUGCAUUAAUAAAUAAAUAAAACUUUGACGACCGGAGGGAAUGAAUAAAUAAAUAGAUAAAACUUUCGAAGCUCGUGAAUGUGCUAUUUUUGUGUUUUUUAGUAAUUGUUUAAUUGAAAAAAGAAAGCUUCGGGGAUUUAUUUUUGACGGGACGGCUGAGAUUUGUCGACCUUCCAGAGAAUGAGAACAGAUUUUCAAUUUGUUGAUAAGUAUUCCUACAGUCCAGCCCAAAAGUACCGGCUCAAUGAGUUCGGUCAUGUUUGGUAACAGGUAUCCAUCACUUUCAAAAUCCGGUCCUACCAACGUAUCGGCUUUCACUGGCUGUCGUAUCAUCCGUGAAUUCAUGGGAGAGUGAGACUACUCCAAUCUCCACGCGAGAAAUUUUAGAAUAUUUUUGUUAUAUUAUAAUUAAUUAAUACAUAUAUGACAUGUGUAAUUGAGUUUAAUAUAACCACCAUUUGUAUAAUAGUUUAUAAAAUAAAUGCACACAUAUCAUGAUAUUAUUUACUUAUUGUAUGGAUAAUGAAUGCACACAUUGCAUCACUCUUUGAUAAACAAAUUCAUAAUAUAUAUUAAUCUUUGUGGAAGUUAUGUCCAAAAAAUAAAUAUUGUAAAAAAAUUUUAAUUACUAAUUUUUUGGACAUUAAUAAAAAAAAUUAAUAUAUUAACUCCUCAUGGAGUAUUCAAAACAAUUAAUAUAAAUUUUUUUGUUUCUAUUUUACUUUUUUCGGUUUAAAUUGAUAAUUUAAUUUUUCUUUUUAUUAAUGUCCAAUAAAAAAGAAAUAUUAUUGUAGGAGUGUAAUAUUGUAAAAACAAGUCAAAAAGAACAAAAAGUAACAAUAAGGGUGUCAAUACUUAACGACAAUGAUGUUUUGAGAUAUUUUUAAAAAUAUAAGAAUUAAAUAGGUAUUAAUCUCAAAAUAUAGGGAUUAAACGAGAUUUUACCCUUAUUAAUUAUAGUCAUCUUUUUAUAAAUUACAAUUGGAGGAAGUUGGCUAAUGUUGUUGACACGCACGCACGCACACAUAAAGAUUUAUUGGAAGUGCUUAUGCCGGCUCGAAGUUGUUGGGAAUUAAUGCAUGUAUUGAUUUAUUGGGAGUGUUUAAAUGAUUUUGUGAUUUACUUGAUUGAUUGAAUAUUGUUUGAUUGCUUCAUAUCCAUUCUACAAAGUUUAUUUCUUUGUGAAAUUUCAACGACAUAUUUUUUUUUAAAAAAAAUAUUAAGGGUGUUCUAAAUAAUUUUCAAAAAUAUAUGGACUAAUUAGAAUUAAUUACUAGGUAAUUAACUUGAUCUGUACAGGGUGAAACAAUAUUUAUCCUAAUUGUAUCAUGACAAAUACUUUUCCGAUUAGAAUUAGGAAACCAUAAGUUUAUUGAAUUAUUUUUUUUUAUUUUCCUUUGGAGAAACGGAUUAGAGAAUUAGAAAACAAUCCUAAUGAUAUAAUUAUCAGGUUUAAAACAGUGCAUAAACAGUGAAAAGCUAAUUAGUCUGUAGAGUAAUUUGCUAAUUGUUAUCUCCUCUCUAUGCGCGCUGAAUAAUUUGUUGCAUGCAAACUUUUUAUUUUAUGCAAAUCGUACUUACUGUAACAUUGGAAUUGAUGUAUAAGCAAAAUUACAAUAAUAUUUAUGUCAAUAAAAAUAGUUUUUUUUUUCCUUUUUAAAUAAAGGAGAGCAACGGGAUGUUGCUCUGCUCUACAUUUUUGCUAUCAUUUUAUUCUUUUUUUUUUUUUUUUUUGGCUUCUUAAAGCCUCAAACUUUGAUAACCAAAACUUCACCGACCUCUGAAAAAAUCGGCAGAUUAGUUUUUAUUAUCGGAAUAAUUGUUUGAGAAUACUAAAACAAAAUAUAAAAUAAGAAAAUAUGGGGUUAAAUUUGGGGAAAACAAAAAAAUCCAAUUGGGAAUUUUUUUUCUUUAAUUUUUGUUUUACUUGAUUGAGAUUUCUCCUUAGUUCUUACAGUUUUAAGUUUGGAUGCCGUAGGGUUAGUAAUUUAGUACUUCCUUUGCAAGCUGAGUGCGAGAACGAAAAUCUUUAAAGAAAUUAAAAAAGAUUAAAAAAAAGCAUACCAAUAGGUAAUUAUAAAUAACCAUAAAUAAACAUAAACAAAAUGUUUAUGAAGUAAAUUACACAUGCACAUAUUAUUUUCUUGUUUUAUUUCUUACUUGUCUAUUUUAUUUGCUGCUUGAUAACCCUUAAAUACUAAUCUAGUACUGCUAAUUUCAGACACAAAAUUUUUAACUCUAGGCUGCAGUUUUACUCAAAAUGAUGACCGCUGGCUUCGCACCAUUUAACCGGCAUACAUUUCUACAAAUUGAACAAGGCUAUUGAUUUUCAUUAUUAUUUUUUUAUUUAUUUAUAAAUUACUAUUUUAAUUUUCACUUUUUAUUGGGUUGUUUAACGGAUUAGUGAAGUUGGUGGUCGUGAUGCACUCACAAGGUACAAUUUUAUUUUAUAAUUUCAAAUUUGUAUUUUAAAAUGCAGGUACAUUAUGUAUACAUAAUUAUUGAUUUUCGUAUGUGGGUGUUUUGUAAUAUUGCUAAAAGACCAAACUUUAAUAAACUAUUUUUCAUCUUUUUUUUCCUUUUUUCCUAAAGUUUGAGUGAUAUCCGCAUUUUAAAUUCAUGUGGAACAAAAGCUAAUGUAUGCACAAAAUUCUUUUAUUUUUUCGGAGAAAAAUGGGUAAGAGAAGAAGAUUUUUCUCUUGCAAAAGAAAAACUAAUACGAUGCAAGCAUAGGAAAGAGGUCAGUGUUUUGGAUUAGAAUUUAGUAUUGAACUGAAUUUUAUACUAAAUAGUACUGCGAUUAAUAAACUCAUGAUUUGCUUUUGUUUUUACUUCAAGUGAAAGAAAGAGGAAACCUUUUGUUUUUUGUUUGAUUCUUGACUAUAGAUGUUACCUAUAUACAGAGUUGAGGUAGCUACCUUAAGUGAUGGUGAUAAAAAGAUUAAGCAGCGCACACAAUCUUAUUGUCGUCCAGACCAUCGAGCUGUGAUGACUCUAGCUUUUUGGUUACAUUAGCUUUAGUGGAAAGGAGGGCCAAUUUAAUAAAGACUAGAUUUGGUGGCUUACUAUAAUGCUUAUUCUCAGGGAAUCUAAUGUUAUAAGAUGAUUUAAUGAUCUUCUAUGAUUGUGAGUAGUAUAGUAUAAUUGAAAAGAGCCUGGGCUCCUAUGAUGAAUAUAUAAUAGUAACACAGUACUGUGAUUGAAAAAAACACAGUUACAAUAAACUCUUCAUUUAUUCAUUGCGGAGAUUGAAUGGCAAACAGAGAAUAAAAUGAAGUAGAGGGAUCUCAUUGCCAGUAAAAUUGACCCUCUUUAAUGUUAUAUGGCACAGGUGUGUGUACAGCAAGAGCAAGUUACUUGCAGUUUUUAUUGUAAAAUAUACAGGUUAUGACCAUGAUCAUUGUAGUUAGGUUUUGAUGAUUUUAGAUGCUUUUUUUUAUUUUUUUUAAAUUGUGACACCUUUGAUUUAUGGUAGUUUUGCAGAAGAAAAAAAUAUAUAUAAAAAUUAGGAGGGAUGAGUUAACUAACAAUUGCAAUCAUUGCAGUAAUGUUGAUGAGUGAUACAUCAUUUUAAAUUUACUUGUCAGUUGCUGAAAUGAUGAAAAAAAAACAAUAAACAAUAGCAGUAAUAUUUUUAUGGAAAUUCUUGGUUUUUAUGGAAAUACUCUUGCUGAAAUUCUAAGUUUGACUUUCAACUCUUGGUUUUUAUGGAAAGUAAAAUGACUUGUUUGUUAUAUUCAUACAACCCACUCUACAUAAUGAUUUCAUUUUAAUAAAUGGUUGAUGAUCUCCACAGAAAAACUACUUCAAUUCUUUUUUUUUUAUUUAACUUUUUGGUUGUUGAAAAUAGCCUUAAUUUUCAAAUCAUUGGAGAAAGAGUAAAGAACAUUUAACAAAUUUAUGUGCCAAAAAUAAAGGAGAAAUUGAAGAGAAAGGGUGCUUGCAGAAGUGGGUGCAAAGAUAAAUCAGUCCAUAAGAAUUAUUGUGGUUAUUAAUUUUUUGGCAAUAUAAAAAUUUUUCAGCAAAUAAAAAUAGAUUUUUUCUGAUUUACUAAAAAAUUAAUUAAAAACUUCGGCGAUAGCAUUUUUUAUGGGUGCAUGUACCCUCCCUUUAAAAAAAAUAUAAUAAUUAAUACUUAAUAUAGUAUUAAAUACGAAAAUAUCAAUAUUUGACUACACAAAUUUAUAUCAUUAGGUCCUUAAAAUUUAAAAUUGAAGACACAAAAUGAAAUUUAUAUAAAUUUCAUUCUCAUAGGAAAGGAUCCUCUUAUAAUCUUAAAAUAUUUGAGCUUUGAAAGAUUUUUUAAAACAAAUGUACUUUUAUUUUUGUACAAUCAAUAUUUACUUAUAUAUUAUAUUUUUAUUUAUUACACUACUAGAAAAAUGGUCUUUUGUGACACUUGUCUUCUGACACUUUAUUAUAAAGUAUCAGUAAUUAGAUGUAUUUGGGGCAUUUUCCGUGUUUAACAUAUAAGUAUCACAAAUUGCUAAUACUAUGGUGUCAGUAAAUUUAAUAUCACAGAUUCGUGACACUAAAGUAUUAGUAGUUAAAAAAAUAAAAUUUUAAUUUUGUAUCUAGUAAUAAUCGAACCGAAGCCCCCUAAGCCAUAACCUUUUGAUUUUAACCGCUACACCACUCGGCCACAAAUUGCAUUUUUGAACUUAUAAAUUAAUAAAUAAAUAAAUAUUAAAACUUAAAACCUAAAACCUAAAAAAUUUUCAUGUAUGGUAUGUGUGAAACGUAAAACCUAAAAAUUUUUGUUAAGUCAAAAAUCUAUCUUAUGGCCGCCGAAGCUUUCUUCCUUCUCUCUCCUUCCCUCUCUCUCGCUCUCUUUCUCUCUCGAACAAUGAUCUACCUUGAAAGCCACCUCCGUCAACACCUUGAAAGCCGCCGUCCUUAAGCUAAAAUAUCCCUGAAAAGAACCCAGAAAGUGCUAUGAAGAAUUUGGGCAAAGCUAAGGUUAAUUUGAAAGUCCGAAUCAGUGUUGUGGUAACUCUUUGCCUCAUUCUCUAUUCUCAUUGUUUAAGUAUUUAUCUGUUAAUUGAUUGAUGUUUAUUGAGUGCAAAUGAGAGCUUGCACUUGUUUGGAAAUCUAGCCAUCUAGGGUUUUUGUUGCUUAUAAUCUAAUUUAUUGUUUAAUAAAAUAAAUAAAACUCAGCUUUAUUAUAGGUGGAAUUCAGUUUAUUAAGUGAAAGAAUGAUUACAAUUGGUGAUUAUGGAUUUAGGUUGAAUGCAAUUUGUUAAUUAAAAGAAUAAUGGCAAUCAACAGUCAUGGAUUUAGUAUGUAUUAUAUAUUUCGUUUAAUGGUGUGUAUGAAAACCCAAAACCUAAAAUUUUCUUAAGUAAAAAUCUCAGUUCUCCCUCACAACCUAUAAGCCCAUCACUCUCUCUCUCUCUCUCCCCCCUCUUUCUAGCUAACAACCCAAAACGUAUUGUGAAACCGCCAUUUCAAUCUUUCAAAGCUCAUUAGUUAGCUGGUCAUUGUGAAAAGUAAGGUUAUUGUUUGCUUUUAUGUCUAAUUUUACUUUAAACAUGGGGAUUGAUGAUAUUCGAGUUGCUGAACACUUGAUUUUGAGGUGAAAGAUUAAUUAAUAGUUUACGAAAUUAUGCUGAAAAUUUGAGGAUUGAUAGACUGUUGUUGUGAACUUGGUUGUUUCCGAACUUGACUAAAUGACUUUCAAUUGAUUUGAAAGUUUGAUUAAACUAAGUUUAAAUGAGAACAUUUUAAUUCUGGAAAUUUUGGAAUGAAUUGGGUUUAUAUUUGAUUUUGAAUGGAUUUCUCAAUAUGGUUGGUUGUUGUCCAAUUUUAUUAGAAAUUACAUAUGUACCAUGUUUGAUAUUGCAAACGUAUAGUCUAACAUAGUUAGAAUAAGUUGAAAUUCGGAUAGACUACAAUUCUAUUUGCAUACUUCGAAUCUGGAAAAUUUUAUUUUGAUUGAACCUGUAAUUUAUUUUUAAUGAUUUUUCAAACUCUGCUGCCUCUGCAGUAACUUCUUUUGACAUAAAUGUUCAUUAAUAUUUGAUCCUAUCAAACACCAGCCUAAUGAUAUCGGAAUAGCCUCAAAUUUUAAUAUGUUGUUGACUUAUAUGUCCACUUAAACUCUGGAAAGUAUCAUUCUAAUAUAUUUAGUAUUUUAAAUUUAAUAAAUAUUCAAACACCUGCUGCUACUUUUACAGUUUCAUAUGCAAUUUUAACUUAUAUAGUUUUAUCAUGUGAGAAGCAAAUGUAUGGUUGUCCAAAUGACUUGGAAAUUUUUUUUGUGGUGCAUUGAAAUGUCUAAUUAUGUUUUGUAAGUUUCAUAGCAUUCCAAAUUGAAUUAAAGAAAAUCUUAAAUUCAAGUUGUCAAUUUUUCCUAUUAAAUCUGAUUAGUGAUAAAUCUACUAACUUGCAGUACUUUUCAGGAAAAAAAAUGUGUCAACGCUGUGAAUUGCAAUGGGAGAAGAAAGUACUAAAGGCAUAAAUCUUUUUUCAUUAUAUUUGGGACUAUUCUUAAAGGUUAGUCUUUUCCUUUUUCCUUUUUUUCUUUUUUAUUUAAGGUAAUCAUAUUCAUUUUAAUUUUAAUUACAAUCAAUUUUGCGUUGUUAGACAACUUGCACCAACCAAUCCAACAACAAAUGAAGAUAACAUUUUUGAAAUGCAUUCAAUUUUUUAAAAUAGCAAAAAGAAAAGGAAAAAUGAUACUAGUUUAGGCUUUAGGAAAUUUGCAUCAUCAUUCUUGCACUGCAGCUGCCUCUAUCUCGGUGCUCUCGGAGAAGUAAUCUUGCUUGAUUUUGCGUGAUAGUUGAUACAAGCCCGUCCUAGCCAUUGCAAAAUUGACACUAAAAAGGUUCCAGUUUUUCAUAUUGUAGUUUGAAAAGUCUGCAAUGUUUGCUAUGCUGAUGCCCCAUUUGAAUGUUGGAGCCCAAAAAUGAAUGGUUUUAGGACUAGCCGGGUGGUUCCAGAAAGCUAGGAGCUUGUUAGCUAUUCUUUUUAAUUGAACUAAUUUAACUUAAAUAUUAGCCCGAUUAUUGAUUUCUAUGGUUUGCCAUUGAUUUGAGUUUGACAUUCUUGUUUUGUGUUGGUUUGAGUUUGACAUCCUAGUUUAAGACUUUGAAGGCUUCCAAGAAAUGAUUUUGGAUUAUGAGCAAAUGAGUAAUAGUUUGAAAAUUAAUUUACUCUAUCAAAUAUAUACUUAGUGUAGCAUAUUAAUUUUAAGAACUAUGGAUCAUUCCUUGAAUAUUCUAGUAAAUGUUUAUGUUAUAUAUGCAUGUCUUAAUAUAUAAUAAUUAUAUUUUGAAGUUUGUUUUUUUUUCCCCCUUUCUAGGUUUAGGAAAAAUGUUUAAAGUGAUUUUGGGUUAUGAUGUCAAUCAAGUUAAAGCAACAUUACUUGUGAGUGGAAAUAUAUAAUGAUUAUAUUUUUAUUCUACUUUUUUUUCUUCUUAAAGUUUUAUAAUUAGGCAAAAUUAAUGAAUACUUAAUUACAAUUUAGGGUGAUAUUCUUUAAAUGGUUCACAUGAAUAGAUUUAAGUAGUAUAAUAAAUCUCAUACUCACUUUAUAAAGGCUUAACUAAGUUUGCAAAUAUUAUUUCUUUUAGUAGUAAUAAUUUUGGAUUGAACUCUCAAAUUAUUGAAAUAUUUUAUGUCCAAACUUUAUUAUGCCUAAUAUAAAUAUGGAGAUUCAUAGUUAUUUUAUGCCCAGUUUAAGGAAACUGCAGUUUGAGGAAUUAUUUUUUGCCUUGUUAAAUAAGCUUUUAAAAUGAAUAAAUUGAGGAAAUGAGUGGUGAUUUAUUUAUAAUAGAGCAUUUGUGAUAGCUUUUAACUAUGCACAAAAAUCAUUUUGUAUAUGUAGAUAGAGUAACAUGCUUGUGCUGAAAGUAGAUAUUACAUUGAAAACUUCUUGUCUACUAUAGUUUGCUAUAUAUAUAACCUUUACCAAAAGAGAAUAAUUGAGUUUAUUUAUAAAUAGCUUAUGAGGAUUUUUUUUUCUUUCGAACAAAAUAAUUUUAUUUAUGUUAAUUGUUGUUUCUCUAAUGGCUGGAUAUUGGCAGCUAAUUUUUUUUUCUUUUCCAUGUAUUCAUAUGCAGAUUUGAUCAAUGUGUUUGAAGUGUUUAUUCUUCAACUUCACUUAUAUCCUAACCCAUACAGUCUAUUGAAUGGAGAAGCUGCUGAUGUGAUAACGCAAUUAUACUACUCAUAUUCAAAGAGUGAAAGACAGUCAUCCUUCUCAAUUUAGCUUCUCGAUUUAUUAAAUUUAGCCACAAGUAGUAGGCAUUUGAUUGGAUGGUAGAAAUUUUUAUGUAUUGAAUUUGGAUUAUUGAGUUAUGAGAGUAGGAUAUCUCAUAUUUUUGUUAUUGAAGUUUUGAAAUUUGUAAUAUAUACUAAUAAUAUUUAAAUGUGAAAUGAAAGAUUUUGUGAUAUAAAUCAAUUUCUUUUUGUUAUUUUGUGGUGCCUUUUAAUUUUACCAAUAAAUCAAUAGGCAAUGAUCCAAUUCAUUUUUUAAAAAAAUAAAUUAACUAGUGAUACUAUGGUAACAGUAAUCAUAGACACUAAUAAAAUAUCAAUAACUACUAACAUUAUGGUGUCAUAAUAUCGGUGAUACUGUAGUAAUAGUAAUCACUGACACCACUUACAAGUGUCACUAUUUUUCUGAAUCCCAGAUUACUGGCACAAUUAACAAGUGUCAGUGACAGUAAUUUCUGACACUAUUCUAAAGUCAGUAAAGACCAUUUUUCUAGUAAUGUUAACUAUCAAUCAUGUGAGUAUAUUUACUCAGAAAUAUCAUAUCAAUAGAGAAUCUUGAUCCCACGCACACGCAAAUAUGUUAAUUUCUAUACGCUUCACUUAACCUAUAGAAUCAAUUAUCUAAAAUGCAAGUUUGUGGCCACAAAAAAAGCCAAAGAAAGAAGAUAACAACAAUUGACUUGUCUAUUAUACUCAUACUAUCCUCUCGACAUAAUGAUAUCAUUUUAAUAAGGCAAUGGCUGAUGAUCUCCGUUGAAAAACUAAUUCAAUUUUUUUGCUUCAUUUAACUUUUUGGUUGUUGAAAAUAAGCUUAAUUAUCAAAUAAUUGGAGAAAGAGUAAAGAACAUUUAACAAAUUUAUGUGCCAAAAAAAAAAAAAAAAGAAGUUGAAGAGAAAGGGUGCUUGCAGAAGUGGGUGUCAAAGAUAAAUCGGUCCAUAAGAAUUAUUGCGGUUAUUUUUUGGCAAUGUAAAAUUUUUAUAGCAAGUAAAAAUUAUUUUUUUUCCGAUUUACUAAAAAAUUAACUAAAAACUUCUGUGUCAGCAUUUUUUAUGGGUGCAUAUACCCUCCCUUUAAAAUAAAUAAUAAUUAAUGCUUAAUAUAAUAUUAAAUACGAAAAUAUCAAUAUUUGACUACUCAAAUUUAUAUCAUUAGGUCCUUAAAAUUUAAAAUUGAAGAUACGAAAGGAAACAUAUAUAAAUUUCAUUCUCAUGGAAAUGAUUCUCUUAUAAUCUUAUAAUAUUUGAGUUUUGAAAUUUUUUUUGAAACAAAUGUAAUUUUAUUUGUGUACAAUCAAUAUUUACUUAUUUAUUAUAUUUUAAUUUAUUAACUAUCAAUCAUGUAAGUAUAUUUAGUCAGAAAAAUUAUAUCAAGAGAGAAUCCUAAUUUCACGCAAACACAAAUACAAGACAAAUAUGUCAAUUUCUAUACUAUUCACUUUCCUGUAGAAUCAAUUAUCUAAAGUGCAAGUUUGUGGCUACAGAAAACUCGCCAAAGAAAGAAGAUAAUAACAAUUGAGCAUUGAUAGCAAAACUAAUGCAUCAUUUUCUUCUUGACUUGAUAAGAUGGCGCCAUUACAAAAAAACAAGUACCUUAAUUGAUACUACUGGCCAGUUCAUCUCUUCCAGUCUUGCUUAGUUACAAUCACAAACACCACGAGAACGACAUUUGCAUUAUAUAUAUCUUCAGCAGUCGAAACACCUUGCAUUACCAAAUAAACCAGUAACAAACAAAGCAAUCUUUCCUGGAGACGAACCUUAGUCUCAGUAUGAUCACUGUGUCAUUAACCCACUGCCUGCUUCUUUGCUUGGUUGUUGCAGCAGCAGCAGCAGCAAGCAGCAAUAUUACCACAGACCAACAAGCUCUUCUUGCCCUGAAAGAUCAUAUAACUUAUGAUCCGACCAACCUUUUAGCCCAUAAUUGGACCUCGAAUACCCCUGUUUGUACCUGGAUUGGCAUCACUUGUGAUGUCAAUAGCCGUAGAGUCACAGCCUUAGAUAUUUCUCAAUUCAAUCUACAAGGCACCAUCCCUCCUCAACUCGGAAACCUCUCUUCGCUCGCAACGCUUAAUCUUAGUCAUAACAAGCUUUCUGGAGACGUUCCAUCCUCCAUCUACACCAUGCAUUCGCUAAAAUUUCUUGACUUCACUGAUAACCAGCUCUCUGGUUCAGUGUCUUCCUUCGUCUUCAACAUGUCUUCAAUAUUAGACAUUCGUUUGACCAAUAACAGACUUUCUGGUCAGCUUCCGAAAAAUAUUUGCAACUAUCUUCCUCAUUUGAAAGCCCUUUUUUUGGACAAAAACAUGUUUCAUAGCAAAAUUCCUUCUGCUUUAUCAAAGUGCAAACAACUGCAACAAUUAAAUUUGCAGUUCAAUAAUUUAUCCGGUGCAAUACCAAAAGAAAUCGGCAACUUGACUAUGCUCAAAGGGAUAUAUCUCCUCUACAACAAACUCCACGGUAUGUUCACAAUCCUAUAUAAAUAUUUUAAUUUAUCACUUAUUAUCUUUCUUGAAUAAUAUAGAUAAGAUUUUGUAAGAGAGAUUUUUUGCAUCUAUAUUAAUUUUCCAGGUGAGAUACCGCACGAAAUCGCUAAUCUUCCAAAUCUAGAGGCUUUAGUACUUGGAAUCAACAACCUAGUUGGUGUGUUACCAGCUCCCAUCUUCAACAUGUCAACACUGAAGGUACUUAUCCUCAUAAAUAACUCUCUCUCCGGAAGUCUUCCAUCAAGAAUAGACCUUUCACUUCCAACUAUUGAGCAUCUUAACUUGGGACUUAAUAGAUUUUCUGGAACCAUUCCUAGUUCCAUCACCAAUGCUUCUAAGCUCACCUUGCUAGAAUUGGGAGGAAACACAUUUUUGGGAUUUAUUCCAAACACAAUUGGUAAUUUAAGAAACCUUGAGUGGCUCGGCUUGGCUUUUAACUACUUGACAUCUUCAACCUCAAAAUUGAGCUUUCUUUCCUCUUUGGCAAAUUGCAAGAAAUUAAGAGUCAUAAACUUAGCAGGCAAUCCACUUGACGGCUUCCUUCCAAGUUCAAUAGGAAAUCUUUCUAAGUCCUUGGAAACACUUGUCAUCACCAAUUGCAGUAUUAGUGGCAACAUUCCUCCAGCAAUUGGCAAUUUAAGCAACUUGUUGGGCUUAGUAUUAGAAGGCAAUAAAUUGACUUGACCAAUUCCAAUUACAUUCGGCCGACUGCAGAAACUCCAAAACUUAGAUCUCGCAUUCAAUAAGUUGGUAGGUUCAUUCCCAGAUGAGCUUUGCCAUCUAGCAAGGCUGGGUCAAUUGGUCUUAUUUGGCAAUAAGCUUUCAGGAUCUAUACCUUCAUGCCUAAGUAAUCUCACUUCUCUAAGAUCUCUCUAUUUAGGGUCCAAUAGGUUUACUUCUGUUAUUCCCUCAACUUUCUGGAGCUUAAAAGACAUCUUGUUCGUUGACUUUUCAUCAAAUUUCUUGGUUGGUCCUCUUUCUUUAGAUAUAGGAAAUUUGAAGGUGCUUGUAAGAAUAGAUUUAUCAAAAAAUAACUUAUCCGGUGAUAUCCCAGCCACAAUUGGAGGUCUAAAAGGUCUUCAAAUUAUGGACAUAGCAUAUAAUAGAUUGGAAGGCCCAAUUCCUGAAUCAUUUGGUGACUUGAUAAGUUUAGAAGUUUUGAAUUUGUCAAAUAAUAAAAUCUCUGGGUCUAUUCCAACAUCCAUGGAGAAACUGUUUUUCCUCCAAGUGUUAAAUCUCUCUUUCAAUAAACUAGAAGGUGAGAUUCCUAGUGGAGGAAUUUUUGCCAACUUCACAGCUGAGUCAUUUAUGGGAAAUGAGUUAUUGUGUGGUUUACCAAAUCUUCAAGUCCAACCAUGCAAAGUUAGCAAGCCGAGGACAGAACAUAAAUCAAGGAAAAAGAUACUUCUCAUUGUGAUUGUUUUGCCAUUGAGUAUUGCUCUAACGAUAGCAAUCACUCUAGCUCUCAAAUCUAAGCUGAUCGAAUGUGGAAAAAGAAGCACAGUGUUGUCAAACGAUAGUGUCUUGUCAUCACAAGCAACACUAAGAAGAUUUUCAUACUUAGAACUUUUACAAGCAACAGAUAAUUUUGCUGAAAACAACAUAAUUGGCAUAGGAGGUUUUGGUUCUGUUUAUAGAGCAAGACUUGAAGAUGGGAUGAAGAUUGCAAUAAAAGUGUUUCACCAGCAAUGUGCAAGCGCAUUGAAAAGUUUUGAGGCUGAAUGUGAAGUGUUAAAAAAAAUUCGCCAUCGAAACCUUAUCAAAGUUAUCAGCAGUUGCUCGAACGAUGAUUUCAAAGCAUUAGUCCUAGAAUACAUGUCCAAUGGGAGCUUGGGGGAUUGGCUGCAUUCUAGCAAUUAUGUGCUGAAUAUAUUUCAAAGGUUGAACAUAAUGAUUGACGUUGCAUCAGCUUUAGAAUAUCUCCACUUCGAUCAUUCAACUCCUAUUAUUCAUUGUGACUUAAAGCCUAGUAAUGUAUUGUUGGACGAACAUAUGGUUGCUCAUUUGAGUGAUUUUGGCAUAGCAAAGCUUUUAAGUGGAGAAGAUGAGUCAACGAUGCGAACAAAAACCCUUGCCACUAUAGGUUAUAUGGCACCAGGUUUGCUUCAAACAACUUUUGUUGUUAGUUCAUUUUAAAUUUUCCAACUUAUUGAUUUUUACGAUCCUCACAUCAAAAUGUUAUUGAUUAUUUAUCUAAUUGUGAAAUUAAUUUGAUUCAUAGAGUACGGCAUAGAAGGAGAAGUAUCUACAAAAAGUGAUGUUUACAGCUAUGGGAUUAUGUUGAUGGAAACUUUUACCAAGAAAAAACCCACAGAUGAAAUUUUUGUCGGAGAAUUGAGCUUAAAGCGUUGGGUUAAUGACUUGCUUCCUACUUCAUUAGUGGAAGUUGUGGACAAAACUCUGCUAAGUGGAGAGGAAAAACAUUCUGCAGCAAAGGAGCAAUGUCUGUUGUCUAUCUUUAGCUUGGCUCUGGAGUGUACAAUGGAAUCACCGGAAAAGAGGAUUAAUGCAAAAGAUAUUGUUACCGGAUUACUCAAGAUAAGAGACGCAUUGGGUAAAAGGAUAGGAAAUUUAAGUUAAUUUCGUUUGCUUUCAUUGAUAGUUAAUCUGAAUUCAUGUAAUAAGUGUAGGAAUCUUAUAUCUUUUCCUUUGAUAUUUUUUUUUUCUUGAGAAAACUGUUGUAGUCAUCUUGUUUCCAUGGGCGGAGUUGACUUAGUUCUUCCAAGAAAUGCUACUGAUGAUCUUUGUUAUAUACUUUCUCUUUUUUUUGCAUGCGUUUAGGUAGAAUAGUGGUCUAGCUGCAGGCUAAUAUGUCAAGCUACGCCAAAAGCGUAUGAUUUAAUUUACUAAACAUAACUUCAAGUUCAAGAAGUGUUUUUCACUGCCACCAAUGCUUUGGACACCUGUUGGAAGGUUUGUUGUCCUCAGCUUUUGUUUAGAGCAAAAGUUCGAGUCCCAUAAAGGCUCACACAUUCCUUUCCUUCAUCGCGAGGUGAAGAAAUUAGAAUGACAACUGGGACAUAUAUAAGAGUGAAAUAAUUAAAAAAUUAUGCUUUUUUGUUUCACCGAAGUACUGUGAAAGAGAUUAAUUUACAGAAACUGAAGCCAAGGGUUCAAAAAAAAAGUGCAAAGAGAAUAAUUGUAUUAGUAGCACAAUGUCAUAGAGAGAUCAAUUAUAUUAUUUACGGCUGGUAAGGACUAAGAAUUGAUGUAGCUAGAAUGCGAAGAUGAUAAGGUAUGUUGUGCACUAUUGUUUUAUUCUAUAAUCAAUCUUGACCCUUGAUGCUUGGCUCUCAAUCUUGUCCAUUGAUCUUCUCUGAUUUUGGAGACUUGAAGACCUUUCAGUAUCAUGCCUUGUUGUUGGUGUCUUCCAUGCUGUAGAACCGCCGACUUGCCAAGUAUUUGUUCAUUGACGCAUUUUAUCAAACAGUUGGCCUGCUCAUAGCAAAUAGCUCCUCUUUUAGAGCUUUCGAAUUCAUGCCAAUUAAUUUUCAACUAGGCUAUUACCACAAUAAACAUUUAGAAAUCUAAAUUUGUUCAUUAUAUAUUCUGAUCAUCACUUGAACAUCCAUGCAGACUCCUAUUAAUUAUAUCCUCUAAUGGAGAGAACUCAUUGCCUCAGUAUGAUCACUGUGUCAUCAACCCACUGCCCGCUUCUUUGCUUGGUUGUUGCAGCAAGCAACAAUAUUACCACAGAUCAACAAUAGUUUGUCCAUUUUUUUCAGUAAGGUCGUCAUUAAAAAUUAAUUUUCAUAUUGAUUUUCUUAAUUAUAAAUAAUACUAAUGAUAUUUCAUAGUUAUAAAUAUAUUAGAAUUAAUCAAAAUCAUUUUUUAGUGCGGCAUGGCUAAAACUACCUUUUUUUUUUUUUUUAUAAGUAAUUACUACUUUAAGGAAAAUACUCGUAUUUUCAGGAAAAAGUCAAGUACCCGUAGUUGUGAAGACUCGAGCUCACCCUCUUAUGAUAAAUCUUCAUAUCAAUUACAUAAAUAUCCUCUAAAUGUUUAGUUAACUAUUCAAAAUUCGAUGUUAUAUGGGUAUUUCAUUUAUUUGAGUAGGGGUUAGGGGUCAAUUGGAUACAAAUUCAAAAUUAUCCUUACUUGAGAAGGUGAUAAACAUUGGGGAUUUAGUUUGGGUGUCAUUAGCUACAAAUAUUAAACUCAUACAUCUAAUUCAAAAUUGCAUCCAGGUUCAUUGCAGCUAAGGCUUGUGGAAUUUCAUCAGUAAGAUGUGAGUAGUCAUACCUACGUCGACAUUCAAUGGCUGUAUGUUUCUGUAAAUGACAAAUUUGGCAUAUGACAGUUUCUUCAUUGACUUCCUCAGCUUGUUGUUUGGAUUGAUUCUGAAUUUUGUGCCAAGGCUGUCCAGAAUUAUUUUGUCGAGGUUGCUGCCACUGUUGUCCCGAAUUUCCUUGCCAUGAUUGUUGCCCUUGUUGACUUGGAUUAUUGUUUGAUUUUUGCCAUGGCUGACUUGCAUUAUUAUUCCAACUUUUUCCACCAUUGUAGUUGAUUUUUUGACCACUUGAAUCAGCCAAAUUUUGUCCUCCUGCUGCUGUAAAACCACGACCUUUUGAGUUAAAGAAACCUCCAUUUCCACGACCUUUUCCCUUGCCUCAUUGGCUAAAAAAGGCUUGAGCCAGAUUGAUUGUAUUCUUCUUUUCUUCUUCAAAAUUAAUAAGAGUUUGUUCAUGAUUUUCGAGGGCCAUGACAAACUGCUUAAAUGAGGGAUAAGGUGGUUUCGAAAGUUGAGCAAGUUUGAAGUCUUGAUACCUGUAGCCAAGACCUCUUGCAAGACCAAAGACUUCAUCUAAGUCAUUCACUGGCUUAUUUAUUGCAGCCAAACAAUCACAGAUAUGCUUGUAUUUGCGCACAUACUCUUCAACUGAUAGAGAUCCCUUUUUAAACCGAGAGAAUUACUAUAUUUACACAAUUAACCUUGGCUAGAAUUAAUUGUGCAGAUUGGAUGAUAACUAGAGAAUAGAAAUGAAGAAAAGGAAGCACACAACACCGAGAAGAGUAAUAAUUAAUGCUGCCAUUGACGAAAUGUUUUAUAUUACUCUUCUUUCUUGGUAUUUAUUUAUUUACAAUUUUUAAUGUAAAUGUACAGUUGUUGGGCUAAUAUCUUAUUUACUUUUGAACGUAUUAGAUGCCUUUUUUUUUCUUGGUUCAUAAUAAUUUUGUAGAAAUUCCUCAAGUUUGCCUAAAUGAUAGCACAUAUUCAUAAUUGGAUUGAUUGAGUAAUAAUAAAAUAUAUUUAUUUGGCAAAUGGCAGUUAGGCUUUCUUUUGAUGCAGAUUAAUUAGAGAGAAUAUAUAACAAUUUUAAGCUCGUCAGAUUCGGAAGCUGCUUAUCUGUCGUGUGGGGAUCACUUCCGUGUCUUAUUUUUCUAGAAAAAUCUGGACCAUUGGAUUUCCCAUUAUUCAAUAGAUAAAUGUUUGAUCUUGAUUCUUGAUUAAGAUCGAAGUUUGAUUCUAACCAACAUGAUGUCAGAUUCAGAUUGCGAAGCAAGCAAAUUGAAAGUAACUUGUUCUAUUUUGAUAAACACAAGUUCUAAUAAAACAUUCUCAUAGUAAAGUGAAUUACCAUCCAACGAUCCAACUCAUGUUUUCAAAUUGUAAAUUGCAAAUCGUGCGUUUGCUCCAUUACAGCGUUUCUUCAAUCUGAAAUAGAGAAUCAUUUGUGUUUUGGAUUAAUCGUGGGUCUAUAUCCAAAUCUAAAAAUUGACUAAUUUAAUUUCUAUUAAAUUCUUAAUCCUAACAAGAAAAAUUGAAGAUUAAAAACGACUAAUUUGGUACCAUACCACUAUUGUAACAUAGGUAGAUCCUCUAUUAAUUGGAGUAAAGAUUGAAUUAUCUCAUUUAUUAAGGUUUAUCAAAAUCUUGUGUCAAAAUCUAUUAAUGAUAUAGGUUCAAGGAUGAAAGAGUCACUUCAUUACUUUUGAGUUCCCAAAUAGAUGAAUGGAUGUUAUUUUUGGAUUCCGGAGAGUCGAAAAUAUUAGGAUAGGUGCUAAAUCGAAUUAAGUUGUAGAUAAGAUAGAAAUGGAUUUGGAGAGAUUGGAAUCCUAGGUAAUCCGGUGCACGUUGUCGUGUUAAAUUCUCGUUGACUUCACGUUGACUGAAGCAUUAUUGGAAGAAACAAGUUUAUUGAUGUGAGGCCUUUGAGAUUGUAAGUGUUAAAUCUGAGAAGAAUACCCACACAACCAUUAUCCUAUUACUCUUAUAUCACGUGAAGAGAAUUCAACAUUUGAUUCACACGGAAAAAAUUUGUGAGGAUUGUGAGGGUUGAUGCAAUAUAAUUUAGAUACAAAGUGUUUACCAGUGCGAUGCUUCGCAAGUGUUCUUGAAUCAAUAUAAACUCACGUUAUUUUCAUAGUGAUUGUUUCAUCUGCACGUGGAUAUAAUCACAUGUCGAGAUUUUUUUUUCUUAAAUUAUGGUCUUAUUUAGUAUUGCGGUGUUAUAUCUUUUAAGGUACAAUUAUUGUUGGAAAAAAGUUGCAACUAUUAAAUAAAAUUAAUACUAUGUGCUAAAUAUAAUUGUUAAAUAAUAAUUUUGACAAAAUUAGUGAAGUUAUGUAGAUUUUUUUUCAUCAUACAAGUAUAAAAUCAAAUCAACUUAACUUCUAAGUUCUAUAUCAGCUACUGUUUAUCAUAUGUUUUAGUUCUGUAACUUUUAAGUUAUAGUUACCCAACCUCAAUUCUAAACCAGACCUAUAAAGAUCAAAGAUUUCCUCAUUAAAUUAUAUGUCUUGUGAUUGCUUAUUUAAUUUAUAUUUUUUUUAUUUAUCUUUAUUAAUUAUAAUCAUCUUUUUAUAAAUUAAAAUUGAAGGAAGUUGAUUGAUGUUGUUGACACACACACACACACACGCACGCACGCACGCACUCACAAAGAUCACCACAAGAAAAUAGAGUAUUGGCUACAAAUUCUAUUGCAACAAAACUUACUUUAUUGCUAAAAUUCAUAUCUUGCAACAAAAAUUAGUCUUUAUCGCUAUAGCUAAACAGAUUUUAUUCUUCUUAAUGAUGUGGAAUAGGCAAGAAAAUUAGAAUAUAUGGCAACAAAAUAUUUUCUUGCCCUAUGCUAUGUUUGGCAACAAAAGUGUUCUUGUUGCCUAACAAGCUUAAUGAAGGCAAAAUAUGUUUCGUUGCUCAAGUUUUUCCACAACAAACACUUGAAUCAGUUGCAACAAAUGAAAUAUUGUAAAAGGUUGUGAUUAGCGAGAAAAUUUGUUUUGUACUCUCAGAGUUUUUUGCAACAAGAUUAAUUUUGUUGCGCAAAGGUUAACAAAAAUAUUAAAUUAAUAAAUGAAAAUAUAAAGAUAAUAUAAAAGCAAACAUGACUUUGUGGGAGGCUUUUUAAUUUUUUAUUUCCGCGCCCUUUAUUUAAUAAACCGCGUGCUAACCGAAGUAAAGUUUCCAUCUCCAAUUUUUUCUUAAUUAAAAUAUUGCUUCUAGAAUAUUUCCACUUUACUCUUCGCUUGUUUCUUUUGCCCUGCCUUGGAGUCAUUCUCUCUGGCCAAGCUUUAAGCCAUUGAAGAGUUGUACUUGGAAGGCACCACUCAAGACAACGAUUUCUUCAAGUAAAUUUAGUUUUAUUUUAUAUAUUGGCCUGUUGAGUUUGAUUUUGUUUAGUGGGUUUUGCUUUAAUUAUUUAUUAAGUGGGUCUUUGUUUCAAUUUUUAAUUUGUUAAAUUAAAGUUAAUGGAUUUUUCAUGGUGAAGAACUUGAGUUUGUGGACAAUAGUCAAAUGAAUGUAGGAUCUAUGCCCAGUAAUAGGAUCUUUCAUGUUAUAAUUUCUUUGACAAAAUUAUAGUUAUAUUGAUUUAUUUUUAUGUUGAUUAUUAAUAAACUCUAAUGUAUAUUUUUAAUAAUUACUAGAUGGGUCCUGGACAUAGAGUUACCAAACGUGUAAGAGCAGAAAUUGUUGUCGCAUCUACAAUUCCCCAAUCUCAGCCUGUUAUGCCCAGCCAAGAGUUUGUGCAAGGUGUUGUUACAACUCUAGAAUUUGGUACUUAAAGAGUUUAAUUGGUAGGUUUUGUUUGAUCGACUAUUAGUAAGUACUUAUGAUUAUUAAUAUUCUUCAUCUGUCAUUUUUUUUAAUUAUAAACUGAGAUAUCUUUUUUUCCUAAAUUCAGUCAAAUUUUGAGAUUGAUUUGAACUUACCACAUGUUCGUCGAUGUGUGAAUAACAUUAUGGGUGGGAGAUAUCAUGAUAUGAGACAUUGGAUGUAUGAUCAUUACUUGGAUUAUCCAUCCUUUGAAGAGGCACUUAAGCAUUCAUAUCCAGGCAUAUGUCCAGAUGAUUGGGCUUGGCUUUGUCAUAACAUUUACAAUUCCGCAAGUUUCCAGGUCCAAUGAUAUUCAUAUUAUGAACUUUAAAUUGUCCAACUAGUUGUCAAUAUGCUUGUAUAUGUAUCUUAUUUUCCACUGUUAUAUUUUUUUAAUGUAGACUCAAUCUACCAAAAACAAAGCUAAUCGUGCUAAGCUUCCAUAUGUCCAUUGUGGGGGAUCAAGACCUUUUGUUAAUUAUCUUGAGGAUGACAUGGUUGAUGGUGAAAUAGAAUUAUUUCGCGUCACUCAUUUCAGCAAGACAAAAGGUUGGGUGAAUGAGGUGGCACACUUAAACCAUGUAAGAUGCUUUGUUGGAAACAAAAUUUUUAAUUUUAUUAUUUCUUAUCACCUACAUACUGUUGAUGAAAGUUUACUCAUUGAGUUUUUUUUCUUAAUUUUUCUUUCAUGCUCUAAUUAACUUUAUUAUUUGAAAUAUCAAAUAAUUAGAUUUAUAAGUAUAACAACAAGUUUUUUUUUUUUUCAAUUUAUGUCUUAAUACAAAUUAAUUCCAUGACCAAUGGAUUAAAUUUCAACUAUUUAAUUAAUAAAAUUCUUUUUUUUCUUCCUUCGUUUACUAACAAAGCUUUACGUAUAGGACCAAAUGGUAGAGAUACAACAACAACAACAAAUAGAUCCUCAAGAAGCAAAACCACUAACUCAAAGGGAAAUAUGCAUUGAAGUACUUGGAAAGAAAACAUGCUAUUUUCGAGGACUUGGCAACGGACCACGCCCAACUUCAAACCAUGGUGUUGAUACUUCUGAGGCUGAUAGAUUGCAUGGUAUUAUAUCUUCACAACAAAGUAGAUUGGAUUCACAAGAUGUUGAGCUUCAAGAACAAAAGAAGACUAUUGAUCAAUUGGAGUCCAGAUUGUCCCAAUUUGAGGGUAUGAUGCAGCAAUUUUUUUCUUCUCAAGGAUCCGCUUUUCGCUUUACAGAUUCAGCUACUCAAUGAUUACUCAUUUCAAUGAUGUCCUUAGAGUAUCUUGAACUUGUUAGUAUUUUGAAUUGGUCAUCACUUGAUCUUUUUGGUUACUGCUGGUGCAUGUCAUAUCUUUAAGGAUUUGGAGUUUGGAGCAGUUGUAAUUAGAGAUCGUUUAUAAUUUUUGCUCAUUACAUUUUUGGGAUAGAUGACAAUCCACUUUUGUAUUUGACUAUCAUAUGUGAUUCUUAAAGUCAGUUUUGUAUAUAUAUAUAUAUAGCUUGGAUACUGAAUGGGCCUUUAACUUUUAAAUUAGUUCAAUGACAUUAAUGAUUUUUUUGUUAGAUUUCUCAACAUAUAUUUGUAGUUUAUUAUUGUCAUGGUGGGGGAAAAAAUUGGUAUCUUUCCCAACGAACUUGGUUUGCUUCCUUUUAUACCAUGAUAUUAUUAAAAAAAAUUGUACUAUUUUUUAAUGACAAAAUUGAUUUGUUUCUAAAAAUAUUUAAAUAUUUAUUGCAAAUUUGUAAAAUUUUCAACAUAAAGAAACAAAGUAGUUUUGUUGCCUAAAAUGAUCUUAGCUAACAAACACCUUUGUUGGUACACGUUUUUUUUAUAAAAUGUACUUUAUUUCUUAGCAACAAAUUAGUUUUGUAGUAAAUAACUAUAUAGAAACAAAAUUAUUUUGUUGUGUAAAACUGUUUAGCGCAACAAAAAUGUUUGUUGCCAAAUUAUUCUCUAAACAAGUUGAAGACUCCUUCACAACGAAUCUGUUUUGUUGCGAAAGGAAGUUUGAGGCGAGAAAUGUUUUGAUAUGUUGUUAAACAUAGAGGGCGACAGUGCUAGGCCGACGACGGGCCGACAAGCUUGUUUUUGUAGCAAUAACCUAUGGCAACAAAAUUGGCACUUUAGGCAACAAAAUCUUUUUGUUGCAAAAAGCCAUUUCUGUUGUGGUGGAUAUAUUGGAAGUGCUUAAUUACGUCGACUCGAAGUUGUUGGGAAUUAAUGCAUGUAUUGAUUUAUUGGGAGUGUUUAAAUGAUUUUGUGAUUUACUUGAUUGAUUGAAUAUUGUUUGAUUGCUUCAUAUCCAUUCUACAAAGUUUAUUUCUUUGUGAAAUUUCAACGAAAUAUGUUUUUUUUUUUUUAAAUAAGGGUGUUCUAAAUAAUUUUAAAAAAUAUAUGGACUAAUUAGAAUUAAUUAUUAGGUAAUUAACUCAAUCUGUACAGGGUGAAACAACAUUUAUCCUAAUUAUAUCAUGAUAAAUACUUUUCUGAUUAGAAUUAGGAAAUCAUAGGUUUAUUGAAUUGUUUUUUUUUUCCUUUGCGGAAACGGAUUAGAGAAUUAGAAAACAAUCAUGUUGAUGUCAAAAUCUGAUCUAGUCGGUUAGCGACUUAACAUCAUAUUACUGCACCAGUAUUAAAUUUAUUUGGUAGAGAAUCGGCUGGUCAAUUGUCAAGAUGUCCUGCAAUCACUAGCGAUUAACCUACGAAUACAUGAAAUCAUAGAAGACGGUAAGAGCCACCAGAAGUUUUUUCGUCGUGAAUCUUCUGACGCUCAAGUCAGUUUAUAGGUUUACCAUAAUAAAAAUAAAUAAUUUCUAUUUAAAACAAAAAAUAGAGAUCAAAAGCUCAAAAAUAAAACCCAAUCCCAAUAUGAAAAUGAAUUUCUUUUUUUUUUUUAGCUUGGCCGAAUCCUUCUGCCUCCUAAAGAAACAUAAUAGAGGAGCAGGUAGCCAUGUUCCCUAGGUAACGCCCCACUCCCCUCUUUUAUUCCUCCCCCUCUCUUCCGUUUCCUUCUUUUGCUCACUAUCCUUUAUAAUUUUUUAUGCUUGUCUUCCCAAAAUAGCCUUUGAAUACACAAGUAAAUGUCUAGGCUUUGGUGAGGAUAGUUUGGUUAUUGCAUUUUACAAGUAAGAUGAGUGGUGGAGAAAAAUGAGGAGUGCAUAUAACUCUUCAGCAAAUCCCACCAACAAUUCAAUUUUCUUAAUUAAUUAAUCUCCUUUUUUAUCCCCAAACAAAUCCUAAUGAUACUAUUAUCAGGUUUAAAACAGUACAUAAAUAGUGAAAAGCUAACUAGUCUGUAGAGUAAUUGCUAAUUGCUUUCUCCUCUCUGAGCGCGCUGAAUAAUUUGUUGCAUGCAAACUUUUUAUUAUAUGCAAAUCGUACGUACUGUAACAUUGGAAUUGAUGUAUAAGCAAAAAUACAAGAAUAUUUAUGUCAAUAAAAAUAGUUUUUUUUUCCUUUUUAAAUAAACACAACGCGAUGUUGCUCUUCUCUACAUUUUUGCUAUCUCUUUAUUCUUUUUUUUUUUUUUUGGGCUUCUUAAAGCCUCAAACUUUGAUAACCAAAACUUCAUCGACCUAUGAAAAAAAUCUGCAGAUUAGUUUUUAUUAUCGGAAUAAUUGUUUGAGAAUACUAAAACAAAAUAUAAAAUAAGAAAAUAGGAGGUUAAAUUAGAGGGGGGGGAAAAAGGCAUGUUCUAUCGAUUACUAUAGUUUAAGGGAAAAAAAAAUCCAAUUGGGAAUUUUUUUCUUUAAUUUUUGUUUUACUUGAUUGAGAUUUCUCCUUAGUCCUUACAGUUUUAAGUUUGGAUGCCGUAGGGUUAGUAAUUUAGUACUUCCUUUGCAAGCUGAGUGCAAGAAUGAAAAUCUUUUAAGAAAUUAAAAAAGAUUAAAAAAAAGCAUACCAAUAGGUAAUUAUAAAUAACCAUAAAUAAACAUAAACAAAAUGUUUAUGAAGUAAAUUACACAUGCACAUAUUUUUUUUUUGUUUUAUUUCUUACUUGUCUAUUUUAUUUGCUGCUUGAUAACCCGUAAAUACUAAUCUAUUACUGCUAAUUCCAGACACAAAAUUUUUAACUCUAGGCUGCAGUUUUACUCAAAAUGAUGACCACUGGCUUCGCACCAUUUAACCGGCAUACAUUUCUACAAAUUGAACAAGGCUAUUGAUUUUCAUUAUUAUUUUUUAUUUAUUUAUAAAUUACUAUUUUAAUUUUCACUUUUUAUUGGGUUGUUUAACGGAUUAGUGAAGUUGGUGGUCGUGAUGCACUCACAAGGUACAAUUUUAUUUUAUAAUUUCAAAUUUGUAUUUUAAAAUACAGGUACAUUAUGUAUACAUAAUUAUUGAUUUUCGUAUGUGGGUGUUUUGAAAUAUUGCUAAAAGACCAAACUUUAAUAAACUAUUUUUCAUCUUUUUUUUUCCUUUUUUCCUAGAGUUUGAGUGAUAUCCGCAUUUUAAAUUCAUGAGGAACAAAAGCUAAUGUAUGCACAAAAUUCUUUUAUUUUUUCCUAGAAAAAUGGGUAAGAGAAGAAGAUUUUUCUCUUGAAAAAGAAAAACUAAUACGAUGCAAGCAUAGGAAAGAGGUCAGUGUUUUUGGAUUAGAAUUUAGUAUUGAGCUGAAUUUUAUACUAAACUCUUUUGUGGUGCUGCGAUUAAUAAACUCAUGAUUUGCUUUUGCUUUUACUUCAAGUGAAAGAAAGAGGAAACCUUUUGUUUUUUGUUUGAUUCUUGACUAUAGAUGUUACCUAUAUAGAGAGUUGAGGUAUCUGCCUUAAGUGAUGGUGAUAAAAAGAUUAAGCAGCGCACACAAUCUUACUGUCGUCCAGACCAUCCAGCUGUGAUGACUCUAGUUUUUUGGUUACAUUAGCUUUAGUGGAAAGGAGGGCCAAUUUAACAAAGACUAGAUUUGGUGGCUUACUAUAAUGCUUAUUCUCAGGGAAUCUAAUGUUAUAAGAUGAUUUAAUGAUCUUCUAUGAUUGUGAGUAGUAUAGUAUAAUUGAAAAGAGUCUGGGCUUCUAUGAUGAAUAUAUAAUAUUAACACAGUACUGUGAUUGAAAAAAACACAGUUACAAUAUACUCUUCAUUUAUUCAUUGCGGAGAUUAAAUGGCAAACAGAGAAUAAAAUGAAGCAGAGGGAUCUCAUUGCCAGUAAAAUUGACCCUCUUUAAUGUUAUAUGGCACAGGUGUGUGUACAGCAAGAGCAAGUUACUUGCAGUUUUUAUUGUAAAAUAUACAGGUUAUGACCAUGAUCAUUGUAGUUAGGUUUUGAUGAUUUUAGAUGCUUUUUUUAUUUUUUUAAAUUGUGACACCUUUGAUUUAUGGUAGUUUUGCAGAAGAAAAAAAUAUAAAUAAAAAUUAGGAGGGAUGAGUUAACUAACGAUUGCAAUCAUUACUGUAAUGUUGAUGAGUGAUACAUCAUUUGAAAUGUACUUGUCAGUUGCUGAAAUGAUGAAAAAAAACAAUAAACAAUAGCAGUAAUAUUUUUAUGGAAAUUCAUGGUUUUUAUGGAAAUACUCUUGCUGAAAUUCUAAUUUUGACUUUCAACUCUUGGUUUUUAUGGAAAAUAAAAUGACUUGUUUAUUAUAUUCAUACAAUCCACUCUACAUAAUGAUUUCAUUUUAAUAAAUGCUUGAUGAUCUCCACUGAAAAACUACUUCAAUUCUUUUGUUUUUUUUUAACUUUUUGGUUGUUGAAAAUAGCCUUAAUUUUCAAAUAACUGGAGAAAGAGUAAAGAACAUUUAACAAAUUUAUGUGCCAAAAAUAAAUGAGAAAUUGAAGAGAAAGGGUGCUUGCAGAAGUGGGUGCAAAGAUAAAUUAGUCUAUAAGAAUUAUUGUGGUUAUUAAUUUUUUGGCAAUAUAAAAAUUUUUCAGCAAAUAAAAAUUGAUUUUUUCCGAUUUACUAAAAAAUUAAUUAAAAACUUUGGCGAUAGCAUUUUUUAUGGGGCAUGUACCCUCCCUUUUAAAAAAAAAUAUAAUAAUUAAUACUUAAUAUAGUAUUAAAUACGAAAAUCUCAAUAUUUGACUACACAAAUUUAUAUCAUUAGGUCCUUAAAAUUUAAAAUUGAAGACACAUAAUGAAAUAUAUAUAAAUUUUCAACCUCAUAGGAAAUGAUCCUCUUAUAAUCUUAAAAUAUUUGAGAUUUGAAAGAUUUUUUAAAACAAAUGUACUUUUAUUUUUGUACAAUCAAUAUUUACUUAUUUAUUAUAUUUUUAUUCAUUAACUAUCAAUCAUGUGAGUAUAUUUACUCAAAAAUAUCAUAUCAACGGAGCAUCUUGAUCCCACGCACACGCAAAUAUGUUAAUUUCUAUACGCUUCACUUACCUCUAGAAUCAAUUAUCUAAAAUGCAAGUUUGUGGCCACAAAAAAAGCCAAAGAAAGAAGAUAACAAUUGACUUGUAUAUUAUACUCAUACAAUCCACUCGACAUAAUGAUAUCAUUUUAAUAAGGCAAUGGCUGAUGAUCUCCAUUGAAAAACUAAUUCAAUUUUUUUGCUUCAUUUAACUUUUUGGUCGUUGAUAAUAACCUUAAUUAUCACAUAAUUGGAGAAAGAGUAAAGAACAUUUAACAAAUUUAUGUGCAAAAAAAAAAAAAAAGGAGAAGUUGAAGAGAAAGGGUGCUUGCAGAAGUGGGUGUCAGAGAAAAAUCGGUCCAUAAGAAUUAUUGCGGUUAUUUUUUGGCAAUAUAAAAUUUUAUAGCAAGUAAAAAUUAAUUUUUUUCCGAUUUAUUAAAAAAAUAACUAAAAACUUCUGCGACAGCAUUUUUAUGGGUGCAUAUACCCUCCCUUUAAAAAAAAUAAUAAUUAAUGCUUAAUAUAGUAUUAAAUACGAAAAUAUCAAUAAUUGACUACUCAAAUUUAUAUCAUUAGGUCCUUAAAAUUUAAAAUUGAAGACACGAAAAAAUUGAAGAUAUGAAAGGAAAUAUAUAUAAAUUUCAUUCUCAUGGAAAGGAUUCUCUUAUAAUCUUAUAAUAUUUGAGUUUUGAAAUUUUUUUGAAACAAAUGUAAUUUUAUUAGUGUACAAUCAAUAUUUACUUAUUUAUUAUAUUUUAAUUUAUUUAUUAUAUUUAGUCAGAAAAAUUAUAUCAAGAGAGAAUCCUAAUUUCACGCAAACACAACUACAAGACAAAUAUGUUAAUUUCUAUACUAUUCACUUUCCUGUAGAAUCAAUUAUCUAAAAUGCAAGUUUGUGGCUACAGAAAACUCGCCAAAGAAAGAAGAUAAUAACAAUUGAGCAUUGAUAGCAAAACUAAUGCAUCCAAUUCUUCUUGACUUGAUGAGAUGGCGCCAUAACGUAGAAACAAGUACCUAAAUUGACCGGCACUGAGUGAUGUGAAUACUACCAGCCAGUUCAUCUCUUCCAGUCUUGCUUAAUCACAAUCACAAACACCACGAGAUCGACAUUUGCAUUAUAUAUAUCUUCAGCAAUCGAAACACCUUGCAUUACCAAAUUAACCAGUAACAAACAAAGCAAUGUUUCAUGGAGAGAAAGCUUAGUCUCAGUAUGAUCAUUGUGUCAUUAACCCACUGCCUGCUUCUUUGCUUGGUUGUUGCAGCAGCAGCAGCAGCAAGCAGCAAUAUUACCACAGACCAACAAGCUCUUCUUGCCCUGAAAGAUCAUAUAACUUAUGAUCCGACCAACCUUUUUGCCCAUAAUUGGACCUCGAAUACCUCUGUUUGUAACUGGAUUGGCAUCACUUGUGAUGUCAAUAGCCAUAGAGUCACAACCUUAGAUAUUUCUCAAUUCAAUCUACAAGGCACCGUCCCUCCUCAACUUGGAAACCUCUCUUCACUCACAACACUUAAUCUUAGUCAUAACAAGCUUUCCGGAAGCGUUCCCACCUCCAUCUACACCAUGCAUACACUAAAAUUUCUUGACUUCACUGAUAACCAGCUCUCUGGUUCAGUUUCAUCCUUCGUCUUCAACAUGUCUUCAAUAUUAGACAUUCGUUUGACCAAUAACAGACUUUCUGGUGAGCUUCCGAAAAAUAUUUGCAACUAUCUUCCUUAUUUGAAAGCCCUUUUUUUGGACAAAAACAUGUUGCAUGGCAAAAUUCCUUCUGCUUUAUCAAAGUGCAAACAACUGCAACAAUUAAAUUUGCAGUUCAAUAAUUUAUCCGGUGCAAUACCAAAAGAAAUCGGCAACUUGACCAUGCUCAAAGGGAUAGACCUCGGCUACAACAAACUCCACGGUAUGUUCAUAAUACUAUGUAAAUAUUUUAAUUUCUCACUUGUUAAUUUUCUUGAAUAUCUUAGAUAAGAUUUUGUAAGUGAGAUUUUUUGCAUCUAUGUUAAUUUACCAGGUGAGAUACCCCACGAAAUCGCUAAUCUUCGAAAUCUAGAGGCUUUAGUGCUAGGAAUGAACAACCUAGUUGGUGUGGUAUCAGCUAUAAUCUUCAACAUGUCAUCACUGAAGGUACUUAUCCUCAUCAAUAACUCUCUCUCCGGAAGUCUCCCAUCAAGAAUGGACCUUUCACUUCCAACUAUUGAGCAUCUUAACUUGGCACUUAAUAGAUUUUCUGGAACCAUUCCUAGUUCCAUCACCAAUGCUUCUAAGCUCUCCUUUCUAGAGUUGGGAGGAAACACAUUUUCGGGCUUUAUUCCAAACACAAUUGGAAAUUUAAGAAACCUUGAGUGGCUCGGCUUGGCUAAUAACUCCUUGACAUCUUCAACCUCAAAAUUGAGCUUUCUUUCCUCUUUGGCAAAUUGCAAGAAAUUAAGAUCCUUAAACUUAAUAGGCAAUCCGCUUGACGGCUUCCUUCCAAGUUCAAUAGGUAAUCUUUCCAUGUCUUUGAAAAUACUUCUCAUCGCCAAUUGCAGUAUUAUUGGCAACAUUCCUCGAGCAAUUGGCAAUUUAAGCAACUUGUUGGCCUUGACAUUAGAAGGCAAUAAAUUGACUGGACCAAUUCCAAUUACAUUCGCCCGACUGCAGAAACUCCAAGGUUUAUAUCUUCCAUUCAAUAAGUUGGUAGGUUCAUUCCCAGAUGAGCUUUGCCAUCUAGCUAGGCUGGCUGAAUUGGUCUUACUUGGCAAUAAGCUUUCAGGAUCUAUACCUUCAUGCUUAAGUAAUCUCACUUCUCUAAGAUCUCUCUAUUUAGGGUCCAAUAGGUUUACUUCUGUCAUUCCCUCAACUUUCUGGAGCCUAAAAGACAUCUUGUUCUUUGACUUUUCAUCAAAUUUCUUGGUUGGUCCUCUUUCUUUAGACAUAGGAAAUUUGAAGGUGCUUGUAAGAAUAAAUUUAUCAAAAAAUAACUUAUCCGGUGAUAUCCCAGCCACAAUUGGAGGAUUGAAAGAUCUUCAAAUUAUGGACCUAGCAUAUAAUAGACUGGAAGGCCUAAUUCCUGAAUCAUUUGGUGACUUGAUAAGUUUAGAAGUUUUGAAUUUGUCAAAUAAUAAAAUCUCUGGGUCUAUUCCAACAUCCAUGGAGAAAAUCUUUUACCUCCGAGACUUAAAUCUCUCUUUCAAUAAACUAGAAGGUGAGAUUCCUAGUGGAGGAAUUUUUGCCAACUUCACAGCUGAGUCAUUUAUGGGAAAUGAGUUAUUGUGUGGUUUACCAAAUCUUCAAGUCCAACCAUGCAAAGUUAGCAAGCCGAGGACAGAACAUAAAUCAAGGAAAGAGAUACUUCUCAUUGUGAUUGUUUUGCCAUUGAGUAUUGCUCUAACAAUAGCAAUCACUCUACCUCUCAAAUCUAAGCUGAUCGAAUGUGGAAAAAGAUGCACAGUGUUGUCAAAUGAUAGUGUCUUGUCAUCACAAGCAACACAAAGAAGAUUUUCAUACUUAGAACUUUUACAAGCAACAGAUAAUUUUGCUGAAAACAACAUAAUUGGCAGAGGAGGUUUUGGUUCCGUUUUUGGAGCAAGACUUGAAGAUGGGAUGAAGAUUGCAAUAAAAGUGUUUCACCAGCAAUGUGCAAGCGCAUUGAAGAGUUUUGAGGCUGAAUGUGAAGUGUUAAAAAAUAUUCGCCAUCGAAACCUUAUCAAAGUUAUCAGCAGUUGCUCGAACGAUGACUUCAAAGCAUUAGUCCUAGAAUACAUGUCCAACGGGAGCUUGGAGGAUUGGCUGCAUUCUAGCAAUUACGUGCUGAAUAUAUUUCAUAGGUUGAACAUAAUGAUUGACGUUGCAUCAGCUUUAGAAUAUCUCCACUUCGAUCAUUCAACUCCUAUUAUUCAUUGUGACUUAAAGCCUAGUAAUGUAUUGUUGGACGAAAAUAUGGUUGCUCAUUUGAGUGAUUUUGGCAUAGCAAAGCUUUUAAGUGGAGAAGAUGAGUCUACGAUGCGAACAAAAACCCUUGCCACUAUAGGUUAUAUGGCACCAGGUUUGCUUCAAAUAACUUUUUUUUUUAGUUCAUUUUAAAUUUUGCAACUUAUUGAUUUUUACGAUCCUCACAUCAAAAUUUUAUUGAUUAUUUAUCUAAUUGUGAAAUUAAUUUGAUUCAUAGAGUACGGCAUAGAAGGAGAAGUAUCUACAAAAAGUGAUGUUUACAGCUAUGGGAUUAUGUUGAUGGAAACUUUUACCAAGAAAAAACCCACAGAUGAAAUUUUUGUUGGAGAAUUGAGCUUAAAGCGUUGGGUUAAUGACUUGCUUCCUACUUCAUUAGUGGAAGUUGUGGACAAAACUCUGCUAAGUGGAGAGGAAAAACAUUUUGCAUCAAAGGAGCAAUGUCUGUUGUCUGUCUUUUGUUUGGCUCUGGAGUGUACAAUGGAAUCACCGGAAAAGAGGAUUAAUGCAAAAGAUAUUGUUACCAGAUUACUCAAGAUAAGAGACACAUUGAGUAAAAGGAUAGGAAACUUCAGUUAAUUUCGUUUGCUUUCAUUGAUGGUUAAUUCAAAUUCAUGUAAUAAGUGUAAGAAUCUUAUAUGCUUUCCUUAGAUAUAUAUUUUUUUUUUUGAGAAAACUGUCGUAGUCAUCUUGUUUCCAUGGGCAGAGUUGAUUUAGUUCUUCCAAAAAAUGCUACUGAUGACCUUUGUUUAAUACUCUCUUUUUUUGCAUGUGUUUAGGUAGAACAGUGGUUUGGCUGCAGGCUAAGAAGACUAACUACACUAAAAGAAUAUGAUUUAAUUUAUUAAACAAAACUUCAAGUUCAAGAAAAGUAUUUCACUGCCCCCAAUGCUUUGGACACCUACUGGUAGGUUUGUACGUGUCCUCAACUUUUUUUUGGAGCACAAAAUUCGAGUCCCAUGGAGACUCAAACAUUCCUUUCCCGCAUCCCGAGCACGCUAAAUUCAUCAGACUGACGACUGGGACAUAUACAAGAGUGAAAUGUUUGGAGCACACUAAGUUCGAGUGAAAGAGAUUAAUUUACGGAAACUAAAGCCGAAGGUUCAAAAAAAAGUGCAAAGUGAAUUGAUGCACAAUGUCAUAUUCAUACAGAGAUCAAUUAUAUUAUUUACAGCUGGUAAGGGCUAAGAAUUGAUGUAGCUAGAAUACAAAGAGGAUAAGGUAUGUUGAGCACUAUUGUUUUUAUUCUACAAUCAAUCUUGACCCUUGAUGCUUGGCUCUCAAUCUUGUCCAUUGAUCGUCUCUGAUUUUGGAGACCUCAAGACCUUUCAGUAUCAUGCCUUGUUAUUGGUGUCUUCCGUGCUGUAGAAUUCAUAUACAAGCUUUCCCGCCGACUUGCCAAGUAUUCGUUCAUUGAUGCAUUUUUAUCAAACAGCUGGGCUACUUAUACCAAACACCGCCUGGUUUAACUCCCCCUCUCUAGCUCAACUAUCUGGGAAGACAAUUAAUUGAGAUAUGAAUCAGAAAGUUAAAUUUUAACAAUUAUAUUCGGACUCUACAUUUUGUAAUGAACAUUGGUUUGACUUGUUAUACAUUUAUGCGUACAUAAUUAAUAACCGAUUCUCAAGUGCGGACAUUCAAGAGCACUGCUUAAAGACCAAAUAUUUUGAUUUACUAUUUUUUGUCUUUCAAUUUUCUUUUAAGUUCUGAUGACGUCCGCAUUUUAAAAUCCUGUGGAACAAAGGCCUGAGGUGCAUAUAAAAUUCUUUUAUUUUUCAGAGGAAAAUGGGUGAGAGAAGAAGAUUUGGCAAAAGAAUUGCAACGGCAAUAUGAAACUAGUCUUUGUCUUUUAAUUCUUUUAUAUUUGUUUUUGUUAUUGAUGUUAGCUUGGAUGUGUGCGCGUGUUGUUAACAUAUAUGUUUACAUAAUGUUGAUUUUGAUGAUAACAAACAAAAUUAAGAAUGAUUAAUCUUUUAAGCUCAAAUUAUUUAAUAUUCUUUUUAAAUAAAUCAUUAUUUUCACAUUAUAAAUGUUUCAUAUUUAAUGGAAAAUUGAUUUUAUGAAAUUGGUUGUUUUUCAAAGUUUAUGGUUUAAUUGAAAGAAUUUUGAAAACUUUGAAAUAAACAAGUAUUGCUUGAAAUUUUAGUAAAGGACUUAUUUGAAAAGUGUCUUAGCAUUUUUGGCUAUAUCAUAAUUUCAGAAAGUUUUGGGAUUAACAAAGCAUUACUUAGAAAUUCUGAAAUUGGACCUAUUUGCAAAGUUUCAUAACGUUUUGGGCCUUAAUAUAGUUUUGUAAAGUUUGGGAGUCAAAAUGUAAUUUUAGAAAAUAAUUUCACUGUAGCAUCACUGUAGUAAACGGCUAACCGUUUAUUUAAAACGGCUAACCGAUAAUUUUCAGAAAGCAUAUUUUGCAUAGUAUUGUUAAAAUGAUGAUUCUGAAACAUAACGGUGAACCGUUUACUGAAAACGGUUAACCGAUUAUUUUCAGAUUGCUAACCUUGAACCGUUUAGUAAGAACGGUUAAACCAAAUUUGUUUUGCAGGUCUCUGGAAUUUAACGGCGAAAGGGUAAUACUAAACGAUAAACCGUUUAUUUGAAAAUUGGUCCAACGGUAACUUUGACCAGCCUAAACGGUUAACCGUUAAUGGUUAACGGCGAACCAUUUUCGAGCAGACAGUCUAUAACGGCUAGUUUUUCAGCUCCAACUAUAAAUAAGCUCAAUCCAAUUCAAACAAGAUAAAUUCCAACGAUCAUCAUUGAGCAAAAUAUUGAGAAUACAACUUUCAUUGAGCUUUAAAUCCUUGUAUUCAUCUCAUUCAUUCACACAUUGAGCUUUCACUUGUGAUCAAACACAUUGUGUGAGAGAGAUUCAUUUGAAAUCCUCUUUGUAAAAUCAAGUUAAAAGAUUGUAAGUGUUGGGAUACACUUGAGUUAAGAGAUUGGGGAUAAUCUCUUGUUGUAAAGGUCCAUUGACACCUUGGAAGUCAAUUGUAAGCGUUUGAAGCCUAGGGAGGCUAGCUUAGUGAAAUCCUCAAGCCCAGUGAGCUUGGAGGCGUGGACGUAGGCGGGGUUUGCCGAACCACGUAAAAAUCAUUGUGUUUGUUUUCUCUUCCCUUAGUCUUUUAAUAUUGUGCAUGAUUGAAUUUAUUGUUUUCAAUUUGAUUAAGGCAAUAAAUUAAAUUGUUGUGCGAAUUGUAUUGCAUAAAUUUUAAAAUCCCAAUUCACCCCCCUCUUGGGUUGCCUAGUUAGUAUUUCACGUGUGACUGAAUUCAACUUAUAUUUGUUUUUGUUAUUGUUAUUAAUUUUAUUUGUUUGUGUUAAAUUGGACCACCAAAAAGGGCUGUCCAUUAUCAAAUCAACACGGUUUAAUUAUUAUUAUUUCUACACUUUUUUUAUAAACAAAUAUAAAUAAAAGGAUAUUUACACCCCAAAUUUUAGUGAAAUAGUCAUUAACACUCCUAAAUUUUUAAAAAAAGAUAUCAAGAUCAUUUUUUGAUCUUAAUACUCUCAUACGGUACCUCUAUUAUUCUUAAAAAUUGACUCUAAUGUUUUAUAAUAAAUAAAAAUAAAACAUUAAAAUAAAUGUAAUAACAUAUAAUUUUAAAAUAAUUUCAUUAUUUAAAAAAUAUUUUUAACAUUUUACAAUCUAUUAAAUAUAUUUUAUUAUAUUAAAGUAAUUUUAUAAUAAAUAGAAUCAUAUUAUUAGAAUAAAUGCAUUAAAACUUAAAUUAUUUUGAAUAUCAUGUAAGAUAAUAAUUUUAACAUUACUAGUAUGUCAGUUUUUUUUUAAUUGUAGAAUGUAUUUAGUGCAAAUAUUUAUUUCAAAUCUCUACAAUAAAUAAAAGAUUAAAAUAAAUAUAAUAAUUUACAUAUCUAAAUUUAUUAAAAUAUUUUAAUAUUGUUAGUCUACUGCAUAUAUCACAAUAUUUAUAUAACAUUUGUAUUUAUUAAAAGCUUUAAAAUCAAUUCUUUUGAGAAUAAUAGAGGUAAAGGGUACAAUGGUCAAAAUGGGGACUUUGUACCCUUUUUUGAAAACUUGAAAGUGUUGGUGGUUAUUUUUCCAAACCUUCAGGGUAUAGAUGUCCUUUUUCCACAAAUAUAUGAGAAAAUUAUCAAGAAAUACAGUAUCUGAACUUUGAAGUAACAAGGAUCACCUUUUAUGAAAUCGAUUGCUUUUCAUGAUAGACUGUUACCAUUUUUCUACAAUAGAUUGAAUUUAGUAAAAAAUUGAUUAAGAUGUCUACUCAUGGAGAGUGAAAUUUAUGUUCAAAACUAAUUUCAACAAGCAUGCACCACCGAACGUGUUUCUCACGGAAAAGUUGCUUGGAUUUUUGGGACUUCCUGUUCAAAUAUUCAACACGGCAUGCACCACGCGAUUGAACAUGCAAAAGUAGGGGUCUAUUUUCAUUUCCAGCAUUAUAGAAAUCUUAAUUUUGUUCAUUAGUUAUUUUGAUCAGCACUGUUGAAUCUCCAUGUAUUGCCAAUCACUAAGAAACAACAUAUUCUUAUUAAUUAUAUCCUCUAAUGGAGAGAACUCAUUGUCUCAGUAAGAUCACUGUGUCAUUAACCCACAGCAUGCUGAUUUGCUUGGUUGCUGCAGCAAGCAAAAAUAUUACCACAGAUCAAAAAUCUCUUCUUGCCCCAAAAGAUCACAUAACUUAUGCUCCAACUAAUCUUUUGACCCAAAAUUGGACCUCAAAUACGUCUGUUUGUACGGGGAUUAGCAUCCCUUGUGAUGUCAAUAGCCAUGAAGUCGCAGCCUUGGAUAUUUCUCAAUUCAAUCUACAAGGCACCAUUAUUCCAAACACAACUGGUAAUUUAAGAAACCUUAAGUGGCUCGGCUUGGCUUAUAAACUACUUGACAUCUUCAACUUCAAAAUUGAGCUUUCUUUCCUCUUUGGCAAAUUGCAAAAAAUUAAGAAUCUUAGGCUUACUGGAAAUCCACUUGACCGUAUCCUCUCAGGUUCAAUAGGUAAUCUUUCUAUGUCUUAGGAAAGAUUUCACAUCGCCAAUUGCAGCAUUAGUGGCAGAAUUCCUCAAGUAAUCAGCAAUUUAAGCAACUUGUUGGCUGGUGUGCAAAAUUUUAAUAUACUCGCAAACGCAGGAAUCUAGAAAUAGAAUAAUGGUAACGAGGUCAAACCCACAUGGAUUGUUAUAAAAUGACAAAAGAAUAGCUGCUGGUCUAGAGGUGGCUUACUACAUUCAUACAAGAUCGUUUCUUGUUCUCCAAGAUGUGCAUUAUACUAAUAAUGCUAUACAAACUUAUAUACUGAUCUUAUCCUCUAGAUCUGUUCAGGCUGAGUGAUCUCUCACAUUUGCCAUAUCAGAAGAUUACAUGCCAGUAAUGUCAUGUGAUGACCUGUUGCUUGGUGAUGUCGAAUGCCUGGCCUUUACUUCUCUGAGCAAAUUGAUCAAACAAUCUGUUCAUUUUAUCGAACACCUUCACCAACUAACAUUUAAUUUACUUUUGAUGGUUUUUAAGUGCAUUUAAUGAUUAUUUUUGCUCCAACUUCAGAUAAACCAAACGCUAGUAUAUUAGAAGAAGAAGUUAACUGGCAGCUAACCAGGUCAAAAUAGCGACUCUAUAUAAAAAAUAUAUAUAUAAAAUAAAAAAUAAAAAAUGGGACUUUAUUUAAUUAAUUGUUGGUCUAAAGCUGUUGGUAUCCGUUGGCCACGUUUCUGAAGAGUCAUCUCAAAUCAAAAUUUUUAACGAACAAAGAACUUUGCUUUUUUCCAUUGUUCACAUUGCUGCUGGCUGCCACCCGUGAGAUAAAAGUGCUACAAUCCAAAAUGUUCCACCAUUAUUUAUUCUAAUUUUAAUUUUCCAAUGGAAAAAAUUACAUAAUUAAAAUGGCUUCUAAUAUCAUUUCCACAUCUCAAUAUGUGUCACUAUCAGAAGGUUGUUUUCAUGAUUCAUUGUAAAUUUGGAUUACAGUACCUGUACUUUCUGAUGGUUCAUUAUUUAUUCUCAGGAAUCGAGUCUCCUUACAUUACCAAACUAAUAACAACCAGCAAUCUUUUAUCCUUUCACGGUGAGAAAUCACAGUCUUCGUAUGAUCGCAGUGCCAUUAACCCACUGCCUGCUUCUUUACUUGGUUGUUGCAGUAGCAGCAGCAAGCAACAUUACCACAGGCCAACAAGCUCUUCUUGCCCUGAAAGCUCAUAUAAGUUAUGAUCCAACUAAUCUUUUGGCUCAAAAUUCGACCUCAAAUACCUCUGUUUGUAACUGGAUAGGCAUUACUUGUAAUGUCAAUAGCCAUAGAGUUACAGCCUUGAAUAUUUCCAGCUUGAAUCUACAAGGUACCAUCCCCCCUCAACUUGGAAACCUUUCUUCACUGACAACACUUAAUCUUAGUCAUAACAAGCUUUCCGGCGACAUUCCCCCCUCCAUCUUCACCAUGCAUAAGCUGAAAUUUCUUGAUUUCAGUGAUAAUCAGCUCUCUGGUUCUUUGUCCUCCGUCACCUUCAACUUGUCUUCAGUAUUAGAUAUUCGUUUGGAUAGUGACAAACUCUCUGGUGAACUCCCAGUAAAUAUUUGCAAUUAUCUUCACUAUUUAAAAGUCCUUUUUUUGGCCAAAAACAUGUUUCACGGUCAAAUACCACUGGCUUUAUCCAAGUGCAAACGGCUACAACUGUUAAAUUUGGGGUUCAAUAAAUUAUCAGGAGCCAUACCGAAAGAAAUCAGCAACUUGACUAUACUUCGAAAGAUAUCUCUCAGAAAUAAUAAACUUCGCGGUAUAAAUGUUUAUAAUAUAUACUUUGUAAAUGCUCUUAUUAAUCAUUCUUAAACUUUCUUAGACACUUUUGUCUAAAUAAAUUUCGUAAGAGAGUUUUUUGCAUCUCUGUUAAUUUUGCAGAUGAGAUACCUCACGAAAUUGGGUAUCUUCCAAAUCUAGAGAAUUUGGUGCUUGGAUUCAACAACCUAGUAGGCGUUGCACCUGCUGCAAUCUUCAACAUGUCAACAGUGAAAGAAAUUUACCGGUUAGAUAACUCUCUCUCGGGAAGUUUUUCAUCAGGAAUAGACCUUUCACUUCCUGAACAGAUUUUCUGGAACCAUUCCUAGUUUCAUCACCAACGCAUCUAAACUUGUAUAUCUAGAUAUGGGAACAAACUCUUUUUCGGGCAUUAUUCCGAACACAAUUGGUAAUAAUCUAAGAAAACUUGACUGGCUCGACUUAACAUACAAUUGCUUGACAUCUUUAACUCUAGAAUUGAGUAGUACUAGGUUGUUAAAUGACGGUAUCUUGUCAUCACAAGGAACACUAGGAAGAUUUUCAUACCAAGAUCUUUUUCGUGCAACAGAUAAAUUUAGUAAAGACAAUCUAAUUGACAUAGGAAGUUUUGGUUCUGUUUAUCGAGGAAGACUUCGUGAUGGAAUUGAGGUUGCAAUAAAAGUGUUUCACCAGAAUUUGUGCAAUGGAAUUGAUGAGUUUUGAGGCUGAAUGUGAAGUGAUGAAAAAUAUUCGUCAUCGAAAUCUUGUCAAAAUAAUCAGUAGUUGUUCGAACGAAGAUUUCAAAGCAUUAGUUCUAUAAUAUAUGCCCAAUGGGAGAUUGGAGGAUUGCUUGCAUUCUACCAAUUGUUCGUUAAAUAUUUUUGGCAGGUUGAACAUAAUGAUAGAUGUUGCAUCGGCUUUGGAAUAUCUCCACUUCAAUCAUUCAACUCCUAUCAUUCAUUGCGAUUUAAAGCCUAGUAAUGUAUUGUUAGAUGAAAAUAUGGUUGCUCAUUUGAGAUUUUGGAAUUGGAAGGCUCUUAACUGGAGACAAAUCAAUGAUACAAACAGAAACACUUGCCACAAUUGGUUAUAUGGCACCAGGUUUGCUCUGAAACAAUUUUUUUUUUUUUUUUUUUGGGUUUUCAUUUACACUUUCCAAAUUAUUAUUUUUCCAUGAUCCUUCUAUCCUAAUGUUGUUGAUUAUUUAUCUAAUGAUAAAAUCAAUUUGGUUGAUAGAAUAUGGCAUAGAAGGACGAGUAUCUACUAGAAGUGAUGUUUAUAGCUAUGGAAUUAUGUUAAUAGAAACAUUUACCAGGAAGAAACCCACAGAUGAAAUGUUUACAACAGAAUUGAGCUUGAAGCUUUGGGUUAACAACUUGCUACCUGCUUCAUUGAUGGAAGUUGUGGACAAAACUUUUUAAGUAGGGAAGAAGAAGAUUUUACUGUGAAGGAGCAGUGUGUGUUAUCAAUCCUGAGUUUAGCUAUGAAGUGUGUGAUGGAAAUGCCAGAAAAAAGGAUCAAUGCAAUAGAUAUUGUAACUAAAAUAUUGAAAAUAAGAGAUGUAUUGAGUAAAUGGUUAGCAAAUUUAGGUUAAUCUCAUUUCUUGGCAUUGAAACUUUAACUUGAAUCAAUAUAUACUUAAUUUGAAUCUUUGUAUGAGUGUAAGAAUAUGAUAUAUUUUCCUUUGAUUUUUUUUUUUGAGACAAACAUCGUAGCUAUCUUGUUUCAAAUUAAUUUUAUGCUUUUUUUUUCUUUUUCUAAGAUCAUGCCUAAGAGCCGUAGGAAGAUCAGCUACAAAUUCAAAGCCGGCUAAGGCAUUUGACAAUGGAGAGAUUGUUAGUUUUUUCUCCAUUGAAAUUAAUAUAUAUCACCUAUCCCAACUAUUUUCAUAAUGUCUAAUAACCUCCUGGCACCAUAAUUUUACCAUAUAACCCUUAUUUUUAAAUGCACUUUUAUUUAUAUUAAUAUUAAUUAAAUAAAUCAUAUGAGUUGGAAUUAAAAUUAAAAAAUUAAAGACCAAGAAUAAGAAAUAUACGUUUUAGUGUGCUUAAAAAAUUAAUAUUAAAAUAUUUUUUUUUUGUACUUUUUAUUGUCCAACCAAUGUUGACAUUUGCCUAUAUCAGGUUUUUUAUGUGUACAGUGCAGGUUCAACUUAAGCCAUUAAUAGAACAACUUGAGAGAGCAAAAGUAUUGCAAGUUCUUGAUUUUGAAAUCUCCAAGCAUAGGAAGCCAAAGCAUCUGCUUCUUCUGGGCAUGCUGCAAUGCUGGUUCUAGUUCGAACGUGACCUCUCAGUCAUCUCAAGAAGGGCUAUUCAUUGGGGACAUCGAGGUAACUUUACCCCACCCGGAGGUUUGAUAAUUCAACUUUUUUAAUAGAUUUGUCUAAUACAUUCAAUUUGAUUUUAUUAUGUACAUGUUUGGUUAAUUACCGUGUUCUGUUAAGUUCAAGUCCAGUUGCAAGUCCCAUUUGGUUUUGCAUUGUGUUCGUUCCGCCACUGAAUCCUUCAUAAAAUAGUUUAAGGUUUGGAAGUUGGUUGGAUAAAUAGUGCUAUAAUGGUAGUUACUUUCUUUUAUUUCGUUUGACUUUUCGCUAGUGUAUCACUCCUAGCAUAUAAUUAAUCAAUUCUUCCAGGCAUACCAUGACUUGAUUGUGAUGCUGUGGAUUAUCUAGGACCAUAAGCAUUUGUGUGUUAAUGUAUUAAACUUUUGCCAUACCUUUAACCAAUCUCAUAUGCAAGUAAAUAUGAUCACUUAGAUCAAAUUUCAGUUUAGACUUGAAUUGAAGUUUUAGUGUCCUGUAUGACUGGUCUUUCUCAAUUUUAUCAAACAUAUGUUUCCUUCUGAAAAUAUUAAAGUGGAUUUGAUAGUUUAAGCAAUUUGUGGUUGGAUUUUGGCAGUUUGAAGUUGUAAUUCUGGUACCAAUCAAGACGAGGAAGUGGAUGCCAAGUGUGAAACAACAAGUGGGCAUCUGAAAGUCACGCCACAUUGGAUGAUCCCACAAAAAAUGAAUCUUACAGAGGAACAACAUGGACAGAUUAAGCAGGAGCUAUAAAUGGAUAAAAUUUGAGCAGCUGGAGGAUCCAUAGAUGCCAAUAAACAACCGGAUUAUUCGAACGGACGUACCUCUAAUGGUCUAUCUGGAAAGUCCAGCGGGCAUGAAGUCUAAACGUGAAGUGGAUGAGGAGGAAGAUGAUACUAAUUCUAGAAACUUCAAGAGCUUUCAUUCUCAUGCUUUAUGAAUUUCUUUCUUGCUUCAGAAUUCAAAUGCAAGCUUUCCCUCUCAGUAUUUCUUCAUUGAGACAUUUUUCUCGAACAGGUUUAUACUUGUGUCAAACAUCUUCUGUUAUAACUAGGAAGCCAGUAAGAUUGUUUUUCAAGUACGUUAAGCGGAAACAAUAGGCAAGGCCUUUUGUCAUUAUAUCUACCACUUGAUUUUUUCUGCCCAAGUACUUACUAUUCAAUUCGUUUGUUCCAAUUUUGUCCCUAAUGAAGUGGUCUUAUAUCCCCACAAACUUUGCUCUUCCAUGAAAGACGAGAUUCUGUGCAAGUGCUAUUGCACUCUUGUUGUCACAUAACAACAGAGGAAUAAUUAAACAUACAUGAAUAUGCACUUUAGUAAGCAAGGAUCUUAACCAGCUGAUCAUUUCUGCUGCUACAUGAGACAGGGCUCUGUCUUAUACUUUUGUACUAGAUUUUGAGACCACCUUUUGCUUCUUGGAGCUACAUGAGAUCAGAUUUCUUGCGGGGUAAAAAAAUUCAUGAAAACCCUCAAGUAUUUAUGACAUUUAUAUAAAAAUAGAGUUUGAUUUUUCUUUCAAGUAUGUUCCUACAUUAAUCUCUACUUAAAAACUGAAAUAUCAUUUAAAAAAAUAAUUAUUCUUCCACCUUUAAAAUUCAAUAUUAAAGAGUAAUUUGUCAUUUUUAAUUAGAGUUAGAGGCUUGUUUUAUUAUGUAUAUAAAAUAUUUCUUAGGUGCAAGAACCCUCAUUUUUUUGUGCGGAUAUACUAUUAAACCAUGCAGUUUAAAAGUUGAUUAAAAUGAAUGGUGUAAUAGUGUGUCCAUAUAAAAAAAAAAAAAACAUAAUAAGGGCAUUGGCAUUAAAGAACAUAUAUAUUAUCCCAAUUAGGGAUCCCUAACCAUAUUAAAGUCAGGGGACAAGUUAAAAACAAAAAACAAAAACUUCAAUGUAUUUUGUCAUAUAAUGUAUUAAAAUCUGUAUUUUCUUUUAUCUUUUAGUUUAUCCCUAUUUUAAUAUGGUUAAAGAUUCGUAAUUGGAAACCCACUCUAAUUAUCUAUGUAUUUCUUAUUUUUAAUACAUUCGCACAAAUAUUUAUAUACAAUAAAUGUAUUACUUAGCCCUGCCUGAUAAAAGAUCCCGGGUCCGGCUCUGAAGGAAGAUGCAAUAUCCUCCUGCUGACGCUUCAUUAACCUUUUUCCUUUCAUUUUAAACUUUCUGAAUUAUUGCCUUUCGUAAUUCUCAUAUCAUGCAUUGAGUAUUUAUCUAACUAUGAAAUUAAUUUGAUUAAUAGAGUAUGGCAUAGAAGGACGGGUAUCUAUUAAAAGUGAUGUCGUUGCGGAAUUGAGCUUGAAGUAAGUUUUGGAUAAAUCUGCCGUAAAGAAGCAAUGUGUGCUGUCUAUCUUGAGUUUUGGAUUAAUCUCCUUAUCAUUUGUUAUCUUACUUAAUUAUAGCACUAUAUGAUAUUAUUAUACACUAUUUACAGUUUUCUGUGUUUUUUUUUUUUUUCUAAUUACUAACAUAUGAAACUCUAUUGCCUGGGAAAUUCAAGGAAUUUUGUUUGUGUAUAAUUAAUCAUUUCUUUUUUGGGAUUAAUUUAUAAUUAAUUUUGCAGAUACCAAGUAUCUAGAAAGAGCAGGACCCAGCAAGACCGGGUAAUAGAUAUAUAGAGAGAGACUUUGCAAUUGGUAAAUAUUAAGAGUGGCAGCAAUUAAAGUUGAUUAAUAUGCUAGUAUAAUAUUAGUAUUGACAUUAGGCAGAGACGGAGACUUUAGUGAAUAUUAUUGCUAUAUGAGUAAUUUUUGUAUAUGAGCGUGGCUAAUUACAAUUUCCAAAUCUCUGCGGGUUACUGAAAAUUUAAGUGCCUUGCAUAUGACUAUUAACCCAGUUUUUCAUGCUCGCUCGAAGCAUAUUGAAUUAGAUUAUCACUUCAUUUGAGAAAAAGGUUGCUGAUGGUGCCUUGGUUACGAAGUUUGUCCCUUCUUCGUUACAAAUUGCAGAUGUUUUUACUAAGGCUUUGUCAAAAGCCAUGUUCCGCAAUUUCAGAUACAAGCUUGGCGUUCAUCAAAUGUCACUUGCCAGCUUGAGGGGGGAUGUUAAGCAAGCUGACCAAGAUUACUAAAAGGAAAGUCAUCAACGGUCAAGUCAACAACGGGUUUAUCACUCCACACAACUUGCUCACGUCAAAGCUAUUUGUCAAGGAAUAUCUCCAGCACGAUUUUUGCACUUGAAUGCCAAUAUCAUGUAGGAAUAUUUCAUUCCUAUUUUAUAAAGAUAUUGUGCAAUAGUUUAGGAAGUAUUCACUUAUUUUCCUUUAAUAUUAUUAAGCCUUUUAACGGCUACUUUGUCUUUAUUUUGUAUAAAUAAUUCUGUAAAUUUCAUUAAAAAUAUAGAACAAGAAUUAUACUCUUCAUAGAAUUUCUUUCACUAAAUUCAUCAGCCUCUUGAACCCUCUCCUGAGGGCACCUUCUGUCCUCUGUUUUCUGUUACCAUACACUAACAGACAAAAGCAUUCAGAAUGACAACUGGGACAUAUAUAAGAGUGAAAUAAUUGAAAAAUUAUGCUUUUUUGUUUGUCAUGUUAAAAUCGUAAAGUGCGUAAGUACUAUGAAAGAGAUUAGUUUACGGAAACUGAAGCCAAGGGUUAAAAAAAAAAAAGGUGCAAAGAGAAUAAAGGGCAACGCUUAUGUAAAGAGACAUAAUUGUAUUGGUAGCACAAUGUCACGUUCAUACAGGGAUCAAGCAUAUUAUUUACAGGUGGUAAGGGCUAAGAAUUGAUGUAGCUAGAAUACAAAGGUGAUAAGGUAUGUUGUGCACUAUUUAUUUAUUCUACAAUCAAUCUUGACCAUUGAUGCUUGGAUCUCAAUCUUGUCCAUUGAUCUUCUCUGAUCUCGAAAACUUCAAGACCUUUCAAUCUUAUGCCUUAUUAUUGGUGUCUUCCAUGCUGUAGAUUUCAAAUACAAGGUUUCCCGCCAACUUGCCAAGUAUUUGUCCAUUGGUGCAUUUUAUCAAACAGUUUGAUACUUAUACCAAACGCCUUCUGUUUUAACUCCCCCUCUCAAGCUCAACUAUCUGGGAAGACAUUAAUAAACUUGUUUCUCAAGUAUAUGUAUCUGAAAAUGAAAUUUUAAAAAUUAUAUUCGGACUCUACAUUUUCUAAUGAACAUUGGUUUGGCUUAUAAGCUUAUUAUACUCAGGCUUGGUGGGAUUAUCGGUCGGUAGAUGACCGAGUGUUAGAGCUUUCGAAUUUAUGCCAAUUAAAAAAAAAAAAAAAAGAAUCUACAUAAAGUUUCAACUAGGCUACUACCACAAUAAACAUUUGGAUCAACUAUUAUUGAAACCUUAUUGAGAAGUGGGACAUGUCGCAUACCAAUGCACUGACAUAUCUUCAAAUAGUGGUAACUCCACACAGCAUGGCACAAUAAAUUAAGAGUUAUAUAGAUAAAAUCUUUCACUCUUUGGUAAUCAUCAAUUUCACUAUUAUUCGGUUUAUUAUGUUUGUUUCUUUCAGUAUGUUAAAAGAUUAUGUUGUGAAUUUGUUUUACAGGCUGCCCGUAAGUCUGCGCCCACCACCGGUGGUGUUAAGAAGCCUCAUCGUUACCGUCCUGGAACCGUCGCCCUUCGGUUUGUUCUCUAAUUUAAAUUUCCGUUGUAUAGCUUUAGUUGUUCUUGUCUAAUUUUGUGGGUAAUUUUGUAUAGAGAAAUUCGCAAGUACCAGAAGAGUACCGAACUGCUUAUCAGGAAACUCCCAUUCCAGGGACUUGUUCGUGAAAUUGCUCAGGACUUCAAGGUACCUUGUUAUCGUUUUGGUUGUUAUCUUUGUUAUCUUUAAAUUGGGUUCCCAAGAUUUCUUGAUAGACGGUUAAUGGCUAUUUUGUUGUCUGUUUUGCAGACUGAUCUGCGUUUCCAGAGCCAUGCAGUGCUGGCCCUGCAGGAGGCAGCCGAGGCUUAGGGCAUCUCCAAUGUAGCACUAAACCUAACACCAAAUCAUCUUUUACAUCAUUUUUGGUGUAAAAUGCUUCUCCAAUGUAACACCAAAAUGGUGCAAUGAAUAGUAUUGCACCAAAUAUGGUGCAAUACUAUUCAUUUGCACCAUAUUUGGUGCUAGGAAAAAAAGUCUCAAGUAUCCUUAUUACUUUAUCUUAUUUACAUAUAUGUCAUAUUUUAUAUAAUAUUUUAAGUUAUUAUUAUUAUUGUUAUUUUUUAAUUUCAUUUUUUAAUUUUUGAAUAUUUUAAAUAAAAAAUAUUCAACACAAAAAUUUAUAAUAAAAAUAAAAUGCCAAUAACAUUAAUUACUAGAUUACAUAUUACAAAAUUAAAAAUACAAAAUUAAAUUAACACAAAUUAAAAAAGCUACUACUACUAGCAUAAAUUAAAACAAUUAUUUAGUAAUGUGGGAGAUCAUUAUUAGAUUCUCCAAUAUCAUCAAAAUAUUUUUCUAUAUUAAUGUAAUGUUUAAUUUUCAUAAUGCACUUAUUAUUGUUAUUGUAUUUUUCUAUAUUAAUGUAAUGUUUAAUUUUUAUAAUGUACUAAUUUAGUUAAUUAAAUGCAAUAUUUAUUAAUUUUCUAUUUUUUUGUUAAUCGAUAUAAAAUUACUUAUUACUUAAUUAUCUAUAUUAAUAGUAAUAUUUAUUGUGUUAAUUGAAUUAAUUCUUGAGAAUUAAAAGAAUAAAAAGAAAAAUAUUCUUUUUGAUGUAAAAUUUGGUGUAAAUGGGUUGGAGAUGAAAUAAUAAUUUAGUGUGAAAAAGGUUCAUUUUUAGUGUUGGUGUUACACCAAAAUGAUGUUAUGCAUUGGAGAUGGCCUUACCUCGUCGGUCACUUUGAGGACACCAAUUGAAUGACUGGAAAGGGAAGGGGGAAGUUGUAAUGUGUUAAUUUGUAUGUGGGGUUCGUGGGGACGACGUCGCUUUUUCUUAGAUAUUUUUUUUCUUUUUCCUCCCUUAAAAACAGUGAAAUUACUUAUACUGGUUUUUCUAUUUUACAUUUUGAAUAUUAUUAAUUAAUAUAAUUUAAGAUAACAAUCAGGGAUAAAACAAUCAUUUUUUAUUCAAGAUCAUUUUAUCAAUAUUCUGUUAAAUAUUCUCACAAUUUAACUUUAUCCUUAACAAAAAUUUAACUUUUUUUUUUAAACUAACGGAACCAAAUUCUAUAUAUAAAUGUAUAGUACGCAUUAAUAAAUAAAUAAAACUUUGACGACCGGAGGGAAUGAAUAAAUAAAUAGAUAAAACUUUCGAAGCUCGUGAAUGUGCUAUUUUGGUUUUUUUUUUUUAGUAAUUGUUUAAUUGAAAAAAGAAAGCUUCGGGAUUUAUUUUUGACGGGACGGCUGAGAUUUGUUGACCUUCUAGAGAAUGAGAACAGAUUUUCAAUUUGUUGAUUAGUAUUCCUACAGUCCAGCCCAAAAGUACCGGCUCAAUGAGUUCGGUCAUGUUUGGUAACAGGUAUCCAUCACUUUCAAAAUCCGGUCCUACCAACGUAUCGGCUUUUACUGGCUGUCGUAUCAUCCGUGAAUGCAUGGGAGAGUGAGACUACUCCAAUCUCCACGACAGAAAUUUUAGAAUAUAUCUAUUGUAUUAUAAUUAAUUGAUACAUAUAUGACAUGUAUAAUUGAGUAUAAUAUAACCACUAUUUAUAUAAUAAUUUAUAAAAUAAAUGCACACAUAUUAUGACAUUAUUUACUUGUUAUAUGGAUAAUAAAUGCACACAUGUCAUCAGUCUUUGGUAAACAAAUUCACAAUAUAUAUUAAUCUUUGUGGAAGCUAUGUCCAAAAAAUAAAUAUUGUAAAAAAAUUUUAAUUAAUAAUUUUUUGGACAUUAAUAAAAAAAAUUAAUAUAUUAACUCCUCAUGGAGUAUUCAAAACAAUUGAUAUAAAUUUUGUUGUUUCUAUUUUACUUUUUUGGUUUAAAUUGACAAUUUAAUUUUUCUUUUUAUUAAUGUCCAAUAAAAAAGAAAUAUUAUUGUACGAGUGUAAUACUGUAAAAACAAGUCAAAAAGAAUAAAAAGUAACAAUUAGGGUGUCAAUACUUAACAACAAAGAUGUUUUGAGAUAUUUUUAAAAAUAUAAGGAUUAAACGAGAUUUUACCAUUAUUAAUUAUAGUCAUCUUUUUAUAAAUUACAAUUAGAGGAAGUUGGUUAAUGUUGUUGACACGCACGCACACAUAAAGAUUUAUUGGAAGUGCUUAUGCCGACUCGAAGUUGUUGGGAAUUAAUGCAUGUAUUGAUUUAUUGGGAGUGUUUAAAUGAUUUUGUGAUUUACUUGAUUGAUUGAAUAUUGUUUGAUUGCUUCAUAUCCAUUCUACAAAGUUUAUUUCUUUGUGAAAUUUCAACGACAUAUUUUUAAAAAAUAAUAAUAAUAAGGGUGUUCUAAAUCAUUUUAAAAAAUAUAUGGACUUAUUAGAAUUAAUUACUAGGUAAUUAACUUGAUCUGUACAGGGUGAAACAACAUUUAUCCUAAUUGUAUCAUGACAAAUACUUUUCCGAUUAGAAUUAGGAAACCAUAGGUUUAUUGAAUUAUUUUUUUUUAUUUUCGUUUGGAGAAACGGAUUAGAGAAUUAGAAAACAAUCCUAAUGAUAUAAUUAUCAGGUUUAAAACAGUGCAUAAACAGUGAAAAGCUAAUUAGUCUGUAGAGUAAUUUGCUAAUUGUUAUCUCCUCUCUAUGCGCGCUGAAUAAUUUGUUGCAUGCAAACUUUUUAUUUUAUGCAAAUCGUACUUACUGUAACAUUGGAAUUGAUGUAUAAGCAAAAUUACAAUAAUAUUUAUGUCAAUAAAAAUAGUUUUUUUUUCCUUUUUAAAUAAACACAACGCGAUGUUGCUCUGCUCUACAUUUUUGCUAUCUCUUUAUUCUUUUUUUUUUUUUGGGCUUCUUAAAGCCUCAAACUUUGAUAACCAAAACUUCAUCGACCUAUGAAAAAAUCUGCAGAUUAGUUUUUAUUAUCGGAAUAAUUGUUUGAGAAUACGAAAACAAAAUAUAAAAUAAGAAAAUAGGGGGUUAAAUUAGAGGGGGAAAAAAAGGCAUGUUCUAUCGAUUACUAUAGUUUAAGGGAAAAAAAAUCAAUUGGGGAUUUUUUUUCUUUAAUUUUUGUUUUACUUGAUGGAGAUUUCUCCUUAGUCCUUACAGUUUUAAGUUUGGAUGCCGUAGGGUUAGUAAUUUAGUACUUCCUUUGCAAGCUGAGUGUAAGAAUGAAAAUCUUUAAAGAAAUUAAAAAAGAAAAAAAUAAAAAAAGCAUACCAAUAGGCAAUUAUAAAUAACCAUAAAUAAACAUAAACAAAAUGUUUAUGAAGUAAAUUACACAUGCACAUAUUAUUUUCUUGUUUUAUUUCUUACUUGUCUAUUUUAUUUGCUGCUUGAUAACCCUUAAAUACUAAUCUAGUACUGCUAAUUUCAGACACAAAAUGUUUAACUCUAGGCUGCAGUUUUACUCAAAAUGAUGACCACUGGCUUCGCACCAUUUAACCAGCAUACAUUUCUACAAAGGGAAAAGGACAUUCAACCCCCCAACGUUUAGGAAAAUGGACAAAAAACCCUUCAACGUUUCAAAAAGGACUUAUAACCCUCUUUCUGUUAACAAACACCGUUUGUUUUAACAGUAAAUUUAUUUUUAAUUUUUAAUUACUAUUAUACCCUUAUAAUAAAAAAAUUAAUGUAUUAAUUUGAGAUAUAUCACAAUUAAUAAUUUUUUAAAAGCUUAAAAUUAAGAUACAAUUAUUUUUUUGCCAAAAUUAUUUACUAUAAAUUAUACCUUUCUAACAAUAAUAAUAUCGUUUUGAUUCCUCAAAGAAAAAGAGUUUAAUCAAAUUUCGUUUUAUUAGUAAUAAUCACAUAUGAAAGAUUUUAUCAUUAGAAACGUAUAAUUUAUAGCAAAUAAUUUGGGCAAAAAUGUAAUUGUAUCUCAAUUUUUAGUUUUAAAAAAAUUAUUAAUUGUGACAUGUCUCAAAUCAAUAUAUUAAUUUAUAUUUAUUAUAAGGGUAUAAUAGUAAUUAAAAAUUAAAAAUAAAUUUACUGUUAAAACAAACGGUAUUUAUUAACGGAAAGAGGGUUAUAAGUCCUUUUUAAAAUAUUGAGGGGUUUUUUGUCCCUUUUCCUAAACGUUGGGGGGUUGAACGUCCUUUUCCCUUCUACAAAUUGAACAAGGCUAUUAAUUUUCAUUAUUAUUUUUUAUUUAUUUAUAAAUUACUAUUUUAAUUUUCACUUUUUAUUGGGUUGUUUAACGGAUUAGUGAAGUUGGUGGUCGUGAUGCACUCACAAGGUACAAUUUUAUUUUAUAAUUUCGAAUUUGUAUUUUAAAAUGCAGGAACAUUAUGUAUACAUAAUUAUUGAUUUUCGUAUGUGGAUGUUUUGAAAUAUUGCUAAAAGACCAAACUUUAAUAAACUAUUUUUCAUCUUUUUUUUCCUAAAGUUUGAGUGAUAUCCGCAUUUUAAAUUCAUCUGGAACAAAAGCUAAUGUAUGCACAAAAUUCUUUUAUUUUUUCCGAGAAAAAUGGGUAAGAGAAGAAGAUUUUUCUCUUGAAAAAGAAAAACUAAUACGAUGCAAGCAUAGGAAAGAGGUCAAUGUUUUGGAUUAGAAUUUAGUAUUGAGCUGAAUUUUAUACUAAACUCUUUUAUAGUACUGCGAUUAAUAAACUCAUGAUUUGCUUUUGCUUUUACUUCAAGUGAAAGAAAGAGGAAACCUUUUGUUUUUUGUUUGAUUCUUGACUAUAGAUGUUACCUAUAUAGAGAGUUGAGGUAGCUACCUUAAGUGAUGGUGAUAAAAAGAUUAAGCAGCGCACACAAUCUUACUGUCGUCCAGACCAUCCAGCUGUGAUGACUCUAGUUUUUUGGGUUACAUUAGCUUUAGUGGAAAGGAGGGCCAAUUUAACAAAGACUAGAUUUGGUGGCUUACUAUAAUGCUUAUUCUCAGGGAAUCUAAUGUUAUAAGAUGAUUUAAUGAUCUUCUAUGAUUGUGAGUAGUAUAGUAUAAUUGAAAAGAGCCUGGGCUCCUAUGAUGAAUAUAUAAUAGUAACACAGUACUGUGAUUGAAAAAAACACAGUUACAAUAAACUCUUCAUUUAUUCAUUGCGGAGAUUGAAUGGCAAAGAGAGAAUAAAAUGAAGCAGAGGAAUCUCAUUGCCAGUAAAAUUGAUCCUCUUUAAUGUUAUAUGGCACAGGUGUGUGUACAGCAAGAGCAAGUUACUUGCAGUUUUUAUUGUAAAAUAUACAGGUUAUGACCAUGAUCAUUGUAGUUAGGUUUUGAUGAUUUUAGAUGCUUUUUUUUUAUUUUUUUAAAUUGUGACACCUUUGAUUUAUGGUAGUUUUGCAGAAGAAAAAAAUAUAUAUAAAAAUUAGGAGGGAUGAGUUAACUAACGAUUGCAAUCAUUACAGUAAUGUUGAUGAGUGAUACAUCAUUUGAAAUUUACUUGUCAGUUGCUGAAAUGAUGAAAAAAAACAAUAAACAAUAGCAGUAAUAUUUUUAUGGAAAUUCUUGGUUUUUAUGGAAAUACUCUUGCUGAAAUUCUAAUUUUGACUUUCAACUCUUGGUUUUUAUGGAAAGUAAAAUGACUUGUUUGUUAUAUUCAUACAACCCACUCUACAUAAUGAUUUCAUUUUAAUAAAUGGUUGAUGAUCUCCACAGAAAAACUACUUCAAUUCUUUUUUUUUUUAUUUAACUUUUUGGUUGUUGAAAAUAGCCUUAAUUUUCAAAUCAUUGGAGAAAGAGUAAAGAACAUUUAACAAAUUUAUGUGCCAAAAAUAAAGGAGAAAUUGAAGAGAAAGGGUGCUUGCAGAAGUGGGUGCAAAGAUAAAUCAGUCCAUAAGAAUUAUUGUGGUUAUUAAUUUUUUGGCAAUAUAAAAAUUUUUCAGCAAAUAAAAAUUGAAUUUUCCGAUUUACUAAAAAAUCAAUUAAAAACUUCGGCGAUAGCAUUUUUUAUGGGUGCAUGUACCCUCCCUUUAAAAAAAAAUAAUAAUUAAUACUUAAUAUAGUAUUAAAUACGAAAAUAUCAAUAUUUGACUACACAAAUUUAUAUCAUUAGGUCCUUAAAAUUUAAAAUUGAAGACACAAAAUGAAAUAUAUAUAAAUUUCAUUCUCAUAGGAAAGGAUCCUCUUAUAAUCUUAAAAUAUUUGAGCUUUGAAAGAUUUUUUAAAACAAAUGUACUUUUAUUUUUGUACAAUCAAUAAUUACUUAUUUAUUAUAUUUUUAUUCAUUAACUAUCAAUCAUGUGAGUAUAUCUACUCAGAAAUAUCAUAUCAAGGGAGAAUCUUGAUCCCACGCACACGCAAAUAUGUUAAUUUCUAUACGCUUCACUUACCUGUAGAAUCAAUUAUCUAAAAUGCAAGUUUGUGGCCACAAAAAAAGCCAAAGAAAGAAGAUAAUAACAAUUGACUUGUAUAUUAUACUCAUACAAUCCACUCGACAUAAUGAUAUCAUUUUAAUAAGGCAAUGGCUGAUGAUCUCCAUUGAAAAACUAAUUCAAUUUUUUGCUUCAUUUAACUUGUUGGUUGUUGAAAAUAACCUUAAUUAUCAAAUAAUUGGAGAAAGAGUAAAGAACAUUUAACAAAUUUAUGUGCAAAAAAAAAAAAAAGAAAGGAGAAGUUGAAGAGAAAGGGUGCUUGCAGAAGUGGGUGUCAAAGAAAAAUCAGUCCAUAAUAAUUAUUGCCGUUAUUUUUUGGCAAUAUAAAAUUUUUAUAGCAAGUAAAAAUUAAUUUUUUUCCAAUUUACUAAAAACUUCUGCGACAGCAUUUUUUAUGGGUGCUUAUACCAUCCCUUUAAAAAAAAUAAUAAUAAUUUAAUGCUUAAUAUAGUAUUAAAUACGAAAAUAUCAAUAUUUGACUACUCAAAUUUAUAUCAUUAGGUCCUUAAAAUUUAAAAUUGAAGAUACGAAAGGAAAUAUAUAUAAAUUUCAUUCUCAUGGAAAGGAUUCUCUUAUAAUCUUAUAAUAUUUGAGUUCUGAUUUUUUUUUUAAACAAAUGUAAUUUUAUUUGUGCACAAUCAGUAUUUACUUAUUUAUUAUAUUUUAAUUUAUUAACUAUCAAUCAUGUAAGUAUAUUUAGUCAGAAAAAUUAUAUCAAGAGAGAAUCCUAAUUUCACGCAAACACAAAUAUAAGACAAAUAUGUCAAUUUCUAUACUAUUCACUUCCUGUAGAAUCAAUUAUCUAAAAUGCAAGUUUGUGGCUACAGAAAACUCGCCAAAGAAAGAAGAUAAUAACAAUUGAGCAUUGAUAGCAAAACUAAUGCAUCAUUUUAUUCUUGACUUGAUGAGAUGGUGGCAUUACAAAAAAAACAAGUACCUUAAUUGACGGGCACUGAGUGAUGUGAAUACUACCAGCCAGUUCAUCUCUUCCAGUCUUGCUUAAUCACAAUCACAAACACCACGAGAUCGACAUUUGCAUUAUAUAUAUCUUCAGCAAUCGAAACACCUUGCAUUACCAAAUUAACCAGUAACAAACAAAGCAAUCUUUCAUGGAGAGAAACCUUAGUCUCAGUAUGAUCACUGUGUCAUUAACCCACUGCCUGCUUCUUUGCUUGGUUGUUGCAGCAGCAGCAGCAGCAAGCAACAAUAUUACCACAGACCAACAAGCUCUUCUUGCCCUGAAAGAUCAUAUAACUUAUGAUCCAACCAACCUUUUUGCCCAUAAUUGGACCUCGAAUACCUCUGUUUGUACCUGGAUUGGCAUCACUUGUGAUGUCAAUAGCCAUAGAGUCACAGCCUUAGAUAUUUCUCAAUUCAAUCUACAAGGCACCAUCCCUCCUCAACUCGGAAACCUCUCUUCACUCACAACGCUUAAUCUUAGUCAUAACAGGCUUUCUGGAAACGUUCCCUCCUCCAUCUACACAAUGCAUACGCUAAAAUUUCUUGACUUCACUGAUAACCAGCUCUCUGGUUCAGUGUCUUCCUUCGUCUUCAACAUGUCUUCAAUAGUAGACAUUCGUUUGACCAAUAACAGACUUUCUGGUGAGCUUCCGAAAACUAUUUGCAACUAUCUUCCUCAUUUGAAAGCCCUUUUUUUGGACAAAAACAUGUUUCAUGGCAAAUUUCCUUCUGCUUUAUCAAAGUGCAAACAACUGCAACAAUUAAAUUUGCAGUUCAAUAAUUUAUCCGGUGCAAUACCAAAAGAAAUCGGCAACUUGACUAUGCUCAAAUGGAUAGACCUCGGCUACAACAAACUCCACGGUAUGUCCAUAAUAAUAUGUAAAUAUUUUAAUUUCUCACUUGUUAUUUUUCUUGAAUACUUUAGAUAAGAUUUGUAAGGGAGAUUUUUUUGCAUCUGUGUUAAUUUGCUAGGUGAGAUACCCCACGAAAUCGCUCAUCUUCGAAAUCUAGAGGAUUUAGUGCUUGGAAUGAACAACCUAGUUGGUGUGGUAUCAGCUACAAUCUUCAACAUGUCAACACUGAAGGUAAUUAUUCUCGCAAAUAACUCUCUCUCCGGAAGUCUUCCAUCAAGAAUAGACCUUUCACUUCCAACUAUUGAGCAUCUUAGCUUGGCACUUAAUAGAUUUUCUGGAACCAUUCCUAGUUCCAUCACCAAUGCUUCUAAGCUCACCUUGCUAGAAUUGGGAGGAAACACAUUUUCAGGCUUUAUUCCAAAUACAGUUGGUAAUUUAAGAAACCUUGAGAGACUCGGCUUGGCUAAUAACUCCUUGACAUCUUCCACCUCAAGAUUGAGUUUUCUUUCCUCUUUGGCAAAUUGCAAGAAAUUAAGAUCCUUAAACUUAAAUGGAAAUCCACUUGACGGCUUCCUUCCAAGUUCAAUAGGUAAUCUUUCCAUGUCUUUGAAAAUACUUCUCAUCGCCAAUUGCAGUAUUAUUGGCAACAUUCCUCCAGCAAUUAGCAAUUUAAGCAACUUGUUGGCCUUAGUAUUAGACCGCAAUAAAUUGACUGGACCAAUUCCAAUUACAUUCGGCCGACUGCAGAAACUCCAAGGCUUAUAUCUUGCAUCCAAUAAGUUGGUAGGUUCAUUCCCAGAUGAGCUUUGCCAUCUAGCUAGGCUGGCUGAAUUGGUCUUAUUGGGCAAUAAGCUUUCAGGAUCUAUACCUUCAUGCUUAAGUAACCUCACUUCUCUGAGAUCUCUCUACUUAGGGUCCAAUAGGUUUACUUCUGUUAUUCCCUCAACCUUCUGGAGCCUAAAAGACAUCUUGUUCUUUGACUUUUCAUCAAAUUUCUUUGUUGGUACUCUUUCUUUCGACAUAGGUAAUUUGAAGGUGCUUCUAGGAAUAAAUUUAUCAGAAAAUAACUUAUCGGGUGAUAUCCCAGCCACAAUUGGAGGAUUAAAAAACCUUCAAAUUAUGGACCUAGCAUAUAAUAGAUUGGAAGGGCAAAUUCCUGAAUCAUUUGGUGACUUGACAAGUUUGGAGUUUUUGAAUUUGUCAAAUAAUAAAAUCUCUGGGUCUAUUCCAACAUCCAUGGAGAAACUGUUUUUCCUCCGAGUGUUAAAUCUCUCUUUCAAUAAACUAGAAGGUGAGAUUCCUAGUGGAGGAAUUUUUGCCAA
Molecule: long non-coding RNA, 228978 nt
Filed under: Citrus maxima (pomelo)
Lineage: Eukaryota; Viridiplantae; Streptophyta; Magnoliopsida; Sapindales; Rutaceae
Description: long non-coding RNA (CMAX_LNC003928)
Source: RNAcentral